GACGAUCGGGUUGGGGCUGAGGCGGCGGAUCGUGAAGACGGUGACGAAUCGGGUCGAGGAGAGGUCGGAUUGGGGGUCGAGGUUAGGGUUUUCUGGGGUUAUGGAGAGGGAGUAGGAGGAGAUGAGGAAGGUUUUGCAGGGACGUGCGGAGGUGGUGGAGAUUGAGAGGGAGGAGAUGGUGAUCGCGAGGAGGAGGAGGAGGUGAGAGGACGACGCCAUUGUUGUGUGUUGUCUUUGACUUCUUCUUCUUCUUUGGGAUAAAAGACGAUAUGCCAGAAGAUUCGGUGAAGAUAUUAUUAAUAAGCCCCUCUAUUAUUGUGUUUAGCCAUAAAGGUCACUUAACGUUACACACAUUUUCCGUUGAUGUUCGAAGCAUUUCGCCGUUAAAACUAACAUUGUGAACCUCGUGUUUGUUUUUUUUUUCUUAUAAGAAAAUUCCAAUGUAACCCCAUUAUCACAUGACUUUUUGUGGUAAAUCCAAGCUAAUUGAUGAGCUAAACUUUGAUGGUGGAGACAAGUGAGGUCAAUAACAAGAAAUAGUGAUGUAAGCGUUCAAAAAUUAUGUUUCAAAUUUUAAAUUUAAAUGUUUACUUAAUUAGUUAAUUAGGACAUCUUCGUUUAUAUUCUAUUUUUUUUUUCUAAAAUAAAAUAAAAGUAAAUAUUGAGUAAGAAAUGAUCUAACUCAAUUUCAUAUCUCGUUCUAUAAUGAAAUUUAUUCCAUAAAUGGAGUAAUUUAGUUUUUGUUUGUUCAUCACACCAAUAUGAAGCGAGAAAUAAAAUAGGAUUGAAGCAGUUUUACUCUAUUUUGAAGGAAAAAAUAAAGUUUUACAUUGAAGAUGCUCUUAGCAAUACAAAAAAAAUACUAAUUUACCGGAUAAAAAAUAUUCUUUUUAAAACACCUUCAAUCUCACUCUAUAAUUUACUACAAAAAGUAACAAAUAUUUUAAUCUUUCUUUAUGUUCCACUCCAUAAAAAGGUCAAAAUCUAUAAAUAGAAUAAUUAUUUUAUUUUUUUGGUUUAUUACUCCAAUUUUAGAGUAGGAUUGGAAUAAACUCAAUUUUAUUAAGAAAUUAUUCUAUUUUAUAUUGAAAAUACUAUUAUGAAUGAAUAAGAAUCAACUCGCCAUUCAUGUAGAUUGUAUGUCGACCGGGAUGUGCCAUAUUAUUGGUCCCUAAAUUAAUUUAAAUGUAUACAACACCAUUUCUUUAAACAAUGACUUAUAAUUAGAUUAAGCUUUAACAUUGGAUGUUGCAUGGAUCACUUCUGAUUACUUAUUUAAUUAGACUCUUCAAAAUUAAGGUGAUAACAACAUAUAGAAUAUGCUUUUCAAAUAAUAAUACCAAAACUUUGACAUAAAUUUUUAUUUUAAAGAUAUCUACUAUUUAGGUUAUUUUAAAGGAAAAUUGAAACAAAUUAUUAAUUAAUAAAAUAAAAUAAAGUAAAAAUAGUAAUAAUGAUAUUUAUUUCUAAUAAUUAAAUUCACUAAAAAUAUUUAAGUAAAUUUGUUUUUUGUGAAAUUAACAUGAAAAUGAUUUAGAAAUUAUUGUAAGUCAUCAUAUUUCUAUGAGUACUACUAAAUAAAAAAAAACAAGCUAAAAUGUAAACCGGGCCAAAUAGUGAAAAUGGUAAACCGGAUCUCUACUCAUUAGUAAAGACGUGGCCCGUGGGUACACAGAAUCCGUGUUAAGAGAAAAUAGAGCAUUGACUACAAAUAUAGAAUGUGAAACUGAUUCGCUCUCUUUCUCACACACACAUGUCAUAGAAGAAUCAGUUUUCGAUUUCCUCCUCAAUAGCCGCUUUCUUCUCCUCAGAUUCUCUUUAUAAAACAAACCUUCUCCUCUCUCCCUCUCUAGGUCAGAUCCGAGUUAGUUAUGGAGGUAGAGCGAGCCAAGAAAGACGACGAUCUCAACUCCGCAGACGGAGGAGGAGGAGGAUCCGCUGAAGAAGUCUCCGUCGAGAGAAUCUUCGAGGAGAGCGCCGACGCUCCUCCAGCGUGGCAGAACCAGCUCACGUUCAGAGCGAUGAUCGUGAGCUUCAUCCUCUCGAUUCUCUUCACCUUCGUGGUGAUGAAGCUGAACCUCACGACGGGGAUCAUCCCCUCGCUCAACAUCUCCGCGGGGCUGCUCAGCUUCUUCUUCGUGAAGACGUGGACGAAGAUACUCAACAAGGCCGGGAUUCUCAAGCAGCCAUUCACGAGGCAGGAGAACACCGUUAUUCAGACCUGCGUCGUUGCUUCCUCCGGCAUCGCCUUUAGCGGUACGUUCAUUUUCUCCGAUCAAACUCUGUUGUUUCUUUAAAAAAAAAAAAAAAUUGAUAGUUUUCUUCGGUGAGUAGAUAAAGUUGAAAUCUAGUGGAUUUUCUUAGGUCAGCUGAAUCGUAACGGAUUCCGACUCGCUCUUGUCACCGUUUAUAUUUUUUGACCUUUUGCGGCUCCGUGAAAAAGACAGAUAACUUUUGUAGUUUUGUGAUUUUUUUUUGAGUUAUUUAUUUAUUCUUAAGUUAAUUAGUUGUUAAAAAUGUUUUCUUCUUUUUCAUUUCUGACGUCAAAUGUAUCUUGUAAAAGAUAUCAUGAAUAUUUAUUAUUAUUUUCAAUUUAAAUAAUAUUUUAUACUAAAUGAAAUAAUUAUACAUUAUAUAACUUUAUCUUUAAUGUAUCUAUUUUAAACAUACAAAUUACUUUAAAAAACUAUUGACACUACUUAGGUAGGUCCGUUGCUGCUAUCAUUAGACUAAUAUAAUUCAUAUAGUUAGCAUAAUUAUCCAGAUUAAAAGUUUAUAUAGUUACAAUUAAAUUUUAAAAUAAAAAAUAAUUAAAUUUUAAUUUAUUUUCUUAAUAUGUGUAAAAAGGAAAUAAAUUUAUUAAUUUAAAACAUAAAGAGUAAUAAAUAUUUUUGUAUAGGCGUAUUUUCUGCUAGUACUUAAAUGUAUUUUAUGGAAAAUGCCAAAUUUAAUGUAAGUGAAGUUACAUUUAAAAUCGGAGAGCAGUGUUAUAUGACUUUGUGAUAACAUUAAAAGAUAUCUACACGGCAAGACUAUUAGGUCAAGUAAAUCUUUUGUUUGCAUAUGAUUUCGGCGCUUUAUAAGGAAGUUCGGUUUGCAUUUACAUUUAUUUUAGAAAUCAAAUUGUCUCAUCAAAUACCAGUGGCUUAGCUGUUUUUAGUGUGCACAACUAUUAGCUCUUUUAUAUUUUAUUUGUUGAAACUUUUCUAUGGAGUCGGUUUAAAAUUAAUUUUAGUAAAACAAAAUAUUAAAAAUAAUUAUAAAUAGUGAUUUUAAGAAAUUAUUUUAAAAUAUAAUAAUUAUAUUAUAUGUUAUAUUAGUUAUAUAUGUGUUUAAUUUAGCAUUUUGGAAUAAAAUGAUGUCAAAAAACAUUUUGUUAUUAAAUAAGUGAAUAUUAUCUAAGGUUGUUUGUAAUAGGGCAUUAAAUUUAGUAUGAUAUUGUGAUUCAAUACUACUAGAUAGUGUGUUUCAUCAAAAAAAAAGAGUACUAUUAGAUAGUGUGAUUUUUAGUGUUUAGUAGAAAGAUUUUUAUGAAAGUAGCACUUUAUUAAAAUAAAGUUUUAGUGUUUGGUAGAAAAUUAAGUGAAGCCAUGACUUUCCAAGAAAAUAAUUUUUUAUUGUCUCACGUGAUUCGUUCUCUUAUAGAGAUCUUGACGUCAAAUUAUUUAAUAUGAGUUGACUUGCUAUGCCCACCACCACCAUGUGUGGGCAAAUGGGAACAUGGAGUAACGUAGAGUGGACUAGAUGCACACACGUGAUCCAUAAUUUCAAUUAAGCAACAUGAUUAGAUCACUAAUUAAGUAGAUGGGAUUCUAUUUAUUAGAUUUUAGUUUAUUUUGACUAAAGUCACUAAUCCACAUCUAAAACAUUAACUAUUCAACACUAGAUCUUAAUAAAUAAUCUAACUUACCAUACAAAUAUUUUUGAAGUGUUUAAUCAUAUAUUUAAUAUGUGCAUUCAAGUUAAAUAGUAAAACUUUAUUUAGUUGUUGAAAAUUGCUAAAUGAUAAAUACAGUAAAUUUGAUCAAAAAAAAAAGAUAAAUACAGUAAAUAUGCUCUUGAUCCAAAAUUGUGUAAUUGUAUUAAAUUUAUAAUCCAUAUAUAUCAUGUCAACGUUGCUUUCCUGUUUGGUGUGUGUCCACUGUCCACCACGUGUGCCAAAUGGGAACAUGUAGUAACGUAGAGCUGGCUAGAUGUGUACACACACAUGAUCCUUAAUUUAAACUAUCGAAAGGAUCAGAUCACUGAUUAAGUAGAGGGAAUUCGAGUUAUGAUUGGAUUUUGCUUUGGUUUUUAAUUAAAGGAAUUAGUUUACAUGUAAACAUAUUCACAUGAAACGACGUUAAUUUUUCAAUUAAAAACUGGUUAUUUCGUAUAUGAAUAAAAUUUUGUUUAAAGGGGUUUAUAUAUUAGUAUGAAUAAAAUUACAAGUGAUAUAAUGCUCAAUAGUUGAAAGAUUUAUAGUUCUGUCAUGAUGUGAGAUAUUAGGAUCCUCUGCUUUGUGUAAUUGUUAUCAUAACCUGUAUGUGAAGAUCAUCAACUCAACGCUGCCUGUUCGGUUUGACUUAAUAUUUUGUGAUACAGGAGGGUUUGGUAGUUAUCUCUUUGGGAUGAGUGAAGUUGUUGCUAAACAAUCAGCCGAAGCCAAUACUCCUCUCAACAUAAAGAAUCCUCAUUUGGGUUGGAUGAUUGGAUUUCUCUUUACCGUUAGCUUUCUCGGUCUCUUCUCUGUUGUUCCCCUUCGAAAGGUACGUCCUUAAUUUACAUCUCUGGUCACAUUUGAAUACAUUUCUGUAGCAAAAAAAAGUCUUAUCUACUGAAAUUCUGUUUUCAGAUCAUGAUAGUGGACUUCAAAUUGACAUAUCCUAGUGGUACUGCAACUGCUCAUCUCAUCAACAGCUUCCACACACCUCAGGGUGCCAAGCUCGCAAAGUAAAUAAUCUUUCAUACUCCUCAAUGUUACUACGAGGUUUCUCUUCUCUGAAUACUGAUGAUCACAUUCUUUUUCGAAUAACACAGGAAGCAAGUGAGAGCAUUGGGAAAGUUCUUCUCGUUCAGUUUCUUAUGGGGUUUCUUCCAAUGGUUCUUCACUUCUGGUGACGGCUGUGGAUUUGCUAACUUCCCUACAUUUGGUCUCGAAGCCUAUGAAAACAAGUACGUUAACUUUUUCACAAUUGUCUACUCAUGGAGAAACUAAGACUUCAACUAAAUUCUUAUUAUCUGUGAAUAUCAUAUCAAAACAGGUUCUACUUUGAUUUCUCGGCUACAUAUGUUGGUGUUGGAAUGAUAUGUCCAUAUCUAAUCAAUGUGUCGCUUCUCGUUGGAUCAAUACUAUCAUGGGGUAUUAUGUGGCCUCUCAUAGGUGCCCAAAAAGGCAAAUGGUACUCUGCUGAUCUUAGUUCAACUAGUCUCCACGGCCUUCAAGGCUACAAGGUAGCAUCACUCUCCCUCUCUCUCUCUUCUCUCACAAAGCUCCUUGAUAUUUACUAAAUUUUCUUUCAAUGCAUCAGGUGUUUAUAGCCAUAGCUAUGAUCCUCGGUGAUGGUCUCUACAACUUCAUCAAAGUCCUAGGCCGCACCAUCGUCGGUCUAUACAAGCAGUUCAAGAACAGAGACGCUCUUCCCGUAAACGACCGGUCACCAUCAAACACCGCAACCAUCUCUUACGACGACAAACGAAGAACUGAGCUUUUCCUCAAAGACAGAAUCCCCUCGUGGAUCGCUGUAACCGGCUACGUAGUCAUGGCCAUAGUCUCGAUCGUCACAGUCCCCCACAUCUUCCCUCAGCUCAGAUGGUACCACAUCUUGACCAUGUACAUAAUCGCACCCGUCCUUGCCUUCUGUAACGCCUACGGCUGCGGGCUCACCGACUGGUCCUUAGCUUCCACCUACGGCAAACUCGCCAUUUUCACCAUCGGAGCUUGGGCUGGCUCGGCCAACGGAGGCGUCUUGGCAGGACUCGCGGCGUGUGGUGUUAUGAUGAACAUCGUCUCCACAGCUUCUGAUCUCAUGCAAGACUUCAAAACCGGUUACAUGACGCUAGCUUCCCCGAGGUCAAUGUUCUUGAGCCAAGCGAUCGGAACGGCGAUGGGCUGUGUCAUUUCCCCUUGCGUCUUCUGGCUAUUCUACAAAGCCUUUCCCGACUUCGGCCAAACCGGGACCGCGUACCCCGCGCCUUACGCCUUAGUCUACCGAAACAUGUCGAUACUCGGAGUAGAAGGAUUCUCUGCUUUGCCCCAGCAUUGUCUCAUGAUCUGUUACAUAUUCUUCGCAGCAGCGGUGUUUGUGAACGGCGUGAGGGAUGCGGUGGGGCCUAAAUGGUCUCGGUUCAUUCCUCUCCCGAUGGCUAUGGCUAUACCGUUUUACAUCGGAGGUUACUUCACGAUCGAUAUGUGCGUGGGGAGUCUCAUACUGUUCGUGUGGAGGAAGCUGAAUAGACCAAAAGCUGAUGCUUACUCUUCAGCUGUUGCUUCUGGUUUGAUAUGUGGCGAAGGGAUAUGGACGUUACCAAGCUCUGUGCUUGCUUUAGCUGGUGUUAAGCCUCCUAUCUGCAUGAAGUUCUUGUCUGGCGCUACCAAUGUUAAGGUUGAUUCUUUCUUAAACCCUUCUUAACUGUGUUUUCUUUUCAUUUGUUAUUCUAGAUUUUUUUUUUUUUCUAUGGUUCUUUGUCUAUCUUUCUUAGUUUUAAUUGUUUUAAGUUUGUGGUUAAUUUCAUUUCUACUCAAUGAAUGGAUUUAUUGGUUUUAAAACAGUCUUAUUUUGAGUCAAAAACUGAUACAGAAGUUGCAUUCUAUAUGCCACCAAAAAGAAUUUGUACAGAUGAGUUCUUUAAAACUCAUUCAGACAAAAAAAAAACACUAAAGGCAGAUAUGGUCCUCAUAGGAGGAAACCAUGUCACAGAGUAAUGGAGGAAAGAAGAUGGCUUAACCGGUCUACUUCGAUAUCCUCUUCUUCUUUUUCAUCUUCCAGAGAGUCACUACACGCCACAAAGGAACCAGUGAGACUUUUCUCAAAUGUACUUUAAUUAUGUGUGCUUGUAUAUAACUUACUUUGGUUGUUCAGAAGUCAUCAUUUCUCCCGCAAGGUUGAGUGAUCCAAGUGUCUCCUCCAUAACGUCGCUAUUUCCAUUUCCAUUUCCAUUUGUAGCCUCUAAAGACCAUCUCAAGGGUACAACUAUGUCCCUGUAUCAAUCAAUGUUAAAGAAUCAGUGCUUUGACUUGUUACUACAAGUAGGAACUUAACUGUCACUCACCCACUGAUACAUCUGGCUCUGCACUUUUCCACCUCGUCUACUGUAUAUUUCAUAUGGUUUAAGUUCAGACUUUUUACAGCUUCAGGAACAUCUGAUGAUGGCACAACAUCCCAUAUCUUCAGAACUUGGAUAUAUUGAAAUUCUUCCUUCAAAAUUUCUACAGCCCAAAUGAGACUUAGAACAUCGUCAAUCUUGCUUUGUUUUAUCAACUGGGAGGAAGAAACCAGACUAUCUCUCUCUGACUCUUCUUCUUCAUGGAGCCAACCAUGUGAUAUCCUUUCUAAGAAACUCUUGAUCUUCCUGUACAUCUCCGGGUUCUUAAUCUCUCCCACAGAUUUCUUGAACUCGUCGCUGAAGCAAAUCUGUUUGAACAUGCAAAAACAGAGUCAGUCUCAAAGAACACAAAGCUAAAAAGAACACAAAAGCAAUGUUCAUCCAUCACCUUCCAUCUUGAUUUGUUCAGUGGCUGGAUAAACUCGAUUUUCGCGGUAUCGAUAAUAGCACGAGCCAAUGACUCGUCUUCUUCAGCAUUAUAGAAACAUUCUCGCUUCCUUGCGUCUUGUAUCAGAUACCUCCACACCGACUUGCUAUUCACCAUAGUUGCCUCGUUUCCAAGUAUCCAUAAACAGAACCUCGCUCGAGUGAGUAACACAUUUGUUCUUUGUCUGUUUGCAAGAAACCCAACUCUUCCAAUACCAUUGGACCUAACAGUUGAAACUAUGAUUAUAUCCUCUUCACCACCUUGAAACCCAUCCACUGACCGAAUCUUCAACGAAAACAGCCCUCCUGCAUCACAUCCACUACAUGUCUCCUGAAUCUUUUCUUGGAUUGCCAUUACUUGAGACUUAUAAGGUGAAAUCACACCAACGCUUAUGCGUGUCUUUGUUCUCACUGAAACUGCAUUCAAACAUAAAAUCUAACUUCAUUGUUCCAAAACCAUAGAGAGAGAAAAACAUUAUCAUUCAAAAGAUAGUUCACCUUGGAGAAGGUUAGCUAUUAUAUCCGACACAACAGCAACCUCAACGUUGUUUUUCAGACUACGUCCUUCCCCAUAUUGUUCUUCACCAUGUGCUAUGUUGAUAAAAGAGUAGGGACCAUACAUUUUGCCAGGAAGAUAUUGCUUUGUGUAGUUUCUUUGUUUAACCGUUGGAGCGUCUUGAAUCUGCAUUCCGUAGAACUCUCUGUUUGGGAAGAUACUUAUCAAUCGAUGCAUCCUGUAUUGGAUGUUUAGCAGGUACUUCUUAUGUUUAAGUAUGGCUAAUCUUUCAAAGAGACUUCUCCCAAAUCCUGCCUCCAAAGCAAUCUGGCUUUCCACCAUUGCAGGAAGCUGUUUCUCAUCUCCAAUCAAAAUCGAAUGCUGGAUACCUGGAAGCAGGAGAGGAAUGGCUGUCUCACAUUCUUUUAACUGAGCAGCUUCGUCGACCACAAGAAGCUGUAUUGGUUGUCCAGUGUAUAGCCUUGCAGAGCAUGACGCUGUAGAGAAAAGCAGACAAGCGUGGCCCAAGCAAAGCUCUCUAAUAAGAUGCCUAUCACAACCACCUGGAAGUGUGAAAAUUUCAGGGAUCAAUCUCAACAGCUUUAAAUAAUAAUCUUCUACUCUGUCACUUCCUUCUCCAUUAACAACGAGUACUGAUUUUAGUUCUUCACCACUCAGAACAGAUGAGAUUGUAGCGUCUUUGACAAGGUCAAUAGAUUCAUACAUACGCGUUGCGGCUUGUGUUGAGAGCAAAGCAGUAGGCAAAUGCGUGCAUAAGCUUGAGAAAGCAAGCUCCAGGUCUUUCCUAAGUUCGCUGAAUCUCUCUGGUAGAUAUUCCUGAAACGAUUUAGAAACAUUGUCUUUGCUUUUCUCCAAGAACUGAUUAUACUGUCCUUGCGGAUCCUCGAGUAAACGUAUCAUGGAACUGAUAGAAGCUUUCCAUCCGUAAAACGGCAUGAAACACGGGUAAAGCUUAUCAACGCGUUCGUCAAUGAAGAAGUCAACAAGAUCUUUCCUCUCUUUGAUCUUCAUCCUCUCCCCGUUCCCAAACAAGACCACAUCUCCGAGACCGUAGCUACCGAUCUUUAAAGACUUGGAAACUAGUUUCACAACUCUCGACGCCACUUCGAUAACAGAAACAUUCGUUGGAGUACAUGUCAAGGUUCUGCAUCUCGCGUUCAGAAGCGUGAACAGAAGUAUACUCGUUGUCUUUGUCUUCCCUGUCCCUGGUGGACCCCAAAUCAGUUUGAUGGUGUUGGCAUGGCGGCAUCUUCUAACGUCUAAACAGCUCAGUAUUGCAUCUUCCUGUGAAGGAUUCAGGUUCAGGAAACGACUAGGGACAAGACCGUCGCUUUCUCCAAAUCUACACGGAACACAAACUCCACCAUCAUCAUCAUCAGUGUUUCUCUGAAGGACUGUUGAGAGAAGACUCAAGUUCCCACCUUGUAAACCAAGAUGCAGUGAGUUCCAGAUACGAACGUUGGUGGUUAUAUUGGUCAUAUAAACACCAAAAAGGCUUUCUUUCUUCUCCUUCUUGUUCCUUUGAUGUACAUCCUCGAGCAAAAGUGGUUUUGAAGCUAAGAUGGUGAUAACAUUAGGCCUGUCCGGAUCUGCUUUACAGACAAUAGCAACUACAUAAGGUUCGUUGGUGAUGUUGAAGCCGUCAACACGGUUAGGCCUUUUAUCUGUAAGCGCGAUGAGAUCUUUUGGGAUCAGUGACGACUCGUCGGUGCUCAAAUGCACUUUAUAGAACAAGUUGUUAGGAAGCUCGAACUCAGCUGUUGGGGCAAUGUAGGUGAUUUCAACCACAGGGGACCGCCACAGUGUCUUUAUGCUGGACGAUAAAGCAGCAUGUGUUUCUUCGAUAAGUGAAGGGAUAAAGGACUUGAAGUAGUCUGUGGUUGAGUCGAACUCAGUAGGAAUCGUUCCCACCUGUUUGAAAACAAAUCAAAUACAGAACAACAAGCAAAUCAGAUUGUGUUUUGUGUCUUAAAAUCGACAAGAACCAAAUAAGGGGCAUAAAACAGAACCUGUCCUUUAUAAAGAUCCACAUUGAGUACUUCUUCAAGAGACCAAGAUAGCACGAGAUCGAUCAAAUCUCUUCCUUCAAUACGCAUUUUUGCUAACUCUGAAAGAGUGAAAGGAAAUAAAGAAUCGAUUUUUUUUAAACCCCUAAUCACUAAACCCUCAAAGGCUCAAACUUUACACAUAGCGAAGCAAAAGAACGAGACCCAUCAAUCAUCGCAAGUUUUGAAACAAAAGUCUAUAGCUUUUUGCGAUUUGAAACCCUAAAACUCUACGUUGCCUAGAACCAUCAAAACCCUGAAGCUUACUUUGAUUUUUUAGGGCUGUGAGGAGAAAGGUUAGCUUUUCUGAGGCAUCAAACUGAGGUUUUGGUUUUGGGUCUGUGUGAGGAAGGAGAUGGGAAUUGGAGGGAAAGCUAAAGGAGUAAUUUACUAUUGCUUCCAAUGUACUGAACUUCUAGGGCUUUCUUGAAGUUUUGGUUUUGUUGAGGGUCUAGUUUGUAAAUUAUUUACUUAUUCCUUUUUCUUCUUUUGAACACCCAUUUUUCUUGGUCUUCUUAUUUGUAUUUUAACCUGCCUAUUUUAGUUCUCUACAGUACUUUUCUUGGUAUUUUUCUUAGUCUUCUUGUUUGUAUUUGAAAUAUCAAAGAUCUGUUGACUAUAGAGUUGACCUAGCAAAUAUUAUCAUUCUUCUAUAGCUUUCAGUUUAUUCCCAAUAAAUGUAUACCAACCAAACAAAUCAAACUGCAGUUUACAUCUUCUUCAACCUCUAGCUUACUUUUCAAAAAAACAAAAAACAAAAAACAAACUCCCAGGUUAGACGUUUUGAUAAAAGUUUUAUGGACUAAUGGGGCGAAUCUAGAAUGAUUUGUUAAUGGGUGCAAAAUUUAAUAAUUUACUAAAGGGACUUCGACAAACAUGAGACAUCAAAGGGGUGCAUAAGGCCACUAUACCAUUUCAUCCAGCUGAUUCCUUUCUAUGUGUAUAUAUAAAAUUAAUAAUAUUAAGAAUAUUACGGGUGCACGUGCCACCAUACCUGAUGCAGUGGCUUCGAAGCCACUCGGACUAUGUCACUAGCCAAAUAGUACCAGAGAUUGUUAGUUCAGCUAGAAAUGACUUGUGUCAGAGUUACUCAAUUAUAGUGACUGAUAAAAUGAAACUGAGAACUGUAAAAAGAACUAUGAUUCCUUUUAUAGUUCGAGGAUCGGUACCAGUGUUGACUAUUUCAAAAUUUAUAUUUUUGUUCAAUGAACCAUUUUAGAUAAUAAAAAGAAUCAGUUGUUAAAGCAAGUUCAGUGUUUUUUUAUUGGUUCUGAAAGUAUUUUUUUUUGUCAAUAUUUUCGUUCCUAAAAAUUUGUAUUACAGUGGCUAUUAGUUGCACCAGAUUAUUACAUAUUUUUUGAUUGGUCAACCUGGCUCUCAUUGCUAGCUGAUCAAUAUGUUGUAAAAAAUUUCUAGGAACAUGGCUAAAAGAGAAGUUAUUAAGCUUGGAAAAUUUAAGGAUGUCUUGGACCAUCAUGAUUGCCUCUGCUGAUGGUGAUUGCAAUUUGCAAGCUCUUGAAUAGUUGUACGCAAUCACCUAGAAACAUGACGUUCUUGUAUGACAAGCCCGUUUAACUUUUGAACACUAAAAUUGCCUAUAUGCACCCAAAAAAAAAGACCAAGAAAAAUACUGUAGAGAAAAGUCGUGGGAAGUAUCGUUGAACAAACAACAUGUCUGACAUCUCCAACCAUAUGUGUGUAUAUAUUUUCUCAUAACUCAAGACAAUGGCGUAGAGGGCAAAAGAGAGAGAGAGAAAAAAAUGAGAAGUUCACCAAACUACCACCAUCCUUACACCUUCGUCUUCGUCGUCAUUUUGUUUCCAGCUUUAGCUGUCUCUUACAAAACACUGUCGGCGACAGAAUCUCUCACUAUCUCAAGCAACGAAACUAUUGUAUCUCAUAACGAAACCUUCGAGCUCGGUUUCUUCACUCCAGGAUCAAGUUCUCGUUGGUAUCUCGGGAUAUGGUACAAGAAAAUCCCCACCAGAACCUACGUGUGGGUUGCUAACAGAGACAACCCACUGUCUCAUCCCAACGGAUCUCUCAAAAUAUCUUCAGACAAUAACCUCGUCAUUUACGAUCACUCCUCCAACACUCCUGUUUGGUCAACGAAUCUAACCGUUGGCACUUUGAGAUCUCCACUGGUGGCAGAGCUUCUCGAUAACGGCAACUUCGUGCUCAGGCACUCCAACAAUAACGAGUACUUGUGGCAGAGUUUCGAUUUUCCGACGGAUACUUUACUUCCGGAUAUGAAACUCGGCUGGGAUAAAAAAACCGGUUUAGACCGAGUCUUGAGAUCGUGGAGAGGUGUAGAAGAUCCAUCGAGCGGCGAUUUCUCGACUAAACUCGAAACCAGAGGCUUCCCUGAGUAUUACGUGUUCAACAAGGAGAGAAUUAUCUACCGGAGCGGUCCAUGGAUCGGAAACCGGUUUAGCUGCAUACCGGAGAUGAAACCAGUUGAUUACAUGGUUUACACUUUCAUAGCAAGUAACGAAGAAGUGACUUACUCGUACCAAGACGUUUACUCCGUAUUAAGCGUAAGCUACAUGGGAACCUUACAACGACGGAAUUGGAUUGAGUCAGCACAGAUUUGGAAACAGUUGUGGUACCAACCAAAGGACAUAUGCGACAACUACAAACAGUGUGGGAGUUACGGUUAUGGCGAUUCCAACACCAUACCGAGCUGUAAUUGCAUCAAAGGGUUUGAGCGACGAAACGAGCAAGAGUGGGCUUUGAGAGAUGAUUCAGCCGGUUGCGUGAGGAAGACAAAGCUGAGUUGUGAUGGUAGAGAUGGGUUUGUGGUUGUGAAGAAGAUGAAAUUGCCGGAUACUACGGCUACAGUUCUGGACAGAGGAAUUGGUUUGAAGGAGUGUGAAGCCAAGUGCCUAAAUGAUUGUAACUGUACGGCCUACGCUAAUACUGAUAUCCGUGACGGCGGGUCGGGUUGUGUGAUUUGGAAGGGAGAGCUUUUCGAUAUCCGGAGUUAUGCAAAUGGUGGUCAGGAUCUCUACGUUAAACUAGCCGCUGCUGAUCUCGGUUAGUUCUUGUUCUAAGGGUUUUGUUUUAGUCGAAAUUGUUAAAAUAUGAAUUUUCAACUUAAAACUGAUUAGUGAAUAAAUUAGCCUAUCUCUCUUAUAUAUUAUUUAAAUUUAUUUCCGAAGACUUAUUUGUCUCUACUAGAGACGACCUAAGUCAAGGUCAAAGCAUGUGAUAUGACUGCUUAUUACAAAGAAGUAAUUGCAUUGAAUAUUUUGUGCUAUUGAUCUCACGAGUUUCAGCUGAGAGCGCACGUAAUUGUAGUAGGGGUGUGAUACUAGGAAAUUUCAGAAUAUAAAUGUGGUUAAAUAUCCAUUCAAAUAUUAAGGUAUCAGUUGAUGUUUAGAUCAUUAUAUAAAUCCAUAAUUUUUUUCUUCAAAAAUUAAUGUAUUAAAAUAAUGUUAAAACUAAUUAGCUCUAUCAAAUAUUUCUUUCAAAAUUGCAUCCCUAAGCGAAUCUACUGACUACUACAUUAGUCACAAACAAUAUUUCAGCAUUAGUAUGGUUUGAGCUAUAGAUUCAACACCAAAACUAUAUUAUAUUUAGGUUUAGUAUAAUGUUUUAUCAUAAGUACAAUGAAGUUUCUUUGGGUAGGGAUUUUUUUUAAAAAAUUUUUUGUGACAAUUACGUAUAUGAAACUAUGUGCCUCGUUUAUAUUGCAGAUCAUGUCAGGAUAACAAGCCAUGGAACAAUCAUAGGUUCGGGUAUUGGAGUGACCAUUUUUCUUCUAAUAAGUAUCAUCAUCUUAUUCGGCUAUUGGAAAAGAAAACAGAAGAGUGAUAUAACAAUUCAAACACCUCGUGGUAAAUCAAUGACUUUCAUUUUCUUUUGUAUCUGCAAAUUUGGAAAGUUAAAUGUCUUUUGUUUCUGAAUGAAACAGUUGAUCAAGUGAGAAGCCAAGAUUUGCUAAUAGACGAAGUGCUAUUAACAAGUGAGAGAUACAUAUCCAGAGAAAACAAAACAGAUGAUCUAGAGCUUCCAUUGAUGGAGUUUGAAGCUCUUGCCAUGGCAACAAACAGAUUUUCUGACGCUAACAUGCUUGGACAAGGUGGUUUCGGUAUUGUUUACAAGGUAAAAAAUGAUUCAAAAAUGUACUCACAAUUUAUCACUGUACAAGGUUUCAUUUUAUUAAUUAUCAAACAAGUCUGUAAUAGGGAAUGUUACCUGAUGGGAAAGAAAUAGCAGUAAAGAGACUAUCUAAAAUGUCUUUACAAGGGACCGAUGAGUUCAAGAAUGAGGUCAGACUAAUUGCAAGGCUUCAGCACAUAAACCUGGUCCGGCUUCUUGGUUGUUGCGUCGAUAAGGGCGAGAAGAUGUUGAUAUAUGAGUACUUGGAGAAUCUAAGCCUUGAUUCUCAUCUCUUUGGUUAGUGACUCAAAACAACUUAUGUUCUAACAAUUUAACAGUUAACAUGUUUCCAAUUUUGAUCGAUUUGCAGACAAAAUCCGACGCUCUAACUUAAGUUGGCCAAAGAGAUUUGAUAUUACCAAUGGUAUUGCUAGAGGACUUCUUUAUCUUCACCAAGAUUCACGGUUUAGGAUUAUACAUAGAGACUUGAAAGCGAGUAACGUCUUGCUUGAUAAAAAUAUGACUCCGAAGAUAUCAGAUUUCGGGAUGGCAAGGAUCUUUGGACGGGAUGAGUUGGAACUUAGUAAGCUAUUUGUUCUCCAAAAAAAAACAAAAGAGUUUUUUGUCUUAAAUCCAGACUAAGUAGAAAACAUCAAAACUUAUGAAUUUAUUCUACCUUAUGCAGCGGCUACAUGGCUCCAGAGUAUGCAAUGGACGGGAUAUUCUCGAUGAAGUCGGAUGUUUUCAGCUUCGGGGUCUUGCUUCUUGAGAUUAUAACUGGCAAGAGGAGUAAAGGAUUCUACAACUCUAACCGUGACAAUAACCUCCUUGGUUUUGUAAGCUAAGAACAACUUAUAUUCGAUAUUGUUUCAUAGUACAUUAUCGGUCAUAACACUUAAAGAACGAUUCCAUAUUUUUUGCGGACAGGUGUGGAGGUAUUGGAAAGAAGGAAAAGGGAUAGAGAUCGUAGACCCAAUCAUCAUGGAUUCUUCAUCAUCAGCACUCCGUACACAUGAAAUCUUAAGAUGUAUACAAAUUGGUCUCUUGUGUGUUCAAGAACGUGCUGAAGACAGACCAGUGAUGUCGACUGUUAUGGUGAUGCUUGGGAGCGAAACUACGGCUAUUCCUCAGCCUAAACGGCCCGGUUUCUGCGUUGGGAGAAGUCUUCUUGAGACUGAAUCAUCGUCAAGUACCCAGCACGAUGAUGAUUUGACAGUGAACCAAAUCACUCUCUCAGUCAUUGACGCCCGGUAGAUUGAACGUUACCUAGACAAUCUGUUUAUAUGCAUAUCAAUUGCUAUUUUGCUAUGUAAUAAUUAAUAGCGCAAAUUUUACUACUUGAUAUUAAAUAACUUGCUCUAUCUAAUGUAGUUUUGGAACAGAGUUAUUACUGACUCGAAGAAUUUGGAUUAGAGAGAGAACUAUGAAAAAAUAGAUAGAUUUUUAUAUUCGAGUCUCCUAUAUAAUAAAUGAGGCAUUAGCUAGAUAAAUCAUUUAACACUAGUAGAUGAAUAUAUAAAAAUAAUUAAUUAUUUGAAAUACCUCUAAUGAACAAAUUGAAACAAGUUGUGGGACAUGGAUAUUCAGUUACCCCCUCGCCACCAAUAUUGUCUAAUGCUGAUGAGUUGUUAGUUGAACCAGAGGUAGUUGCCACUAGAUAUGAUGCAUAUCAUAAGGACAUUUGGAGGUUUUAGUGACCUGAAAAAAUUUACCGUCACAUGGAACUUCUUGGAUGAGGCAAGACUCAAUUCCCUACAUUUACGCGUGAGGACAAGCUCGUUUUUUGUAAUGGGAAUAUUGAUAUGCCACUAAAAGUAUACAUAUCAAGAAAACUAAGGAAGAUGAGCGCUGAAAGACGAGGAAUAGAAGAUGAGGUUGCAAAUGUUUUAUUCUAAUUCAAUCACACAGGGGUGGUCUAGUCACUAGUGGUAGGUGGAUUACGGAGAGACUUGGGUUCAAAACAACCCAUGAUAUUAAACAUGUGUGGCUACGCGGAUAUGAGACCACACUUUAGAUCUCAUUUGAAUAUCCGGAUUGAGAGUCCAUCAGUGGAUCAACCCACCAUUUUAUAGAUUAUUCUGAACCUCUCUAUGCGUCUGGGAUACUCACAAGACUUGAACAAAAAGGAAAAAAAUUCUAACAGUCAAGAGAAUAAAAAUAGUUAAUAUUGUAACCGAUCCUUGAACUAUAAAAGGAAUCAUAGUUUGUUUUUGCAAUUCUUUAUGCGUUUAGUGCAUGCUGUUUGGGCUUGAUUUCUCUGAGUGUAGAGAUUCAAGGUUUGGAGUCUUCAAGUCGUUACGUUUUGGAUUGUACUUGGUUACUUGAACUUCAGAGCAAUAACGUGGUUGAGUUUUUGUCAAAAAAAAAAUAACGUGGUUGAGUUCUUAUCAGAGAACGUUCUUGUUGACUAGUGGGAUUUGUACUCUGAUUAGGCCUUUCAUGUUAAAAUCUGAUAAUUGGGCUAAAAUUUAUUUCGUUGUGGCCCAAUUUUGUUUUUUGUAACACAAACUAGCAUUAGAAACUUAGAAAACACGGUUCGUGGAUACAAAGACUUCGUUCAACAAGGCUUGCUUUGCAAGAGCAUCAGCAGCCUUGUUUUCCGAUCGUUGAGUCCAGACAAAGGAAACAAAUUCAAAAGCAUAGACUAAGUUUAAGAUAUCAGAGACAAUGCCAUAGAUCUCUGAGUUGGGUACUUCUUCAUUGAUGGCUCUUAUGAGUUGUAGAGAGUCUGAUUUGCAUAGUACACACCGGAUACCCUUGGUGAUGCAGCAGGAGAGGGCUUCCCGUAACGCCAGUCCCUCAGCGAUCAGUGGGGAGUUAACAAAGUGGCAGUGUGCCAUGUAGGACCCAGUCUGGUUUCCUCCGCCAAUUGUCCAUCCCAGUCCCGCUAGUUGUAGAUCUGCACGCCAAGCCCCAUCCGAGUGGAGCAAGGUAGCGUUUGUGGGUUCCGGGGGCCGCUGUGUUGGUGGCCUGGUAGAUGAUGUGGCUUCCGUCUGUUGUUCUCUUAGCCAUUCCUGCGCCGCUGAUAUAGCUUUUGUGAUCACUUCCUCCGGGGUAGCGUCUUUAUUAUUAAAGAUUCGGUUGUUUCUAGCAAGCCAUAGAGACCAUAGGAUCCAAGGUGCUAGAGGUCCAGAAGCAAUUCCCACCGGUGGGAGGCAUGUACGUGAGCAGAGUCCCUCCCAAGCUGAGGUUAAAUCUAGCAAACCUCUAACAUCAACACAAGUAGAGAAAGGUGCAAGUUUCCAUACAUUGUGUGCGAAUUCGCAGUGAAGGAACAGGUGGUUGAUAGAUUCAACUGUAUCACAUCUUGGGCACGUUUGAGCAGGACCUAUGUUUCUUAGCGCUAGGAGAUCUCCAACCGGAAGUGCCCCCUGGAAGAUUUUCCAGAGAAAGAGCUUGAUCUUAGGAGAAGUUUGAAGUUUCCAAAUGUUUUUUAUCCAGUCCACAUCCACUGUCGUAAUCGGUUGGCGAUUCUCUUCGCUUCUCUCAAGUGCCUUUAUGUAGCCCGUCUUUGUUGAGUAGAUACCAGAGCUGGUUCCGAGCCAUAUAAGUUUAUCCGGUGCUCCAAGUUUGCUCGGCUUUAGGCUGAGUAUCCUCUCUUCCUCCUGAGGUAGCACUCGCUGAAUGAUGGCUCUGUCCCACUCUGUUCCAUUUGGCAGCAUAAGGUGUUUGACGGUCCAUUCGGCGUAUUGCUCAGGUGCUGGGCCCAUGGGGCGAGCUUGUGAGGAGAGGCUGAGCCAGGGGUCAUUCCAAAUGCAGAUGCUUUCACCGUUGCCAAUUGCCCAGCCCGCGUUGCUCAUCAUGAGGUCCCUGCCAAUUAAAAUUCCUCUCCAUCCAUGCGAUUCCGCGGCUCUGUGCUCAACUUGUAAGAAAGAAGUGUCCCUGCAGUAUUUCCCGGUUAGGACCCUGGACAGAAGCCCCGAGGGGUUGUGAUGGAGUCGCCAACUCAACUUCGCUAGAUAAGCGUCAUUGAAGCUCUCAAAAUCUCGGAAACCCAAGCCUCCCUGUUGUUUCGGUCUUGUCAUCUUAUCCCAAGAGACCCAAGCCAUUUUCCUGUUACCACUUCUUCCAUCCCACCAGAAGCGGGUCACUGCUGAUUGAAUGCGUUUACAGAGCGAUCGGGGCAGUUUAAAGCAAGUCAUUGCAUGGGAUGGAAUGGGGGAGAGAACACUCUUCAACAUCACCAUCUUCCCAGCUGUGGAUAAAUAUUUGUUCGACCAGCUGCUAGCCUUUGUCUUUAUCCUUUCCACAAUCGACGUAAAGAGGUCUCGUUUUUUCCGGCCAAAGUGUUCCGGUAGCCCCAAAUACUUGCCUAUACCACCUUCUUUCGGGAUUUGUAAGCAGUCUUUCACCAUAUUUUUAAGCGUGAUAGGGGCUUUCCUGGAGAAAGUAACAGAGGACUUGUUGGUGUUGAUUGAUUGGCCCGAGGCCAUCUCGUACUGGCGCAGAAUCUCUUUUAGCGCCAGGGCAUUGUCUUUGUUUGCCUUGGCAAAGAACAUGGUGUCGUCCGCAAAGAGGAGAUGGUUCACUUGGGGACAAUCCCGAGCAACCCGGAUGCCGGUCAAGAGACCUGUUUCCUGAGCUCUGUUACACAGUCCCGAGAGCACUUCGCUACAAAGAAUGAAAAUGUAGGGUGAGAGAGGGUCUCCUUGACGGAUGCCUCGGCUCGGUUUAACCUUUCCUCUAGGCGAGCCGUUGAUGAGGAAGGCAUAGGUAACAGAAGAAACACAUUCCAUUAUCCAAGAAAUCCAUUGAGGGUGGAAACCCAACCUCUCAAGGACCAGCUGAAUAAAAUCCCACUCGAGCCUAUCGUAGGCUUUGCUCAUGUCUGUCUUCACCGCCAUAGAGCAUCUUUUCUUGGCUUGUGAAUGUUGGAGGAAGUAGAGUACUUCAUGUGUGAUAAGUACAUUGUCGGAGAUCGCUCUACCAGGAACAAAGGCGGAUUGGUUUUCAGAAAUGACCAUCGAGAGCAGCGGUUGCAUUCUUUUAGUGAGGAUCUUUGAGAUGAUCUUGUAAUAGACAUUACAAAGGGCGAUCGGCCUAUAGUCUGCGACUACCUUGGGGCUUAAGACCUUCGGGAUGAGGCGAACGAACGUCUCGUUAAUGUUCGGGGGCAGCUUGCUCGUUGUGGCCCAAUAUAUCCACAGUCUUCUUUUUGAUGCUCUGUAUACUUUCAGAAAUAGAUGACAAGAUAUAGGAGGGAAAGGUCACUGUUUAAAAUCAGACACAAACUAGGAAGAUUCCAUUAGAGCAUCGUGGAUAUAAGAAGACCCGUAAGGUUAAGUCGAGUACUAUUUGCUUUACCAUUACUACAAAUUGAAGUUGGACUGGUUUGGUUGGUAUACAUUUAUUGGGCAAUAAAUUGAAAACUAGAGAAGAAUGAUAAUAUUUGCUACGUCAACUCUGUAGUCGAUGCAUAUUUCAAAUACAAACAAGAAGACCAAGAAAAGUCGUGGAAACAUCGUUCACACAUUGAACACACAACAUGUCUUUACAUCACAAGACAAAGAUAUGUUGUGUAUAAAUUUUCUCAUAACUCAACAAGACAAUGUCAUAGAGAGUAAUAAAGAGAGAGAAAAAAAGAUGAGAAGUCAUGUACCAAACUACCACCAUCCUUACACCUUCUUCUUCGUCUUCAUUUUGUUUCCAGCUUCGGGUGUCUAUGCCAACACACUGUCGCCUACAGAAUCUCUCACUAUCUCAAACAACAAAACCAUUGUAUCUCGUAACGAGACCUUCGAGCUCGGUUUCUUCACUCCAGGAUCAAGUUCUCGUUGGUAUCUCGGGAUAUGGUACAAGAAAAUCCCCACCAGAACCUACGUGUGGGUUGCCAACAGAGACAACCCUCUAUCUCGUCCCAGCGGAUCUCUCAAAAUAUCUUCAGACAACAACCUCGUCAUUUACGAUCACUCCGACACACCUGUCUGGUCAACGAAUCUAACCGUUGGAGCUUCGAGAUCUCCAGUGGUGGCAGAGCUUCUCGACAACGGUAAUUUCGUGCUGAACAGUAACGAUCCAGAAGGGUACUUGUGGCAGAGUUUCGAUUUUCCGACAGAUACUUUACUUCCGGAUAUGAAACUCGGCUGGGAUAAGAAAACCGGUUUGGACAGAGUCUUGAGAUCCUGGAAAAGUGUAGAAGAUCCAGCAAGCGGCGAUUACUCCACAAAGCUCGAAACCAGAGGGUUCCCUGAGUAUUAUGUAUUCAACAAAGAGACAAUUAUCUACCGGAGCGGUCCGUGGAUCGGAAACCGGUUUAGCUGCGUACCGGAGAUGAAACCAAUUGAGUACAUGGUUUACACUUUCAUAGCAAGUAACGAAGAAGUGAGUUACGCAUACCACAUGACCAAACCCGACGUUUACUCCACGUUAAGCCUAAGCUACACCGGAACCAUACAGCGACGAAACUGGAUUGAGCAAGCACAGGAUUGGAAACAGUUAUGGUACCAGCCAAAGGACAUAUGCGACAACUACAGACAGUGUGGUAAUUACGGUUAUUGCGAUUCCAACAAUUUGCCUAACUGUAACUGCAUCAAAGGGUUUGGGCUAGAAAAUGGGCAAGAGUGGGCUUUGAGAGAUGAUUCAGCCGGUUGCGUGAGGAAGACGAGGCUGAGUUGUGAUGGUAGAGAUGGGUUUGUGGCUGUGAAGAGGAUGAAAUUGCCAGAUACUGCGGCUACAGUUCUGGACAGAGGAAUUGGGUUGAAGGAGUGUAAAGCCAAGUGCCUACAAGAUUGUAACUGUACGGCCUACGCUAAUACUGAUAUUCGUGACGGCGGGUCAGGUUGUGUGAUUUGGAACGGAGGUCUUUUCGAUAUCCGGAUGUAUCCAAAUGGUGGUCAGGAUAUCUACGUUAAACUAGCCGCUGCUGAUCUUGGUUAGUUCUUGACUUCUUUCUCCUAUGCGUUUUAAGGGUUUUGUUUUAGUUAAACUAUUAAUAUAGAUGAGUUUCUAAUCUAAAAUCAAUUGAUGAUAAAUGAAUUGAUCUAUUUUUUAUAUUAUUUAAAAUCUCUUUCAUUUUCAAUGUGGAAUAUUUAGUCUCUAAUAGAAAUGACUUAAGUUAAAGUCAAAGCAUGUGAUAUGACUGCUUUCUACUAAGUUGAAGUAAUUUCAUUGAAUAUUUUGUGCUAUUGAUCUCAAGAGUUUCAGCUGAGAGCACGUAAUUGUAGCUAGGGCUGUGAUACUAGGAAAUUUUAGAAUAUAAGAUAUGUGGUAAAUAUCCAUUCAAAAUAUUAAGAUAUCAGUUGAUGUUUAGAUCAUUAUAAAUCCAAAAAAAAAAAUUCUUCAAAAAUUAAUGUAAUAAAAUAAUGUUAAAACUAAGCUCUAUCUAAUAUUUCUUUCAAAACUGCAUCACUAAGCGAAUCUACUGACUACUAUAUUAGUCACAAACAAUAUUUCAGCAUUAGUAUGGUUUAAGCUAUAGAUUCAACACCAAAAUUAUAUUAUAUUUAGGUUUAGUAUAAUGUUUUAUCAUAAGUAAAAUGAAGUUUCUUUGUGGAGGGAUUUUUUUCUCUGACAAUUACGUAUAUGAAACUAUAUGCCUCGUUUACAUUGCAGAUCAUUUUAAGAUAACAAGCCAUGGAACAAUCAUAGGUUCGGGUAUUGGAGUGAUCAUUUUGCUUCUAUUAAGUAUCAUCAUCCUCGGCUAUUGGAAAAGAAAACAGAAGAGAUUUAUAACAAUUCAAACACCUAUUGGUAACUUAAUGACUUUCAUUCUCCUUUGUAUUGCUGUAAAUUUGGAAAGUUAAAUGUCUUUUGUUUCUGAAUGAAACAGUUGAUCAAGUGAGAAGCCAAGAUUUGCUAAUAAACCAAGUGGUACUAACGAGCGAGAGAUACAUAUCCAGAGAAAACAAAACAGAUGAUCUAGAGCUUCCAUUGAUGGAGUUUGAAGCUCUUGACAUGGCAACAAACAGAUUUUCUGUCGCUAACAUGCUUGGACAAGGUGGUUUCGGUAUUGUUUACAAGGUAAAAAACGAUUCAAAAUGUACUCAAAAUUUAUCACUGUACAAGGUUUCAUUUUAUUAAAUAUCAAAAAUGUCUGUAAUAGGGAAUGUUACCUGAUGGGAAAGAAAUCGCAGUAAAGAGACUAUCUAAAAUGUCUUUACAAGGGACCGAUGAGUUCAAGAAUGAGGUCAGACUAAUUGCAAGGCUUCAGCACAUAAACCUGGUCAGGCUUCUUGGUUGUUGCGUCGAUAAGGGCGAGAAGAUGUUGAUAUAUGAGUACUUGGAGAAUCUAAGCCUUGAUUCUCAUCUCUUUGGUUGGUGACUCAAAACAACUUAUGUUCUAACAAUUUAACAGUUAACAUGUUUCCAAUUUUGAUCGAUUUGCAGACAAAAUCCGACGCUCUAACUUAAGUUGGCCAAAGAGAUUUGAUAUUACCAAUGGUAUUGCUAGAGGACUUCUUUACCUUCACCAAGAUUCACGGUUUAGGAUUAUCCAUAGAGACUUGAAAGCAAGUAACGUCUUGCUUGAUAAAAAUAUGACUCCUAAGAUAUCAGAUUUCGGGAUGGCAAGGAUCUUUGGACGGGAAGAGACAGAAGCUAACACAAGGAAGGUGGUUGGAACUUAGUAAGCUAUUUGUUCUCCAAAAAAAAACAAAAGAGUUUUUUUGUCUUAAAUCCAGACUAAGUAGAAAACAUCAAAACUUAUGAAUUUAUUCUACCUUAUGCAGCGGCUACAUGGCUCCAGAGUAUGCAAUGGACGGGAUAUUCUCGAUGAAGUCGGAUGUUUUCAGCUUCGGGGUCUUGCUUCUUGAGAUUAUAACUGGCAAGAGGAGUAAAGGGUUCUACAACUCUAACCGUGACAAUAACCUCCUUGGUUUUGUAAGCUAAGAACAACUUAUAUUCGAUAUUAUUUUAGUGUCAUUAUCGAUCAUAUCACUAAAGAUUCUAUAUUUUUUUUUUGUUGACAGGUGUGGAGAUAUUGGAAAGAAGGAAAAGGGAUAGAGAUCGUAGACCCAAUCAUCAUGGAUUCUUCAUUAUCAGCACUCUGUACACAUGAAAUCUUAAGAUGUAUACAAAUUGGUCUCUUGUGUGUUCAAGAACGUGCUGAAGACAGACCAGUGAUGUCGACUGUUAUGGUGAUGCUUGGGAGCGAAACUACGGCUAUUCCUCAGCCUAAACCGCCCGGUUUUUGCGUUGGGAGAAGUCUCUUUGAGACUGAAUCGUCGUCAAGUACACAGCGCGAUGAUGAAUUGUCAGUGAACCAAAUCACCCUUUCAGUCAUUGACGCCCGGUAAUUUGAACGUUACCGAGACAAUCUGUUUAUAUGCAUAUCUAUUGCUAUGUUGCUAUGUAUAAUACUUAAUAGCGCAAUUUGUACUAUUUGAUCUUCGAUAACUUGCUCUAUCUAAUUUAGUUUCGGAACAGAGUUAUUACUGACUCGAAGAAUUUGGAUUAGAGAGAGAACUAUGAAACAACUGAUUAGAUUUUUAUAUUCGAAUCUCUUAUAUAAUAAAUGAGGCAUUAGCUAGAUAAAUCAUUUAAUACUAGUAGAUGAAUAUAUAAAAAUAAGAAAUUAUUUGAAAUACCUCUAAUGAACAAAUAAUUUAAAGUCAGUAUCUCUAUAAGAGAAAAUGUUAGAAAUAGUCUCAUUCUCCCUUAUAUAUUAAUUGAGAGAAAAAUUACAACUUAUUUUUGUAGCCACGUGUCAUCAUUAGAAUGAUUCACAGAAUCUUUAAAAAAAUAUGUUGGUCCAUCUAAUUAUAUAAUAAACUUUUUAUUAAACUAACCAUAAAUUCAUUAUUUUUUUAUUAUUAUUUCCCUAAAUAAAGUUAUGGAAUUGCCUAAUGUGGCUAAAGUAUGUGGCAUUAAUGAUUUUGAAUAAUAAAAAUUUGAUAAAAAUAGUGUAUCUUAUAUCAUAUUUUUUUAAUUUAAAACUAGUAAAAUAAAUUAAACAACUACAUGAAUCAUAUAAUAAAAAUUUAGAUUUUUUUGUAUGUAUUAUAUUUUGAAUUAAAAAAACGACUAUAAAUUACUAAAAUUGUUAAAAAGCUCAUAUUUAAAUUUUGUGAUCCAUGGUUUAAAAAUUUUAUUUUGAGCAAGAUAAAAAUAAUUACACAAUCAUAUAAGUCAAAAAUCUAAUUAAUUAAUUAUUAAGAUUAAAAGAGACAUAUGAGUAGAAAGAAUCAUUUAAUAGACAUUAUAUUAAAAUAUACAUUAAUAUCAUUUAAAUUUAAUUAUAUAUCCUAUCAAAUAAAAAAAUUAUUAUUUGGAUUAAUAAAAUUUAAUUAUAAUCAUACCAAUUUAAUUAUAUAUGUUAUAGUUAUUGAUUUUUUAAUUAUUCAAUAUAUAUUUAUUCUUUUAUGUAAAGACGUAUAAUGCAUUAAAUAUUUUUUAUAUAUAAUGUUAAUCAUGCGCGAGUCCUGAGUCUUAACCUAUAUAAAGAGGCAAACAAACGAAAGAGUGGUAGACCACGAAUAAGGAUAAAGCAUGGUAGAUUAACGGAAAAUCUUCAAGAGCACAUAUAUAUAAAGCGCAAAUCAGAAGUAGCGUAAAGUAUAUCUCCCACACACUAGGGGAUAAACAAGAGAAUUUAAGACAACACUUAAGGUUAAAUCAAUUACCAUCUGUUUAGUGACACAAUGGAUAAACUUCUUAAUCAAAACGUGUAAUAACUUGGGAGUUUGUUUUACUGUUACACCAAAUUAAAGUUGGGUUUGUUUGGUUGAUACACAAUAACGAACUGAAAACUAAAGAAGAGUGGUUUUAUUUGCUAGGUAAAGUCCAUAGUCAAUAGUAUUUCAAAUACAAACAAGAAGACCAAGAAAGUAACGUAGAGAGUAGUCGUGUACGUUCAACAAAAAGACCUUCAAAAAAGAAAAAGAAAAAGAAAGUAGUCGUGUAAAUACCGUUCACACAUCGACCACACGACAUGUUUAACAUCUUGAAAGAUAUGUGUGUAUAAAUUUUCUCAUAACUCAAGACAAAGGCGUAGAGGAUAAUAGAGAGAGAUGAGAAAUGUACCAAACUACCAUUCUCCUUACACCUUCUUCUUAAUCUUUGUCUUCAUUUUGUUUCCAGCCUUCGAUGUCUCUGCCAGCACUAUGUCAGCUACAGAAUCUCUCACUAUCUCAAGCAGCAAAACCAUCAUAUCUCGCAGUGAAAUCUUCGAGCUCGGUUUCUUCACUCCCGCGUCAAGUUCUCGUUGGUAUCUCGGGAUUUGGUACAAGAAAAUUCCUACCAGAACCUACGUAUGGGUUGCAAACAGAGACACCCCUCUCUCUCACUCCAAAGGAUCUCUCAAAAUAUCCGACAAUAACCUCGUCAUUUUGGAUCAUUCCAAUAAACCUGUUUGGUCAACGAACCUAACCGGAGGAACUGUGAGAUCUCCUGUGGUGGCAGAGCUUCUCGAUAACGGUAACUUCGUGCUCAGACACUCCAACAAUUACGAGUACUUGUGGCAGAGUUUCGAUUUUCCGACAGACACUUUACUUCCGGAGAUGAAAUUGGGUUGGGAUCUUAAAACCGGAAUGAACAGAUUCUUGAGAUCCAGGAAAACCCCAGAUGAUCCAUCAAGCGGGGAUUACUCGACUAAAUUCAAGACCAUAGGGUUCCCGGAAGUUUACGUAUGCAACAAAGAGUCUAUAGUGUACCGGAGCGGCCAUGGGAUGGAAUCCGGUUUAACGGCAUACCGGAGGUAAGACCAGUUGAUUACCUAGUUCUAAAUUUCUCAGCGACUGAUAAAGAAAUAACUUACUCAUACCAUAUCACAAAAAGCAACAUUUACUCGAUCUUAACCCUAACCCCGACCGGGUUAUUACAACGAUCAACUUGGGUCGAGAGGUUACAGAGUUGGAGACCAUUAUGGUACUCACCAAGGGAUAUAUGCAAUAACUACAAACAGUGUGGGAGUUACGGUUAUUGUGAUUCCAACGCUUCACCAGUUUGUAACUGUAUCCACGGGUUUAAGCCAAGAAAUAAGUGGGAUCUUAGAGAUGAUUUUGAUGGUUGCGUCAGGAAGACGAGGCUGAGCUGUGACGGUACGGAUGGGUUUGUGAGGUUGAAGAACAUGAAGUUGCCUGAUACUACAAAGACAAUAGUGGACAGAGGAAUUGGGACAGAGGAGUGCGAGGCACGUUGUCUAAAAAAUUGCAAUUGUACGGCUUUCGCUAAUGCGGACAUUCGUAAUGGUGGAUGGGGAUGUGUGAUUUGGACCGGAGAUAUGUUGGAUAUGCGAUAUUUUGCUGAGGGAGGUCAGGAUCUCUACGUUAGACAAGCCGCUGCUGAUCUCGGUUAGUUCUUUGUCAUUUGCAUUUUAAGGGGUUAUGCGCAUAAAUAGUAAUCAUUUAAAAAAAAAUAAAAAAAAAUAGAGAAAUAAUUUUAAAUAGUUUCAAUUUUUUUCCUAAACUACCUUUUAAAGAUCAAAAUGACCAAAUUAGGUUUAAAAUAAAUAAAUAUUAAAAACAUCAAUAAUUUUUUUGAUUUUUCGAUUUAUUAUCAAUUUUUUUUUUCAAUUUGAAAAACGAUUUUGAAAAAAUCUUAGAAAGACUUUCUGAAUUUUAUAUCAAUUUUUUUUUUCAAUUUGAAAAACGAUUUUGAAAAAAUUUUAGAAAAACGAUUUUGAAAAAAUCUUAGAAAGACUUUCUUGACCUUGAUAUCUAAAUUUUCUUAAAAAAUUGAUAUCUAAACUAUAUAACAAUAUUAUACAUAUCUAAAAAAUAUCUUGGUAAAAAUAUAUUUUCUAAAAAUAAAAACAUAUGUAUAGUUAAACGUAAAAUUUGUAAUAUUUUUUUUGUUGUUGUUGUUUUAGUUAAGAUACAUCAAACUGAAUAAAAUUUAUUAUUAUUAUUUAACUAGUACACUCAUCUUCAACUGAUCAACCAAAGUAUUUUACAACAAAUGAACUCUAUCUUUAAAAAAAAUGAUUAGUCAUUUCUUCACGACGAUUAAUAGCACUAGUUACAAUUUCAAAUAUUUAAUUAUCUAUAAAAUUCUAAGGAAUUUGCACUAGAUAACAAAAAAAUGGAUAUAAAUUAGCUAACAGGUAAUGGUACUGUAUAAAUUGUGGUAAUACCAAGCGUGCCCCUAAUAUACGACCUGUUACACUUUACACGUGAGCUGAAGACACUGUUUAUUACCACAAGUGCAAAGAAACUGAGGAGAGAAAGAGAGAGAGAGAGUGUGAUAAUAAUGCAAAGAAUCAAGAAUGCUCAACUACUAUUUUUCUUUUCUGCAAAAACCCAAAGCGCUUAGAUACAUUUUAUAUGUUAAAAGAUCGUCUCGUUUUAAAAAGUUAAACUCAUUCUCUAGUUGUGUCUAAAAUUUAUAGAAUUUAUAACCGGUUAUAGGUCUGAUGUUUCGGUUUUAUAGAAUUUAUAAGAGAAUUUGCACUCUACACACAAGAAAGAUCGCAUAAUUAGCUCUAUACACAUUUUUGUUUUCAUAGGAAUUGUCGAUUAAUUUAUGACCAUUAUAUCCCUAUUGCUUUCUACUCUUCGAUUUUCAUGAUGCCCACAUAUUCUUGUAGAUUCUUUUUCUGAUAAUCCAAUUCUACAUGAAAUGUAUCUGGGUCAGACAAAUUGAUAUAUUAUAUUAUAUUCAUAAAAUUUCCCCAAACCAAGACACCUCUUCUUCUUCUUUAUAAGUUACUGUUCGUCCCUUAAAUGAUAUAUAUCAGACAUAACUCUAUUUACUCUGUCUUCUUUGUGUCAAUUGUCCAAUCCAAAUGGAUCCAAGCGGCAGUGUAACGCCGCCUCCAUUUUUUCCUUGUAGAUGUCAUAUGGUUUUAUUUUGGUGGUGUUUCUUCUCUUCCUCUUCUGAUUUGUUUACGUUGUGCGACAGAAUUAGGAAAGCUUUGGCUGUUCUAUAGUGGCUCGUUGGUUUUAGGUGGAGGCUCUGCUUGAGGACGGUGGAGCAGACAGCCGAAUCCGCAAGUCAAUCAUCGGGAUCCCUAAAGUUUGUCUCGAUUGUUGAGAGGUGCUCGUUUGACGGCGGAUCUAUCCAUAGAGAUGGCGGUUCUCCCGGUGACGACUGUUCGGACUUGUGAGAAGGUGGAGACCCUUCGCAAUCAACGGUGGAAGAGUUUCAGAGUCGGAUGUUCUUUAUGGCUCUGGUGUUAUGUGGCAGCGGGACCCCUUUGAGAUGGCUUAGCUUUGAAGGUACACCGGUGAAGGUUCUAUUAGCUGGCAUGGACACUCUGCUAUAGUGAUGUCCCGGAUACAAUGAUAUGCUGGCAGCGGUGUCUGUCGCAGGUGGCGGCUCCGCCUCCUUCGUCUUCUUCCCCACAUCUCCUCUAGCUCGCUUUAGAUUUGUGUGUUUAGGUGUGUUUCUUCUUUUUUCCAUGUAACCUAGCAAUUUCCGUUUCAUCGGAGCUCCGGUCUAUUUAUGUUCAGAUUUCCCCCUAGGGGCUUGAUAUAUAUUUAAGAGAGAGCAGAGUUUUUUUGUUUUUUUGAACUGAUUCUCUGUUACAAGUGGAAUUAACAAAUCAAAACGACCAGACCCCUUGCUAAACUCCCAUUUUUAACAGUCCCGAUAAAAGAUUAAACAUACUGCUAUCAUCCAAGUUUGACUACUAAAAUGUUUACCCUUAACAAUAACAAACUAUCAGAUUAACACACCGAGUAACCGACCAACGAAAAUGCAAUCCUGCAUCAGACACUUCAUUACACCAACGGUUACAAGUGAAUUUAGCAAACCAAAACGACGAGAGACAUUGCUAAACUCCCGUUUAACCGUCUCGAGAAAAGAUAAAAUAGAUAGUGCUAUUGUUCAAGGUCUGUUAGAUUGUUACUAAAUUGUUUAGCCUUCACAAAAACAAAUUGACUGGCUAACAUAACAAGUAACCGACCAAUGAAGAUGUAACCCUGCAAAUAGACACUUUAUUACUAAAAAGCAAAAAAUAACUUUCACACAGAGAUGCUAUCAGCUUUUCACUUCUCAUCAACACAUUUCAGCAUCUACCCUCUAUGAUGCUCCCUUCAAAGGAUGUCUCUUUUUCCCUCUCACAACCAUUGCUUGUCCCGACUCCUUUCGGUUUACAAGUCAAAGCUAGCUUCAUCAUUUGUAGCUGACUGUUAGCAUCAGAGUUUGGAUCUCGUGCUUUUGUAUUGUUCCUCUCAACUGAUUCCAAGGGGUCUAAAUCCAAUUCUUCACCGGCACUUCUCUUUUAUUAUUGAUAUAGCUAAUAUUAUGUUUAGCUGAAGUCUUGAAGGUUUUCUCCAGAUAAUAAUAUUUUUAAGAAACAUUCUCCAUACUUUCCUAGAGCACUUCUCUCUUAUUCAAUUACACAGCUAAUUUUUAUUUGUUGUAAUCUACAAAAGACUUGGUUACUCAAUAACUACAGCAUUAUACGAAGAAGGGAUUUUAUUUAAAUAUAACGUAUCAAUACGUAUUGUACUCCUUACAUCUCAAACUGGAUUGCGCUAUAAACAGAGAAUACAAACAAAUGCUAAAACAAUCUUUUAUAUAUUUUACAUGCUAAUGAAAAGCUUAACAGGCUACAAUAUUUUAUUGUCGUCUAUUAAUAUAACUAGUGUAUCCAAUAAUAUUUUUAUCCGUCCACUCCUAAAAUUAGAACGUUAACUUCCCAAAAAUUCUCCUAGCAAUUUUUGUAUAGAAGCUAAUUAAUAUAUUGUCCAAGAACAACAUAUUCUAGCUGGAUAAAUCUUUAAAUGUGUGAAAACUCUCGUUCUCAUCCUCUAUCACCCCGAAUCCAAAACCAGUCUCGUUCUUCUUCUAUUCCCCACGCCACAAACAUAUCACUCGUCCCAUAAUCUGGAAAAGUUUUGCAAACAAAACAACAUCUCUUGGGCAUACCAUUGUGAUGUCGUCCAUAUACUUCACCUUAACUACACAUUUUAUUUCGACUCCAAAUACACUUCUUCUCUGUUUUUAUUUCAACAGAAAGGGGUAUUAAAAUGUUAAAAGAAGAGAAUUAUAACCGCAGCUACACGGAACGGAGUUGUCCAAGCUCGUUUCUUCACCCGACGCCGUCAUGACCAAGCCUACUCCAGAGCGCCCCGCGGCCACAGAUGCUGGCUUCUGAAGAAUAUCCGACUCCAAACCCUCGCGCCGCCACUGCUCAAGACACCACUGUCUCAAAGUCUGAACCACACGAACUACCCCUCACUCAUGUCUGAGGGAACCGCCAUCCCUUUUAACACAUCCACGACACCGAGAUCCACUUUCAUCGGUGACAAACCUCUGCUCCGGUGACUAACAUGCGGUCUCUGGUUCCUCCCCGCCGUCCUCGAAACAGAAAUUGCAUGCCCUUUUACCGACGAGCCACCAAAGCUUGAACCUUUUAUAGGAUCUUCCCUUUUAUGCAGCCGCUCCUGUCAAAUACCCCAAGCCUCUGAUUCGCCAAUACUUUUCAACUUAUCCCGUUCACGUACCUAGGGGUGAGAAAUACUUAGGUAAUCAUUACUACUACAACCAAUAAAAACCUUUAUAGCUUCCACCCUAAAAUUGGCCUACCGUAAAAUAUCUUUCUAUGCAACCUAAGGACAGUAUCGUCAAUUCACGUUUACUACUUGCAUUUUCGGCCCCAUACAUUUUGGCUCUUGGGUAUUUACCUAAUUUCUACAUUCUUUUAGGAUUUUGGGCUAAUUGACUCAAUUUAUAACCGGUUACUGAUUCCAAUAUGAACUUCAUGCAACAUAUGUGUCUAAUAUAGGAUCGCAAUAAAUUAUUGCUCCUAAAUCCGGUUUCAAUAUGUAUGUACGCCAACUAUGUCAAAUUAUAACCGGUUGCCCCUAAUAUACGACCUGUUACACGUUACACGUGAGCUGAACACACUGUUAAUUACCACAAAUGCAAAGAACUGAGGAGAGAAAGAGAGAGAGAGACUGUGAUAAUAAUGCAAAGAAUCAAGAAUGUUCAACUACUAUUUUUCUUUCCUGCAAAAAUCCAAAGCGCUUAGAUACAUUUUAUAUGUUAAAAGAUCGUCUCGUUCUAAAAAGUUAAACUCAUUCUCUAGUUGUGUCUAAAAUUUAUAGAAUUUAUAACCAGUUAUAGGUCUGAUGUUUCGGUUUUAUAGAAUUUAUAACCGGUUACUGAUUCCAAUAUGAACUUCAUGCAACAUAUGUGUCUAAUAUAGGAUCGCAAUAAAUUAUUGCUCCUAAAUCCGGUUUCAAUAUUUAUGUACGCCAACUAUGUCAAAUUAUAACUGAUUGCUCCUAAUAUACGACCUGUUACACGUUACACGUGAGCUGAACACACUGUUAAUUACCACAAAUGCAAAGAACUGAGGAGAGAAAGAGAGAGAGAGAGUGUGAUAAUAAUGCAAAGAAUCAAGAAUGUUCAACUAAUAUUUUUCUUUCCUGCAAAAACCCAAAGCACUUAAUUACAUUUUAUAUGUUAAAAGAUCGUCUCGUUCUAAAAAGUUAAACUCAUUCUCUAGUUGUGUCUAAAAUUUAUAGAAUUUAUAACCGGUUAUAGAUCUGAUGUUUUGGUUUUAUAGAAUUUAUAACCGGUUACUGAUUCCAAUAUGAACUUCAUGCAACAUAUGUGUCUAAUAUAGGAUCACAAUAAAUUAUUGCUCCUAAAUCCGGUUUCAAUAUGUAUGUACGUCAACUAUGUCAAAUUAUAACCGGUUUUCUACAUAUAUUGCUCUUCCUCUCCACUUGCAAUCAAAAUACAUUUUGUUCUUCAACCUCGGUAACAGGUUAACAUUUUCGUCUCAGUUCGAGGAGAAUAUUGGCAACACAGCACAAUUGUUACAUGGUUGUGCAAAUAUUUAAAAAUAAUGCAUAGAUCUGCAAUUACCACAAGAAAUUUGUAUAUUCAGUUAAAUAGGCCAAAAUUCUAUAUGAUAAAUAUUGUCUUGGAUUUGUAUUUGUAUUUGUUAAGAUACACUUACAACAAUUUUUGAUAAUAUAUAUACACAAAAUUGUUACAUUGAAAGGUGAUGUUUGUGUGUUAUUAGAAUAUUUUAAUAAUUUGACAAAAUUAUAAGUAUACAUAAAUGCAGGUCCAUGUAACAAUUGACUUAAUGCCAUGAUACAUUUUUCAAAAGUUAUGUUUUCACAUUAACAAAUGGAGAGAUAAUACAUUAGCAAAUUCGAAAGAAAAAAAACUUUAUUAAAUAAUCUGUAAGAAAUGUCUUAUCAAAAGUUUUGGGGGAUGGAUUUUCCUUUUCUGACAAGUAAUAGAAGAAAAAUACAUUUUUUAAACUAAAAGAAAAAAAAAUACAUGCUUCGUUUCUAUUGCAGAUGACAAGAUAACCAACAAUGGAAAAAUCAUAGGUUCGAGUGUUGGAAUGAGCAUUUUGUUUCUGUUAAGUAUCAUUAUUUUCCGGUUUUGGAAAACAAAACAGAAGAGAGCCACAGCAGUUCAAACACCUAUUGGUAAAUAAAUAGCUUUCAUUUUCAUUAUUUCGUCUGUAAGUUUUGAUAGUCAAAAUGUUCUUUUGUUUCUGAAUGAAACAGUCGAUCAAGUGAGAAGCAAGGAUUCGCUAACGGACGAAGUGAUAGUAACAAGAAAGAGUUACAUAUCCAGAGAAAGCAAAACAGAGGAUCUAGAACUUCCAUUGAUGGAGUUUGAAGCAGUUGCUAUUGCAACAAACAACUUUUCUGACGGCAACAAGCUUGGAAAAGGUGGUUUCGGUAUUGUUUACAAGGUAAUGGUCAUGCACAACGUAUUCAAGAUCUAUCAUUAGUUCACUGUACAAGGUUUCAUUUUACCAUAAAUGUGUCGUAAUAGGGAAUGUUACCUGACGGGAAAGAAAUCGCGGUAAAGAGACUAUCGAAAAAGUCAUUACAAGGGACCGGUGAGUUCAAGAACGAGGUUAGACUAAUUGCCAGGCUUCAGCACAUAAACCUGGUUCGGCUUCUCGGUUGUUGUGUCGAUAAGGGAGAGAAGAUGUUGAUAUAUGAGUACUUGGAGAAUCUAAGCCUUGAUUCUCAUCUCUUUGGUUAGUGACUCAAAACAGCUCAUUUUUUCUAAUAAUUGAACAUAUUUGGGGACAAGUUAACAUGUUUUGGCUUGUGAUCGAUUUGCAGACAAAAUUCGGCGCUCUAACUUAAGUUGGCAAAAGAGAUUUGACAUCGCCAAUGGUAUUGCUAGAGGACUUCUUUAUCUUCACCAAGAUUCACGGUUUAGGGUUAUCCACAGAGACUUGAAAGCAAGUAACAUCUUGCUUGAUAAAAAUAUGACUCCUAAGAUCUCCGACUUUGGGAUGGCGAGGAUCUUUGGACGGGAAGAGACGGAAGCUAACACAAGGAAGGUGGUCGGCACUUAGUAAGCAAUUAUUUUCCAAAACCACAAAAGAGUUUUUGUCUUAAAUUCAAAUUUAAAAGAAAACCUAACGUAUGGGUGUUUAUUCUUUGUUAUGCAGCGGUUACAUGUCUCCAGAAUAUGCAAUGGAUGGGAUAUUCUCGAUGAAGUCAGAUGUUUUCAGCUUCGGGAUCUUGCUUCUUGAGAUUAUAAGUGGCAAGAAGACUAACGGAUUCUACAACUCAAAUCGUGACCUUAAUCUCCUCGGUUUUGUAUGCUAAGAACCUCCUGAUUUCGAUAUUUUUUGCAGUUAUAGUCUGACGAUAACACUAAGAAAUUCCAUCUCUUAUGCGAAGGUGUGGAGAUACUGGAAGGAAGGAAAAGGGAUAGAGAUAGUAGACCCAAUCAUCAUAGAUGAUUCAUCAUCAGCAGUACUCCGGACACAUGAAAUUUUAAGAUGUAUACAAAUUGGUCUCUUGUGUGUUCAAGAACGUGCUGAAGACAGACCAGUGAUGUCGACUGUUAUGGUGAUGCUUGGGAGCGAAACUACGGCUAUUCCUCAGCCUAAACGGCCCGGUUUCUGCGUUGGGAGAAGUCUUCUUGAGACUGAAUCGUCGUCAAGUACACAGCGCGGUGAUGAAGUGUCAGUGAACCAAAUCACCCUCUCAGUCAUUGAUGCCCGGUAAUUUGAACGUUACCGACACAAUCUAUUUAUCCAUUGUCAAAAGAAGGAGUUUUUAGGCUAUUCACACAUUAAAAAUACAAUAAAUGUUUAUAAUCAAAUUUAUUAUUUAUUUUAUUAUACAAUUUUUAAUGACUAUCAACCAAUGAUAUUUAGUCAAAUCAAAUAUUCUCAUUAAUAUUUCUUAAAAAUAUACAAAAAUACUUUAUAAGUAUAAGAAAUUUAUUUUAUGGAACAAAAAAAAUAUAAAAAAUUGUAUAUUUUGGAACUGAGAAAGUACUUAAUAGCUCAACUUUUGCUAUUCGAUCUUUGAUGACUGACUCUAUCUAAUUUAGUUUUGGAAUAAAGUAAUGCCUCAUUCAUUCUCAGCUUACUUUAUUUGCAAGCUCAUGAGCUCAAACACUUUUAAACAAGAUUACAACGACCAAGAGAGACAUCUAAAACGCAGAAGACAUAUCUAGCCAUCCAAGAAUGCCAGAGACAUCAUAUUACCAUGCACCAACAAGCAUGAAGAUCUUCAUUUUCAACUUAACUGUAACGCCCAAGCGCCCAAUGGGCCACCCAUGUCCGCUCACUCUACCCAUCUGACGGGCAGUGCAUUGAUUUUCCAAGGUCCAAAAAACUUGUUUACUGAUCUUGUAAUCAUCACAUGACCGUUCUCCGUUCUUUGCCCUCACUCACACUGUAUCGCGAAUCACUUCCAAAUAUGUCACCAAUUCUUCAAGUAUUCCAGCUCAAGCAUGCUUAACUCUGGAGUUCUAAACGGAUGUGUUACGGAAAAAUUACGUCAACUUUGUUGAAAUAAAUAGCCAAAUCAAUCAUCUUAAUUCUUUCCAUAUAUCACAACUCGAGAUGUUACAUUAACAUUUUUGGAUGCAUUCAAACUUGGAGAAUUUUUUAUAACCGCCUAUCAUGGAUCAAUAUGGUUCGUCCAGGUUCAAUGUGAUUUAAUAGAUAUGAGAUUUAACCUAUCUAUUAAGUUCAGUUAAAGAAUAAAAGUACAAUAAAAUCUAAAUGUUUCGGUAAAUUACAAUUAUUUGUACUAAACAUUACAUAUGUUUAUUCAAAAAUGAUUUUAUAAUCGAAACAAUAAAUACCAGAUUUCUAAUCAUCUCACUCUUAAGGAUUUUCCAUGAGAGAUGAUAUUUAGUGCUUAAUGCCAAUAGUAUUGUCAUCAUUAAUAACCAAACUUUUAGCGAUGUUUCUUAGCUUAUGUUUAAGAAUCUUUCCGUUGCCGUUCUUAGGUAGUUCUCCCAUGAACACAACCCUCUUCGGACACAUAAAAUGAGGCAGAUUCUCACGGCAAUACUUAAUCAAAUCACCUUCUCUUGUCAUGAACUGAUCAUCACAGUCUCCUUGACCAGUCUUACGCUUUUCUAGAACAACGAACGCACAAGGGGUUUCACCCCACAUAGGGUGAGGCAUGGCGACAACAGCGGCCUCGAGCACUUUCUUAUAUUUGUAAAGAACAUUCUCAACUUCAAUACUGUUGAUGUUUUCACCUCCCGAUAUGAUAAUAUCUUUGGACCGAUCUUUGAUCUGUAUGUGACCAUCGGGAUGGAUCACACCUAUGUCUCCCGUGUGGAGCCAUCCGUGUUUAAACGCUUCAGAUGUAGCUUUCGGAUUCCUUAGAUACCCUUUCAUUAUGCUGCUUCCUUUCAUGACAAUUUCUCCCAUUGUCGUCCCAUCGCGUGGGACACUCUCCUGGGUUUUUUUGUUCUUUACGUCAACGUCAGCUAGGGCUAAGAUGCCUACCCCUUGUCUUGCUUUCAUCUCCAUCUGUUGCUUCUCUGGAAGUCUGUUUUAAUUGAGUAAUAUAAAUGUUAAACCAAUCUUAAUAACAUUUAUCAUGGUUGUAAGUUCAAAAUAACUUCAUCAUUUCAGUUUUUUUUUUCAAUUUCAAUCCUUUUGAAAAGUGAAAUUUUGCUUCUUUUUUUUUUUUAGUAAUUGUGAACAACAGGAAAAUCUGAUGCUGUAAAUAGAGUUAUAAAUUUGUAUUAUUACCUGUUCCACUCGUCAUGCCACUCACAAAAGAGAACAGCACCAGUGGCCUCCGUGAGCCCAUAAACAUGCAGCACUUCAAACCCGAGCCGCUGAACUUUCUCUACAAGGGCAGUAGGAGGCGAUGAACCUCCGGUCAAAACCUGAACCGGCUUUGACCUUUGUGACAUGUCAAGUGAAUUUCCUUGAAGCAGAAUGUUUAAGACUGUAGGAACACAACACAUAUGCGUCACGCCGUGCGAUUCUAUGUUCUUAUAAAUCUCCGGGGCAGACACAUGCCUUAUACAGACGUUGGUGCCUCCACGUGCUGCCACUGACCAUGUGAGAUUCCAUCCAUUGCAAUGAAACAUAGGCAGAGUCCAAAGGUAGACCGGGAACUUCCCCAUCUCCCAGCCCAUAAUCACGCUUAGAGAGCUCAAAUAAACUCCACGGUGGCUGACCACCACACCUUUUGGUUCGCUCGUGGUACCCGAUGUGUAGUUUAACGAGAUCGGAUCAUGCUCGUUUUGAAUACGGAACAUACGUGCAACCGAGGAGGACGAAGGUUCUCCCCUACGGAUGAGCUCUUCGUAGUCUAACUGAUCAUUGGACGAAAUCCUUUUAGGGCGAUCGGGCUCGUCAAUGAAAAUGACCAGCAGGUUCCGCUGCUCUUCAUCUGGUAGUAGAUGGAGCGUGGCUCUAGCUAAGGUCUCAAGGUUGCGGUCUACGAAUAAUAUCUUGGGCUGUGCGUGGCGGAAGAUUGCGGCGAUGGAUUUUGCGUCAAGGCGGGUGUUGAUAGGGUUUAGGACAGCUCCAGCCAUGGGAACAGCGAAGUGCAUCUCAUAUAUGGCCGGUAUGUUUGGGGCCAGAACGGAUACCUAAACACAUUUUUUAAUGUCAUGUCUCAUAUCCAAGUUAAAAUGAAUAUAAUUAUUUCUUAUAUUCAGAUUUGUUUUCUAACACCUACUGUACACUUUGAACAAAUUUAAACAAAAAGAUUUGUUGGAGAGAGAGAGGAAGUGACAUACGAUAUCAUUCUUGGCGAUGUUAAGAGAUAGGAGAGAAGCAGCUAGACGACAGCAACGGUCAUAGGUCUGAGGCCAAGUGAAACGAGUUUCUCCAUAGAUUAUGGAAGUCCUAUUUGGAUAACAUUCCGAAGCUCUCUUCAAGAACGUUAUGGGCGUUAGAGGAGCGUUGUUUGCUUCACAUAACGCCAGAUUGUCCAUCUUGUUCUUAGUUUGUAUUUAUAUUUGUGUGUUUGUGUGAGGGAAGAGGGAUUAUACAUGUAGAUCUUAUAUAAGCGCGAUGGACAAUCUAUUUGAUCGAGCAUUUAUUAUUUCCUCGAGGCCAUAGAGUUAACAUACAUUAGGAAAUAAUUAAUGCACGAUAAUAAAUGUUUUAACUUUUCUCACUAAAACACUUUUCUAUAACCUAUCAUGAACCAAUAUCUUAUAGAAAAUUUAAAUAUAUGAAAUUAUUUAAUCUUGAAUUGGUACCUUUUAUUAACAUUAACUCAGAACAUAAAAUAAAAACUAGAAAAUCCAUAAGAUUAAGCUAAUAGGAACACAGUGAGUUUCAAAUAGAAGUUAAUAAGGGGUAUCUCCAACCCUAUUACAUACAUUUUUACUCCAAAAUAGAAUAAAACAGAGUAUGAAGUAUUAAAUGUUUCAACCUAACUUUCUAAUGGAAUUUACGCUAUAAAUGGAGUAAUCUAUUUUUUUGUUUAUUAUUCUAUUAUAGAGCGUAAAAUAGAGUUGAGUUAAAACAUUUUUACUUCAUAUUCUCUUUUAUUCUGUUUUAGAGGAAAAAACAAAAUUUUACAUUGGAAAUGCUUUAAAUAUACACUAGACAUCAACAUUUUCUAAUUUUGUAAGACCAAUGAAAACUGAAGAUGAGAAGGAAAGAGGUUCGAAGAGAUUGAGAAAAAACCGACCAUAAGGACUUCUGAUGAAAUGCUAAAUUUAUUGGUUCUCUUCUCAAUUUUUUGUUAUUUUAAAAAAAAAAUAUAUGUAUCAUAUAUUGGACUAGAAAUAUGAUCUGGUCCGCAAACCUAGGACACCAAAAUUUCAAAUUGGACAGUUUCCCUAGCAAUUUGUCCACUCCUACAUACAACCUUGAUAAAGAUAAAAUCAUUUAAAAAAAAACUCAAGAUGUUUUCCCAUACAACCGUGGAGUGUCCAUACAAUUCAUUUAUUGUUUGAAUCGUUCACAUGCCUUUCCAGUAUGAACAUUAAAACCAUAUACCGAUAUGGAACCCCGAAGCUCAACGUGAAUGAAACAGUAGUAUAUGUUUUUCUAAACUAGUACGCACUACAAUGAAACAUAAAUUCAUUACAUUAACUACGGCAUAUCUACCAUUCACUACAAGAAAAUAGACGAUUCCUGAUGGACAAAUCCGUCGGAAACAAGCUAUCGACAAAGUCGUUUCUUCAUAUAUAUCUCGUCGGGAACAAAAAAAUCCGUCAUUUUAGAGCGAUGGACACAUCAUAUAAAUAACUUAUGUUGGCUUUUGAAAAAUAUCAUGGUGUUAGCACUAAAUUAACAAUGAUUAGAUUAAAAUCAUCGUUAUCUGUUGAUAAACUUAUACAAUGUUUACAACUCGUUCUAAAUCCGCAACGUGAAAAUCAGAUAAUCCACAGUACCAAAAUAGUCUUUACAACAUAAAACAAGGACUAUAUCGUCGUUAAAAGUUGUUUGAAAUAGGCGAACCAAUUAUGUCUCCAACAUAAAACCAGACUCUAACAAUGACUUUGCCUUGUUGUCAAAAGUAAUUUAUUCGAAAUAUGCAAACCGUGUUUGUACUUAUAAGUAUCAUACCAAAACUUAAAUGAAGACAUUAUAGUUGUAUGUUGUUUCCGUAAAAUACAACAUAUUUCACGUGUGCUUACACAAGGAAUUAAAACUGGCUAUGAAUAAACGUAGUUUAUCAAAUAUUGUCACAUCAGAAAUCUUAAAAAGUUUGAAAUCGCUAACAAUGCAAUCGAAUAAGAUGUUCUAUGUUUCUUGAGGAGAGUGGGAGAGGGAGGGGAAGACCAGAGAACCGUGAAGGUAUAAAACAUCAUCCGCAAGCUGGAAUGAUAGGAACUAACGGCAAUGAUGCGUCUCUAUCACACAUAUCCGAACUAAUGUCUAUGACUCCUUCGCCCUGCCAUGUUUAUUUUAUGAGGGUAAGAGAUUAUGCAACUUAAAGCCAAAAACAAUUAAAAUAACCUAAAAUAAUAUGUACUUGAAUUCAAAUUCAGGUCAUUCGGUUAUAUAUGGAUUUUGUGAUCGGCCACUGGCCCUCUGUUUGUAAUGCACCAGGCCCUAAUUUAAGCUGAUUCUCAUAAAUGUUAAUAAAAUAUGACAGGUUUGGGGGCAGUUCCUGAUAGAGCCAGGGGUGGACGUACCGAGUCACGUGCCCCCGUCUCAUUCUUCAUUUUAUUAAGGAAUUAAGGUUAAUCAAAUGACAGUGCCUCCUACCUAAUUAUAAAACAUAUUAAAAAAAAAUUAUAUGCCCCCGGUUAAAUACAGAUCUAGAUCUCCCCCUGGAUAGAGUCAACUAUAUACAGGAUAGGUGGACACGCCAUGUCUUUCCUCUAAUACUAGUCCAGCUAUAGUUUUGGUCCAUCAUAAUUUUUCUCGCUUGUAUGGUCGUGUAGUUUUAAAAUCAUUUUUGUUUUUAUUUUGCAAAAAAAAAUCAGUAUAUCAUCCAUUGAAAACUGGUGUUCCAAAGAAAAAAAGUUGGUAGAAAAUUUUGUAACUAAUUCUUUACCUAAGAAGAGAGUUUCUAGGCCGUAAUUCAGACUGACCUUUAGGACAUGUGAAAAAGGCUAUAUUUUCUUACUAUUUUUUUAACUACUCAAGACGUUGAUAGUAGUCUUAACUAUAAUUGAAAUCGUAAUAGAACGACUCAAAUACCUUCCCUCAACUAAAAUGGUGUGAUCCUUCAAAAACUCACCAUAAGUUGGUAUUUUAUAACCAAUUUUUAAAAUACCAGUUUUAGAUUAUUUAUAUUAAAAACUGAAAUUUUAGUUUCCAACCAUUCAAAGACCUUCGUUACCUUGGCAAUGUUUCUAAAAUAGGAGGUUGUGUAGUUUCCAGUUGGAAACAAGGCUUCAAUCAUGUCAGCCAGUACAAGGUUUGGUUGCGAUAUUGCUCCGUCAUGCCAGUCUUCUCAUUAUCAAAACACAAAACAGGGUUUCAGCUAAAAUCAAUAGAAACUAAACAAUGUCUUAACACUUUCUUACCAAGAGUUGUUCCCUUUCUAACUCUUUUGUCAUAUCUCCAGAUGCUCUGAUUAAACGCAAAACAUGAGUUAUCCUCCAGGUUUAUGUUAUCCAAGAAUGUUUUCUUUGUGUAAUUCUGAGGUUCGGACGAUAGCGUUUCAUCGAUCACCGCAUCCACAGUCUGUUAAAUAUAUUUUAUUUUUAGUUUAAGAAAAAGAGUUUCUCUGGUCAUCAGGAAAAUAAUAACAGACACGCUUACGCAUAAAAUAGCAUGGAGUGCUUCCAAAUCAUCAGGAUCAGAGACAUUGUAAGUGAUCUUGUUUAUAGAUUUGUCGAUAUUCUCACCACCCGCAUCUUCUACAAACUGUUUUAAUUGUGUGCAUAAUGUUCAGUUUGAUAGUUGUUUCCAAAUUUUCACAUGAAGAAUUGAAAGUGCCGAGAGCUUAACUGCAUACCUUUAGCUUAUGUGGUUCCUUUGUAAAACCCCAAACACCUCCCUUCAAGAUGAAAUGUAAUUGCUGUUAGUAUAAAACCAUAAAUACACAAUUCUCUUUGAAUUAUACGAAACAGGACCCCUAAUUCUUCAAACAUGACUCCUGAUUACAUUUUCCUUAGAAAUGGUUUUGAAUAUGUACAUAAACCACGAACCAAGGCUAGUCAUGGACAUAGCCAAGUGAAAGUGUGAAACAUUUGCCUAUACUUCCAAAAAAUUUGAAGAAAAUUAAGUAGAGAAAAGUCUCCAAAUUUGAGAAAAGAUUAUUAAAACUUUCACUAAAUCGUCUACAACCUCGAAAACUUCAAGACCGGUCUUGCAUAAACCCCAAAUCAUUCUUCUUCUUUUUUAACACUAGAAGAUUAGAUUAUCAUUCAAAUGAGGAUUACACAAUAUUUAAACUAAAGCCAGUGAGUUAUCAAAACUCCCGGAGUCAUAAGCCAGCGGAAGAAGAACCCCAAAUUCUUCUAAACAAAGGUUUACAGCAUAAAUAUACGUCAGAGAUAAAAAUUGCUUAAACCUCCUCAAGAUAGUUUAAAACUGUCCCCAUAAGAAAGUAUAAAAAAAUAUUUCAUACAUUUUUAUCGUACUCCAUCCAGGCUACAAUGGGUUUGAAGGAUGUGGUCCUUUUAGCUGCCAUUUGAGACAAGCAAGUAUAGCUUGCUUUGACCUGCAAGGCUCCAUAACAAACUUUAUAGACAACAAGUGUUGGUGGUAGGCAUAUUUUGUAAAGAGAAGUGCGGAUUAUCACUAACCGCAUCGUAGACUUGAUUUGCUUUAGUUUCAAGAUUGGCAAAAGCACCAAGGAAUUUAAUCCACUCGGCUCGCUAAUUCAAGAAUACAAAACCAGCAUAAUUUCAAAUCAAAAUGUGAAAAGUUUCACGUUUGGUUAGAUCUAGAUAUAUUCAAAGAUAAUAAUAAUUAUAGGCACCUGAAGAGGUGUGCCUUCGCUGAGUGGAAAAAAGUUUGCAAAAUUGCAUGUCUGAAGUUGAUCAGUAUCACUGAUGAAGUGCGCUGCAAACUGAGACACUUCUUCUGCACCUUUUUCAAACUUAACUACUUCCCCUGCCUCAAGCAGUUUCAGAACACACGGUGAAGCCACCGCGUCUGAUGUUAUUCCCUUCAAGCUCCCUAGUAAUCCAAGUAGCUGCGGAUAUAGCCAUAACAUUUGUUUUUAUAAACAUCCUUACUAAAUUACAUUUUUGGCCCAUCCUGAACCGUGAUCCUAAAGUCGUUGAUUUAACACAAACCAAAUCUUUAAAUUAGGUAGAAAAAAAGUGCUUGCCUCAAAGAAAGAAACCGGAAGGCCUCCUGAAUAAGAAAAAAAGAGAGAUCUUAAAAGGCAGGCCCGUUUAAAACAGAGGAAAGAAAGCAGGGGAAAAUAACGGAGCAUACCUUGAGAAGAUUGAGUGUCUACUGAGUAGUUAAGAAGUGGAAUCACAUAGGAUUUUAUCCUGGAAGUACAAUACUUUGUCCGAACCGCCAUUCUAGAAGUGUUCUACAGAUAUUACUUUUUCAUUUCAGUCACAAAUGAUAUAUUUGACAACAAAAAAAAAAGACGAUAUGAUGAGUAAAUGCAAGAACCUGAAUGAGGAGAUAACUCUUGCCAUCAAUAGCAUUCUUGAUGACUUUGAAGGUUUGUCCAUAAUAUAUAUGGAAAUUAUCAGCAUCUUCUACCUUUGAAAUGCUUCCCACUUUUACAUUGUUGGAAGCUCCGUUUGAUUCUCUGGCCACCAUGCACAACAAUACUAACAAUAGUACCAGAGGCCAAGAACAAAAAGGCGAUGAAGACAUUAUCACUGUUAAUUAGGCCAGGUGAUGAAAAAAGAAGAUAAAAUCAACUAAACCCUUUUGGAAUUUAGAUUGGUUUUCCUUGAUGUUUGUAGUCGGAGAGAAAAAGAGAAAUAUUGUUUUAUUUUUACUUUUUUUUCUUGGUAAUAAUUACUUUGUAUAUGCUGCAAAUUCUGUUGGAAUGUACUUUUUGUUUUUUAGUAUGAUUUUAAAACAAUUCUAGAAUUCAGAUGGAAUAUUUGCGUUACUCCACUUCCCUGAGACUAAAUUUAUAUGCAACCACUAUUAUUUUAUAAACACAAGUACCAUGCUACAUUCUUCAUUUUAUACCUUUUUCUUUAUCUUAAUUUAAUGUCUAUUUAUGUGGCCAAUUUUAUUAUCUCUCCUAUAUAUAGAAGUUCCAAUGAGACUAAACGGGGGUGUCAAGGUUUCCAAGUAGGGUUCAUCUAGAAUGUUAACAGAUCUCAGGGUGAGAUUUGGUUUGAAAUGAGACUGAAGUCAUUUUCAAGACAAUGUGUCAUAGAAUCUCAUAUCGCAGAUGUAAUAGAAGCUUUAGUAAUGUCUACUAUAUACGGGAUAUGAACUAAUCCGUUUAUAUCUAAUUUUAAUGUAAUCUAUUAAAUUUGAUAUCAUGAAGCAGUUAUAAGACAAACAAAAAUAAUUUCUUUUUACAAAAUAAUAAAGAAAAUAUAAAGUUAGGUUUUGAUUGACAGUGAGCAUGCUAGAGGUGACCCGUGAAGACAGCACGUUACUAUUAUGGGCUUGUCAUUUUGUGUUUCAAUAGUUAGCGCUUUUGCUUUCUUGUGAUUUUCUGUCUAACCCAUCAUCCCUCACCACGUGCUCUCCAUCUCCAGUAACAUAAGCUCGAUUCCAAGGUUUUUGACUCAAACGUCCUAAGUGAUAAUGCAGAUUUAUGGUCAUUUUAAGAGUAAUAUAAGGUUUGUAAUAUCAUGGUGAAGGUAUCAUUUAUUAUAUAAGAUUGAAUGCAUUUGAAUUGUGACAUGUAUCACUGUUUUCUGUAUCAGUCUCUUUUUUCUGAACAACUAUAUGUAUCAGUCUAAUAAUCUAAAUUAAUAUAAACUUUCUAAACGUUAAUUUCUAAUUUUAUUAAAAAUUCAAAAUAUCCAAAAAAAUGGUUUUAUAGAAUAGAAAAAUCAAAGUUAUAUAUAUAUAUAUUAUUGGAUGCUCCACGGAUUAUUGUUUUUUUGUUAUGUGGUGUAUAUUUUUACUUAUGUACACACAACGAUCCUGUGUGAUGACAGCGACGGUUGGUCAUGCAAGCAUACAUUGAUUGAGGUUGAUGCGGAGAAUGUGGCAACCUUGGAGAUAAGAUCUCAAAAAUUGUUUGUGGAGAAAUUUGAAGAGGGAAAGAAAUUUUCUUGUUGGCAAGAAAUAAGGUUUUUGUGUUUGGAAAAUGAUUAUCCCCAUCGCUAGUUUCUUAUACUUGUGAGUGUGAGUGUUGCAUCUUUUAGGUUGCCUCUAGCAUUAUCCAAAAUGCAGCCGUUAAUUGUCUUCUUUGGUGUUUAGCAAUGUAAAAUUAGUGGCCUUUAAUAUACAAAUGCCUUCUUUGCCAAGUCAGUUUGAUGUCCAAUGUUAUUUAUGGGUUGGGCCAGUUAUUUUGAUAGAAGGGCGGAGUUUGAUAAUUUGGUUGGUUUACAUUUGCGAUUGGGUCGGGUUUGAGGCUUGAGCUGUAGAUUUGGUGAUGAUAUGAUUACUUUGUAGGCCUUUGUAGUUGGGUAAUGGGUUGUAGGUUAUUAAAUUAAUCUGAAGCGUUAAAAAGACUGCGUAAGUAUGAAAGUAAGUUCUGACUUCUGAGUUUGAAGUACUUUAUGUCAUAUUUUAUGUCACACAUGACAUGGAAGCUCAUUACCAAUCUCCUAUAUCUUUCAGACGCAAAUAUUAUCAACUAUAAGAACAUUCCACAUAUCUUUGGACGAAGCACAUAUACUAGAUAUGAACAAAAGUCGAUUAAUUUGCAUUCAUAGCAAAUAGCAGUGGUCAAAUAUUUUAUUUAAGUUAAACAUAGGUUGCCAUUGUUUCCGCCAUUAAUGAGCAUUAAAUGUGAAAAUAGUAACACUCCCUUCAAAUAAUCUCCCAACUGACUAACUAUAACCACAGAAGCCAUUAAUAGGGUUACAAAGAAUUUCUCAUUACACCAAACAGAAAGAUAACUAUUGUAUAAUGAGUCUAAAUCUGGAUCGAAUUCUCUCUCAGAGCAUCUCCAAAAGACACUAUAACUUCAAAAUAGAGUUCAUUUUUGAAGAUUCUCUUAUAGUAUGAAUUUUUUUCAGUUACAGUAUGUUACUAUGAUAUACCCCGAUACAGCUAUAUAUAUACAUCUAAAACCCCCUAGUAUCCAUUACUUAAGCAUAUACACCGCGUAUAUCCACCAUAUCAAAAUAUUUUGUGUACCUUAUUCGUUUAUUGUUACGCCAAGCAAACGAAAAUGAGUGGAGGAAAACUCUCUAUACAGACCUACGUGCGGACCCGGUCUAGAGAUUCUAUGGGCUGAAAGCACAAAGAAUAUAAUGGGCCUGUUAAUUUUAAUGGUAGGUACAACCUUUCUGUCACUAAAAAUUGUUAAUGCACCACCAAUGUACACGAGAUCUUAGAGCAUGAUUAAUGAAGAUUCUUAUAGUGGAUUCUUAAUUUUUUUAGUUAAAAGUUAAGAAUCGGUUUCUCAUAUUCCGCUAAGAAUUUCAUCCUAAAAACUUUCCCUUAAUUAUACUCUUAUAAGUCGAGAACAGUUUACCAAUUAUAGUAACCAGAUAUAUAUUAUUUGAAUAUCUAUAUUUUUUUUUGAAAGACAAAAGAAAAAGGAAAUGAUAAUGAGUUUGAUGAAACCUGAAACGUCCACAUCGAAAUGGUUUGGAUAAAGUUUUGAGACGUUAAGUUUUGAACGUCUGUUCUUCUCUUGAAGAGUCUUUCUUUGUUAACCAUCAGAAAAUAAUCCAUCUCAUCUGUAAGGCGACAAGGACAUUGCAAGACUCGUACAUCCAUUUUUUUUCUUUAAAGAGAACAUCCAGUUACAUUCUUCUAUAUAUUACCAAAAAUGUAAAGCUAGAGAAAAUUUGUCCUGAUUAUGGAUUUUAUGGUGAUUCAGAGUUCAAACAAAAAGUUAUCCUACAUAUUGCAAUGAGUGUGUUCGGAAAUAUAAAUUUUGUUAGUAAAAUUAUAAAGUAUAAAUGAAAUUUUAGUUUUACUAUAUUUUUUAAGCUUCAUCAACAUUUCGAAAAUUCUCACUUUUUUUCUUUCAAAUAUCUUCACUGUAAAAUACUGGUCAUUCCGAUCAAUUAUGUUACCCUUAAGCAGGUCUGAAAUUUCCAGAAAAGACAAUCUAUUUUAUCCUCUCAUAUGCCAACAUCGUGGCUAUAUUUUUAUCAUUAAAAAACAUGCGACUAUAUUUUAGAAAAAUACAUCUUAAAAUGGUAGCUAAAUAGAAAAUAUACGCCUACCUUAUGCUUGUUGACGAUCGCAUCAAAGAUCCACGUUCACCAUACGACCAAAUUCAACCAUACUGUAGAGAACUUUUCAUAAUAAACAUUUCAUAAAAUUGCUAUAAAUAUUGCUUUAACAAAUCCACUUUAAGGAUUUAAACAGUUUUGGUACUAUUUUAUAUACUUUAGUUUUCGAAAUAUAUAAUUUAUUUAUUAGAAGAUACAGAUAGUUGAUCAAAAAAAAAGAUACAGAUAAUUUGCAAAUCAAGAUAAGAUAUUUAUAUAUAUAUAUAUAUAUAUAUAACAAUGGUUCCAAAAAAGAAAAUGAAAAAAAACAAUGGUUACAAAAAAAAAGGUAAGAUAUAUAUCCUUAAAUCACCUUAGUAUUUUUAUAAACUACUAUUGAUGAAGGCAUAUAUUAUAAUUUCACAUUUUUUAACUUUAUAAAAAUAUUUAUUGAUAAACUUAUGUAGUAGAUUAAAAAUUAAAAUUACAUAUAUAUAUAUAUAUAUAUUUUUUUUUUAAAAAAAAAAAAAUAUUCUUGAAAUUCAAUUCUGCUUAUAAGUGUAUACACUACAUCAUAAAUUGUAAAAUAAUAAAUAAAAUAAAUGUCUAAAUUUUAUGUAUAAUAUAAAUGACUAAAUUAAUAAAAGAAUAAAGAAGUAAAAAGAAUAUGGUUGUUAAACAAAACAAAAUGGAUUUGGUUAGGUGGUCAGCUUUUUUUAAGUAAAGGGGAUAUAUUUUUUUGAUUACCAUAUAUAUAUUCAUUGGUGGAGUAUCUCCACCCAAAGUGCAUGUGAAGUGACCACUUUUCUGUAUUUUGAUCCAACUAAUAAAUAAUGACAAUAAAUACUAAAAUACAAGAUGAUUUGUAUUAUACACUAAUAUAGUUGGUAGAGGUUUCUUAAUAUAUAACUAACUAAAGUGAUACCAAAUUUUAACAUGCAAUUAAUAUUUGAAAAUUGCUUGAAAUAUUAUAAGUUCGCUACUAAUUUUCACAAAUAUUUUCAAUCAUAAAUAUUUUAAAAUUUGGAUUUAAUUUUUAGUGAUUAUUUUUUAGAGUUUAAUAUUAAAGGGAUGAGAUUAAAUUUUUAAACUUUUACAAAACAUUAUUAAUAUUUAUAAAUGAUUUAAAAAAGUUAUUUUAAAUUUUUUCACCACAAAUUUAGAGUAUUUAUAAUAUAUAUCCUUUACGAUUAAAUUUGAAAAAUGAUAUUUGAAAGAGUUCAGAAGGCAAUAAUACUAUGGAUAUAUUGUUGUAUGAUUAGAAGAACACAACUUAGGAACUUAACUCCCACUUAUCCGUAUCCAUUCCCUUUUAUCAAAUAGUCAACAAUUUCACUUCAACUCUUUGAAUUGUAAUACUUCUCGGCGGCUACAACAAGAAAAUGAAAAAAGGACAAAAACGGAAUAAACAAAAAAUAAUGGGGUCCAAAAAUAAUAUCCACACACCAUAAAUAUAACCUGCAGAGCCUUUCUUCACCAACUCACCAGCCUUGCACGAUCUGCAUCUCUCCGCCUGAAAACUUCUCUCGUUUGUUAGAUCGCCGACGAGGUUAACAUCCCUUUCUGAUCUAUCGAAUCAGUAAAAAAAACAAUGGCGUUCGAGAAGAUCAAGGUUGCAAAUCCCAUCGUGGAGAUGGAUGGUGAGAUUUCCCUGCCUCAGCUUUUUGUUUUACUCUCAGAUCUUUUGUUGUGUGUGUUUGGAUGCGAGAAUGAAAAAACGUAUUAUGACUUUCACUUUGCCUAGUUUUUAUCGAAGUUUCGUUUGUGAUCUGAUAACUGGUGAACAGCAAGCUAGCAAGCAUGUUUAAAACUAGUUUUACUUUGUCAACGUUUGUUACGUUAUAGAUCGGUAAAAUAAACGUAGCUCUGUUCGCCGAUCGAUUAGUUAUGUUUUAUGAUCUGAUGACAAAAACUAUAUUCACAAACUAUUAAUUUGAUUUACAGCUUAUAUCUGAAAAUGGGACCAGCAUAGUAAUUGUGUUCUUAGAUUAAAGAAAAACUUUCAUUUUCAGCUUUUAAUGUAGUUAUGAACUAUGAUGUUCCAUUCUCACCUGAUUCCUUAGUUUUUUUUUGGUGGUGUCCUUUUUUACUCACACUUUAUGGUCUUUUUUUGUGUAACUAAUAGGUGAUGAAAUGACCCGAGUUAUCUGGAAGUCUAUCAAGGACAAGGUUACAAGAGCGCUAUAUAUUUUGAUUCAUAUAUUUAAUAUGUAUUUUGUGGUAUUUUUCUAAUUUGUUUUUUUUGCUCAAAUGUUUUUGCAGCUGAUUACCCCAUUUGUGGAGUUGGAUAUCAAGUACUUCGACCUUGGUCUUCCUCACCGUGAUGCUACCGAUGACAAAGUUACUGUUGAAAGUGCUGAAGCCACUAAGAAGUAUGUUUGUUGGACUUUACCACUCAAAACCCCACUUUUUCUUUCUGCUUACUAACAUAUGCUGCGUGUGUAAUGUUGUUUUUAGGUAUAAUGUGGCGAUCAAGUGUGCCACCAUCACUCCAGGUAUGUUUUGAUAGAUAUUUUUCAUUUUAACAUUUUUUUACAGUGUUCUCAUUUUACCAUGUAUUCAUCUUUUUUUCUUUUGCGUGCAGAUGAAGGCCGUGUAACGGAAUUUGGCUUGAAGCAGAUGUGGAGAAGUCCCAAUGGUACCAUCAGGAAUAUUCUGAAUGGUGAGAAAUACACACAAAUUGUAUUUGUUUUAAAGCCCUAUCAAAUGUCAUUCUUUCUUCCUGUCUUACACUCUUUGCUAUCAUUCUCACAGGAACUGUAUUUAGAGAACCAAUUCUCUGCAAAAAUGUUCCCAAGCUUGUCCCAGGUAAUUUAUUGACAAUGGUCUAGUUCCAUUAACAUUUUAUAUUUGCCAAAAGGGUUCUGAGAAUAUGUUUUGCUUUCUCCAGGCUGGACAAAGCCCAUCUGCAUUGGAAGGCAUGCUUUUGGUGAUCAGUACCGUGCCACUGAUGCUGUUAUCAAGGGACCAGGAAAACUGACUAUGACUUUCGGUAAACUUGCUCCCUUUCACUGCUCAUCUCAUCUCAUUUGAGACUGGCAUUGUAUUAUUUUGACGUCUCUUUUGAUAUCUUCUUUUUCAAUUAAAGCUGUAAUUUCUUUGAUUUUCAGAGGGAAAAGAUGGGAAAACUGAAACUGAAGUCUUCACAUUUACUGGUGAAGGCGGUGUUGCUAUGGCCAUGUACAACACUGAUGAGGUAUACUAGUAACGCCUUACACUCUCUUCCAACUACAGUCACAACUACUUGUUCUUUUGGUGAUCAAGUUACAUAUUUCUCCUUGUAAAUAUAGUCCAUCCGUGCUUUUGCUGAGGCAUCGAUGAACACUGCUUAUGAGAAGAAGUGGCCACUUUAUCUUAGCACAAAGAACACCAUUCUUAAGAAAUACGAUGGCAGGUAUGUGUACGGUUUUGUUUUUGUUUAUUUUACAUUAUUAUCCGUUUGCUCUGUCCGUAUUUGAUGUUUUCGUCUUACUAUGAAGAUUCAAAGACAUCUUCCAAGAAGUGUAUGAAGCCAGCUGGAAAUCAAAGUAUGAAGCUGCUGGAAUAUGGUGAGUCGCCUCGACAAUGCUUUAUCAUCCUCGUGUCUUGUGUAAGUUACCCUUUGAUUGAGAAGGAUGUAAAUGACUGAAUUGGUUAGGUAUGAGCACCGUCUCAUUGAUGAUAUGGUGGCUUACGCUCUCAAGAGCGAGGGAGGCUAUGUGUGGGCUUGCAAAAACUAUGAUGGUGAUGUCCAAAGCGAUUUCCUCGCACAAGGUAUGCUCAUGUCUAUCUCACAUAUUCUGCUGUUAUUUUUUUCAUAUUCACAUAGGUUUCGUUGUGUUUCUUGUUAGCUAAUAGUUUCUUAUAAUGUGUAGGGUUCGGGUCACUUGGACUGAUGACAUCUGUUCUGGUAUAUAUCGUUACACAAUCUCCUGUUAAGAUGUUUCCUUUGAGUUGUUGAAUCUAAGUUACAACGGUUGUGUUCUUUUGAUUAGGUCUGCCCGGAUGGGAAGACGAUUGAAGCUGAAGCAGCACAUGGAACGGUUACCCGUCACUACAGGGUUCACCAGAAAGGUGGGGAGACCAGCACAAACAGCAUAGCCUCCAUCUUUGCUUGGACUCGUGGACUUGCACACAGGUAGCUUAAUAUUUGUUUUUCUUUGUAUAAGAAGGAAGAUGAUUAUAUAAAGAGAAUGCAACUAUCUCUUUUACCAGGGCUAAGUUAGAUGACAACUCAAAACUCUUGGAGUUUACUGAGAAGCUUGAAGCUGCUUGUGUCGGUACGGUGGAGUCUGGAAAAAUGACCAAAGAUCUUGCUCUCAUCAUUCACGGCUCAAAGUAAGUUAACGAGACUUCUUUUUCUUCUUCUGCUGCUGUCUUUUAAGUUUCAUGUUCUCAUCAAGAUUGCUUUGACUGAUUUAUGAUUUGUUUUUUUUUAUCUCAAGGCUCUCGAGGGACACUUACCUGAACACGGAGGAGUUCAUCGAUGCAGUUGCGGAUGAGCUCAAAACAAGACUCGGCGUCAAAGCUUAAGACAUUUGGGUAAAACAUUCGGCUACUCAGUCAUAUGUGUUUAUCUGGUGGGUUCGUGAGAGUGGUUGAGAUUGGGAGGAAUAAAAGAAGAUAUUUUGCUUAUUAAGAACGAUUUGUUUCAUCUGCAAUAAUAUUUUCUAAACAUUGUCACAUGUUUCCCCUUUUAUGAAGAUUUCGAAUUUUAUUUUUCAUUAAUUAUCGUAGCGUAUUUACCCAAAUGCAUACACUCCACUAGCUGGACCUAUACGGAAAGAUGGAGAAACAUAUAAGAUCUCGUGUGAGAAUGCUAAUCUGACUUUUCAUCUCAAACAACCUGGAAGCUAUCAGUUUUAACCAAAAUUAAAGUGUGGACUUUGGUCUAAACUCCUAAAGCAGGCCUAAGGCUCAAGACUAGGAGUUCGAGUAGUUGAUUUUUUUCUUUGUUAAUGUUCUUCCUACAAAUUGGACAACUAACAUCAAAGUUCUUUUUAUUGUUUUUAUUUGUUAAAUCAAUUAUUCUGAAGUUUCAAAUAUUUAUUUAAAGGAUUUUCGCACAUCAAAAAAAAUUUACAGCUAGAGCAGAAAAACCUCGAAACUAUAGCUACGGUAUAACUAAUCAUGCACAGUAGUAUUUUGAUCUGAUGUAACCACUGUUUUUUCAAUGUGAAUUUACAUCUUUUCUAAAUUUUACAGUAAUUAAGCUUCAUCCAAUUAUUAAAAGGCACUAGCGGACAAAGAUAAGCAAAACAGUCAUCAGUAGACUAUGGUAAUAGAUUACUAAACAAAAAAUUAUGAAAUGAAACAAGAUUUUAGUUAAAGAUAAGAUUCCAAAGAUCUUUAUAGCAUAAUCGACUGAAAUUGUUUAAUACAAGAAGAUUCCAAUAUCAGCGAUUUUAUAGUUUGGCUAGUCACAUAUGCUGUUAUCUGUAAAAAUUACAGGCUAACCAUUAAUUCAUGCGAGACAAAUGAGGCAUACAUUUAUCACUGGUCCUUUGUUCUGACUAGCUACCAAAUGCCAAAGAAUGGAUGAUCUUAUCUCUAAUUCCAAAUCAAUAAUACUCUUUUUGAACCAAUUUCUCUAGCAUAAAAACCACCUUCAUACAAUGGAUGUAACACUCGAUACCUUUACACUUCUUGUGAUGCCGUCGACGACUCGUCCAUAAAAGGUACAGAUGGUAUGUUUCAGCUUCUUCACUCCUUGAAAAAGUUCCAUCAACUCUGAAACCAUAGGAAUUAGUUAGAAAUUUACACACAGUAUUAGUAUAACUGAUUAUUUAGAUAGUAACUAGUGGUUUCUUUACCCAGAAUAAGACGUAAGCGGAUGUAGCUCACUAACAUCACCGAUUUGGAGAUCAUCGUCUUCUCAACAAAAUCUAUAAAAAGCAAAAAGAAAAAAACUAAAUUUUAGCUUCAUCCAGGUAAAACUGAAUGGACAGGUUCCAAACAGAUCAAGGUUUCUCGGAUCCAGCUACCUGGUUCAGACCUCGGGUUAUAGCCAAGCCCAUAUACCGCAUAUUUGGCAUACGCGAGUAAUCUCACACGUUGUGGAGCACUCAACUUCAAUGUGAUUGACCUUAUGAGUCCACUGUGAUAGACCAAAGCAAGUAUUAUUCGCAUGGAGAAACUUAAACUUUCCAGAUUCAAUUACUUAGUAGAACCGUGGAGGAGUUUACUCUGUUCGCAGUACGGUGAGAAAGUCAGGUGGAAGAGACCCCAUGAAAGUGGUUACGUCUUCCAAUCUCAGAAGCUUCACCUCUUGCUUCAGUUUUUGUCUCUCUUGGAUAGACAUUCCUUUUCCCAGUCCUGAUUUGCUAUCACCAAGAAAAUUCAGAAACAAAGGAUAAGCACAAAAUCUUCUGACAGUUUCGAUUUUGUUGCAGAGGGAAAGAAAGUACCUAUCACUCGUUCUGCCUGUGAAGAUGACAGGGAAGAAUUUGGCAUAUUGUCCAACCCCAAACCGUGUUCCUAAUUCCUGUAUUUUGGUCGAGUCUAGAAGAAUCAAAGCCUCCCACAACCGACAAAAGUCUUGCCUAAAUCCCUCAUCCAAUGUCUUACAGUUUCCGUGAUCCAGCAGGACUUUUCAUCCAACCAUGAUUUUGAUGGUUUUAUGAUUAGUGUCUGGAACUAGUGAAGACACCAAUAUAGAAUUACGAACACAAAACGUACCUAGAGAGAAGCCAUUCUGCCCUCCAGGAGAAACUAGUAUAUUUCCAGGAUGCGGAUCGCCAUGUAUGAAUCCGUGAACAAAUAUCAUUUCAGCAAACACUUCAACCAACAGUUUAGCAACCUAUAAUAUAAUAUUGGAAAAAGCUUCAGUGUUUCAAAAAACGAAAUAACAAGUAUAUAUUUGGCGGGUCUAAUGCUUGCCACAUGCCAAAGUUGUAUCCAAAAUUGAAUUUCUUAAUUGCAUAAGAAGCUGUUACGAACCUUUCCUGGACUCAAAUUAGUUCUUUUGAUGGCUUCCACAUCGUCAACCUGAAACCUAAGGAAAUUCGAGUUAGUACAACAUCCAAGAAGUAGAGUCUACACGAGAAGCUGCAUGACGAUCUAUAAGAGUAAAUAUAACUAAACUAAUCCAUUGCCUUGCCUUCUAAGCGGUUUAAUCAACCUUAAACUUUGUUUUUCCAAUAAUUCUUUUAGGAAACUCAAUAAUUUUUCAUUUUCUUCCCUUUUGCGAAGCUUUCAGUACAUCUCAUAUCUAGCCUUUUCUAACAAUUUAAAUAGUUUGGGAUAGCUUUUCUAACUAUUUAGCAUGUUUGAGAUGGAUAUGGUUAGCCAAGAUUGCCAAAAUGAAAAAGAAAAAAAAAGCUAACUCUGUAUAUAAACCGUAUGAAUGAUUAACUGUGUUGACGCCAUUACCUUGAAACCCUUGCAGAAUUGCAUUGUCAGGACUUGAGCGGUUGUGAACUCCUGAAUAUUAAUAUGGAUAAUAAGAUUAAGAAAACAAAUUCAGCAUGACUAAGACAUAUCAGGAAAAAUAAUAAACAAUGACAUCUAAAUUCUUUAGUCAUACCCAAAACACUGUCGGAACAGUAAUCAUUUUGUUAUGUUUGAAGUUUGUGGCAAUUCUCUCUGAAUUUUUUGCCUCCUGUAUAAAAUCUGUGGAAAUGAAGAUGAAAGCAGAAAUGAAUCACCAGAUACACUAUGGAAAACACCAAAUAAAUUAAAAAGAAAAAAAAAUCCCGAGAAACAAUGUAAUGAAUGGACAAUAUACACUUCUACACACUACACAAUGUGUACAUAUACGGUUCAAUUAUUUUGACACAUUCAGCUUCAGGUUAACUAAGAAAUAAACAUAUGGACACGAUGGAGUGCUUGACUAAAAAAGUUUUAGGUUGCUGACCAAGUUCCUGGGAAAUUGACUUUACGAAUUCAUGAACCAGCCAGUCAAAUCUGUAUUCUGGAAAAAUCUGCGAAGUGAAAGAAAAGGACUCUAAGAAACUAUAAACGGCUGCAUAUGAUAUACAGCCUGUAUAUAACCAAAGAUGCAAACACAGUUCAUGUAAUUGCAUCAUUGUAACACCUUCCACAACAACACAAGCAAAGCUCACAAUCACCGCAAAACUAAUGAAGUUAGGAAGCAGUAGCAGAAUCAAUCCUCAUAAUCUGACUGCACAAUAUUCUCUACUAAGCACUUCCAAAAAAUUUCACAAGGCAGCAUACACUACUGCAGUAAUUGAGUCAUACAUGAAUGCCCUCAAACUCGAAAUAUAAAGCAUGUUCUAUUAGUUAUAUGGUGUCACAUGAAUAUAAGAUAAGACGGAAACAUAUGCACCUUUACAACUGAUUUUGAAAGGAACGACAUGAUCAUUGUAUCCAACUUCAUGUUCUGCUUCAAUCCAGGGUAUUGCACCUAUUUCAAGGGACACAAACGAUAAUGCUGUAUUAAGAAUCUGGUGAAUUAAUGCUGUAUUAAGAAUCUGGUGAAUUAAUGCAGUCAAGAGGAUUGUGGUAUGCCCGAUUUACAUCAUAAAUGAUGAAAGGUGUAUAAGCUAAAGAGGAAAAAAAAAAAAAAGAAAUGAUUCAGAGACCAAUAUUUCAGGUAUCUCAAGUGAACGAUGAAAUCAUUGUCUAGUAUCGUCAAAAAUAGCACAAGUAAAUUAAAGCGGUCAGCAUUGUGAGGAAUUAACCUUUACUGCUACUUCCUGAUGAUCCUUUAACACAGCAUGAUGCACUUGAGCAAUAGAUGCUGCAAUUGGUUCCUCAUCAAAAGAUAAAAAUCUGUCAUUUCAACUGAGGGAUGUUAGAAUGUGCCUUGACACUUGUGGAUUUGCCUUGACCGUCAGAUUAAAUCAUCAUAAACAUAGACAGUUUUAAAUAACACUUACAUCUCUGAGAGAUUUCGACCCAAAUUGCUUGUCAGAACGUGUUUGAUAUCUUGGAAGUUACAAGGAACUGCCUUCAAUAACAGAAUCCGAACAAACAAUUAGAAUCGUUUCUCACACUCAAAAAAAUCAUAAAUUUCUGGUGAAACAAAACAAUUUCAUAGUUUUCAAAAGAGGGAAAACGAUUAAGGGAAACACAUAGAGUUCUUCAAAUCAUUAAUAGUAUUCACACCUGGUCCUGCAACGAGGAAAGGGCCAAAGAGUACUCUUUGGGAACCAGCUUCAACGUGGCCACGAACUGACCAGCUUUCACAUAGAAACCUUUAUUACUUUCACACAGUUUAAGAAGUCGUUUGGCAGACCGUGAAUGAACCUACAACAUAGAACGAAAAUUACCAUAUAGCGCUUGUAGUAUACAAAUAAUUAAGUACAAGAAUAAGCAAUCAUCUCAUCACAGCAAUAUAACUUCACUUAGCCUAUCAUCAAUAAGUAGAAAGAAACUACAAAGUAACAUGUUAUCUUUUAAUUCAACUUAUUGCUGCUAUGUGCUUGUUCAAAUCACAACAAUCAAUCAUCACAUAGCAUCAAUAUAUCAUAAAACAAAUGUGACAUUGACAUGAACAAUGCGAAUCAGUACUAUUACGUUAAAGAUAGAUUACUUCUUGCAAAUCAGGAAACGUAACAAACUACAAACCUCUGUUAAUCUCUGAAGAUACUCAUCAGAAUCAGCCGUCACUCUACGCAAGCUAUACUUGUAAUCAGCGACGGUUACAGUGAUCUGCAAAGUAGAGAGAAUUAAAAAGGAAUCGGAAAAUGAGAAAAAAUUUAAAACAGUAGAGAUAAGAGAAGAAUAAAACGAACGGCGUAGAUAGCGCGAGAAGAACGGACGACGCCUUCCACCGCCGUCGCGAUUUUGUUGGGGUUGUGAAUGGAAGUAGAGUCCCGGAAAACAGAAACGGCGGAGCUGCUGGUGACGGCGGUGAUAGCUACGCCGGCGAUUGUAAAGACGAACAGCGGCGAUUUGGAUCUCGCGGGAAAUUUGAACUUGCGGAGAAACUCCAUUUUUGUUGGGAUAUCUUUUUAGGGGGACUCCAGAGAGACGGAGAAGAAGACGAAGCUAAACUUCCGGGAUCAUCGGACUUCUAUCGUGCAGACAAAUAUGGUGGGCCUAGAUAAGGCUAAGCACACUGUGGAAAAUGGGCCCAGGCCUUCUAUUUUUGUGGGUGCUGCUUGCUAUUUGGGAUGGUGAUCAGUGUUCUAUAAAGUGGUUUAAUUUCAUGGAAUUUUUUUAUUUUUUUGGUUUUUUAUAUAUCCUAUCGACUAAUUUGAUCAGCUCCUCCAAUAAUAUGCAUCUAUACUAUUAAAGCAAAAUACUUCUUAGGAUUAUGCCCCUGAUUUUUCCAAUUAAUUACAAAAAUUUCCAUUAAUUUUUUCAAUUUCAAUUUUUACAACCAGUUUACCAUUUUAAAAUCUUUUAACUAAUUAAUUAGUACACAAAUUUAUUAUUAUAUAAUAAAAAAAUAAAGAAGAUAAGAUUAUAAAAAAAUUACUAUAAACAAAUAUAAAAUUUAUUAAAAUAUAGAUUAGACAAAUAUUUAUUGAUUUAAAUAAAAUUUUAAAAAGAAAUGAUUUCGCGCUUUGAAAGCACGGGUCAAAAUCUAGUUUGGGUGUUAAAGUUGACUACACAGCCAGACCCAAAAUUUGUAAUGUUUUAUGAUUAAUGUGAAAAAGUAGUUGAAUCGCAUGUUAUGUUUAAGGUCAAUUCAAACCUAAACUUUAAGAAUGCUUUGGACUAAUUGAUUCGUGUCUACCAAAUGUUUGUAUUUUUACUUUAGUAAUACGUGUUUUGCAAACUGAAAAUGUUUACAUGAUCUCCAACUAAACUAGUCAAAGUACAAAUUUAUGAAUUAUAUGAUAAACAACAUUUGUUUUUUCUCAAUUUAAGGAUGAAUGAUUAAAAUCUAGUCAAGCAACAAAUUUAUGAAAUAUGAAUAAUUAACAAAUUUGUUUUAAAAAGAUUUAUUUUUUACAUUUUCAAGACAUGUUUUAUUAACUAAUUGCAAAUUUAAAACUUAAUUGCACUUACUGAAUUUUUAUUGGCUUAAAAUUAUGGAACAAAGAUAAACAAAAAAAAUUAUACAAAUUUAAUGUGUUUUAUUAAAAUGUGUGAAAAAUCUAGAAUAUGUAACAUUAAGAAACAUAUGAAGUAUUUAUUUUUCUUAAUUUAAGGAUAAUAUAGUACAGUUUGAGUCAAACAGCAAAUUUAUAAAUUAUGAUUAACAACAUUUGCAUUCUCUUGAAUUUAAGGUUAGUUUGAUUGAAACUUUAGUCAAGUUACAAAUUACGAGUCAUGGUAUAAAUUGCUUGCUAUAACUGUAGUAAAUUGACCAAAAGUAAUUGAUUUAUUGGUCAUGCAUUCAAAUUUGGUACUACAAUUACACUACCAAAAAGCUUCAAAACCAUCCAAUGGUAGUCAUUGUAAGAAAAACAGUUAUAAUGGUAAUGUAAUAAUACUAGCUGACCCAAUUGGUACGCACAUAAUAUGAUUAUAUGUGAUGUAAUUAUUGAAUGGCAUCAUCCCCUAUAUAUUAUUUGAGAAGCAUUGCAACAUUUUUUUGUAACCACAUGUCAUCACUAGAAUGAUUCUUAGAAUCCUUAGAGAAAUAAGUUGGUCCAUCUAAAUAUAUAAUAAGUUUUUUAUUAAACCACAAUAAAUACAUUAUUAAUGUGCUUCAUUAUUUCCUUAAAUAAGAUUACGGAAUUGCCUAAUGUAGCUAAAGUAUAUAUGACAAUUAAUGAUUUUGAAUAAUAAAGAUUUGAUAAAAAUAAGUGUGUAUUAUAAUUAUAUUUGUUUAAUUUUAAGCUAUUAAAAUAAAUUAAACAAUCAUAGUAACCAUAUAAUAAAAAUUAUAAAAAAAUACUUAUAUAUUAUAUUUUGAAUUUUUAAAAACGAGUAUAAAUUACUAAAACCGUUAAAAGUUUCACAUUCAAAUUUUGUGAUCUAUGAUUUAAAACUUUUGUUAUGACAUGAUAUAAAUAAUUAAAAAUAAUAUAAGUUAAAAGUCUCAUUUAAUAAGUAUCAAAAAUAAAAGAUAUAUAAAUAUAUGUAUCAUUUUAAAUUAAACUAUAUGUCAUAUAAAAAUACAUAAAUAUCUUAAUUUUGAAAUUUACUUUGAACAUUUUUUUGAUAAAAAGUUUGAAAAAAUAUUGACAACUUAAUUUUUUUAAAAUAUUAUAAAUUACUUAAACUAUUGAUCUCACAGUGAAAAUUUUGGUAUCACUAAUUUAGACUUUUUGCUAUAACAGAUACAAAUGAUAAAAAAAAAUGAGCAAAAAGCAUCAUCUAAUAAAUAUUAAUAUUAAAAUAUACCAUAUAUAUGUUACUAUCAUUUAAAUUUAAAUAUAUAUCAUAUCAAAUAGAAAAAAUAUUUUUUCUAUUUAUAAAAUUUAUUUAUAUGUUCGCAUCAAUUUAAUUAUAUAAGUAGUAGAUAAUGACUUUUUAAUUAUUUAAUAUAUAUUUAUUAUUUCAUAAUAUCUUAUAAACAUAUAAUAUAUAAAAUAAUUUAUAUAUAUAAUGUUUAUCCCGCGCAAGGCGCGGGUCUUAACCUAGUCUUGUAGAUAUUUUACAUGUGAAUAUCAACGUCGACGUCUUACAAGUUACAACUAAGUACAAGCAUAUAAAUUAAAUAAAAAUAAAUAAUAAAAAAGGAAGAAGACAUCAACUGCAAAGUCAAUAUAAACGUGUCAUCUUCCUUCGUCUCUUUGCAUACUCUUCUUCCUCCUCUCACUACCAAAGAAAAAAAAAGAUGGUUCUAAGUCGAGCGGCCACCGAAAGUGACGAAAAUGUUUGCUCGACGUUCGGAUCUCGCUAUGUCCGCACUGCACUCCCCAAGUAAUUAAGAAAAAAACAUGUUUCUUUUAUUUAUUUUUCUUACUGUUCAUGAGUUUACUCGUUAAAUAAUGAUGAAAUAAAUUGAAGGUAUGAGAUUGGUGAGAGCUCGAUACCGAAGGAGGCUGCAUAUCAGAUCAUAAAAGAUGAGCUCAUGCUUGAUGGUAACCCGAGGCUGAACCUGGCUUCGUUUGUGACGACAUGGAUGGAGCCAGAGUGUGACAAACUCAUUAUGGAAUCUAUCAACAAGAACUACGUCGACAUGGACGAGUACCCUGUCACUACCGAGCUCCAGGUCUCUCUCCAUCUCUCUAUAUUCCAAUUUUAUUUUUAAAUAUAUAUAUUCCAAAUUACUUCAUAAGUGAUAGUGCUAGAUCUUGUUUUAGUUUCUAGUAUUAUAUCAAUUCUAAAUCUAAAUCAACUCAAAAUGUUUAGAAUGGUUACAGUUGCGCAAUGGUUUUAAUAAAAUAUACGAUAUGUUCUCAUAUAAUAAUACAAAUUUACACUGUGUUUGAUUUAUUUUAUUUAUUUAAAAAUGAACAUAAAAACUAAUUUUGGAUUAAAGGGUAUCCACAAAGAUAAUAAAGAAGAAUUAGUUUUGAGGAAGAUGAAAAAUGUUGUUUGCAUUUGAUGAACCCAUAUUCCUCUUGCCCAAGAAAAAAAGAACCCAUAUUCCUUGUUUAAUUUGUAUCAGUGCUACAUUUAUUAUUCCUUAACACUAUAUAAUGAGACAAAAUAUUAACCUAUUCAUGACUUUUCGUUCCUUUCUUAGAAAUAUGACCCAUACGAUUUUAGCCUCUAUUGGCCGACAUAACAAGUUCUAAGACUAGUGGCUUUGUUGAACAAAAAAAAAAGCUAGUGGCUUUAGUAACUUUGUAAGUUGUUCUCUUAAUCAUAAAUAACCGUGUUGAAUCAAUACAAUACUAAAAGGGGAAUAAGGGCUCCCCUCAUGCUUCCACAUCCUCAAAAAUAAUCAGCCAAUAGGAAAUCAGUAAUGAGCCACGUCACACACCCAUCUCUUUCUCGAAUAUUCUACCCUUUCGUGUUUCAAAAAAAAAACUACCCUGUUCAUAUUCUUUCUUUCUCUCCCGAGUCAUCUCCUUCUGAAACUCGAUCUGAUCACUGAGAAUCUACGGCGACGAAGAAGGUGGAGGAGGAAGAGGAAGAAUGAGAAUCUCAGGCUAUGUAAUCGUUGUUCUAUUUGUAACUGUAUUCUAUUCCGUCGAUCGUAGCGUUCACGCGCGUCCCGUCGUCCUCAUCCUCUCCAACGACGAUCUCAACAGCGGCGGCGACGAUCCCGGAGUCGGAGACUCCUUUAACUUCGAGGAAUUCGGCGAAUCCGAACCCAAAUCCGAAGAGGAGCUCGAUCCCGGCUCGUGGCGACAUAAAUUUUGAUGGGUUGAUGGAGGAAGUGGUGGAGGAGAUAGAGGCGGCUUCUUCAUCCGGAGAUCCGCACUCGCAGUCGCUGAUGGGCUUCGUCUACGGGACGGGGAUGAUGAGGGAGAAGAGCAAAAGCAAAUCCUUCCUUCGCCAUAACUUUGCUGCAGAAGGUGAGAACAUGCAGUCAAAGAUGACACUUGCCUUCACGUAUAUGCUCCCAUCUCUUCGUAGAGAUUUACUUUGGACCAAACUCAGAAACCUGCUUUCAAGAAUCUCAAGCUAUGGCGAUUGUUAGCUCUCUACCUUUGUGAGUUUACUUUGAAGGAGCACACCAGGUCUGAAAAUGUUUUUCGUGAGUAAGUUUCAGAAAAAUCUCUGAAUAUAACUCUUUUUUUUACGAAAGAUCAUUCUCAGAGUCUUACUACGUUGAAUGAUUUGUCCCCGCAAUUUUUAUUUUCAGAUUAGCAUAAGGUCUUACUCUUAAGAAAUUUUUUUUGGGUAGCUUUCUCGGAUCUCUGGCCUAUAUGGCUAACUCAAAGCUUGGAUCUGUAUUGCAGGUCUGAUUCCUUAAAACUAAAACUAUCAAAAAGUUCUAAUUUUGUUUCUUAGCCUCUGUCUAAUGAUUGUGGAACAACCAGAAGCUCUUUACCCGUCCUCUCUAGAAUUCAAUAACUAAAGCAUUUUCACUACAAUCUGAUUUGGUCAAUAGUUUGACUUAUAACAUCUUUCUCAAGAGGGUUUUGAUGAUUUCAUGCUUAUUUGAUUUAUUUUUGUUUUUGUCGUUCUUUACAGUUGGUGUAUAGGAUAAUGGGAAUUUUAUCCUUGAGCAUGAGGUUGGAAUGAAAAUUGGAUGCAUUGACCUUGGUUUUGAGGACCAACCAGACACUGUCACAUUCACUGAAGGUUAUCAAGAUAUCAGUAAGAGAGGCAUCACACAGGACAGCUAUGAAUCUGAAGUUUGGCACUAUAAUAUAGGAUGUGAUGAAGUGUGACAGCGCCACCAUGAUCAUGAGUCUCAAGGCCACUAUUUAGUCGCUCGAAGGACAGAUGUGUUAUGUUACCGCAUAGAGCUCCAAGUAUGCCCAGAUUGCUGCCAAGAAAGGGCCAAACAGUCUCUACUGCCUUGGUGUUCCUCUCACCACCUACAUUCAAAGCUCAUGGAAAGAAGCUACGAUGUGGUUUCCAAACUCACAUAUAACAAUCUUUGUCUCUUCUCUAAUAACUUUGUUGCUACUUCAGUUGUGGUCAUUUCCACUGCUCUCAACUCCAAGGCCCCCAGGAGAGUCAUCUUUCAUCUUCUCACUAACGAGAUCCACUAAUGCGGCAAUGAAGUAAUGGUUCGCUAGACAACGUCAGGAGUCACUAUUGAGAUUCAGAUAUUUGAGGAUUUCAAAUGGUUUAAUGCUUCUUAUGUUCAUGUCUUCGAGGAGCUACAAGAAACUGAUUCGCAUAUCUAUUAUUUCUCUUCUCACAACGAUAAUGGACGCAGACAAAGCAAAUUCAGAAAACCCAAAUAUCUCAUGAAGUGUAAUAUUCUUCAGUCCCAGCUUAAAGAUCUCUGACAUAUUUUGAUAUUUGAGCUUCUAGGCAUUUCACAAGUCGCAAUUAUUUAGGCCAAGGGUUGCAUCUUCAGAGACGACUAUGAGGUAUGAUCCAUUUUCUGUACUGCAUUUCUACUGGUUCAUUGUAGAGAAGUUAUUCUUUAACAAAGUUUCCAUCUGUUUUGAUGAUCCCAUAGUCGAAUUGAGAUGCAUUAACAAAUUAGCUAUGAAACAAAAAAGAAAGGAGAGGUCUAAGCUCUCUCUAGAAAAAGGUAACGUUGCAUUUUUAAUCAGCUUUUAGUAGACAAAAGUCUUGAAACUAUACAUUGAUUGUGUUACUCUUUUUUCCUUUUUGUCUCAAUUGUCUCUUAUUCUAUAGCUGGUUUGUAUGGAUUUAUUUGGUUCCAUAUGAAUUUUCCGUUAUCUAUUGUGAUAGAAUGGUUGUGGCAUUACUCAUUGCAUAUAUAAAGUAUGUGACGCAUGUGUGGAAGAGGAGGCCAGAUUAAAAGUUGGUGCAGCUGCGAACCAACAAGAAAAACAAAGAAAGGUACGUAUACAAAUUUCAUUAUAAUCUAUAAUAUAUGACUAUCUAUCUUCUGUCUUCCCUUUGUUGUUGUCACUUGGAGUCAGAGAAUCUAAUGAAUCCAGCUUAGUUUUUCAGUGUAUACAAUGGGAUAUAUAUAUAUAUCAGUGUGAUUAAUUAUAUAAGUUUGGUGUAAUUUAAUAUGUAAGAGGAAGAAGCUGGUUUGGAAGUUUCUGUUACACCAAGUAACAUGAGUCUUAGGUGCAACGUGGGAAAGAAGACACAGAGAAAUGCUUAGGAUCAAGAGAAGUGUCUCCGCAGGUUACAGUCAGGUUUUCUCUCUAAUCUCUUACAAUCAGGUUCAGCUCACAAGCAACUGUUUUCUGGUCAAUUCUGAGUAUCCAUUUGUUGUACUUUUGACAAUUGGAAGCUGACUGACAUGACCACAUUUGAUAUUUUGUCUCAGGCUCAUUUCAUUCUGCUACAGAACACGACGCAAAAAAGACGAGCUGGUAGAUGUGGAGGAGGCAAAACACUAGCUGAAUAAAGCAGGUUAGCCAGAAGAUGAAUUGGCAGCGUUGAAGAGGCAGUUCAUGUCCCCAAUGUCUACCACAGUUACAUCAAAAGAUGGUGCAAGAAAACUGGGGUUUGUGAGUUGGUGACAGGGAAUGUGCAAGGUACUGAGCUUCCUGAAGAGUGUGAUGAUGAAUCUGUUUGAGAAGACAAAGUAGAGUUCACUUAUGAGAUGCUGUGUUUGGAGGACCUGCCAGAAAGUGAGAGCAAGACGGUAAAGAGGCUUUGGGUGCGCUAGAGAGGAUAAAAAGACACAAACUAGCUCAGUGAGUAAAUAAUGUUGACAAAUUACUUGUGAUACAGUUUGGAAUUGUAAUAUGCAGAACAUGAUCGUAUUAUUAUCAUGAGAAAUUAUAUACUUCUGUUUUGUCUCAAUUCCACCAUGUUAGUUUAUUGCAUAGUUAUUUAUACUCUUUCCAUUAUUUGGCAUUUUACUGGAAUUACAUCUUUGAUCUUAAUGUGCAAUCUUUACUUUUGGUAUUUAAACAAUCGCAAAAACUAACAAAAGAAAGACUUAGAAUCUAACAAAGAGAACUAUAAUGAAAGAACCACUGAACCACACAAGAUAAAAAAAAAAAACCAGUUCAUGAGCUUUUGCCUCCUCUCUAAAGACACCUACAAGAUUAACCGUACCACAUUCAGCAAUAAUGGCCAACAAACAUUUUAAAAUUUCUGUUCACAAAAAGUAAAGAAAAAUUUAAAAAAAUAGUGUAUGAAGUUUAACAAAACAAAUAUUAAAGACACGAAAUAAGAAGAAAACUAAAUGACCAUUUUUAAUGGAAAUUAAAAUAAUAAGGCUAUAUCAAAUUAGAAAUAAUUUAAAUUUUCAAUUUGUGAUAUUAGUACAAGAUUGUAGAAUGUUUUUACUGGAAAAAAAAUAAUAAUAAGAAAAUAAUGUUUUUGGAUCAUAGUUUUGGACUAAAAAUAUAUUAUAAUGUUUUUGGAUCAUAGUUUUGGACUAAAAAUAUAUCCAAAACUCCCCUAAUUAGUAUCUAAAAAUUCAUUUUUGAAUAACAGCGUAAUAACAUGAUUGUAUUUUGAAAAAUAGUAAUUUUAAAACCAACUAAUAUAUAAAAAUAAAAUUUAAAUAAAUUUUGAAUAUCUCUUGAGAAUAUUUUGAUUAUCAUUUUAGAUUUAGUUUUAAUCCAGAUUAAUAUUUUAACUAUAGCUAGAUUGUAAGAUAUUUGUUUUGCUUAUAACUAAACAAGCAAUAUAGUAAUAAUAAUUGCUGGCAAAAAAAUAUAGUAAUAAUAAUAUUUUCAUAGAUUUUUCAGUGUAUUUAACACAUACAAAAAAUUUUAAAGUUUUUUUUAAUUUAAAGCAAUGAGUAUUUAAAUUAGCUUUACUUAGUACAAUUGUAAGAAAUAAAUUAUAAUCAUAAGAAAAUAUAUUAUAAAAUAUUAAAUAACAUAUAAAAAACAUAAAUAUGAUAUAAAUAGUAUACAUAACAAAGAAAUAUGUGAUGUGGAGAUUAAUAAUAUAUUUUCUUAAUAACCUAAAUAUGUAAGAAAAUAUAUUUUGGAUAUAACUAAGAUUUAAUAAAUUCUUUAUUCAUUUCGCAUUUGUUCACCAUCCCAUAUAUAUUUUAGAUAGUAAGAAAAUAAAUUGUAAGUCUUACUCAAUUUCUAAUUUAAUUUUUAUUUAUAUUUUUAUAACAUAGAUAUUAAAUACAAUUUUAUUUGAAUAAACCCGGGCGUAGCCCGGAAAAAUCUCUAGUUAUUCUAAAUUGUCAUUAACACUAGUGGCCCACUUGAUUUGAAGCUUUGGAAAAUAUCACCGUCGGUUUAUUGUAAAACCGGUCGGUAUAUUAGUUUCUUUGAAAUGAACCAAGUAUAGAUCCUAUGAAUUAAAGUUUAAAACAUACAAGUACAAAUCUUCGAGAAUCUAAGGUAUGGGAGAAAAGGAUGGUAAAGCAUAAUAAUUCAAUAGUAAAGCAUAAUAAUUCAAGAGACGAAAGAGAAAGUUCUGUCGGCAACCUCUCAUUGUUUCACAGAUCACCACAUAACUUGCUUUUGGUUUUGAUUGGUCCACUCAAUUCCUUUUAUCCAUUUAACAAAAAUAAAAAAAACACUAAAACAUUCUUCUCACUUUGGGUUAGGGGUAUGAUACGAUUUACUUUAGUAUACUAUACAUAGUUUUUUUUUACUAUAUCCAUAGUUAAAAUUGAAAUAGAGUGAGCUGACGCUCUACGAUGGACGUUGCGAAUAUAUAAAUAGAAGAUUAGAAAAAGAGAUACAAAUGAAAUAAUUUUACAAAAUGUGUAUGAUGAAAACCUAGAAGGAGACAAAACCACACGGUAUAAGUCUCGUGAUGGCUAGAUCAAUAGUCACAUUGAUUCUUCCAUGUGAAAAUUAAGAUAUUUCACCAUAAAGUUGUACCUACUGUGUCCUCAAAAUAGAUUGGUGAUGCCAUUUCCGUGUGCCUUAGUGUGAAUACGAUACGUUCAUAGUAAAAUAUCACAGAAUACUUUAUCGCGAAUAAUUAUUUAUUUUUUUGAACUUUCGCGAAUAAUAUAGCCUACUUUACCAAAUUUGUUUAUCGUUUUGUUUGAAAAAGUAGAAAAGAUAGUUUGGUUAGUUUAUUAGUAUAUAACUAGGAUAAGAUCCGCGCCUUGCGCGGGAUUAAGUUAUUAUUUUUAUUAUAUUUUGGAGAAUGAAACAAUAGUUUGGUUUCAUUUGGAUUACGGGUGUUCAAUCCGGAUAUCAGAUUGGUUUCGGUUCGGUUCGGUUUUUUCGGUAUUUGGUUAGUAAAAUAUAACUACUAUUCUAAAUCCAUAUGUACUUUGAUUUUAGUCUUUCACAUACUUUUGAAAGAUUUCAACUAGACGACUAAAUUGAUCAGCCAAUCUUGUUGCUUUAAAUCAUUAGUGUUUAUAUAUAUAUAUAAUAUAUAUAAAUAUAUAUAUAUAUAUAUAUAUAUAUAUAUAUAUAUAUAUAUAUAUUAUUUAGUUUGAAUAUUUAUUAAAUAAAAAUUCAUAUGCGUUAUAUUUUAUGAUCAUUUGUAACUUAUUAUAACAAAAAAAUAAUUUAUUGAUCACAAAAUUUUCAAAGUGGGAAUAUUCAAAUUUCUAAUAAUAUAUAGACGUUUUGAAAAUUUAAAUAUAACAUAUAAGAAAAAAUAUAAAUGUUUUUAUUAUAUAUUUAAUGUGAUUUUUUAAUAUCUUUCAAUAAUAUAAAAUUAAAAAAAAAGAACUAAGAUACCAAAAUUGUUAUCAAAUAUUUAUUAUUCAUAAUAAUUAAUUUUCAUAUAUACGUUAAUCAUAUUAGGUAAUUUCGUAGAUUCUAAUUAAGGAAAGUGCAAAAAAAAUUUUGGUAGAUUAUUUAUCAAUUCGAUAGUUAGUUUAAUAAAAAAUAUAAUGUAAGUCAAGAUGGACCAACCUAUUUUUCUAAGAAUAGUAUAUUUUAUAUAGUCAUUUAUUAAAUGAGAAUUUAUAAUCAUACAGUUCUAUGAUCAUUCAUAUCAUUUUAUAACUGAAUAUUUAAAUCAUCGAUAACAAAAUUUUCAAUGUGAAAUCUUUAAUAAGUUUAUAAUUUAUAAAUGUUUUUGAAAAUUCAUUGAAAGUUUUAAUAUUAAAAUAUUUAUGUAAUCUUAUGGUAUAUAGUAUAAUCUAUAUAUAUAUAAAUAUAUAUGUUUUAUUAUUAAAUGAUAUUUUUUACUCAUAUGGUUUUAAAAUAAUGUGUAUCUUCUUAUAAUAUUAAAUAAAAGUUCAUAUUAAUACAAUUUUAUGAUCAUUUGUAACUUAUUAUGACAAAAAAAAAUCUAUUGAUCACAAAAUUUUCAGAGUGGGGAUCUUCAAAUUUCUAAUAAUUUAUAGACGUUUUGAAAAAUUCAAAAUAUAGCAUAUAAGAAAAAUUAUAAAUGUUUUUAUUAUAUAUUUAAUGUGAUUUUUAAAUAUAUUUUAAUAAUAUAAAAUUAAAAAAAAGAACUAAGAUACAAAAAUUGUUAUCAAAUAUUUAUUAUUCAUUAUAAUUAAUUUUCACAUAUACGUUAAUCAUAUUAGGUAAUUUCGUAGCUUUUAUUUAAGGAAAGUGCAAAACAUUUUUUGGUACGUUAUUUAUCAAUUCGAUAGUUAGUUUAAUAAAAAGUGUAAUAUAAGUUAAGAUAGACCAACCUAUUUUUCUAGGAAUAGUAUAUUUUGUAUAGUUAUUUAUUAAAUAAGAAUUUAUAAUCAUACGGUUCUAUGAUCGUUCAUAUCGUUUAUAACAAAAUAUUUAAAUCAUCGAUAACAAAAUUUUCAAUCUGAAAUCUUUAAUAAGUUUAUAAUUUAUAAAUGUUCUUGAAAAUUCAUUGAAAGUUUUAAUAUUAAAAUAUUUAUGUAAUCUUAUGGUAUAUAGUGUUUAAUAAUAUAUAUAUAUAUAUAUAUAUUUAUUAUUAUUAAAUGAUAUUUUUUACUCAUAUGGUUUUAAAAUCAUGUGUAUCUUCUUAUAAUAAAAAUGUUAAACCAUUGAUCAUUAAUUUUUAACAUAAUAAUUUUAAUAGUUUUAGUCAUUUAUUAUCGUUUUUAAAAAUUCAAAAUAUAACAUAUACGAAAAAAUCUAAAUUUUCUUUUUAUAGCUAAUUUGAUUGUUUAAUUUAUUUUAAUAAUAUAAAAUUAAACAAAAAAUGAUGGAGGAGAUAUACAUUGUUAUCAAAUCUUUAUUAUUAAACUCAUUAAUUGUCAUAUAUAUAUUAGUCAUUUAUGGUAAUUCCGUAGGUUUUAUUUAAGGAAAGAAAAUAUCAUAUCAUAUCAUUAUAUCAUAUAGUUUGACCAACUUAUAUAUCUAACAACAUAUAAAAAUCGAAUGUGGACCUACUUAUUUUUCAAUUGAAUGUAAUUGACUAUCUAAUUGAGUGACACCUAUACAUUGGGGCCUCUUUUAAUUAAUACAAAAUUGAGGUUACAUCUUUUCAAAUGUUCCUCAAUUAAUAUAUAAGGGAUUUGCUAGCGUUUCUAAUUGUAAUUAAUUUCUCAUGGGUUUUGAAUUUGUGUGUUUCUAUUCUGAUAUUGAUACAAUAUCCAGUGAGUUCUUGUUGUUGUUAAGGAUCUAAAUAAGUUCAUCAACAAAAGAAAAAUAAUAGAAAAAGAUUACCAAUAUGCUGAUAUCUCAUGUGCAUGGAGUUUCAUUUGAACUCGAUCCAUUGGACCUAUAUGAAAAAUGUAGUUACUUUCAUUAGUUAACGAACAAGGAAUAUUUAUAUAAAACCUGUGCUCUUUUUAUUUUUGCGCAAAAGCAUAUGUGCUCAUAAAUCAUAAUUUUAAUUUAUUGGAAAACAGAACCGAUGUGUAAACAUGAUAGCUCGGCUGUUCAAUGCACCACUUGGGGAAACUGAGACCGCCAUGGGAGUAGGCACUGUUGGGUCUUCGGAAGCCAUCAUGUUAGCCGGAUUGGCUUUCAAAAGGAACUGGCAGAACAAACGCAAAGCUGAGGGUAAACCCUAUGACAAACCCAACAUUGUCACCGGAGCCAAUGUUCAAGUGAGUACUAUAUCUUUAUCUCACUAUUUUUACAUAAUAGUUAAUUUGUGAAUAGUUAGCAAACUACUUCAAAUAUCUAGAAAACAUUGCAGAAUAAUAUUUUUAUAUUAGGUAUUACCGCAAAUUUCAUUUUCAAACCAGUUUCAAAUUACAUAAAUUGACACACUUUCCGUUUAAUCUGUACUAUUUCAUUUUUUUUAAAAGAAAAUAGUGUGUAAAGCAUCAACUCUCAUAGAAUAUAAGGUUUAAACACGAAAAAAAAAAUACUUUCAGGUGUGCUGGGAGAAAUUUGCUAGGUACUUCGAGGUGGAGCUAAAAGAAGUGAAGCUUAGUGAAGGUUACUACGUGAUGGAUCCAGAUAAAGCAGCUGAAAUGGUUGACGAGAACACAAUAUGUGUUGCUGCCAUACUUGGUUCCACACUCAACGGUGAGUUCGAAGACGUCAAGCGCCUUAAUGACUUGCUGGUCAAGAAAAACGAAGAGACUGGCUGGAACACUCCAAUCCACGUUGACGCAGCAAGCGGAGGCUUCAUAGCCCCAUUUAUUUACCCUGAAUUGGAAUGGGACUUUAGGCUUCCUUUGGUGAAGAGUAUCAAUGUGAGUGGUCAUAAGUAUGGGCUGGUCUAUGCUGGUAUUGGCUGGGUCGUGUGGAGGACACAACAGGAUUUGCCUGAUGAGCUCAUCUUUCAUAUCAACUAUCUUGGUGCUGAUCAACCCACUUUUACUCUCAAUUUCUCCAAGGGUAUGUCUCUUUCGCCUUCUUGAUCCCUAAUUUUUAAACAUAUGAUGUUAUUUAUGGAUGUUUAUGAAAUGUUGUAAACAUUUUUGGUUGUUUGUAGGUUCGAGCCAAAUUAUUGCUCAAUACUAUCAGCUCAUUCGUCUUGGCUUCGAGGUUAGUGUAUUAAAAAUAAAUAUAUAUCCUAGCUUUAGUGUUAUAGACUUAUAGCUAGCAUGUAAUAUACUAUCUUAUGUUAGUUUCAAAAAAAAAAAACUAACUUAGAUUACGUUGCCGUUUUGUGCUAUUUUAUUUCUUUUUAAAAUAUACCGAUUUGCAUUUUCCAUGGAAUAGGGCUACAAGAACGUGAUGGAGAACUGUAGAGAGAACAUGGUGGUUCUGAGAGAAGGGAUAGAGAAAACAGAGCGUUUCAACAUAGUCUCAAAGGAGGUAGGAGUGCCACUCGUAGCCUUCUCUCUCAAGGACCACAGCUUCCACAACGAGUUCGAGAUCUCAGAGAUGCUACGCCGUUUCGGCUGGAUUGUCCCGGCUUACACAAUGCCUGCGGAUGCGCAGCACAUCACGGUUCUGCGUGUUGUCAUUAGGGAAGAUUUCUCAAGAACACUUGCGGAGAGGCUUGUGGCUGAUAUUGUGAAGGUGCUUCACGAGCUUGACACCUUGCCUUCCAAGAUAUCUAGGAAGAUGGGAGCAGAGGAUUUCGGAAAUGUGAAAGGGAAGAAGGUGGAAAGGGAUAUUCUGAUGGAAGUCAUUGUUGGAUGGAGGAAGUUUGUCAAGGAGAGGAAGAAGAUGAAUGGUGUGUGUUAAUCUGAAGUAUCUUGUGUUUGUGUUUGAAUGUAUUGUCGUCUAAUAAAAGAAUAAGUAUGUGUGUGUGAGGACUGGGGGUUUGAUGAAAGAGUUGUGUGUUUGGUAUCUAUUUGAGACAAUAAUUAAUUAUGGAUUCUAUUUUAUGCUUGAAACUUAACUUGAGCCUUUGGUUAUUUAUAAAAUAGUCUUCAAAUGCUCUUUCCUUGAAAUCUAGUGCUCCCUUUUUAUUUGAGGUAAGAUGUUCAAAAUUUUGCACGCAAUUCAGUUCAAUACAACAGAAGGCCAAGUAAUAAGAAAAAAUAACCGCUUUAUUGUCUGAAAUCAGCUAGAGAUGAUCUACGUUCCGGUCAUGGCCAGAGGCUGAGCUAACUAAACCAUAUAAUAAAUGGGUCGAAAAGUUAAAAUUUGUAAUAUGUUGGUCUUUUUUCUCAAAAAUAAAAUUUCUAUUUGAUCCAGACUAGAAUUAAGCAUACUAAUUGGUCGAAUAGAGAAUAGUAUUUGAUUUUCAUACUCAACAACUAAACAUUCAUGCUCUUUGUGUGCUAGUGGAAGCCUAACAAUUUGGUUCGUUUAAUGAAAUAGAAGGUAUAUGUCCAUCUCAAAGUCCAGAAUAAAAUGCAAAUUAUAAUUAAUAAACUCAAACCGCUUUAUUAUGCAUGUUUCUUGUCUGAAAACAGGCUAGAGAUUUAGCGGAUUCACGUACAGAAAUGUAGAAAUAGAACAAGCAAAAUGAUAAGAGAUUCUUAGAGAGCCUUGAGGAUAUCAUCAGCGCUGGAAACCGUGAACUCGCCACCGGAUUCGACAUUGGCCACAGUCACCUUGAGGUUAUCGAGCAACAGAGCAAAUCUCCUUGACCUAACACCAAGACCCUUGUCCUUGAGGUCAAGCUCGAGUCCAAGAAGCUGUGUGUAUUCUCCUGAACCAUCAGCCACAAACUUCACGUGCUUGUUCUCAGGGUAUGUCUUUCCCCAUGCCUUCAUCACAAACGGAUCGUUCACUACAACAAAACAAUUUCAUUAAUAAUAUUAAACCAAACAGCUAAUAUAUAUAUAUAUAUAUAACAAUCUAAUAUUUGUUUAAAAGAAAGAAUCAAAUUGCAUGGAAUCAAAUCACAACGAAGAAUAUUUACCGCUGAAGCAAAUGAUCUCAUCAACACCCUUCGAUUUCAGCUCCUCUGCUUUCUCAAUGAAUCCAGGCACAUGCUGCAUGCUAAAACAAGAGAAAAAACAAAUAAAAAAUAUCAAAUCUAAUGUAUUACGGCAGAAAAGUGAAAUAAAACUAAAUGAAAAAGUUUACCUGCAUGUGGGAGUGAAAGCACCAGGGACACCGAAGAGAAUGACCUUCUUACCAGCGGCGAGAGUGUGAACGGAGGCGCUCUGAAGCUGGUCAUUCUCAUCAAAGAAGGAGAUAGUUCCUUCUGGUACAACAUCGCCGACAGCAAUAGGAGCCAUGGAGGUGAGCAAAGGAUUUGAACAAAAAAAAGUGAUGAGAAAAUGAAACGACUCUGAGUAGUUGGACUUGAGGCGAAAUGUAUUUAUAGGGGUUUCGAACGAACAAUGUAAUCUUUCUUUUUCGAAACAAUGUAAUCUUGCUUUAUGGUAUUAAAUAUAAAUCAUUGACUAAUUUUAGGUAACUAAUCGUUACUGAUUGCCAUUGACUGAUUUCAGUAAUUGUAUUGUUUGCCAUAUGUUGACUCUAAAAAUAUUGGCUAAUUUCUGUAAUUAUUAUUGAUUGCCAUUUUGUUGACUCUACAAAUCUUGGCUAAUUAUUAAACAAUAGUCAAACUACGUAUAUAUUGUUUCCAAAACUACAUUGUAGUUUCCAAAAUAUAACGAUUUGGUUAAAAAAAAAUACCGUGUUCAAAACGUGUUUUUGUCACCAACCUAGCUACCAUCGAAACCAUCCCGCUAAAAGUAUCUGAAAAUAUAUCUAUUUCAUGUGUGUGUUUAAAAAUAAAUAAAAAUAAAGAUGAUUUUGGAUAAUUUCUUUAGUAAUAUGUACAUUUUAAAUUGUUUCUGUUUUGUAUUUUUAUUAUAUUUUUCCAUAUUACAUAUAAUUAUUUAUAGCAAUGAAAGUUUCCAAAGUAAUUAAAAUGUAAGUGAAAGAAAUGUGAAUAUGUGAGAAUACACCGAAAGAAAAUCUAUUAAAUCAUUAUUACGUAAAUUUAUAUUGGGCCAGACCCAAACAAAUUAUAUAUUGGGCCAUUGGUUUCAAAAACCCGUCAAUCGCCUAGCUUGUGUAUCAUCAAAAGCAGGCAUGAUCAGAUCUAGACCGUCCAAAAUAGGGAUUUCAAAAAAAAAAAAGUCAUUAAACCUCUGUGCUUCACUUAAUCUGUGUGUUGCCUCUUGAAAAAACCCAUCAUAAACCCUUCUUUACCUUUGUGCUCAUCUUCCUUCCUCGUUAUCAACAGGUACGAUUCCAAAAGUUGCUACGUAUUUGAGUCUGCUUCAAGAAGGCUAAUCUAUCAUUGUUUUUAAUAUAAGAUUCUAGUAAAUUAUAUAAUUCAUAGGUUUAUUUUUCGGAUAAUAUUGUAACUAAUAGCUUAGAUAUUGAUUCUGCAUUGUUUGUUCACAGUCUCAAUCGAAACCAAUUAAUUGAGAAUGACAGAGAUGGUAACGCCUGGAGACGUGCUCGGUAAUGCGGCCGAGUUAAAACCCGGCAAAGGAGCUUACGUCAACGACAAUACCAUCUACGCUUCCCUCACAGGAUCUCGCCACAUUGUUUCUCCUCUUCCAGAUUCUCUUGACCAGGUAUGUCCUCUUCUUUCACUGAUUAGUGAAGUGAACUAUAUAAAAAUGCUCAUUUAAAUAGCUUCUUAUAAUGCAGAGAGCUACUGUGGAAGUUACGGGUCACAAGGCGCAUGGACUUAUCCCCGAGCCUGGUUCUCUUGUCUUAGCUAGGGUUACUAAAGUUAUGGCUCGUAUGGCUUCUGUUGAUAUCUUGUGUGUUGGUUCAAAGGCCGUUCGUGAAAAAUUUGCUGGCGUAAUCAGGUCAUUUUAUGGAGCUUCUUUUACUUUUAGUUGUAUGCAUCAUCAGUCUAACUUGUGGUUGUGCUUCUUUACACAGGCAACAAGAUGUUAGAGAAACAGAGAUUGACAAAGUUGAGAUUCAUCAGUCUUUCCGUCCUGGUGACAUUGUUAGAGCUAUGGUUGUAUCCUUUUUUUGAGCCGCUAUGAUUUGCACAUUCUCUAUAAAGCUGUCUCUUGGUGACUUAUAUUAGUAGAUAGCAUAUGAAGUUGCCUUAACAUUGACUUUUUUAAAAAAAAAAGCUGUCUCUUGGUGACUCACGGGCUUACUAUCUGUCAACUGCUAAGAAUGAGCUUGGUGUGGUCUCUGCUGAGAGUGCUGCAGGUAAACUGUAUAACUGAUCUGUCACAUUUUUCAGUUUUUUUUGUUAUCCAUCGAAGUGUAAAGACAUAGUUGUUAUGGAAAUAGAAUAUGCUACUGUACAGGUACUUCUUUUGGUUAUCGUAUGAUAUGAUGUUUAAGUAAUGUGGUGAUUGGUACAGGUGAAACAAUGGUUCCGAUUAGUUGGACUGAGAUGCAAUGUCCUUUGUCUGGUCAAACCGAGCAGAGGAAAGUUGCCAAGGUGGCCUAAUUGAAUACACAACAAGAAAAGACAUGUUUUAUUAUUACAGUUUUGAGCUCUUUUGACAUGCUUUAACUUAAAAGACUGUGUUUUGUCAAGUGUAAAAGCAACUUGCCUUUGUUCCCAAACUCAGAAGACAUUUCAAUGAAAGGGUUAAGAGAGAAUGAAUUUGAAUGUGAGCCCUUUUGUUUCUCUUACACUGCAUUGAUAAUAGCGACGAAGAUUGGCUUGGUUAGCACCAUUUAAUUUUGGAUGCUUCUAAGUUUGAAAAUUUAUAUCAAAUGUACUAUCGUUUCUGCAAAAUUUCACAGAUUUUGGAUCUGCUUUCAAUUGAUCUAGUAUUUUUAACAUGUAUUUAAGAAAUCAACAUCGUUGGAGCUAAAUUACCCUAAUAGGUUUAAAAUCUUCAAAAUUAACAAAUGUCAGAAGACUGGACAUUCCCAAAUUGGAAAUGUACUUUGAAAAAUGUUUCACAGAGUUCCCAUGGACUCAUGUAACUACUAACCAUUGCUUAUCCUUUGUUAUCAGGGUACUAGUUUGAUGAGAUGUAACUGAUAUAGAAAGAUCUUCAAUGGUGCCAAGCGACCCUUCUACGUUACCUUAUGCAUUUUGAGCUUUGGCUGAACUAAUACAUUCUGUUCUUGAUUAAACUGUUCAAUUUCACUCUGCAAGUAAUUUUUUUAUCUCUGGCGUUGCUUAGUUAUCAAACAAAGUAAUCACUGAAGUUAGCAACUCUCAGCACGUUCAAAAAUCUAAGAUUCAAACAAAGUAUUAUAGCCAUAACAGUUUCAGACAGAUAAGUAGCUAAAACAAAAACUGUUGAGCUUACAUCAAUCAGCUCACAUUCAGAACAAAAUUUUAACAAAACAAAAGAGCAAGUAAAAUAAAACACAGAACCAUAUCAAACCCAAUCCUCGAGUGUCUGGUAAAGGAAAACUACUCAUCCAUGUCCUCUUCAUCAUCGCCUUCUUCCUCCGCUUCACUAAGCUCAAGCUCAGCAAGCAACUCUUCAAUCGGAACAGUCGGUGCACCUUCACCAUCAGUCAUCGAAGCAGUCUCAGACUCCUGAUAAUCCUUGUUCUUGUACAAAGAUAUGUUAAACCUCAGCUCAGGAUUCUCUUCAAGAUCCCUCAAAAACUCCUCAUACUCAUUCUCCAUCUUCUCCGGAUCAACUCUCCCUCCUCUCGACUCAUCCAUCUCCAUCGGAAGCUUCUUAGUCGUGAACGCACGUGGCUUCCCCCUCUUCCUCUCUCUCUGCUCGUCAUAGCAUUUCUUGAUCAAAAUCGCUUCAGGAAGCCCGUUCUUCACACUCAAACGAUACUUCUCCAUCUCAUCAUCGUUCACAUUCGCACCGUAGAUGUCAUACCCUAAAGCUUGGUCUCCUGACUUCAGGAUAUGUCCUAGAUGAGUCUGGACGUAGAACAUAUUCCCAAGGUCCGACUCACGCGCGAUCUGGACAUAGGACAGAGCGUACUUUUGUCCUCCGACAGUCGCUUCGCCGACAGGUUCCUCCACGUCAAACACAAAGUACUUCACAAGCUGCCUGCUGGUCAACGCAGAUCGAAACCCGGACCUAAAGUACUGCCUCGCGUCCAAGAACGCACACCUCAGGGUCCUAGGAUCAAGGAUAGUGAUGUUAUCAGAAACCUUCGUGCACACAACAAGCGGACCGAGGUUCCCCAACCCGCUAGCGACUUUAGAAGGCAAGCAGAUAAGAUCCUCACGGCAGAUAGGACAUAUCUUAACAGAGUAAGUGUACUUGUAGUUAUACAAACUACUCUUAACAUCGUGAGAGACUAACUGCUGGUCCUGACGAUACUCAAUAGGAACAACUUUCCUCAAAAACUCAAUAAAGCUAUUAGCAUGACUCUUAUUCCCAAAGAAGAAAUCAAUCCCCUGAUCAACCUGCUGGAUCCUAAUAGCUCGAGACGCCGCGUCGUGCCUGAGAAUCAACUGCUCGAGGUAAAAGAACGUCCUCCUGUGAGAGACAUGCUGCCUGAGCUGCACAGAAGCAACCCACUGAUCAGGAUUGGCCUGAAACCUCGAGCAAGACUCGCAGAGGUUGUCCCUAACGGUGUACUCAACGGGGUAAGACUGUUCGAGCACAGCUCCGUUGAGGACCUCGGCUUGAACGGUGAGCUUGAUUUUGAUACGUUUGGAGUGGGGCUCGGUCCAGACGAACUCGGCGUUCUUGAGCUUGACUUUGUUGAGGUUCUUGAGGCGUUUGAUGCAGAAGGUGAGGAGCUCUUUGGACUCCCACUGGGCUUUGAUCCAGGUCUUGGGGGGCUGGAGGUAGCAGCCGCACUCGGGGCAGUAGAAGAUUUGGAUGCUCUUCUGGAGGCCUUCGGUGAUGUCCACUUCCGAGCGGAGGCAGUUGACGCACAUGUUGGCUGCGUUGGGAGGCAUGGGGACGCCGCACUUGCAGCACAGGACGCUUCCUAUGGUUUGCUGGACCUUGAACAUCCCUGUGUCUUGAUCCAUUGCUGACAUCUAACGAAAUUAAACAACAAUCAACAGCAUAACACGAGAACGAAGAAAUCUCGAAAUCGAUUAUACGAGACCAUUUGCAGAUAUAUAGUAGCAAUGAAAUCAAGAUGGUUCUAGGUUAAACGAUGAAAAGGAAACGUGAAGGAAGUCUGGUACGAUGACAAAGAAAGGCGAAGAAGGAUAAAAAUCAUGCUUACCUGAGCUGGUUCGAGAGACAGAGAAGGCGGCGGGAUGAAGAAUGAGAGGAGGAAGAAAAUGAAGACAAAAAAAAAGGAGGUGAAGGCUUUUUAUUGCGCUGGUGAAAGGCGUCUUUAGGGUUGGUGAAAAAGAAAAAAGAGAAGAUGAUGCGUUAAAUCUCGUCAGUUAAAUCGUAAAAGUUUGAUUCGGUUCAAUUUGGUAUUUGGAUAGUUUAAUUUUUUCAAUUUUAUUAAAACUAACCCAAGUUUCUUCUUUAGAUUAUCUUUCGGUUAAAAAUGUGUUUAAAUUCAAGUAAUUUUGAAUAAUUUCGGUUAGUUCAGUUAUUUGGGUUUGAAAUUUUAAGCGAUUCAGUUAACUCGAUUUAAAAUUUAGUUAACAAUUUUUUAAAAGACUAAUCGAUUACCGAAUUGAAGUACCGAACCGAAGACAUAAGUUUUUUUAUAAACUUGUUGAACUAAAACAAAUUUAUUACCAAACUAAUCAAACUAACCGAAAUUUUGGUUAUGUUCGGUGAAUUCAAUUUGGUUAAAAUCCGCGAGCCUAAUCUGUAUAUUCACAGAUUUUUUUAAUAAAAAUAUAAAAUAGAAAGAUAAAUUGCUUAAAAAAUCACAAGUUAAUUAUCAAUUUUCAAAAAUACACUCAACUAAAAAAAUCUUAUCAUUUGAGUUUUUAGAAAUCACUGUUGAGAAAUUACUUAAAAUAACACAAAUUGACUACCACUUUUCAAAAAUACACUCAAUUACAAAAAAAAAAAAAUCUUAACAUUUGGGUCAGUGUUUAGUGAUUAUUAUUAUUGAAAAAUUGCUUAAAAUACCCAAUUUACUACCACUUUUCAAAAAUACACCCAAUCAAAAAUAUUUUAACAUUUAAGUUUAGGGUUCAAUGAUUAUUAUUUAGGUUUUAGUAUUUAGGAAGUGAGGUUUAGUUUUUUUAUCAAAAAUUUAAGAGAUUUCUGAAAAUUAUUAAAUUUUAAAAAUAAAUUUGAAAAGCGGUAUAAAAUUUAUGGUAAAAUUGAAAUUCUCCCAAAUAACAAAGGUCAAAUCUCCUGAAUAGUUUUUAUUUUAGUUAUUGUUCUUUAGCAGCCUUCAAAUGUUAAAGUGACCAAAUUAAGUUCUAAAAUCAUUAUAAAAUAAGAAAUUAAUUGAAAUACCAUAAGUUCACUACCAUUUUUCCAAAGUAUACUCAACCAAAAAUACUUUAACAAUUUGAAUUUAUGGUUUAAUGAUUAUUGUUUAGAGUUUAAUAUUUUGGGAGUAGAGUUGAAUUUGUAAAUAUAUUAUUUAUAAUCGCUUAGAAAUGAUUUAAGAAGGUCAAUUUAGUCUUUUUCAUCUUAAAUUUAAAGUAUUUAUGAAAAUGACUAUCAUCUAAGCUAUUUCAGACCAUUUUUUGAUAACAAAUGUACAAAAAGAUAAAUUAAUAUAUACUAGGGUAGGUCCGCGCUACGCGCGGAAUGUGCUUUAUAUGUGAUAUAUAUAAGUAUGUAAUUGUAUAUAUUUUGUGUAUAUGUUAUGUAAGCUUUUGCAAGAGAAAUGACAAUAAUGUUUAUUGUUUUGAGAAUGUUAAAGGUUGUGAAGAGAUUAUAUAUGUUAAAAUUAAUUAUGUUUGGUUUAUUAAUAGAUUACAUCAUAGAACAUAUAUAUUGGGUAGAUGAUAUGUAUGUGGUGCUCUCAUUGUAUAUUUUUGAUAAUUUUGAAUCCAAAACACUAAAAACAGUAAAGUGUAAAUUUAUUUUUUUAUAUUAUAAACUAACACUUAAAUAUAUAAUUAUAAUUUUUUUCAAAAAUUUCAAUUCGUUUAAGCCCAUUGCAUAGAUGUAAAGCAGAUACCUUAUAUGCAUAAGUAAUCCACGUCUUUUGAAUCUCCAAUUAUAUUUUAAAAAUAUUAUGUAAAUAUAUUAGUUUUAUUUUUUAUUUUCUAUUUGUUUCUUAGUUUUUACAGUUUUUAUUAAAUAUUUUUUUAGUUCUUUGUAAAUGAACAGUAUUAUUUUAAUGUUUUCUUCUUAAAUGUAGAUAAUUUAAUAUUUAAAAUAAGGUUAUAUUUAAUGAAAACAAUAAAUAUUCAUCUAACAAUAAAAACGAUGAAGAUAGAUAUAAAUUAUUUUUUCUUCCAUAUAGUUGAACUCUCCUUAUUUAUAAUUUGGGAUGAUGGAUUUUUAACACUUUUUAUAAUUUUUUUACAACUUUUAAAAAUCUUUAUAAAUUUAGUUGUUUUGUAUGAUUAUAUGAUGUCACGAUAAAAUUUAUAUCGCUUUUACUUGAAAGAUUAACUAUUUUGGAAUCCAUAAAAAAGUUAAAUUUUAUGUGCAUAUUCCAAGACAAAAUUUAUUUUGGUUUAACAUACUUUCAAACGAUCAUUUAUACUCCAUUCGUUUCAAUAUAUAUGAUUUUUAGGUGAUUGUUUUUGUAUUACAAUAUAUUAUGUUUUCUCAUAUCUAGGUAACUUUAAAUUUAUCAAAAUUGUGUAGCCAAUUGUAUUAUUACUAUUUUUUAUAAUUAAAUAAAUUAGUUUAAAAAUGUAUUUUCAAUAAUUUUUGGAGAAAAUAAAUUUCUUGGUUUGUGUGCAAAGAGCUAAAACUUCAUCUACUAUGAAACGGAGGGAGUAUAAUUUAGAUUGAUACUUUAAAAUGUUUCUAAUUUUUUUUUCAUAUUGUUUUUGUAUUUUAUGUUUACUAAAUCCUAUAUUAAGCUAUGUAACUGUUUUUCUUUCUAUAUAUAAAAUGGUUUAAAUUUGAUAGUAAGUGAGAAUUAUUAUUUUUGUUUGGUUAUUUCACGUUUGUUUACAUGAUUUUCUAGCCAAAAGGUCCACAAAAGAGUUGCUAGACCAUUUCACUUUAAGAGGAUAUUUACAUAUAAAUGUGGUGUAGAAAUAUGUCCUCAUGUGGUAGUGACACUAAUUAAUGGCAUACUUUUUAAAUUAAACAACUUAUCUAUAUAGCAGUUUUUUAUUUGUUAGAAAAAUAUGUUAAAAAUCAUUUUAAACAUAAUUUAAAUAGCAAACAAAAUUUUGAAAACAACAUAUGUCAGCUAUUGAAAUUUAAAAUUAAAAUAAUGUGACAUACGCUCUUUAUGAAAAUAAUAUUAUUAAGUUUGUUCUCUUAGAAUAGUUUUAAAAAAUGAAAAUAUAAAUUUUAUUAAUAUUCACAAAUUUAUUUAUUUUUAGUUGUUUAAAAAACAUGUUUAGGUAAUAAUUAUUUUGGAACCAUCUAAGUGCUCUGGAUUCCUAAGACUGCAGUAGAUAGCUACUGCUGUCACUAAAGCUCGAUUGGGUUAAAACUCAGCAGGUGGUGGACAAUAGUUUGAUGAAAAUGCAGUCCCACUGUUAAUAUUCCUCUCCAACAACGCCUGCACAAUGAACCUUAAAUGCAUUUUUAGAUGUUCUCUUUUCUUUUUCCGUUUUCGAUUGAGAGUCAAGGCAUUUUGAGUUCUUUCAAAUUCAUAAAAUGCGAGAUCUCAGCUUUCUUUUAUAUGAAAAACAAAAAGUUAGUAUAAGAAAUCUAAGGAACAAUGGUAAGUGAAGAUAAAACUUUCACUAAUCCAAUCUACAAUUUUGUGUUUUGUUUUAAUCAAGAUAUGUCAAAUUGAUGGAGCUUGUACAUAACUUGAAGCUUCAAUCACCUCCAUCACAACUUCUGCAGCCCUGAUUCCUGUCAGCUUAGUCAUAGCUGAGUCGAAUGCUACAAAGAGAGAUUUAUCAUCACCCGCCUACACCAGCAGCUCAACACGAUACCUUGCGAUUGUGUUUUUUUUUUCCAAAUAGUUGGCACAAAUAACAAAAGGCUGUUUUUAAUGAGCAAGUUUAAUAUAGAUAUGUGAACCGAACCUGACAACUCCAACAACACUGGCAUUAAAACAUGUAGGGCAUGUGAAUGAAGAGUUCCCUCGCUGGAGCUUCUUGGAGCAUUUAGCACAGGAGAUGUAUCACCAUCCGUUUGUAGUUUCCAGUGAUGCGAUCUUGGCUUUGCAUAGAAACUCAAGGGCCUGCAGUUAUUAAAGAAUUUUGGUCUUAGUCCACAGAAGCAUGAGGCUGAGGCAGAAAAUUAUCAGAACCUUACUUGUGGGGGUGACUCCAGAACAUAGUUGUUCAACUCUCCUAGUGAAACCUUUUCGAGCUUCUUUACACCAUGGUACUGCUUCGCACUGGUAGUGUCCUUCUCGGGUUUUGAAUACAACCUGCAUAUUGUAUAUAAUCAGAUAUGAACAAAGACAUGUGUAGAUUAUUUUUAGACAUGUGAGUAAUAAGAUGAGUACUCUUGAAAUAGUCUCUGGCUUGCGGCCACCUCAUGGUCAAAGUAAAAAUGGAUCCCAGAAGUAGCAUCCAGGUAUAGUCGACCUAAAGAAAAAAUUAAAUUUAUUUAUAUUUGUUAAUGUACAUAAGCAUAUGAUUUGGAGUGGAAAUAAAUAAAAAAAUGCUUGCCCCCUAUAAACUUGGGGUUGAUGUUGGUUGCGACGAUCACCUUUGCCACACCGAAUGUUACCUCCAACAAACUUGGGGUUAAUGCUGGUUGCGACGAUCACCUUUGCCACACCGAUGGCCAAGAUAUUUUGUUUUAGCUGGUCCGCUUGUGCAUCAAAAACACUUAGAGAAACAGUUGUAGAACUGCAACUAAGUGUAGUUCCAUAUUAGACUUCGAAUAUAAAUUAUGUAAACACAUACCUAUUAUGAAUCAAUCAUCGCACCUGUUAAUCAUAAUGUGUUGAGCUGUCCAAGUCUGAUCAUUAAAAGUAAUGUUGAUGUCUCGUACAGCCCCUAUGAUGUCUACAAAGGUUAGGUUUAGUUUGAUUAUACAUCGAUACAAUAAGAUCUAAACUUUAUGAGUGAAAAGCUUUAAACUUUAUGGGUGGUUUUGGUAAAAGUCGAAACCUUUCGAUACAAUAAGACGUUAGAAAAAAAAUACAGAUUAACACGUUCCUAACCUGGUAACUGAGUAUUAGUAUUUGCCAAAGACAUCGGCUUAAAUCACUAAACCAUUUAAGAGCUACUAAGAUGAGGAAGAGAAGAGAAAGGCUUCGACUUUUAUUAAAACCACCCAUAAAGUUUAAAGUUUUUCACUCAUCUAACAAAACCCUUAUCAGCAUAGAACAGAUUAAGAGAGAGAUAUCUUCUUACAUAGCCAUUGAAUUGCUGAGCAGCUGCCUUAACUUCAGACACAGAAGAGAUAGCCACGAACCCGAAACCCCUGCUUCGUCAUGUCACUUUGUCAUAGAUCACCUAACAAAGACAAAUGAACUAAUCUCAACUCAACAACAACAAAAAAGAACAUAUCUUUGUCUCCUGCGGAAUCCCAUUGCAACAUAACAUUAACUACAGAGACAACUGAACUAAUCUCAACUUAACAAAAAUAAAAAGAAUCAAUCUUUGUCUCUUGUCGGAAUCCCCAUUAUGACAAUAACACAAACCACUUCAAAAAGCAUAAAGAAUGAUUCUUUCAUACCUCAACCAUCUCAACGUUUCCGGCGCUUUCGAAGAGCUGAGCGAGCUGAGCACUAUUGACUUAAAGGGAAGGUUGCCGACGAAGAGUUUAAGGUCAGCAGAGAAGGAUUGCUCCUGCUGCGGAGGCGGCGGAGCCUCAUCGGAGAAAAUGUUCCCUUCUUCUUCUACGUUGAAGUCGUCUGUAACCGCGACGUUGCGGACGAAGCGAGACGCGGCAGAUGAAGCGAAGAUGGAGAGGGAAAUGGAUUGGGAGUUGAGUUCGAAGGAGAGGGAAGAGGUAGGAUGGAAGUGGAGGCAGGUUUGGAGAUGGAGAAGGUGGAGAGAGCGAGGGAUGAAGCUGAAGCAGCCAUGGAGGAGGAAGAGAAGAGAUAGGGUUGACGGCAUUGCGUCGAAUUCUACUGGGCUGGCCGGCUAGUCUUUUUAUCCACACAAAAGGCUUAAAAGCUAAAACGCAUAUAUAAGCCCGUAUCAAUCCAUCGCCAAGUUAAUGAAACGGUGUGUUUUAAUUUAUGGGACAGGUGUAGCUUCCUCCUUGCACUAUUUGAUGAGGUGGCAAGAGGAAAAGAGAAUAACCUUCUACUUUAUGUUAUAAGAUUAUCAGCAAAGUGGUAUUCGAUAUAAUCUCAGAAAUAUGGUAAAAAAAUUUAUAAUGUGAAAUAAACAUAAACCUAUUAUAUUAUAUAAACUUUUUAUUUGGAUUGGUUAGUUAAUUAUGAUUAUUUCUUUGAUAUACAAUGCAAUUUCCUUUUUCUCUUUUUUUAAUUAGUAAUCGUAAGAAUGCACAGUCGGUUGCUUUCGCAAUGUAUGUGGAAGAAAAAGAUAUAGAAUAUGUGUUCGUUCGUCUGUCUAACCUUUCUUUCGGGCUCUUCUUUCGGAAGAAAGGUUAUUAAAAAUGUUAAAUGGAGGAACGAAUAGAAUCAUGGCAUUAGUACUUUACGUGUGAAAUCUAAACAUGUAUUACAACAAUUUAAGAAUCAUUGCAAUAAAACAUUCCGACACCUAUAAAUAUAUUACUUUAUCCAAUGUACAUUAUAUUCUACUUUCUUAAACAAUUGAUCCAUUGUAACUUCAUAACCACCAUUCCCCGUAUCAAACUGGUUCCAACCAUGGACUUAAUUCAGCAUUCUCCAACUGUUAUCGUUUGUACUCGUCCACGAUACAGAAACAAAGAAGAGUUUCGUUCAGCACGAUUCAAAGAUUCACCAAUUGUAUUGUUCGGUUUUCCCGGUCUAGAAAACGAUAAGGAGUCCCCGCCUUCAGAUAAUACCCAUCCGCUUGUAUGGUGCCGCAACGAAGAAAACAAAGAUAAAGAAUUUCCAUGCAACUUUUGCGAGCGUCAGUUAGAUAGCACCACAGGCUAUUAUUUAUGCGAAGAGUUCGAUAAGAGGAUUUCUAAAAACAACACUGUUGGUUUUCAUAAAGAGUGUAUCAAACCGAUGACCAACAAUCCUUAUCAUCCUAAACAUCCGCUCCAAGUUCUCGUAUUUGCAACAGUGGUACCAAACAAAGUAUGCUAUUGUUGUUACACUUAUAAAACUCACUUUUACUAUUGUUUUAUAUGUAAUUUUAGCAUUUGUCGGGAUUGUGCGAGAAAACCGCUACUCCUUACAAUAGACCACAAGAAAAGGCAUGAACAUACACUCUACUACAUUCCUCGAGAAGCCUCCAUGACUUGCGAUGUUUGUGCUUUGCAUGAUCGAAGGUACUUUAUUUAUGUAUGUCAUCAAUGUGAUUAUGUAGUCCAUAAAAAGUGUAUAUAUUCACCAUACGUCAUAAAAAUUUCUCGUCAUGAACAUCGCCUCUCUUUCACUUCUUCGUUUCUUUCUGGAGAAUGGUUUUGCGGAAUUUGUCGGAAAAAAAUAAACCAAAAUUAUGGAGGAUAUUCUUGCGUGAAAGGUUGUUAUUAUGUUGCUCAUUCCCAGUGUGCUAUACAUAAAGAUGUAUGGGAUGGAAAAGAACUUGAAGGAGAACCAGAAGAAAUAUUUGAAAGCAUUAUGCCGUUUGAAGAGAUAAGUGAUGGAAUUAUAAAACAUUUCAGUCAUAAACAUCAUAUGAGACUCCUCAAAGAAGUUGAGAAAACAAAUAAGAUUAACAAACACUGUCAAGCAUGCGCAUUUCGGAUUUAUGAAGGUGACAUUUAUAAUUGCUUGGAAUGUGAUUUUGUUCUCCACAAAGUAUGUGCGUAUCUUCCAGUUAAAAAACAACAUGUGUUGCAUCCUCACCCUCUCUUCUUACAAGAGGAAAAUCUACAAACUACGUUUGGGUGUUCAGCUUGCUUUCGUGUAUGCAAUAAUUUCAGGUAUGUGUGUCAAAUGGCCAAUUGUCUUUUCACAUUAGACGUGAAUUGUGCAGCUGUAUCUGUACCACUUAAUCAUCAAUGUCAUCCACAUCUUUUGUUCCUACCAUCUCAACCUGGAUCUGAAAGAAUUUGUUCGAUUUGUAAGAAAACUGAAAAGAUCCGUUUAGAAUGUGGAGAAUGUGAUUUUGUGUUUUGUUUUCGCUGUGCAAUUCUACCAAUGAAGUUCAAGUACCAGCAUGAUGAACAUCCUCUCAUAUUUUCAUAUGAAGAAGACUCGAAUGGUCAACACUGGUGUGAUGUCUGUGAAAAAGAAAUACUACCCAAGAAUGGAAUAUAUACGUGCAGUGAUUGUGACAUCCAACUCCAUAUCGAAUGCUUACACGGGAACAACAUGUAUUUGUUACCUUGUAAAUCGGUUAUACUUAAUGAAGGAAAAUACGAUAUUCUUUGCAAUGAUCUGCCCACACGGUACACAUGCAAACGAUGUCAUAAACGUUGCGAAGACAAGACCGUCUACAAGAGAUCCGACGAUGUAAUCUAUUGUUCUAUGUAUUGUAUAGUCUGUGAGAAAUAUGGAAUCAAAAAUUAAAUAAAAUAAACCAUGUAUAAAUAUUAUUUAUAAUAGUUGAAUAUUAAUAUUUAUCACAAAUUUAAAUUCUGAUAUGCCAAACUAAUUUCAAACGUCUGAGUCAGAGAAAAAUUGAUCACAUUAGCUGCAAAAGUUUCUGGUCAUAUUCAUAAAACAAAACCUUGGAGACAUAAGAGCAUCUUUGAAGCUAAACCGUUUCACAGUUUCUUAGUUUUAAUUUUUUAUUUUUUUUUUUGACUAAAUUUUUUUAAAAAAGUAAACUAAUCGUGCGCCACCACGUAUCGGUGGAACCCGCAAACAGUACAAAAACUUAACUAAAAUCAGUCCUUAUUUAGUUACUUUUGUCAUCAGUUGUUAUGGUUUUUGUGGGACCUCCGAUUUAAGAAACUCCCUAAUAACCCGGGAUAAAGAUGGUCUAACAAUUAGUCAUUUUAGCCCCAAAAAACGGAAAUGCAACAAAGUUUUCGGAAACAGGAAAAUAUAAUGUCUACUUUGAGGCCCUUUUCUUCAACGAUUAAAGCGACUAAUCUGUUGAUAGUUUUCAUCAAUAGACUCUUUAACAGCAUCAACCACCAGCUGUGUCUUCCGGCUAAUGCUUGGCCAAAACCCAACAGGCUUUGCACAUUUGUCCUUCAUUUCUCCAACCAGCCUGACAAAUUCUUUCACCAUUCACGCCUCUUGCGGGAGCUCUGUCUUAACCGUUUGUUCACUCGGAGGAUUAACCCACGCGGUCACGGGCUUAUUGAACCAAGCUUUAGUGCACGUGGUGAACGAUGCUUCGGUCUCUUGGAACGGUAUAACAAAGUCGUCAACACGAACUAAGCCUUUUGUUCCAAUGGCUGAUAUCUCAAUUGUUAGGUUUGCCAAGAAAGAGCCGUAUAUGGUUGCAGUUCGUCCGUCUUCCCAGGCUCAGAAACGCUCCACACGAGAGAAUCACUCCUGACUAGUUCAGGACAGUGCCUAGAGAGGCCGUGACUGUUUUGGGAAGCUCAAAGUUGUUGGCUACAAGGGCUGCUCGGAUUGCGUACCAUCCAAGGUCUCCGAGCGCAUCAAGACCAUCAAAGAUAUAGUCUUCGGCGAGAUAUAAGAGAGUGGUGAUAGAGAGAAAACCAGGAGCAAAGACAGCGACAUGCGUAGAGCUUUGAAGAGUCGAAAAAGAAAACACUACCUCUAAUGGAGGGACCCAAUAAAAAAUUAGCAGUUUCUUCGUUUUGUGGGAAGAUUAGCUUAAACAAAAAAUAAACGUUCAUAAAAUAGUAUACCCUAAUGUAAUGCCCACCAACCAAUUGCAAUGUUAAAAACUCUUUAAUCAGAUGAUAUACAUGUAAAAAUCAAACCGAUCUUUUGCAUGCUGCAAAACAAUUUGAAACCUGAAUAUUGUAAAAAGAACACUGCUCUUUUCAGAGAAUCAUAGCAACCAUGGAAUGAAACAUGCUUGGGAAAUAAGAUAACAGAAUCACUCAUCAAGAGAUUAAUCGUAUCAUCUUCAGAACAAUGUCAAAUUUAUACGACUUUCAAUUUGAUUCAAAAUAUUAGUUCAAAAACAAAAUCAAAACACGACAUUUGAGAGAAUAACUCCAGACCAAACUGACCAAUACUCAUAAAUCAAUAUUUUUUCCAAGUAUAUUUCCAGAAAUAAUAAACUUUUAAUGAUGAUAUGGACUCCGGACAAUCCAAAUUGCAAUCCCUCAAAAAAGCUCUUAUAAUCUACAUGAAGUCGAAAUCGUCCAUGGCAUCAUAAGGACCAGCCACUAGAUCGUCAUUGGCCUUAUCUACAAUCAGUUGUUUCUUUUUCCCACCUGAUCAUCACAAAAAAAAAAGGAUUCACACUCAACUUCAGAAUAACGAAAUCUACAAAUAUAUAACCCAAAAAUUAAAAGGCGAGUGUCAAUGGACAUACCAGUCUUCUUUCUGCCAGCAGCAGCUUCUUUCUCUGCCUUGAGUUUUUCAUUUGCUAUAGCUGUAACGGAGGAAGCAACAUCUUUAACAUCUGCUGCCUUCAUGUUGGUCACGGAAAGUCUCAUGACUGCUUUGAGUAGCGCAAUAUAAUGAUAACUUUUCUGCAAACAGAAACCAAAAUAUAAGCUCAACAAGCGUUUCCUAUUAAGCAAAGGAGAAGAAAGGCUAUGCAAACAUACCUCAUAUGGUUUAAGCUUAUGAGAAAUCAUUUCAGCAUAUUCCAAAAAAUCGCUUUCAGACUUGGGGAUGAACACAUCAAGUUUUUUCUCUUCAUCCUUCGUUCCAAAUAGCUCAGCAGUUGCCUUAUAGUCAGCUUCUUCAACAAGCCUGUGAGAGAAAGAACAUAAUGUAUAAGAACACACAGCCUUUGGUCUAUUUAUAAAAUCUCUGUCUCAACAAAGACAAAAAACUGAAAAAGUAGAAGGUUUAUAUACCUCUGCAUGCGAAGUUUCUCAGAGAUGGGAUCUAAAGGCUCUUCCUUUGGUGCUUGUUUUGGAACAUCGGCUGCUUUACCCUUCUUUUCAACAGCUUUGGAUGCUGCUUUCUUAGGAGGAGUCUUCUCCGUAGCAGGCUUAACAGGAGCAGGUUCGUCAACAUCAUCAUCGUCAUCCCAAGAGUCCUUAAUAUCAUUCUCAUCUACAUCCUCGUCGUCCCAGUUGCUUUUAAGCUCAACUUUAGCUGGAAUUGGUGCAAGUUGCUCAUCCUCUGAAAUCAUUAAAAUAAAAACUAUAAGCAAUCAAAACUCCAAUAAGAUGCAAGUGAAUCAAUGUUUGUAAUGUGAUUAGAGAUAGUUAUAAUCAGAAACACACAAUAAAGAAUAAAAGAAAGCAUAAUCUUACCCCAAUCAUCCAUAAUUGCUGCUAGUUAUCGAGUAAAAAAUACAAGCUGAGAUCUGAAUCCAACUGUAAAACCUGUCGGACAUAUACAUAAGCAUCAACAGAGAUCAACAAUUACCUAAUCGUACAAAGCUAAGUCUCAAUUCGAGAAGCAAAAAAAACAUAAGCAUGGGCAACUUAAAGGAAAAACACAACAGAGAUCAACAACAGCUUUGAAAGAAGAGAUUUUUUUUAAAGAUCUAGAAGCGAAAGCAGAAACCUUUGAAUAAGAUAACAUACCGAGACAAGGAAGAGUUACAGCCGAGGAAGAUGAAGAAGCGUAGUUCGUUGUAAUGAGGCGAUAGGCUUUUAAACGGCUUGGGGGUUCCUGGUUUCGGUGGAUUUAGGGUUUUUUUUUUUUUAAAUUCCUCUUCUCUUUUGAUAUAUGUCUUUUUCUAAAAUCUUUCCUUUUUACGCAAAGAAAAAAAAGAAAAGUAUGCUGGCCUAGCCGAAAUCUCACAAUUUUUUUUGUUGUCUUCUCGGUUAGAUUCAUAUGGUCGAACCGGUCACAAGUGUCCCGAAUAUUAAAAUCUUCCUUUUUCCAAAUUAGGUUUUCUUUCAAUUUUCUUUUUGAAAUAUUAAUUUGAUUUUUAAAAUGUGUUACUUGUUAGUACAAAAAGGGAAAGAAUAAGAAUUUAAUGAGUUUGAAAAAUAGAGCAAUAGAAUUUGGAUGUGACAGAAACUCCGGUUUUUAUGCCUGAACAACUUGAAAAACCUUAAAAUAGCCAUGCAUCAGACUUGAAAACGAUGACCAUCUUAUGUUAUUUGCAUACGAUAAGUCUUUGGAUCCAAAGUGCAGAAGUCAAUGAAGCUCAGAAUCAAAAGUACAUUGGGCAUUGAUAAAAAAGGAGGAUAAUGCAUGAAAGCAGAGGGUCAAUGGAUGGUUCAAAUAAAUAAAAAAAAACUCCUUAACUUUGUUCGGGACAGGGCAGAGGGUCAAUGGAUGGUUCCUGAAAGCUUUGUCGCGAAGGGGUAAGGGAGUACUCACUAAUUCCAUUGGAUCGACAAUGGCAAUCUAUGCCAUGACGUGCUACAAGCUACCAACGAACCUUUGCGAUAAACUCACAAGUGUUUUGCCACAAUUCUGGUUCGAAUCAUAAAAAGUCAUGUUGGUUUCAUGGCAAAAACUGUGUCCGAAAAAGAAGAAGAAGGAAUAGGCUUCCAUGACAUCAGCAGCUUCAACCAAGCAUUAUUACACGGAAGCAAGCAAGCAAGCAAACAUUUGUUUUGUUCUUCAACUUUCAUCUACUUUAUCAAACUAAAAGAUAACAUUUUAAUUUGCAUAUUACGUUAUGAAACAUGAUGGUAUCUGAAUCAGCAUCCGCUUACUGAAACUGUGAUUUAUAUGCAAACCAAGAACACUAAUUCCCUCACAGUUUCUCAUUGGCUACAAACUCUUCUAGUCUUCUUCAAUUCACUGUAUAGAACUCAAGAUCAAAUAAGUAAAACCGUCAAGAUAGCGAAGUGGGGAAUCCCAGUAAUGAUUAAAGUAAGACUUUCCAUUGCUCAUGAACAGAACCAGAUCUGAAACAGCAUCAAUUUCAUGGAUCUGUAACUCACAAGCUAGCAAAUAUUUUACUCAUUGGCAAACUGAAUCGAACUACAGUUUCUUAUACAGAACCCAUAAUCAAGUAGCGAAAAAACUAAGCUUUGAGGUUAAGACAAGAUCAAAAGACGCAAAAAACAAAACCAAACCAUUCUACAAAGCAAAGCUUUUGAGAAAACCAGGAUCACGUUUAGCUCUCUCCUGAAACUUCUUAAACCACCGAUCCAAUAUAUCCAUCGGAACAACCAACUUGCUCCCAUCCACGCCGCAAAACGACUGCAUGAAAUUAAACAGAUUCUCCCCAACUCUCAUCGCCAACCGCUCGAUUUUCCUCUCCGCCGCCACAUCCAACGACGGAAGCGACGCCGCGUCCUCCACCGAGAUACCGAUUUUCGCCGACAAAGGACCCGAAUCCCCCGCCGUGAGCUGCAUCUGCGCCGCGCUUCCAGGCUCCGGCCACUGAAGGGACAAAACCGCCGAGGGUCGAGAUACGGUUACGGCGCCGCAGAAGGCGAAGGCGGAUCCUGGGGAUUGGACGUAGACGGCUAGUGCUUUGUCCGGUGGGAGAGUGAAGUUGUUGAGUAGGAAGAUGCACAUCUCUCCGAUUUGGUCGUAUGCUUCGCCUGAGAGGGGAAAUUGAUUUUUUUUGGAUUUGAUUAAUUUAGGUUUUAUUGGGAAGAUGAGGAGACGAGGAGGUGAAGACUUACCAACGAAGUGGUUCAUGUCGAGAACCCAGUGGAAAGUGUCGAUUUGGACGAAGGUUGAGAUGUCCAUUGGGAAACUUCUAUUCGGGAAGACCACGCCGAACAUUGUUUUUAUGUUUUUGUCUGUUGAUUUUUGAGUUUUGGGAGGUCUUGAGUGAUGAAAGAAAAAAGAAGAGAGAAGCAGAGCGGUUGUUGAGAUGAUUCUAGAAGCCUUUGGAAAUAGUUACAACUUACAACAGUUCCGCACUGAGACUGUGUGUCGUGUCCGUGUCAAUUGAAGGAUAUGUUUUUUACGGCCUUUUUAUAUUCGUUAAAUGAAAAUAAAGCCCACAAGGAUGUUACAAAAAUGGUUAUAGCGGUUGUUGAGUGAAGGGAGAAAAAAGAGAGAGACGGAGCGGGUGUCGAGAUGAUUCUUGAAGCAGUUGGAAAUAGCUAUAACAGUUUCGCACGGAGACUGUGUGUGUGUGUGUUAUUUCAAAAGGGUUAACAACCAAAGCAAUAAAAUAAGAGAAAUUACAUGAAAAAAUAGAAGAAAAGUGAAGAAGAAAUGUAGCAGGCGCUUAUUAUAAAACAUAGUUAUGGAUUAUGUUUUAAACAGUCGGGAAAGCAUCUUAAAAUGAACGGUGUUGUCUAAAUAUUACUGGACAUGGUAGCUGUCACUCGACCCUCUUUUGUAUAGAUUUUGUCGUUUCAGGUUUGCUUUGCAGCCUGUGUUUGUUGUUUGAAAUAAAGCUUGGCUGGCUUGUGGGUGUGUUUGGUCUCUGGUCUAGCAGUCUUUGCGUGUUGGAAUCAAAUUAGAAGGUCUUUAGCAAGCUGUUUUUAGGUGUACCUAUCAUAAAAAUCUGUUCAUUGGGUACGCCAAUUUCUACCGGGCUCAGAAUUUCGUAUUUCACUGCGGUUCAUCCUUUUGCGGCAAGCGACUAGUACCGACUGUGAUGGUUCCUUGUGGGUUUUUAGCUGGUUGUAUCUUCCCCUUCUUGUUCAGUUUGAGUUGUUGUUUAGUUAGUGUAGUUGUUUUUUAUUUUCUGUUUUUCGUUUACUCUGUAAUUCUGUCAAAAAUUAAAAUUGGUAAUGAUAUUUUAACAUUUUUACCAAAAAAAAAAAAAACAUAUUACUACAGAGGGCUCAUAAAAGCAAAACACCGAAGUUGAGAGAACUCUGAACAGCUAAGAUGGAAAGCCUAGGAUGGUAUCAGGCUGUGCAACGGUAAGAUGGAAAUCUCUGUGUUCUCCCAAAAGUUGACGAACAGUGGAGAACAUGGCGUCUUUUUCUAAGUUUUCGUCUUUAGAGAUUACCAGGACAUAGACUGGUUCGUUACUACGGGCCUCCACCCAGAAAACCAUGUCUACUAGCAUCAUGCGGAUUCUGGAACCUCUAUCCCCUGGCAUAGCAUAUCAACAGAGACGUACAUAUUAAGUAACAAUAAAAAAAUAAAAGGACAGAAUAGAGGUUAUGAAUUGAAUUCACCUCUAAGUAAAAUGGGCUUCAUUCCAUAGUUGCAAUAUUCUUCAGCCUGUUUAUCAGAGAACUGAUUCUUAUCACUAUAGAAAGCCUUGGUUGACACCAUCCCAUGAUAACCUUCCUGCCUUAAAUGGAUUCUAACUUUCUCUUGGAUCUCAUUCGGUUCAGGGAUUGGGAUAUCAUCAGUGUCCAACAUGACACAUACGGAUGUCACUGCCACGUUACACAAAAAUGAUAAUUUACGAAAAAUCAGACAGCGAAAAUAUACAACGAAUUAGACUCUAUUCAUUUUAAUACCGCAUGACUGAUCAGAUGCGAUCAGUAUCUAAACAACCUUUAUAUACGAAUUCGAAUGUGACAGAUCGAUCAGAUGAAAUCUAAUUAAAACUACAAACAAUUUCGAGUAAGGGAUAUAUCUUACCAGACUUUUUACUGCCGAGAUCUUUGAGCGUGCGUGAGAUUCCGAUAGGGUCCAUCGAGAAAAUUUGAGACGCUUACGAUUGGAAGCUAUUUGUUCAAACGGUCGCCUUUGUGGGGUUUAGGGCUAGAUCUGUUCUACAAUCUCGCCCUCUCCGUCUGAUUCUAAAAGGCCCAUUUGUCGUAAUUUGCUUUUUACUACUUAACUAGAGUGUCCGUAUCUAUUGAAUGAAAUGUUCUUGGGGGCCUUUUUGUAUUCGUCAAGCUCACAAGGAUGUUACAAAAAUGAUCUCUAAAGAUGGAAAUUGGUAAAAAAAAGAAGGAAUACUUGCCACAAGUAUUAAAAUUUCUUGUUAAUAAUCUCUUAUAUAUUAUUUGAGAAGCAUUACAACUUCUUUUUGUAGUCAUGUGUCAUCACUAUGAUGAUUCUUAGAAUUUUUAAAGAAAUAUGAUGGUCCAUCUAAUUAUAUAAUAAAUUUUUAUUAAACUAACAAUAAAUUCAUUAUUAAUAUACUUUAUUAUUUCAUUAAAUAAAAUUUCUGGAAUUGUCUUCUUUUUUUUGGUCAAAACGGAAUUGUCUAAUGUGGCUAACAUAUAUAUGAUGAUUAAUGAUUUUGAAUAAUAAAGAUUUGAUAAAAAAAAUUUGUGUAUCUUAUAUCAUAUUUGUUUAAUUUAAAACUAUUAAAUAAAUUAAACAACCACAAUAACCAUAUAAUAAAAAUUUAGAUUUUUCUGUAUAUGUUAUAUUUUGAAUUUAAAAAAAUGACUAUAAAUUACUAAAACUGUUAAAAGCUUCACAUUCAAAUUUUGUGAUCCAUGGUUUAAAAAUUUUGUUAUGACAAAAUAUAAAUGAUUACAAAAUUAUAUAAGUAAAAAGUCUAAUUUAAUUAAUUAUUAAUAUUAAUAUAUAUAGUUUUAAAUUAAACUAUAAACCAUAUAAAAUACAUAAAUAUUUUAGUUUCAAUAUUUACUUUGAACAAUUUUUUUGAUAAAAGUUUUGAACGAAUAUUAACAACUUAUUUUUUAAGAAUAUAAAUUAGUAAAACUAUUAAUCCCACAAUGAAAAUUUUGUUAUGAGUAAUUUAAAAUUUUUUCAAUAAAAGAUACAAAUGAUCAAAAAAACUAUCUGAAUAGAAAUCAUCAUUUAAUAGACAUUAAUAUUAAAAAUAUACUAUGUAUGUUAGUAUCAUCUAAAUUUAAUUACAUAUCCUAUCAAAUAAAAAAAAUAUUUUUUUGGAUUAAUAAAAUUGAUUUAUAUGUUCACACCAAUUUAAUUAUAUAUUUAAUAGUUAAUGACUUUUAAUUAUUCAAUAUAUAUUUAUUAUUUCAUAAUAUGUAAAGAUAUUUAAUACAUAAAAUAAUUUUUAUAUAUAAUCUUAACCUAGUAUUCAUUGUUUUGCUUCCUCAAGGUUUAAUGAAAAGCAUUGAAAUAUAUCAAAUUUCCUAAAGUUCUAAAUUUCAAUUUUCUGGAAACAAGAUCUUGACAAAACGCUGGUAUACAUUCCCAGCUCUAAUUUCAUUAAUGGACCGACUCAAAACGUAUCCACAAACUCAAAGAAAGAACCCAACUUUAUAGACUUCUCAGUAACCAAUUACAAACCGAAAGUCCCAGAAUCGGUUUAAGCAGAGUGCAUACCAAUUAGGCCCUGGACGAAACCCGAAUCCAAUCCUGUACCUCCCAUAUAAUACCUAUCAAGAACAUCAUGAAUCAUCUUCGCAGCAACCUUCGUAUCAUCUCCAAGUCCAUCGAUCCUCUUAAUCAUCAAAGCCAAACGCGACACGAACUCAUACUCACGCCCACGAAACCUCAUAGCUUCACCACGCACUUUCCUCACUAACCUCAACAGCCCUUUACGCACAACCGUAUCUCGUUUCCGCACGUUAACCAUCUCCCAAACCGAACUCACAAUCGCGUAAACCGAGUCCCAAACCAAAUCUUUCCUCUCCAAGUUUAUCAGCUGCAGCAUCAGAUUAAAACCAGCUUCCAACGCUAAACACCAUUCUUCAUCAUCUUGAUGAAACAAGGCUUUAACGAUCUUGAACGCGAGAUCAUUCUCCAGCAACGGUUUCAAGAAACCUUCGUCGAGAACAGUCGGUAACUCCACGAACAUCAGUAGCAUUUUCUUGUCAUUUAAAGAGAGGAUGAAGGAAGAGAGCUCCUCCCACGGGAUGGAUUCGAUGAAGAAAUCAACGGAGACGAGAGAUACGAUUCUCGAGAGGAGCUUAAACUCACGAUCAGAGGUUUCUUGAAGUACAAGGCAAGCGUUAAGAUGCUCCUUCAUGUCCUUCAGCGCCUCUGUUUUCAACGCGACGUUAGACUCUUCGAGAUCGAUGAGAAGCGAAGUGAGGAGUUCGAGGGGGUAAGAUCGAAGGCCUGAGCGAGAGGAGGAGGGAAACGCCGCCGUCGUCGUCAUGAAUCUGUAUGCGUGGAGGAGUUUGACGGCUAAGAGAUUCGGGAAAUGAUUCUUGAAGGUGUUGUAGAGGAGACUCGAUGAUUCGUCUGAUUCUUUGGCGUAGCAGAGGUUCGUGACGAGUCUGGUGAUUCCUGUGGCGUCGCGUGUCGCGAGGAUCUCUUUGGCUUUGUUGGCGAUGUAGAGACGAGAUGAAGUGAUGGGAGGAGGAGGGUGAGAUGAAGAAGCUCCACUGUUGUUGCUUCGAUUGCCUGAAGAAGACGCCAUACUGAUUUUUCCUGAGAAAGUUUGUGUUUGUUCUCAGAGAAAAGGAUAAAUCAUGAAGAGAAAGAGAUUUGAUGUAAUCUUUUCUAUAUAUAUUCAUUCGCUCUGGUGACUUUGACGAUUGUAGUUUAUCGUUAGAAUGACCAAAUUACCCUUCAACAGGUAGUGCACUCUGUUAAAAUGCUCACGUGUUGAUCACGAGCUCUUUUCCUAUUGGAGUGGGGGCAAUGGGAAUAAAUCUGAAACAAACCAAGCUUAACCAAAUUGAAAUUCAUCGUUGCGAACUGGUACCUGUUCUUAUUAUUAUAACCUGAAUUUUUUUUUUUUUUUUUUAUUAUAACCUGAAUUGCGCUGAGGAUUAUAAUGAGUCAACCAAAUUCAACAAAACUAACAAAUUCAGAAAGUAUGCAGAAUUUUUUUGUCUCUAGACUUAUAAGGUUAACUAAACUUGAUAAUUUAUUUGAACCUUUACCAUAAAUGUUUAUAAACGAUUUGAACCUUAAAAGACCAAUAGCCUACUUAUUAAAAUUAAAAACCCAGAUAACCCGAACCGAACCAAACUGAAGAAACCGAGUAUAAAAUCGUAUGACAGAAAACACUAGGGCUGUUCAAUAUGGUAAAACCGAACCGUACCGAACCGAACCGAACCGAAAUAGACAAUAUGGUUUGGUUUUGGUAUAUACCAUAUAAACCGAAUGGAUAUAAUUUUAUAAAAACCGUAGGAUUUGGAUAUGGUUUGGUAUAUAACCGAUUAAACCGAAUAAACCGAACAAAACCGAUUAAAAGUAGAAACACGUAAAUAUGUAUCUAUUUUAUAACAAUACAUGAAAAUCUAUUUGUUACAUAAGUUAAAUUUGUGUUAAUAACUAUUACCAUAAUUUUAUAGUAAUAAAGAACCUUAAUUUGUAAAAUAUUUGAACUAUAAUUAAAUAACAAUGCAUCGCAAUUCAGACAUCUUAUUUUCUAAGUCUUUUUUUGAUCUUUUUGCUUUAUUUUAGUCUUCACUAAAUUAAUAUGAAGAUUAUAAAUUUGAUGGACAAUAAUUAAUGAAAAAUUUUCACAACUUUUUUCUGUAAACAAACAGAGUUUCGUGUUCAAUUGAAAAAACAUGACUUUAAUGAACACUAAAUAGGGAAGAGUGAAAAAACUUUUUUUUUAUAUUUCUGUUUUGUUUCAUAUUUUUAUUUUUAAAAUUUCAAGCUUUGAUUUUUGUUAUAGAUUUGAUUAUUUUAUUUGAUGGUAGAAGCAUUUUUAUUUUUUUGUUCAUUUAUUUGAACAUAUAAUAUAUUUUUAAUAAAUGACUGUGUUGACAAUAUGACUCUAAAAUUCAUAUAAUAUGAUCUCAAACUAAAUAAUUAUGUUUUUUGGUAUAAAACCGAAUAAACCAAAAACCGACGGUAUAUAAACCGAACCGAACCGAAGUAAAUAUGGAUUUAGAAUGGUAGUUAUAUUUUACUAACCGAAAUACCGAAAACCGAAAAAAACCGAACCUAAACCGAACCGAUAUCCGGAUUGAACACCCCUAGAAAACACGCAUAAAAUGAAGAAGAUAAUUUUAAAUUCUUACCAUGGGCUCAUAAUUUGCCACGUAGAAAUGCCUUCAAAUCUCAUCACUUUCAUUAGAACAUCCAUCAGCUCAGUUCUGAAACACUACACUUCUGCAACAUUAAACGAAAAACAAUGGGUGACAAUACGGUGCGUAUUGGCCUUCUCGGAUGCAUCCGAUUCGCGUCAAAAUUCGUCAGAACGGUAACCCAAUCCUCUAACGCCGUUAUCAUCGCCAUCAGCGAUCCGUCUAUCGAAACCGCGAAUACCUUCGCCGCCGCGAACAAUUUAUCCCCGGAGACCGUCGCGGUGUACGGAAGCUACGAAGAGCUACUCGACGACCCACGCGUCGACGCCGUUUACUUGACGAUGCCUGUGACUCAGCGAGCGAAAUGGGCAGUGACGGCGGCGGAGAAGAAAAAGCAUCUCCUGGUUGAGAAACCGCCGGCGCAGAACGCGGCGGAGAUUGAUAAGAUCGUGGAGGCGUGUGAAUCUAACGGCGUACAGUUCAUGGACGGUACGAUCUGGUUGCAUCAUAAACGGACGGUCAAGAUUAGAGAAACGAUGUUUGAUUCUGGAUUGCUUGGAGACGUUCGCCACGUAAGCUUAGUCUUUUAGUUAAAUAUUGCAAACUGGUCCGUAGAUUAUGUUACUUGUUUAAUUGACCCAUAUAAUUAGAAGAACUCAAAUGCGCUUUAGCAUAUGUUACUUGUUUAAUACUGAAAAAGGCUUUCGUACAAGGUAGAUUAGUGAAUAUUAUUUCAUUAUUGUAUAGGUUAUAAAGCAGUACUAGUUAUGCUUUGAAUAGAUGUUGUUUAGUAAUAUGUGUUUGGCUGCCUGACAUUAAAUAUCAAUAUUCAAGAAAUCAUUAGGCGAAAAUUAUGUGCUCUGUAGAAGAAUAGCGAUUAGAUAGAUUAUUUGGUACAUAAGAAUUAAUAAAUUAUUGGUUUAUUUUAUAUAUAUAUAUAUAUUACAUUUAUAUAAGAUAUUUUAGUUUUUGGAUUUAAUUAUAAUUUUUUGAUGAAUUAUCAAAACUAGAUAUACAAAAAUUUUAUUUUUUGAGAAAGUGUAGAUUUGUAUUAAAAUUAUUAUUUAAUUUAAUAGAUUUAGACUAAUUAAGAUCGAUUUAAAUGAUAUUAUCCGAAUUAGAACAGGUUAACCUAUUUAAGUUGUAUAGAUCGGAUUUUAAGAAUCAUUUCGGCACAUGUUAAAAAAAAAGUGUUUCAGAAACAAACAAGUCAUUUCGGCUAGGACCUAGUAAACAUUGUCCACAAAGUGUUGAACUUUCUUUGAGCUAUAACAUGUGUUAUAUAUAAUGUUCAUAUAUGUUUUGCAGAUGUACAGCACGAUGACGACUCUGGUACCGGAGCAAGUACUGGAGAGACUGACCAAAGAAGCGAUGGGAUUAGCUGGAGCCAUCGGAGAGCUUGGUUGGUACCCUAUAGGAGCAGCUCUAUGGGCUAUGUCUUACCAGAUGCCAGUAUCUGUCAGGGCUCUUCCUUCUUCCGUCGCCACAAACUCUGUUGGGACCAUCUUGUCCUGCUCUGCCUCCCUUCAGUUCGGUUCAACCCCAACCGCAACGGCAAUCGUCCACUGCUCUUUUCUCUCUCAGCUCUCGACUGAUUUAGCUAUCUCAGGUUCUUAUGAUUUGUCUUUAUCUCCUAGGUUGAAGCAAAAUGUAGUAUUUGUAUCAACAUCAGUUGUUUGAAAUGGAUGGUCAGGAUCAAAAGGGUCAACUCAGAUGAAUGACUAUGUGAUCCCUUACAAGGAGGACACGGCUUGGUUCGAGUACACAAGUGGCGCUAAGUUCGCGGACUUGCACAUUGGCUGGAACAUGAUGCCGGAGAGAGUCACGGUGGACUGCAGCGGGAAUGAGGAGUCGCAGGAGGCGACGAUGCUGAGAGAGUUUGUGAGGCUUGUUCAAGGAAUCAAGCGGGGUGAUUCAGAGGCUGAUCCGAGGUGGCCAGAGAUCAGUAGGAAGACGCAGUUGGUGGUUGAUGCUGUGAAGAAAUCUGUUGAUAUUGGUUGUGAAGUGGUUUAUCGGUAAUUCUUUCGUAAUUAGAUUAUGAUAUUUAUAUUAGUAUAACUGAUAAAUUUACUAGUAUGGUACACAACUUUAAUAAGUCGAAGACACAUUACUUUCGGCGCAUGUUUCUACGGAUCUGGUUGUAGUUCUUACUAUCAUCAAAUGCUCUCCAUUUAUGUAUUUUGGUUGUAGUUCCCAAGUACUACAAUCGGCGGCACAUGAUUGUUGGUGUCGGAUCUUCCACAAUAGAUCCAGAUCGACUUAUAUAAUAUUCUCUCUAUUAUUAUAAAUACAAAGUAAUACUAUAUAUCCCAUAUAGUAGUAGCAUUCUUCACCAAUAUAAAUCGUUAAACGUAUCUUAAUUUUGACGUCAAUAAAAAUAUUAACACAUCUCAAACUUUUAAACGUUUACAAAUACAGUUUUCACAAUAAUAAAACUGAAGAUUAGAAAAAAGUUUCGUGUAUUUAGAGGGGGUUAAGCUCGGAAUAUGGUUUCAUGGAAGCUGGAUAUCUCCUUUAUUCUCUUUUAUGAUGUUUGCUAUCUAACCCUUCUAUGAAGUUUAUUGUCUACUUAAUGAGUUUUACGUUUUUUUCUUGUAGGAUUGCUACUACUUUUUGGUGGAUUAAUCAUCUGAUUAGUAUACACCAAGUUAAAGGAGAAAAAGCUCAAAAUGACAAAAUCCACCAAAUAGAUUAGGUGGCAUAAUGUCGCUUAGCUUUGCAUGGAGUGGUAUACAUGGCAGGUUUAUUCACUUUGCGUGGCUGAUUUCUUUCACUUAGCUCAGCCCUCAAAUCUCUCUCCUUUGUAAGAAAAAUCAUCUUCCAUUGAUCCCCUUGGCACGUCCUCACAUUUGGUUCCCUCCGUGCAAAGCCUCAUUGCCUAACGAAUCUUUUCUUGUAUUUCUUCAAGCAUCCACAGUUCUUGACUUCUUGUCCAACGAUUUAGCGAGCCUUCAUAAAAUCCAGUUACACUCAUCAGCUUAUAUAUGGCUAAAGUUGUUCUCCUCGUUCUUCAUGGGUCAACCCACAGUCAACGACUUUUAACUUUUCUAUAAUCCAUUUGAGUUUCAAAUCUAUCUCUGUAUGUCGAAUUUCUAUUUGUAUAUUGUCUGACGUUUUUCAACCUCUUGUAUAUACAGCCGCCAAAAGGUAUCUUAAAGACAUUGAUGCAAUUAGAAAUUUCUAAAGUAUACACCGAAACAAGUUAACGAGAGAAUAUAAUUUGAUGAUAAUGGUUUGUGAAAUUAUCACUGUACAUAAUAGAAUUAUAUGUAGCUCGUGCAAGCAAAUUAAGAAUUAAAAAAAAAAGAAGAGAUAGCUCAAAGCUUCAAGGUUAAAUCUGGAAGACAACUCUCCAUAUCCACUGCUUGUUUGACCUCCAAGAAAUCCACUUUACUUUCACCUAAAUUAUCAUUACAAGCUUCAGCCCUAACGGCACCCGCCGCUUGUCUGAAACUCCCCGGCCAGAGGAGCUCGGUAUCGUCGUCCUCCACGUAGAAAGGUACACAAUUACUGAAAUACCCCUGGUUAAACCUGGCAAUGUUUCUAAUAAUCGUUUCUGGUGCUGGCCUUGGGUCGUGGGACGAGCCAUGCGCCUGUAUUCCCAAAGUCCUUAAUGAUGUCAUGUUACCAUGCAGCGGGAGGCAAGAGAGAGCAGCUGUGGCGUAGGGGGUACUGGAUCCUCUUGGGAAAACCCCAGCCAGACCCAUACGCAUAGCACGUUUUGCGAGCGUUCUUUCACGUUUGUGUGCGUUCUGGUGACCGCCGAGAGCCUGAGAGCUGUAAAACUUCCUUUGACAGUAGUUGCAAGAAAAGACUCUCUUCAAUGCUGACGGUUGCUGUUGUUGCUGCUGCUGUUGCUCUGGGUUGCUACUUUCGCUCGUGCUCGAAAUUGGCAGCGUCAAAGAAGAUGAUUCAAGAUCCAAAUUGUUGUUGUUGUUGUUGAAACGGAGGCUAAGAUUCAGAGAGAUGGGUCUGCAGUAUUCUUCUACCGGAGACAAGUUCGAGGCAGCUUGGCUACUGGUAUCUUCUGGAUGAUUAUGUUCCGAUGAAGCUUCAGCCUCAAGGUCUAAGAUGGAUCUCAUAGUUUGGGCAGCAACUAAAGGUUGUUUUAUCUUUUUCUGCAACAAUUUUAUAUAUUUAGAGAAAGUGAAAAUGUCUAGAUCAGUAGUAAUUGAGAAAUACGUAGAAAGUAAUAAUAACUUUAAGAACUUAGAUGAUCACGAUUGGGUAUGUCCAACAAAGUUGAGAAUGUCUUUAGAUAAACUGUAAUAAAAAUUAUAAUUUAAGAAAUAACAAGUGUUUAGUGGUGGUCUAAGUGGACUUUGAGGAAAUUCAUAUUCCAAGCAACCCUGUGACAUUAUAGUUCUGUGGCCAUAUAAAUAUAAAACAUGUUUUAGGUUUCAUUAGAAAAUUCAGAGAAAUAGUUAAUUCGUGGACUGAAAUUAAUUUGAGUUAUUUAGAGGACCUCCAACCAUUAGAAAAUAUGUGGAAUUCUAAAAAAAUAAAAAAAUAAAUAUUUUAAUUAAAUAACUAAAUUUUUUAUUUUUUUUAAUUCUAAAAUACUAGAUACAUGGUUAAAGUUUAGAAAUGGUUCUAAGAGCAUCCCCGUUAAGGGAUUAUUGCUCAAGUUCACACAAUUCCUAAAAAAAAAAUUAUUAUAAUAAUCCACUUUUUGUGAAUCCAGGUCACGUGAGAUCUCUGCAGUGAUACGGGUUCAUCACUGUUUUGCGGACCUCACGAUACGUGGCGGCCCACAAUUUGUUCGACUAUUAUUAUUAUUAUUAUUAUUUUUAAAUCAAAUAGAAAAAAAAUCAAAAUAAUGAAAUAGGGAAUCACGCUUCUCAGUUCGCUGAUACAGAUGCCCUAAAAACACUUGUUUUAGAUUCUUUUUUCAUUCUCUCUCUUAUUUUAUUUUCUUAUUUUUAAUGGUGGUAUUCUAAUUAAAGAACCUCUAAUGAAGGUGGUUCUAUAGGUUUUAUAGAUCCUGAAUUACAAGAAAAAACAAGUGGGAGGAACAUUUGUGUGACUGACUCUAUAAAUGGUCCUAAUGAGUCAAUGACUAGACAACAUCAGAAGUGCCAAAUUUAGUACUGACACAUCCAUCAAGCAGUCCCAAAUUUAGUACUAAACAAAUUCUUUUAGUUUUAUUUAGCAAUAACACUAAUUGCAAGCCAUUAGAUUACGAGUAUGAUCCAUACAUUUUCUAGUUUCUACUUCAUGUGCUUUCCCCGACAGUAAAAUCGAAAAAUAAAACAGCACGCAAAGCGACAAAAAACCGACAAACAAAAAGAAACACAAAGCAACAAAAAAUAAACAGACAAACGGAUACUACGAGAUAGCACCGACAGCGAAAUCAAAUUACUUAUCAAGCAGAUUCAUACUUUAUUAUAUAAUUAUCUCGAUAAGUUUUUUUUGGAAAUCAUAUUAUCUCCGUAAUUAAGUUCCUUUUUAACAUGGUUCAUUAUGAUCUUCUUUUUUCUUUUUCUUGAAAAGGGUUAUAUCAGUAUCAAGUAACUGAGAUUUGUGGGGCGAAACAACUAUACAUAAACAAUUUAAUUUCUUAUAACUUUAAGGUAUCUUAUUAGCUGUAGCAUCCAAAUUGGAAAUGAAAAAAAAAAAAGGUUUAACCGUAUAAGGUGUAGUUAAAAUUUAGGGUAUCCAAUGUUGUUGAGCAGAACGAAAAGAAGGAGCAAGUUGAAACUAAAUGAGAAUAUUAAAGCCAUUUAAAAAAAAAGAGAGAAAAUUGGACUGACCAAAACUUUUUUUGCAGUUAUAUAUUGAAACCAUGCUGAUAAUUAUAUAUAUUAAUCGUCAAAACUACAACCUUCGACGCACAAUUUUGAGACAUAAGUUAAUCCAAGUACAUAGAGGCUAAAUAUUUGAAGAAAAGAAUAAUACUUAUACCUCUUAAGAUGAUGAGGAGACAGAGGCUUGGAAUUUGAAGAAAGAAUUAAGAGCUAUGAUCAGCUUUGUCUCCACCGAUUUCCAGGGUAAUUUGGGGAUUUAAAAAGAAAGAGGAGAACAGAGUGAGAUGAGAGAGAUGUGAGAGUUUGUGAGUGUUAUUAUGUUUGGUUUUGGAGCACAAAAGAAGAGAAGAGCGAGUGGAUUGUAUAGUGUAAGAUGAUGUUUUAUUAUUAUGGGAAAAGCUAAGGUUGCUGUGAGUGGCAGUGGAGGGGACAAUGGUGGGACGUCUCACACUUAAGUCAGAGUAGAGUUCUUAUAUUCGGAUAGUUUUUUUCUUUUAUUUAGUUUCUUGUGAUUUUAUAAUGAUUCAUCAUGUAUGUGUGUGAUGGUUCAAUUGGUUUUCAGACUCAGAGUCCAUAACUCCAGUUAUUAAUUAACUCUGUCUUUGACCCAAAAAAAAAUCAACUCUGUCAAAGGUGAAAGUUGGCAGUCAAGUGCAUAGAGGAUCAAAAAAAUUCCGUUUAUUCUUUUGGCACAAUUCAAAAUUCUAUCAGCAAGCUUAUGUUUAGUGUGCAGUGAAUCAACAUAUUAGUACAAGUUUAUGCGUUUUUGGUAGAUUUCAAAAGUCGAUUUGACAGAUAUAUCUUUAAUUAUUUAUUUUAUACAUACUUUGCAGACUCAUCGACUCCCUCGUAUAUAUACGAAGGGAAUUCGUAGUUUGGAAGAGGACGUUCAAAUUUAACACUAAAGCAACAAAGAGAUUAUGGUUUCUAAUUUAGAACGUUAAACAUGUCUUUAAAAUAUUUCAUCACUUUUGCCGAUUUCAAUACUUUUUUUGGUAAUCAGUCGAUAAUUUUCUAAUACACGUUUUUAAAUAACCCAUCAUCAUUUAGUGCUAUUUACCUAAGACCGAAUUCUGAUUCAACAAAUAUGACGUAUAAGUUUUGUAAAUUAUUCGGGACCAUUGAUGGGAGAUGGCGAGAAUACUGAUUAGGAGCAGUUCGCACGUCUGAGAUAAGAGUCCAAAUUUGCAGUGAAGAUCAUCCCUACACAGAAAGCAUAUCCAUGUGUAGGACCACGACAACUAGUUCCACUGUUUUCUUCGCAGUCUACCUAUGUUCUUAUCUAGUAGGAGAACCGAAGGUUUUGGAUUAUAGUAGAUGUAGGGUUAGAUGCCUUCUUUAAUAUGUCAACUACGUUUGCUAAAUAAAAAGAAAAACUACGUUUGCUAAGAAGUUUGAAAGGAUUAAGCUAUAUGCUUUGAAUCUCUUUUCCGGGGGUGGAAGUGGGCAGGUUAUUCGUUGCCGCUGCAUCUCCAUGCAUCAUGAUUUGAUAUGUUCAGUUCAGAUGAUAUCUUUUUCCAGUCAAUUAUUUACAUUCACUAUGGAUAGCAAAAAUGAUGGAGAUACAGUUCUUCGUAUCGAGCGUAGACAAGCACUACAUUUAUUUUAAAUGAUAAAUUCCUGUAUUUUAAGCACAUUCUUAAAACACUGUAAUAGUUUUGCUUUCAAGAAGUAAUGAUAAUUUUAGUUUUAAUACAAGUUGCUACUUGGAUCAAUCAAACUCAUGUUGGCAUAAUGUUCUUUUUCUUCUAGAUAUACACAGUGCCGGUCUAAUAUUUUAAGCAAAUUUUAAUAACAUAUUUUUAUGUUUUUAUCUAAUAUCAUAUAUAUACAUAUAUAUUUAUCAGAUAAAUAACACUAAAACUUUAUAAACUAAUUUAAUUCUAAUGAUUGGUAAAUAUAAUUUUAGAAUUUAACUGUAUAUAAAUAUUUGUCAAUGUUAUCAUCAAUACUUUAGGUAAUCACAAUUCUACUAAAAUAAUUUGUUAAUAAAAAUUACAUUUAAAAAUAUUAUUAUUAUUUAACAAUACACUUAAUCAAUAUAUUUAUUGAUAAAAGUUUCAUAACUAAUGCUAAAAUGUUUUAUAAAUAUUACUAUUAUCAAAGAAUUAUAAAUUAUACAAACAUAUAAAUACUAAGUAAAAAAUUUAAUACAAAAAAAAUAACCCUCUAAAAUUUUAAAUCUUUAUCGAUUGUUUGGACGGCUGCUUUCUAGCUGGUACUUUUGAUUUUAAUUAUUGAAACUAAUUUACAAUUUGAUAAAUAUGGGACAUAAAUCAAUCCAUAUGGUCCAAUAGCUAAAAGAUAAACUUUACAAUUCAAGUCUUCACCACGAACGUUCUAAACGAAAAGAAAUGGAUUCUUUUUGUGUAUUUAGGAGUGCGAUUAGAUUGUAUUUUGAGAGUAAACUUUUACUCUCAAUCCUACUAAAAGUUUACCAAUCAAGUGGGAUAUAUUCUUUCCACUUUUACUCUAUUUACUAUUUAAGUGGAGAAAAACAUAGAUCCAUGUUUACUCCAUAUUUUGCUUUAGAUUUUUUCAUUUACUCUAGUUUACUUUACAAUUACCAAUCAAACCCUAGUAAUAGUAAUGUCAGUGAUUCAAGAAUAAAAUAGUAACAUAAUAAAUUACUGUUUAAAUAAUAAAUAGAUUAUACUCAUGGUGGCAGCUUUCCAAGAAAAGGUUAUUUAUGUUAGUGUUUUUUGGUUCAAGCUUCUGUUUUUCUUCUUUUACAGAAAAAAAAAAAACUCAUUUUUUCUCUUUGUUUUUUUCUCCUACAGAAAGAAAGGAAAAGGAAAGAAAAGUGAAGUAGCUCCUCACUGCACGGGGAGGACAUCUGAAAAAUUAUGCCUUUAAAUUUUAUUUUAGAAUUUUGAAGUUUCAGAACACUUUUUGAAUUUUGAUUCUUUAAAACUUAUCAUGACCUUUGCUGUGCCUUUGUAGCCUCUCCUCACCCAUUGGACCCUUUGCUUCUUUUUAUUUGUUUCGUCUGUUCUUUUCCUCUUUAUUUUUUCUUAUCACCCAAACUACUUUUAUUUAUUUAUUUCAUGUCUAAUCACAUAUUUCGAAUCUCCUUCAACAUUGUGCGUAUAAUUGACAUCCGCCGUUUGUUCGCUUCUACGUCCAUACAUUUUUUGGUCAAAAUCUACGUCCAUACAUUACUCCUCAGUCCUGACUAAUUAAUAGUUUUCUUCUACAGAAGUUACUAUACCAAAAUAGUUAAUGCUGUAAAUGGUAAGCACAUGUCCCUUUUUGUCGUCUGUUUUAUACCAUAAUUGGAAUAUAGAGUAAAUUUUAGUGUUUCAUUGGAAUGCCCUUAUAAUUGGAAUAUUUGUUUUAUGAACAAAACUCUUUGCAAAAGAUGAUAAGACGUGAAAUGGAACUUUAGAGAUUCGGAUUUAGAUAGGAAGCUCAGAAUUAGGUUUCAGAUGGUUGUGUACAGCAUGAAAUGAUUUUAGAAUGAGAACGUAUCCAAAACUAAUCAUUUUAUUAAUAAGCAACCCAAAAACUGUUUACAAUACCAAAUAGAAAUCACACGCCAUUAGAACCAAGUCAAAACUCUUUUUCUUUUUUUUUUGUUGAUCUCUAGCUCCCCUUUUGUCUCCCAAUAAUGACCAAUCACAGUAUUAAGGUUCUAUUUAGAGUUAAUCCCAGAUUUUUCCUACCUUAAAGGACUAUAUAUGACAAAGCUUUCCUUUUUGCAUUAGGCUUAGUAUAAACUUUAACCGACUCUUUCUUUGUGGGCAGGAUUUGGUGUUGGGCCAAGACAUGAGAAAUUGUGGCCCACGAGCACAACAACAAUCUCUUCACUUUGCGUAACAUAAAAAUUGAGUUAUUGGACUGAUCAGAAACUCUUUAACUCCCUCCCUAUUCAAGAACUGAUGAGAAACUCCUUAAACUCAUCGUAAAAAGAAAUUAGCUAAAAGUUGCGUGAAAAAAUUUCGACGCAACAUAAAAAUUGAGUUCCAACAAUUCAUGAACAAUUGGUCAUUCCACAAAGGAAGUUUCUCGGUGUUUUUAUAAAUGCCAAUGAUAACUGUCUCCAAAUCUGUUCAAUACUUCCACAUCGUAGUUCUGUUUUUUCUUCAUGAUGAAGUAUCAGUAUGUUACGUAUGUUACUACGAUUUUGUCAAGUCAUCUCAUAUGGAUAGUUUCUAUGUUAAUCGGGAAAGAUAUAGUUUUCGGAUGAAAAUAUUAGCUAGCAGAAGGUAGAUAUUUGCCGGCUAGAAGUCGAAGAUGAGGAAAUGCCUCAUUCGAGAGUACUGUAAGAUAAUCUCCACAUUAUAUUACCUUGUUGUACGUCCGCUCUGCAUGUAAAGACCUUUUCCUGAAGACUUUUUAAUGUUGAAGUUAGACAUCUAUUUUUGGGAGCGACAGUUCAAAGAGAUAUAUGGAUUGUGUUUGGGAAUUUAUUGGUAGAUCCAAAUUCCCUCAUGCACGAAAAGUGGAAGGGGAGAGUUGGAACUCUGUUCCCUUCCUCCGACCGUUUUUCUAUUCUAUAUUUUGUGAACAUGAACAAUAUGUGAUCAAAUCAUCAAAUGAUUAGAUUUUUACGAGUAUGAUGCCUUCUUAUUGCUAUAGCCUUAUAGGAGAGGAAACUUGGUAUUUAUCGUAUACAUCAUUUCCAGAAUUCCAUGUUGUGUCCGGAUUUAGCGACAUAAAUAUUUGAAUAUUUUGUCAUUUUGUUUUUGAAAAUGAUUUGGAAUAGUAAUAGUGUGUCUAUAAGUCUAUUCUUAUAGGUUAGUAAACUCUUAAAAAAAAUCAAUUAUAUGUCAUGUCUGGAUUGGAAUAACAAAAUUGAUUCAUGAUAAAUUCAAUUCUAACGAUUCCAAUUAAUGACCAAUAAGUAUUCAUGUCAUUAAGUCCGAUAAAUAUUUUGACAGGUUUUACUAAGUACCAUAUCAUCAUCAUUCCCUAAUUUAUUACAAAGACAAUAAUGAGAGUAAUAACUUACAAAAGAUAAAGUUUAUUUCUUUUCUUAUAGAUCUGCAGAGAGCCAUGUGCAUGGGGAAUCAGCUUCACCUGUAUUUUUCCUUACGACAAGAGUUUUUUUUUCUCCCAUAGAAAGUGAUAACAUAAUAGUAAAAAUAAAGAAUAAAGGACUUGAGAUCAUGAUUCAUGAGACAACGAAAGAUACAUGUAGCAUUUUGUGAAAUACAGAUAUCUAAUUUUGAGAUUUCCAUAUUAAACGUAACCACAUAUAUUCAUGUUAUAUAUAAUAAUAGUCUCAUUAUCUAUCUGUUUGUAAGAAUCUUUGUUGCCGCUCGUUAGUCGCUCCACUACGCUUCUCUUUUUUUUUUUUGACAUCAACUAGCAUCGCUUCUUAAAGAAAACUUGUUUUACACCUGUAUACUUCUAAUAAUAUCUUUUAAUGCUUUCUAUGUGUUAUAUACGAAUAAUUUUUGCCAAUUUGUUUCACAACUUUUGGACCCUUAUGCCAUUGACAGCCUAGACCCUCGAUGUAGGAUCUUAAAGAGUACCAAACAAAUUGUUUUAUUAUUUUCGUGAACUACCACAUACAGAAUAAAAAUGUGUAAAUAUAUACAGUGCUAGUAUAACAGUUUUAUAUAUCCUUAUACAAUUCUUUAAAAAACAAUUAUAUAUAUAUUUAUCUAGUAUAUAUAUAAUAAAAAUUUACAUCAAGACUCUAUAGACCAAUUUAACUCCACUAACAAUUUCUGAAUAUCAGUAUAUUAAACUAAAUGUAUUAAAAUAUUAAUUUAUUAUAUCAUGAACAUUUAACGAUAGUUAAUAUAAUAUAAUCGUUUACUAGAAAUAAACAACUCUGUUUUAGUUAAAGAUAAUACUUCAACAGUGGAGUACGUAAACCUAAUCAAUAAAAAAAUAGGUUUUUUUUCGGAGUUUUUUUUUUUAAAAUUAAUAUUGUAAAUAAUAAUUACUGAACGAAAAUUUUAGUUAAUAUAUUCAUUAAUAAUAAGUUCCAAAUAAAUUAUUAAUAUAAAAAUUAUAAUAUUUGUUUACAUAUAGAUAUUAAUGAAAUUAUGAUAUAAUAAUUUAACUAAUAUUUGUUUUUAUCAUAUUGCUUGCUUUAAUCGGUGGAUCAAAUAGCUUACACUCUGAUAAGACACGGAUUAAAAAAAAAGAUAUACGAGUAACUGCCUGUAAAGCUUAGAGAAAUUUGUUUAUUGCUAUCCUUUAGAGACAUUGAUUAUCCUCAUUUAUGUGCACAAAAAGAGAUAAAGGGUUCAGAGUGGUUAACUGGCAAAAGUAUUAUACUUCUUGGAGAAAUGAAUAUCUUGAUUAAAGUCCAAAUUAGGACUUACAAGUUGAAACAAGUUAACUAAAAUUAAACUGUACAUUUUUACCAAUGGUUGAUUAGACAGUGUUAUUUUUAAUGACAAAAUAACAAAACUAUACAUUUUUUGCUCUUUAUUUAAAUCAAAUAAAUAUAAAAUUGUGUGAAAUAGUAAAUUACCAAUUUAAGUUACCUGUUAUUUGUUUAAAACAUAUGAAUAAAACAAUUUGCCAUUUACAAAAAAAAACUGGUGCGUAAAAUAAGCUUCUACCUAUUUAUAAUUUUGUAAUUCUGAACUUUUGUUAAUAAGUAGUGCAUAUUAUCUACUUUAUAAUAACUUAUUUAAAGCUAAGAGAAUAAACAUUUUGCCAAUAUGAAGAAGAAAGAUGUAAUGUAUAUAUAUAUUUUUUUUUUUGCUUUUCUAGUUUUCCAUAUCGUUUGUGUGAAGCAUUUGACAUCAACCCACUACGUAGUCAAGAUUUCAACUAUGACCUCUUUAUUUCAAAUAACGUUAUCUCAAUCCUAUGAUAAUUCAAAAAUUAUAAUAAAAUAAAAAAAUAGAAAUAAUAAUUCUGAUGUAUCUAAUCUGUUACCAAACUGUCAUUGGCUUUGUGGGGCAGACAUCCCAUGUGCAACCUCCUUGGCUUCUGCUUCAGAGUUCCAUCUUCUUCUUCCUUCUCUCUCAAUGGCCCAUCUUCCCAUUUCCACUUUCAUUUCUCCACAAUCAUAACCAAAGCUUCACCUCAAUCUCUCUCUCUUUACUAAUCUCUAAGCUAUGAAGAAACACAGAGCCUUUCUCAAGUUUCCCUUUCUUCUCCUCCUCCUCUGUCUUCUUGAGUUCUCCAAAGCUGAUUCAGAUGGAGACGCAUCAGCUAUGCUUUCACUCAAGAAAAGCCUAAACCCACCUUCAUCCUUCGGAUGGUCCGACCCUGACCCGUGCAAAUGGACCCACGUCGUUUGCACAGGCACCAAACGGGUAACCCGGAUCCAAAUCGGGCAUUCAGGUCUUCAAGGUACACUCUCUCCCGAUAUUCGUUCGUUAACAGAGCUCGAGAGGCUCGAGCUGCAGUGGAACAACAUCUCCGGUCCCAUCCCUACUCUAAGCGGCUUGUCUUCCUUACAAGUCUUGAUGCUAAGCAACAACCACUUCGACUCUAUCCCCAGCGACAUCUUCCAAGGCUUGACUUCGUUACAAUCUGUCGACGUGGACAACAACCCUUUCGCGUCUUGGGAGAUUCCCGAGAGCUUGAGAAACGCCUCUGCUCUUCAGAACUUCUCCGCCAACUCGGCUAAUGUCUCCGGUACGUUACCCGGUUUUCUCGGACCGGAUGAGUUUCCCGGUUUGUCUAUUUUGCAUUUGGCUUUUAACAAGUUAGAAGGUGAGUUGCCGUUGGGGUUAUCCGGCUCUCAGAUUCAGUCGUUAUGGCUCAACGGUCAGAAACUAACCGGUUCGAUCGAUGUUAUUCGGAACAUGACCGGUUUAAGAGAGGUCUGGCUUCAUUCCAAUGCCUUCUCUGGUCCUCUGCCUGAUUUCUCCGGUCUGCAAGAGCUUGAGAGCUUGAGCUUGAGGGAUAACUCCUUCACCGGUCCGGUUCCCGCUUCUUUGACGAGUCUUGACUCGUUGAAGGCUGUGAACUUGACUAACAAUCAUCUUCAAGGACCAGUCCCUGAGUUUAAAACCUCGGUCUCGGUCGAUUUGGAGAAAGACACCAAUAGCUUUUGCUUGCCUACUCCGGGCGAGUGUGAUCCUCGAGUAAAGUCUUUGCUCUCGAUCGCUAGCUCAGUGGAGUAUCCACUGAGGCUAGCUGAGAGUUGGAUAGGAAAUGAUCCUUGUACUAACUGGAUUGGGAUUACAUGUAGCAAUGGGAACGUUACGGUUAUUAAUCUUGAGAAAAUGGGGCUAACCGGGACGAUUUCUCCCGAGUUUGGCUCCAUCAAAUCGCUUCAGAGAAUCAUUCUCGGAAUCAACAACCUUACCGGUACCAUUCCUCAUGAGCUCACAACGUUACCUAACCUCAAAUCGCUGGACGUUUCGAGUAACCAUCUUUUUGGGAAGGUUCCUGUUUUCAAAAGCAAUGUGGUUGUGAAUACUAAUGACAAUCCGGACAUCGGAAAAGAUAAAAGCUCUUUAUCUCCUCCUGGUUCUUCUUCACCUUCUUCUGGUGGUGGUUCUGGUUCAGGCUUAAGUGAUGGGAGAGUGAAAACGUCUUCGGGUUUUAUAGGAAUCGUUAUUGUUUCUGUCCUCGGUGGACUAUUACUGAUCUUCUUGAUCGGUUUAUUGGUUUUCUGCUUGUACAAGAAGAGGCAAAAGCGGUUCACAAGAGGCGAGAGUUCAAACGCAGUUGUUGUUCAUCCGAGACACUCUGGCUCUGACAAUGAGAACGUUAAAAUCACAGUGGCGGGUUCAAGCGUAAGCGUCGGAGGCAUAAGCGAUACCUACACGCUGCCCGGUACGAGCGAGGUGGGAGAUAAUAUUCAAAUGGUGGAAGCGGGAAACAUGCUGAUCUCAAUCCAAGUGCUGCGCUCCGUGACUAACAACUUCAGCCAAGAUAACAUUUUGGGACAAGGAGGUUUCGGGGUUGUCUAUAAAGGUGAAUUGCACGAUGGAACGAAGAUUGCAGUUAAGAGGAUGGAGAACGGAGUGAUUGCUGGCAAAGGUUUUGCGGAGUUUAAAUCAGAGAUUGCGGUUUUGACCAAGGUUAGGCAUCGCCAUUUGGUGACGCUUCUUGGUUAUUGUCUGGACGGGAAUGAGAAGUUGCUUGUGUAUGAGUAUAUGCCUCAAGGGACUUUGAGUAGGCAUCUGUUUGAGUGGUCGGAGGAAGGGCUUAAGCCUCUGUUGUGGAAACAGAGAUUGACUUUAGCGUUGGAUGUGGCGAGAGGCGUGGAGUAUCUUCACGGAUUAGCUCAUCAGAGCUUCAUUCAUAGAGAUCUGAAACCGUCAAACAUUCUUCUUGGUGAUGAUAUGAGGGCUAAGGUUGCGGACUUUGGACUCGUUCGUCUUGCUCCUGAAGGGAAAGGGUCUAUUGAAACUAGAAUUGCUGGAACAUUUGGUUACUUGGCACCCGAAUAUGCAGGUUAGUUAGUUAGAUACUUUGCACAUUCGAUUUAAUUCUAUUCAUUUUGUAUGAUUGUGAUAUUGUUUGUUGCAGUUACUGGUCGAGUAACCACAAAGGUCGAUGUGUACAGCUUCGGGGUGAUUCUGAUGGAACUAAUAACAGGAAGGAAAUCUCUAGACGAAUCGCAACCAGAAGAGAGCAUUCACUUGGUCUCCUGGUUUAAACGAAUGUUCAUCAACAAGGAAUCAUCAUUCAAGAAAGCUAUCGACCCGACAAUAGACCUUGACGAAGAAACCUUAGCCAGCGUUCACACCGUUGCUGAGCUGGCAGGUCAUUGCUGUGCCCGUGAGCCUUACCAGAGACCAGACAUGGGACACGCUGUCAACAUUCUGUCCUCACUCGUCGAGCUGUGGAAACCGGCUGAUCAGAAUCCGGAGGACAUAUACGGAAUCGACCUCGACAUGUCUUUGCCUCAAGCUCUUAAGAAAUGGCAAGCUUAUGAAGGAAGAAGUGAUCUUGAAUCAUCUACUUCGUCGCUUUUACCUAGCUUGGGUAACACGCAGAUGAGUAUUCCUUCUAGACCUUACGGAUUCGCAGAGUCUUUCACUUCCGUAGAUGGACGUUGAUGCAAUGAGAAUUCUUCAGAAACCCAAAUUUGUUUGUUUUCUUCUGUAUAUUUGUGUGUUCUUCCUCUUUCUUCACUUCUCACUUAACAAUUCUUUCAUGUUUCUUGUUAUGCAAGUAACCUUAGGGUUUUGGGUUUCGUGAUAUUAUAUUGCUGUUUGUUUUGUUGAGUCAAACAGACGUGACGUGUGUACUCUUUUAGUUUGUGGAAAUGGUAAUGACAGUGAGGCAGAGAGGUUGGCAUUGGAUUCAUCUUCACAUGCCUGUCUCUUUUGUUUGGAUCUGCUAAUAUCUUUUAUAAAUUGACCACGGCACUACUAUAUUUUUUUGUUUAAUAAAAUACUAAUUUAGUUUCUGCAAUAAACAACAGAUUUCAAUAUUGGGUUAAAUUAGUAUCUGGUGACAUAGUUUGCUUCUUGAAAUAAUUACACAUGCAUAUUGACACUUUAUAAUUACACUGUUAAAACAGAUUCAUCGGAAGGAACACUUUGUCAAAGAAUCUCAGUUAUACUUUAUAUCUCUUUUCUCUUUAAUUUUACUCUCUUUUCUUCGACGGCAAAAAGAAUCAAAAUAGAUUCACAACAUCAGUUCAGUUGAUAGAGUUAGCUUCCUCUUUCGAGUCAUCGAAAUCUCUGUUACAGACGUCUGAUUCACUUUCACAAUCUUUGUCUCUGUCUUCCCCAUCACACCAAUACAAUAGGUAUUAUGUUUUAGUAUUUUACCGGGACCAAAAAUCCGAACCUGAAUCAAACUAAAAUAACAAAAGCUACAAACGGACCGAAUUUCUCAAAUACCCAAUCGAUUUCUAUAUUUCUAGAGUUGAAAUAACUAACUGAACCGGAACAAACUGAGAAGCGAAUAUAUAUAUAUAUAUAUAUAAAUAUUAGUUAUAUAUGUGGCACCCUUUUGUAAUGAUUCCACUACCUUAAAUAAAACAAUUUUUCUUCUUAUGCCAAUUAGGCGUGGGCAUUCGGGGUCCCAAUUGGGUUUCGGUUUUAUCCAUUCGGGUUAUGGUUUUUCGGGUUUAUCAAAAUCAACCCCAUUCGGGUUAUAUAAAAGUUCGGUUCGGGACCGGUUCGGGUUAUAUCGGGUUCGGGUCGGGGUUAGUAAAUCUUCAAAGAACCGGUAUAACCCAUUGUACUUUCGGGUUCGGGUCCCAAUCGGUUCUUCGGUUUAAAAAUACAUGAUUUGUACCUAUUUUGUAACUAAAACAUAAAUGAAAUCGGUUCUUCAGAUUUAAAAUACAUGAUUUGUACAUAUUUUAAUAGCCAAAACAUAAGUAAAAUCGAUUCAAAAAUAAGAAAAAACAUCAAACGUGAUCAUUCAAAAUCAAGCGAAAAAUAAACAUAGUUAGUGAAAUAAAGAAAACAGAUAAAUGAAAUCAUAAAACAAAAACUAAGUUCUCAUGAAAUGAGAAACUAUUUAAUGAAAACAAAACCAAAAUAAAAAAAACUUUAGGUUUCAACCGCUACAUUCCACCAUCAACCUUUAUCUAAUAGAUAAUUAUUUUAGAAGUUCAAUAAUAUCUUAAAGUAUUUUAGAUACAUAUUAAGAAUUAAGAUCAUAUUUGGUAGAAGUUCUUUUUGUUAUUAUAAAUGUUUCGGGUUCUAUCGGAUAUCCAUUUAGGUCCGGGUUCGGUUCGGAUAAUACCCAUAACCCAAUAUACCAAAAAACAGGAUCCAUUCGGUAUUUAUGUCGGGUUCGGAUCGGUUCGGAUUCAUUUUCAUCGGAUCGGGUUCGGUUCGGAUUUUCGGGUUCGGUUUAUUUGCCCAGCCCUAAUGCCAAUUAUCAAUUGCCGAAUUCUGACCUUAUCAACAUGAUAUUCUAUUAAACCCACUGCUGGCUUUUUGUUAUUUUUGAAUACGCCAAAUCCAGAUUCAACAAAUAUAUAAAUAUUCAUGUCUUAUAAUAUGUUUCAUAAUUGUAUUAAACAAAAGGACUCAUCUAUCACUCAUAAAAGGAGUGACAUGGAGUUUCACUAGUUUAGACGUGGUUCAAGUCCCUUUUCAUUUUUGAAAGCCUUUUUACCAAAAAAAAAGUCCCUUUUCAUUUUAUCAUGAAUUUGUUUUACUUACAUAAAUUAACGAAUUUAUUUUUAUUCUUGAAUAAUCUUUUCUAAUCGAGUUGAGUUCUUUUAAAAAUGUUUCAUGGCCCAGUUCUGAGGUGCGGCUCCGUAUGUAUUUAAUUAAUUUUUAUUAAUCAUUUUCUUAAAUUGUAUUUUCGAUCCAUUUCUUCAAAAUAUAUGUAAUAACUCCAAAAUUUAAAUAUUAAAACAUAUGUGAUGGGAAAAAGAAAAUGGUAUAUAGAUUGUGCGACCACUCCAAGGUGAUACUAUAAAUGUAAUAAGUCUGUUGUGGUCUUGUGGAAUGGCGAAAUGCUAGAUUUUUAAGAGUACAAAUCAAUGUUCAUUUUGAUAUUUUGCCUUUUUAAUUCUUAAAAACUGUGAGAAUUUAAAGAUUUUAAGUAUUAUUUUUUUUAUCUGGGACUAGAACUUUUUAUGUGGCAUCUAAAACUCAGAAAAGGGAAUAAAGUAAUUCAAAAGAAAAUAAGUAACACAAAACGAUAAAUAUAAAUCUCACAUGAAUAUACUACAAAAUAAUUUUUAAUUUGUAUGCAAAUAAAAAUAGUUUUAUUAAAAUCCCAUAUCAUUAUGUUAAAUAAUAAUUAAGCCGGUGAUAUUGCUUUUGAAACAGACACACAAUAAGCCCAUAUUUCAUCUCUUUUCUGUAAAUAUUUGGAUUCGUUUCCGAUUAAACUAGGUCUAUCUGCGAUAUAUUUGACAAGUGUAUCAUGACACUCUUUUCCUUCUUGAACAAGCUCCUUGCAACAAGGUAUGGAUACAACUCCAUCUCCAAAAACUUGAGAAAUGAUCUUGAGCGCACAGUUUGGACUGAUUUUAACAACACAUUGAUCCCAUAACUUUUUUGGCUCAUUUUCUUCUACAGCUAAUGAAGGUACACAGGAACUCACCACAACUAGGAAAACAAAAGACAACAUAAUAAAGUUAAGCUUCAGCAUGGUUUUUAUGUGUUUGAGAAUUUACUGUUUAACGUUUCUCAAGUUAGAGAAAGAAAGAAGUUUUCAAAUUUCUGAUGUUAUUUGAAUAAACGAGGCUUGCCCUAUUUAUAGAUACGAAUAAUCAAUAUUUAACAUUUAUUUUUGAUUAAUGAAUUUUGCUUUUGACGUUUUUUUUAUCAUUAACAUGUGUUAAGUUACAUUUUUUUUGCUGAAGUUAUUAACAGCUUAGGUUUAUACUUUAUAAAGAAUUAAAUUAGGAUUCUUGUAGUAUACAAAUGAACAUACUCAAAAGUUAUAUAAUUAUUUAAAUUAAAAACUACAGAACAUUUUUAUUGAAUAUUUCUUUUAUGUCAGCAACAUAUAGUUUGGUGGUUGUAUAUCAACUUACUACAAAAACCAAAAGUACACUCUAACAUUUGAUCAAUCUAAAAAUCAUUUAAAGUAUAUAUCAAUAUACAUCUCUCUCUCUAAGAUUAAAGGAGAGAGUUUCAGAUUUUAUAUUUUCUUUAUUUCAUAAUGUAGGAUGCUUAAGAAUAUAAUUUUAUCCUUUUAAUUUCACAAACUUUUAUAUCGAGAUGGUUAUGAGGUAAAACAUGACUCCACUUGGGAAAAUAAUCUACAAAUUUCCAUUCCCUAUACAAGAAAUAAAACAUGAAAUCUAUAAAGAAUGAAAUUUCAUAAAAAUAAAAUAAAAAGGAAAAACGAAUUUUCAAAUUUAAACUUGCCAUAUCAUAUUUUAUCAGUUUGUAACUUACAUAAUAGUUUAAUUACAGUAUAGUUUCUCAACGAAAUUUAAGUGUCUCGUAUUAAACAUAUAAAUAGCAUAUAUGUACCUAUGUAAAUUAAUGAAUGUUUACUUUUUUAUUCGUGAAUGAUUUUUUUUUAAUCAAGUUGAGUCCUUUUAAAAAUGUUUCAUGCAUAGUUUUGAGGUGAGACCUUGUUUGCAUUUGGUUAAUGUUUAUUAAAUCAUUCUUCAAAUUGUAUUUUCGAACAAUUUCUUCAAUGUAUAUUUAAUAACUCCAAAAUUUAAAUAUGAUAAAUUAUGUGAUGGGAAAAAAAAUGGUAUAAAGAUUGUGCAACCCCUCCAAGGUGAUACUAUAAAUGUAAUAAGUAUGUUGCGGUCUUGUGGAAUGGUGAAAUGCUAGAUUUUUAAGAGUACAAAUCAGUGUUCAUUUUGAUAUCUAGCCUUUUUAAUUCUUAAAAACUGUGAUCAUUUAAAUAUUUUCAAGUAUUUUUUUUAUCUGGGACUAGACCUUUUUAUUUGGCAUCUAAAACUGAGAAAAUGGAAUAAAGUAAUGCAAAAAAAAUAAGUAACACAAAACGAUAAAUAUAAAUCUCACAUGAAUAUAUUAAAAAUUAAUUUUUAAUUUGUAUGCAAAUAAAAAUAGUUUUAUUAAAACCACAUAUCAUUAUGUUAAAUAAUAAUUAAGCCGGUGAUACCGCUUUUGAGACAGACACACAAUAAGCCCAUACUUCAUCUCUUUUCUGUAAAUAUUUGGAUUCAUUUCCGAUUAAACUAGGUCUAUCCGCGAUAUAUUUGAUAAGUGUGUCAUGACACUCUUUGCCUUCAUGAACAAGCUCCUUGCAACAAGGAAUGGAUACAACUCCAUCUCCAAAAACUUGAGAAAUGAUCUUGAGCGCACAUUUUGGACUGAUUUUAACAACACAUUGAUCCCAUAACUUUUUUGGCUCAUUUUCUUCUACAGCUAAUGAAGGUACACAUGUAAUCGCCACAACUAAAACUACCAAAGACAACAUAAUAAAGUUAAGCUUCGCCAUGGUUGUUAUGUGUUUGAGGAUUUACAGUUUAACUUUUCUCAAGUUAAAGAAAGAAAUAAGUUUUUAAAUUUCUGAUGUUAUUUGAAUAAACGAGGUUUGCCCUAUUUAUAGAUACGAAUAAUCAAUAUUUAACAUUUAUUUUCGACUAAUGAAUUUUGCUUUUGACGUUUUUUUGUUCAUUAACAUGUGUUAAGUUACGUUUUUUGCUGAAGUUAUUAACUGCUUAGGUUUAUAGUUUAUAAAUAAUUAAAUUAGGAUUCUUGUAGUAUACAAAUGAACAUACUUAGAACUUAUAUAAGUAUUAAAAUUAAAAACUACAGAACAUUUUUUAAUGAAUAUUUUUUAUGUCAGCAACAUAUAAUUUGGUGGUUGGAUAUCAACUUACUAACAAAAACCAAAAGUACACUCUAACAUUUGAUCAAUCUAAAAAUGAUUUAAAGUAUAUAUCAAUAUAUUUCUCUCUGAGAUUAAAGGAGAGAGUUUCAGAUUUUAUACAUUCUUUAUUUCAUGAUGUAGGAUGCUUAAGAAUAUAAUUUUAUCCUUUUAAUUGUAUAAAGUUUUAUAUCGAGAUGGUUAUUAGGUAAAACAUGACUCCACUUGGGAAAAUAUUCUACAAAUUUAAAUUCCCUCUACAAGAAACAAAAUAUGAAAUCUAUAAAGAAUAAAAUUUGAUAAAAAAGAAAUAAAAAAUGAAAACAAAUUUUCGAAUUUAAGCUUGCGAUAUCAGGUUUUAUCAUUAUAACUUACAUAAUAGUUUAAUUACUAUAUAUUUUUCAAGGAAAUUGAUGUCGUUCAUAUUAAAAAUAUAAAUAGUAUAUAUAUACUUACAUAAAAUUAACGAAAUUUUAUUUUUAUUCUUGAAAUAAUUUUUUUAAUCGAGUUGAGUCCUUUUAAAAAUGUUUCUUGGCACAGUUUUGAGGUGCGACUCCGUUUGUAUUUGGUUAAUUUUUCUUAAUCAUUCUAAAGAUUUUAUUUUCUAUCAAUUUCAUCAAAAUAUAUGUAAUAACUCCAAAAUUUAAAUCUGAAAACAUAUGUGAUGGUUCAAAGAAAAUGGUAUAUAGAUUGUGCGACCACGUGGAAUAUAAUAAGUAUGUUGCGGUCUUGUGAAUUCGGGAAAUGCUAGAUUUUUAAGAGUUCAUAUCAGUGUUCAUUUUGAUAUUUAGCCUUUUUAAUUCUUAAAAACUGUGAGCAUUUAAAUAUUUUCAAGUAUUAUUUUUUUUUAUCUGGGACUAGACCUUUUUAUUUGGCAUCUAAAACCGAGAAAAUGGAAUAAAGUAAUGCAAAAGAAAAUAAGUAACACAAAACGAUAAAUAUAAAUCUCACAUGAAUAUAUUAAAAAUUAAUUUUUAAUUUGUAUGCAAAUAAAAAUAGUUUUAUUAAAACCACAUAUCAUUAUGUUAAAUAAUAAUUAAGCCGGUGAUACCGCUUUUGAAACAGACACACAAUAAGCCCAUACUUCAUCUCUUUUCUGUAAAUAUUUGGAUUCGUUUCCGAUUAAACUAGGUCUAUCCGCGAUAUAUUUGAUAAGUGUGUCAUGACACUCUUUGCCUUCUUGAACAAGCUCCUUGCAACAAGGAAUGAAUACAACUCCAUCUCCAAAAACUUGAGAAAUGAUCUUGAGCGCACAAUUUGGACUGAUUUUAACAACACAUUGAUCCCAUAACUUUUUUGGCUCAUUUUCUUCUACAGCUAAUGAAGGUACACAUGUAAUCGCCACAACUAGAACGACCAAAGACAACAUAAUAAAGUUAAGCUUCGCCAUGGUUGUUAUGUGUUUGAGGAUUUACAGUUUAACUUUUCUCAAGUUAGAGAAAGAAAUAAGUUUUUAAAUUGCUGAUGUUUUUUGAAUAAACGAGGUUUGCCUUAUUUAUAGAUACGAAUAAUCAAUAUUUAACAUUUAUUUUCGACUAAUGAAUUUUGCUUUUGACGUUUUUUUGUUCAUUAACAUGUGUUAAGUUACGUUUUUUGCUUAAGUUAUUAACUGCUUAGGUUUAUAGUUUAUAAAUAAUUAAAUUAGGAUUCUUGUAGUAUACAAAUGAACAUACUAAGAACUUAUAUAAGUAUUUAAAUUAAAAACUACAGAACAUUUUUUAAUGAAUAUUUUUUAUGUCAGCAACAUAUAAUUUGGUGGUUGUAUAUCAACUUACUAACAAAAACCAAAAGUACACUCUAACAUUUGAUCAAUCUAAAAAUGAUUUAAAGUAUAUAUCAAUAUAUUUCUCUCUGAGAUUAAAGGAGAGAGUUUCAGAUUUUAUACAUUCUUUAUUUCAUGAUGUAGGAUGCUUAAGAAUAUAAUUUUAUCCUUUUAAUUGUAUACAGUUUUAUAUCGAGAUGGUUAUUAGGUAAAACAUGACUCCACUUGGGAAAAUAAUCUACAAAUUUAAAUUCCCUCUACAAGAAACAAAAUAUGAAAUCUAUAAAGAAUGAAAUUUGAUAAAAAAGAAAUAAAAAAUGUGUGUUCAAAAAAAAAAAAAAAUGAAAACAAAUUUUUGAAUUUAAGCUUGCGAUAUCAGGUUUUAUCAAUUUAUAACUUACAUAAUAGUUUAAUUACUAUAUAUUUUUCAAGGAAAUUGAUGUCGUUCAUAUUAAAAAUAUAAAUAGUAUAUAUAUACUUACAUAAAAUUAAUGAAAUGUUUGUAUUUAGUAAAUUUUUCUUAAUCAUUCUAAAGAUUUUAUUUUCUAUCAAUUUCAUCAAAAUAUAUGUAAUAACUCCAAAAUUUAAAUCUGAAAACAUAUGUGAUGGUUCAAAGAAAAUGGUAUAUAGAUUGUGCGACCACGUAGAAUAUAAUAAGUAUGUUGCGGUCUUGUGGAUUCGGGAAAUGCUAGAUUUUAAGAUUACAAAUCAGUGUUUAUUUUGAUAUUUCGUCUUUUGAAUUCAUAAAAAAGUGAGUAUUUAAAGAUUUUUAAGUAUUAAUUUUGUUAUCUGGGACUAGAACUUUUUAUUUUGCAUCUAAAACUCAGAAAAGGGAAUAAAGUAAUGCAAAAGAAAAUAAGUAACACAAAACAAUAAAUAUAAAUCUCACAUGAAUAUAUCAAAAAUUAAUUUUUAAUUUGUAUGGAAAUACAAAUAGUUUUAUUGAAAUCACAUAUCAUUAUGUUAAAUAAUAAUUAAGCCGGUGAUACCGCUUUUGAAACAGACACACAAUAAGCCCAUACUUCAUCUCUUUUCGUUAAAUAUUUGGAUUCGUUUCCGAUUAAACUAGGUCUAUCCGCGAUAUAUUUAACAAGUGUGUCAUGACACUCUUUGCCUUCUUGAACAAGCUCCUUGCAACAAGGAAUGGAUACAACUCCAUCUCCAAAAACUUGAGAAAUGAUCUUGAGCGCACAGUUUGGACUGAUUUUAACAACACAUUGAUCCCAUAACUUUUUUGGCUCAUUUUCUUCUACAGCUAAUGAAGGCACACAUGUAAUCGCCACAACUAGAACAACAAAAGACAACAUAAUAAAAUUAAGCUUCACCAUGGUUGUUAUGUGUUUGAGGAUUUACAGUUUAACUUUUCUCAAGUUAGAGAAAGAAAUAAGUUUUUAAAUUUCUGAUGUUAUUUGAAUAAACGAGGUUUGCCCUAUUUAUAGAUACGAAUAAUCAAUAUUUAACAUUUAUUUUCAACUAAUGAAUUUUGCUUUUGACGUUUUUUUGUUCAUUAACAUGUGUUAAGUUACGUUUUAUGCUGAAGUUAUUAACUGCUUAGGUUUAUAGUUUAUAAAUAAUUAAAUUAGGAUUCUUGUAGUAUAAAAAUGAACAUACUAAGAAGUUAUAUAAAUAUUUAAAUUAAAAACUACUGAACAUUUUUUAAUGAAUAUUUUUUAUGUCAGCAACAUAUAAUUUGGUGGUUGUAUAUCAACUUACUAACAAAAACCAAAAGUACACUCUAACAUUUUAUCAAUCUAAAAAUGAUUUAAAGUAUAUAUCAAUAUAUUUCUCUCUGAGAUUAAAGGAGAGAGUUCCAGAUUUUAUAUAUUCUUUAUUUCAGGAUGUAGGAUGCUUAAGAAUAUAAUUUUAUCCUUUUAAUUGUAUAAAGUUUUAUAUCGAGAUGGUUAUUAGGUAAAACAUGACUCCACUUGGGAAAGUAAUCUACAAAUUUAAAUUCCCUCUACAAGAAACAAAACAUGAAAUCUAUAAAGAAUGAAAUUUAAUAAAAAAGAAAUAAAAAAUGAAACCAAAUUUUCGAAUUUAAACUUGCGGUAUCAUAAUUUAUCAAUUUCUAACUUACAUAAUAGUUUAAUUACUAUAUAUCUUUCAAGGAAAUUAAUGUGUUUCAUAUUAAAAAUAUAAACAGUAUAUAUAUAUACUUACAUAAAAUUAACGAAAUGUUAUUUUUAUUCUUGAAUGAAUUUUUUUAAUUGAGUUGAGUCCUUUUAAAAAUGUUUCAUGCCACAGUUUUGAGGUGCAACUCCGUUUGUAUUUGGUUAAUUUUUUUUAAUCAUUCUAAAGAUUUUAUUUUCUAUCAAUUUCUUCAAAAUAUAUGUAAUAACUCCAAAAUUUAAAUCUGAAAACAUAUGUGAUGGUUCAAAGAAAAUGGUAUAUAGAUUGUGCGACCACGUGGAAUAUAAUAAGUAUGUUGCGGUCUUGUGAAUUCGGGAAAUGCUAGAUUUUUAAGAGUUCAUAUCAGUGUUCAUUUUGAUAUUUAGCCUUUUUAAUUCUUAAAAACUGUGAGCAUUUAAAUAUUUUCAAGUAUUAUUUUUUUUUAUCUGGGACUAGACCUUUUUAUUUGGCAUCUAAAACCGAGAAAAUGGAAUAAAGUAAUGCAAAAGAAAAUAAGUAACACAAAACGAUAAAUAUAAAUCUCACAUGAAUAUAUUAAAAAUUAAUUUUUAAUUUGUAUGCAAAUAAAAAUAGUUUUAUUAAAACCACAUAUCAUUAUGUUAAAUAAUAAUUAAGCCGGUGAUACCGCUUUUGAAACAGACACACAAUAAGCCCAUACUUCAUCUCUUUUCUGUAAAUAUUUGGAUUCGUUUCCGAUUAAACUAGGUCUAUCCGCGAUAUAUUUGAUAAGUGUGUCAUGACACUCUUUGCCUUCUUGAACAAGCUCCUUGCAACAAGGAAUGGAUACAACUCCAUCUCCAAAAACUUGAGAAAUGAUCUUGAGCGCACAAUUUGGACUGAUUUUAACAACACAUUGAUCCCAUAACUUUUUUGGCUCAUUUUCUUCUACAGCUAAUGAAGGCACACAUGUAAUCGCCACAACUAGAACAACAAAAGACAACAUAAUAAAAUUAAGCUUCACCAUGGUUGUUAUGUGUUUGAGGAUUUACAGUUUAACUUUUCUCAAGUUAGAGAAAGAAAUAAGUUUUUAAAUUUCUGAUGUUAUUUGAAUAAACGAGGUUUGCCCUAUUUAUAGAUACGAAUAAUCAAUAUUUAACAUUUAUUUUCAACUAAUGAAUUUUGCUUUUGACGUUUUUUUGUUCAUUAACAUGUGUUAAGUUACGUUUUAUGCUGAAGUUAUUAACUGCUUAGGUUUAUAGUUUAUAAAUAAUUAAAUUAGGAUUCUUGUAGUAUACAAAUGAACAUACUAAGAACUUAUAUAAGUAUUUAAAUUAAAAACUACAGAACCUUUUUUAAUGAAUAUUUUUUAUGUCAGCAACAUAUAAUUUGGUGGUUGUAUAUCAACUUACUAACAAAAACCAAAAGUACACUCUAACAUUUGAUCAAUCUAAAAAUUAUUUAAAGUAUAUAUCAAUAUAUUUCUCUCUGAGAUUAAAGGAGAGAGUUUCAGAUUUUAUACAUUCUUUAUUUCAUGAUGUAGGAUGCUUAAGAAUAUAAUUUUAUCCUUUUAAUUGUAUAAAGUUUUAUAUCGAGAUGGUUAUUAGGUAAAACAUGACUCCACUUGGGAAAAUAAUCUACAAAUUUAGAUUCCCUCUACAAGAAACAAAAUAUGAAAUCUAUAAAGAAUAAAAUUUGAUAAAAAUAAAAAUAAAAAAUGAAAACAAAUUUUCGUAUUUAAGCUUGCGAUAUCAGGUUUUAUCAUUAUAACUUACAUAAUAGUUUAAUUACUAUAUAUUUUUCAAGGAUAUUGAUGUCGUUCAUAUUUAAAAUAUAAAUAGUAUAUAUAUACUUACAUAAAAUUAACGAAAUUUUAUUUUUAUUCUUGAAAUAAUUUUUAUAAUCGAGUUGAGUCAUUUUAAAAAUGUUUCUUGGCACAGUUUUGAGGUGCGACUCCGUUUGUAUUUGGUUAAUUUUUCUUAAUCAUUCUAAAGAUUUUAUUUUCUAUCAAUUUCAUCAAAAUAUAUGUAAUAACUCCAAAAUUUAAAUCUGAAAAUAUAUGUGAUGGUUCAAAGAAAUGGUAUAUAGAUUGUGCGACCACGUGGAAUAUAAUAAGUAUUUUGCAAUAUUGUGAAUUCGGGAAAUGCUAGAUUUUUAAGAGUUCAAAUCAGUGUUCAUUUUGAUAUUUAGCCUUUUUAAUUCUUAAAAACUGUGAGCAUUUAAAUAUUUUCAAGUAUUAUUUUUUUUAUCUGGGACUAGACCUUUUUAUUUGGCAUCUAAAACCGAGAAAAUGGAAUAAAGUAAUGCAAAAGAAAAUAAGUAACACAAAACCAUAAAUAUAAAUCUCACAUGAAUAUAUUAAAAAUUAAUUUUUAAUUUGUAUGCAAAUAAAAAUAGUUUUAUUAAAACCACAUAUCAUUAUGUUAAAUAAUAAUUAAGCCGGUGAUACCGCUUUUGAAACAGACACACAAUAAGCCCAUACUUCAUCUCUUUUCUGUAAAUAUUUGGAUUCGUUUCCGAUUAAACUAGGUCUAUCCGCGAUAUAUUUGAUAAGUGUGUCAUGACACUCUUUGCCUUCUUGAACAAGCUCCUUGCAACAAGGAAUGGAUACAACUCCAUCUCCAAAAACUUGAGAAAUGAUCUUGAGCGCACAGUUUGGACUGAUUUUAACAACACAUUGAUCCCAUAACUUUUUUGGCUCAUUUUCUUCUACAGCUAAUGAAGGUACACAUGUAAUCGCCACAACUAGAACUACCAAAGACAACAUAAUAAAGUUAAGCUUCGCCAUGGUUGUUAUGUGUUUGAGGAUUUACAGUUUAACUUUUCUCAAGUUAGAGAAAUAAAUAAGUUUUUAAAUUUCUGAUGUUAUUUGAAUAAACGAGGUUUGCCUUAUUUAUAGAUACGAAUAAUCAAUAUUUAACAUUUAUUUUCGACUAAUGAAUUUUGCUUUUGACGUUUUUUUGUUCAUUAACAUGUGUUAAGUUACGUUUUUUGCUGAAGUUAUUAACUGCUUAGGUUUAUAGUUUAUAAAUAAUUAAAUUAGGAUUCUUGUAGUAUACAAAUGAACAUUCUAAGAACUUAUAUAAGUAUUUAAAUUAAAAACUACAGAACAUUUUUUAAUGAAUAUUUUUUAUGUCAGCAACAUAUAAUUUGGUGGUUGUAUAUCAACUUACUAACAAAAACCAAAAGUACACUCUAACAUUUUAUCAAUCUAAAAAUGCUUUAAAGUAUAUAUCAAUAUAUUUCUCUCUGAGAUUAAAGGAGAGAGUUUCAGAUUUUAUAUAUUCUUUAUUUCAUGAUGUAGGAUGCUUAAGAAUAUAAUUUUAUCCUUUUAAUUGUAUAAAGUUUUAUAUCGAGAUGGUUAUUAGGUAAAGCAUGACUCCACUUGGGAAAAUAAUCUACAAAUUUAAAUUCCCUCUACAAGAAACAAAAUAUGAAAUCUAUAAAGAAUGAAAUUUGAUAAAAAAGAAAUAAAAAAUGUGUGUUCAAAAAAAAAAAAAAAUGAAAACAAAUUUUUGAAUUUAAGCUUGCGAUAUCAGGUUUUAUCAAUUUAUAACUUACAUAAUAGUUUAAUUACUAUAUAUUUUUCAAGGAAAUUGAUGUCGUUCAUAUUAAAAAUAUAAAUAGUAUAUAUAUACUUACAUAAAAUUAAUGAAAUGUUUGUAUUUAGUAAAUUUUUCUUAAUCAUUCUAAAGAUUUUAUUUUCUAUCAAUUUCAUCAAAAUAUAUGUAAUAACUCCAAAAUUUAAAUCUGAAAACAUAUGUGAUGGUUCAAAGAAAAUGGUAUAUAGAUUGUGCGACCACGUAGAAUAUAAUAAGUAUGUUGCGGUCUUGUGGAUUCGGGAAAUGCUAGAUUUUAAGAUUACAAAUCAGUGUUUAUUUUGAUAUUUCGUCUUUUGAAUUCAUAAAAAAGUGAGUAUUUAAAGAUUUUUAAGUAUUAAUUUUUUUUAUCUGGGACUAGAACUUUUUAUUUUGCAUCUAAAACUCAGAAAAGGGAAUAAAGUAAUGCAAAAGAAAAUAAGUAACCCAAAACAAUAAAUAUAAAUCUCGCAUGAAUAUAUCAAAAAUUAAUUUUUAAUUUGUAUGCAAAUACAAAUAGUUUUAUUGAAAUCACUAUCAUUAUGUUAUAUAAUAAUUAAGCCGGUGAUACCGCUUUUGAAACAGACACACAAUAAGCCCAUACUUCAUCUCUUUUCGUUAAAUAUUUGGAUUCGUUUCCGAUUAAACUAGGUCUAUCCGCGAUAUAUUUAACAAGUGUGUCAUGACACUCUUUGCCUUCUUGAACAAGCUCCUUGCAACAAGGAAUGGAUACAACUCCAUCUCCAAAAACUUGAGAAAUGAUCUUGAGCGCACAGUUUGGACUGAUUUUAACAACACAUUGAUCCCAUAACGUUUUUGGCUCAUUUUCUUCUACAGCUAAUGAAGGCACACAUGUAAUCGCCACAACUAGAACAACAAAAGACAACAUAAUAAAAUUAAGCUUCACCAUGGUUGUUAUGUGUUUGAGGAUUUACAGUUUAACUUUUCUCAAGUUAGAGAAAGAAAUAAGUUUUUAAAUUUCUGAUGUUAUUUGAAUAAACGAGGUUUGCCCUAUUUAUAGAUACGAAUAAUCAAUAUUUAACAUAUUUUUUCAACUAAUGAAUUUUGCUUUUGACGUUUUUUUGUUCAUUAACAUGUGUUAAGUUACGUUUUUUGCUGAAGUUAUUAACUGCUUAGGUUUAUAGUUUAUAAAUAAUUAAAUUAGGAUUCUUGUAGUAUAAAAAUGAACAUACUAAGAACUUAUAUAAGUAUUUAAAUUAAAAACUACUGAACAUUUUUUAAUGAAUAUUUUUUAUGUCAGCAACAUAUAAUUUGGUGGUUGUAUAUCAACUUACUAACAAAAACCAAAAGUACACUCUAACAUUUUAUCAAUCUAAAAAUGAUUUAAAGUAUAUAUCAAUAUAUUUCUCUGAGAUUAAAGGAGAGAGUUCCAGAUUUUAUAUAUUCUUUAUUUCAUGAUGUAGGAUGCUUAAGAAUAUAAUUUUAUCCUUUUAAUUGUAUAAAGUUUUAUAUUGAGAUGGUUAUUAGGUAAAACAUGACUCCACUUGGGAAAGUAAUCUACAAAUUUAAAUUCCCUCUACAAGAAACAAAACAUGAAAUCUAUAAAGAAUGAAAUUUAAUAAAAAAGAAAUAAAAAAUGAAACCAAAUUUUUGAAUUUAAACUUGCGGUAUCAUAAUUUAUCAAUUUCUAACUUACAUAAUAGUUUAAUUACUAUAUAUCUUUCAAGGAAAUUAAUGUGUUUCAUAAUAAAAAUAUAAACAGUAUAUAUAUAUACUUACAUAAAACUAACGAAAUGUUAUUUUUAUUCUUGAAUGAAUUUUUUUAAUUGAGUUGAGUCCUUUUAAAAAUGUUUCAUGCCACAGUUUUGAGGUGCGACUCCGUUUGUAUUAGAUUAAUUUUUUUUAAUCAUUCUAAAGAUUUUAUUUUCUAUCAAUUUCAUCAAAAUAUAUGUAAUAACUCCAAAAUUUAAACCUGAAAACAUAUGUGAUGGUUCAAAGAAAAUGGUAUAUAGAUUGUGCGACCACGUGCAAUAUAAUAAGUAUGCUGCGGUCUUGUGGAUUCAAGAAAUGCUAUAUUUUUAAGAUUGCAAAUCAGUGUUUAUUUUGAUAUUUCGUCUUUUUAAUUCAUAAAAACUGUGAGUAUUAAUUUUUUUUUAAGUAUUAAUAUCUUUAAUCUGGGACUAGACCUUUUUAUUUUGCAUCUAAAACUCAGAAAAGGGAAUAUAUAAAGUAAUACAAAAGAAAAUAAGUAACACAAAACGAUAAAUAUAAAUCUCACAUAAAUAAAUUAAAAAAUAUUUUUUAUUUUGUAUGCAAAUACAAAUAGUUUUAUUAAAAUCACAUAUCAUUAUGUUAAAUAAUAAUUAAGCCGGUGAUACCGCUUUUGAAACAAACACACAAUAAGCCCAUACUUCAUCUCUUUUCUUUAAAUAUUUGGAUUCGUUUCCGAUUAAACUAGGUCUAUCCGCGAUAUAUUUGACAAGUGUGUCAUGACACUCUUUGCCUUCUUGAACAAGCUCCUUGCAACAAGGAAUGGAUACAACUCCAUCUCCAAAAAUUUGAGAAAUGAUCUUGAGCGCACAGUUUGGACUGAUUUUAACAACACAUUGAUCCCAUAACUUUUUUGGCUCAUUUUCUUCUACAGCUAAUGAAGGCACACAUGUAAGCGCCACAAUUAGAACAACAAAAGACAACAUAAUAAAAUUAAGCUUCACCAUGGUUGUUAUGUGUUUGAGGAUUUCCAGUUUAACUUUUCUCAAGUUAGAGAAAGAAAUAAGUUUUUAAAUUUCUGAUGUUAUUUGAAUAAACGAAGUUUGCCCUAUUUAUAGAUACGAAUAAUCAAUAUUUAACAUUUAUUUUCGAGUAAUGAAUUUUGCUUUUGAUGUUUUUUUGUUCAUUAACAUGUGUUAAGUUACGUUUUAUGCUGAAGUUAUAAACUGCUUAGGUUUAUAGUUUAUAAAUAAUUAAAUUAGGAUUCUUGUAGUAUAAAAAUGAACAUACUAAGAACUUAUAUAAGUAUUUAAUUUAAAAACUACUGAACAUUAUUUAAUGAAUAUUUUUUAUGUCAGCAACAUAUAAUUUGGUGGUUGUAUAUCAACUUACUAACAAAACCCAAAAGUACACUCUAACAUUUAAUCAAUCUAUAAAUGAUUUAAAGUAUAUAUCAAUAUAUUUCUCUCUGAGAUUAAAAGAGAGAGUUUCAGAUUUUAUAUAUUCUUUAUUUCAUGAUGUAGGAUGCUAAAGAAUAUAUUUUUAUCCUUUUAAUUGUAUAAAGUUGUAUAUCGAGAUGGUUAUUAGGUAAAACAUGACUCCACUUGGGAAAAUAAUCUACAAAUUUAAAUUCCCUCUACAAGAAACAAAAUAUGAAAUCUAUAAAGAAUGAAAUUUGAUAAAAAAGAAAUAGAAAAUGUGUGUUAAAAAAAAUAAAAAUGAAAACAAAUUUUCGAAUUUAAGCUUGCGAUAUCAGGUUUUAUCAAUUUAUAACUUACAUAAUAGUUUAAUUACAAUAUAUUUUUCAAGGAAAUUGAUGUCGUUCAUAUUAAAAAUAAUAUAAAUAGUAUAUAUAUACUUACAUAAAAUUAACAAAAUGUUUGUAUUUGGUUAAUUUUUCUUAAUCAUUCUAAAGAUUUUAUUUUCUAUCAAUUUCAUCAAAAUAUAUGUAAUAACUCCAAAAUUUAAAUCUGAAAACAUAUGUGAUGGUUCAAAGAAAAUGGUAUAUAGAUUGUGCGACCACGUAGAAUAUAAUAAGUAUGUUGCGGUCUUGUGGAUUCGGGAAAUGAUAGAUUUUAAGAUUACAAAUCAGUGUUUAUUUUGAUAUUUUGUCUUUUGAAUUCAUAAAAAAAGUGAGUAUUUAAAGAUUUUUAAGUAUUAAUUAUUUUAAUCUGGGACUAGACCUUUUUAUUUUGCAUCUAAAACUCAGAAAAGGGAAUAAAGUAAUGCAAAAGAAAAUAAGUAACACAAAACAAUAAAUAUAAAUCUCACAUGAAUAUAUCAAAAAUUAAUUUUUAAUUUGUAUGCAAAUACAAAUAGUUUUAUUGAAAUCACAUAUCAUUAUGUUAAAUAAUAAUUAAGCCGGUGAUACCGCUUUUGAAACAGACACACAAUAAGCCCAUACUUCAUCUCUUUUCUUUAAAUAUUUGGAUUCGUUUCCGAUUAAACUAGGUCUAUCCGCGAUAUAUUUAACAAGUGUGUCAUGACACUCUUUGCCUUCUUGAACAAGCUCCUUGCAACAAGGAAUUGAUACAACUCCAUCUCCAAAAACUUGAGAAAUGAUCUUGAGCGCACAGUUUGGACUGAUUUUAACAACACAUUGAUCCCAUAACUUUUUUAGCUCAUUUUCUUCUACACCAAAUGAAGGCACACAUAUAAUCGCCACAACUAGAACAACAAAAGACAACAUAAUAAAAUUAAGCUUCGCCAUGGUUGUUAUGUGUUUGAGGAUUUACAGUUUAACUUUUCUCAAGUUAGAGAAAUAAAUAAGUUUUUAAAUUUCUGAUGUUAUUUGAAUAAACGAGGGUUACCCUAUUUAUAGAUACGAAUAAUCAAUAUUUAACAUUUAUUUUCGAUUAAUGAAUUUUGUUUUUGACGUUUUUUGUUCAUUAACAUGUGUUAAGUUACGUUUUUUGCUUAAGUUAUUAACUGCUUAGGUUUAUAGUUUAUAAAUAAUUAAAUUAGGAUUCUUGUAUUAUACAAAUGAACAUACUAAGAACUUAUAUAAGUAUUUAAAUUAUAAACUACAGAACAUUUUUAAUGAAUAUUGUUUUUAUGUCAGCAACCUAUAAUUUGGUGGUUGUAUAUCAACUUACUAACAAAAACCAAAAGUACACUCAACAUUUGAUUAAUCUAAAAAUGAUUUAAAGUAUAUAUCAAUAUAUCUCUCUCUGAGAUUAAAGGAGAUAGUUCCAGAUUUUAUAUAUUCUUUAUUUGGUGAUGUAGGAUGCUUAAGAAUAUAAUUUUAUCCUUUUAAUUCAUUAAUUGUAUAAAGUUUUAUAUCGAGAUGGUUAUUAGGUAAAACAUGACUCCACUUGGGAAAGUAAUCUACAAAUUUAAAUUCCCUCUACAAGAAACAAAACAUGAAAUCUAUAAAGAAUGAAAUUUAAUAAAAAAGAAAUAAAAAAUGAAACCAAAUUUUCGAAUUUAAACUUGCGAUAUCAUAAUUUAUCAAUUUCUAACUUACAUAAUAGUUUAAUUACUAUAUAUCUUUCAAGGAAAUUAAUGUGUUUCAUAUUAAAAAUAUAAAUAGUAUAUAUAUAUACUUACAUAAAAUUAACGAAAUGUUAUUUUUAUUCUUGAAUGAAUUUUUUUAAUUGAGUUGAGUCCUUUUAAAAAUGUUUCAUGCCACAGUUUUGAGGUGUGACUCCGUUUGUAUUUGGUUAUUUUUUUUAAUCAUUCUAAAGAUUUUAUUUUCUAUCAAUUUCAUCAAAAUAUAUGUAAUAACUCCAAAAUUUAAACCUGAAAACAUAUGUGAUGGUUCAAAGAAAAUGGUAUAUAGUUUGUGCGACCACGUGCAAUGUAAUAAGUAUGCUGCGGUUUUGUGGAUUCAAGAAAUGCUAUAUUUUUAAGAUUACAAAUCAGUGUUUAUUUUGAUAUUUCGUCUUUUUAAUUCAUAAAAACUGUGAGUAUUAAUUUUUUUUUUAAGUGUUAAUAUCUUUAAUCUGGGACUAGACCUUUUUAUUUUGCAUCUAAAACUCAGAAAAGGGAAUAUAUAAAGUAAUACAAAAGAAAAUAAGUAACACAAAACGAUAAAUAUAAAUCUCACAUAAAUAUAUUAAAAAUUAUUUUUUAUUUUGUAUGCAAAUACAAAUAGUUUUAUUAAAAUCACAUAUCAUUAUGUUAAAUAAUAAUUAAGCCGGUGAUACCGCUUUUGAAACAGAUACACAAUAAACCCAUACUGCAUCUCUUUUCUUUAAAUAUUUGGAUUCGUUUCCGAUUAAACUAGGUCUAUCCGCGAUAUAUUUGACAAGUGUGUCAUGACACUCUUUGCCUUCUUGAACAAGCUCCUUGCAACAAGGAAUGGAUACAACUCCAUCUCCAAAAACUUGAGAAAUGAUCUUGAGCGCACAGUUUGGACUGAUUUUAACAACACAUUGAUCCCAUAACUUUUUUGGCUCAUUUUCUUCUACAGCUAAUGAAGGUACACAUGUAAUCGCCACAACUAGAACAACAAAAGACAACAUAAUAAAGUUAAUCUUUGCCAUGGUUGUUAUGUGUUUGAAGAUUUACAGUUUAACUUUUUUUCAAGUUAGAGAAAGAAAUAAGUUUUUAAAUUUCUGAUGUUAUUUGAAGAAACGAGGUUUGCCCUAUUUAUAGAUACGAAUAAUCAAUAUUUAACAUUUAAUUUCGACUAAUGAAUUUUGUUUUGACGUUUUUUUGUUCAUUAACAUGUGUUAAGUUACGUUUUUUGCUGAAGUUAUUAACUACUUAGGUUUAUAGUUUAUAAAUAAUUAAAUUAGGAUUUUUGUAGUAUACAAAUUAACAUUCUAAGAACUUAUAUAAGUAUUUAAAUUAAAAACUACAGAACAUUUUUAAUGAAUAUUUUUUUUAUGUCAGCAACAUAUAAUUUGGUGGUUGUAUUUCAACUUACUAACAAAAACCAAAAGUACACUCUAACAUUUGAUCAAUCUAAAAAUGAUUUAAAGUAUAUAUCAAUAUAUUUCUCUCUGAGAUUAAAGGAGAGAGUUUCAGAUUUUAUAUAUUCUUUAUUUUGUGAUGUAGGAUGCUUAAGAAUAUAAUUUUAUCCUUUUAAUUUUAUAAACUUUUAUAUCGAGAUGGUUAUAAGGUAAAACAUGACCCCACUUUGGUAAAUAGUCUACAAAUUUAAAUUCCCUAUAUAAUAAAUAAAAUAUGGAAUCUAUAAAGAAUGGAAUUUAAUUAAAAAAAAGAAAAAAAAGAAAACAAAUUUUUGAUUUUAAACUUGCGAUAUCAGAUUUUAUCAGUUUAUAACUUACACAAUAGUUUAAUUACUAUAUAUUUUGUCAAGGAAAUUUAUGUGUUUCAUAUUAAACAUAUAAAUAGCAUAUAUAUACUUACAUAAAUUAAAAAUGGCUGUUUCUAUUCCUGAAUGAUUUUUUUUCAUGGCACAGUUUUGAGGUGCGAUUCUGUUUCUAUUUGGUCAAUUUUUUUUAACAAUUCUUCAAAUUGUAUUUUUGAUUAAUUUCUUCAGAAUAUAUGUAACAACUCCAAAAAUUAAAUAUGAAAACGUAUGUGAUGGAAAAAUAAAAUGGUAUAUAGAUUGUACGACCACAUGCAAGUUAUUAUAUAAAUGUAAUAAGUCUGUUGCGGUCUUGUAGAUUCGCGAAAUGCUAGAUUUUUAAGAUUACAAAUCAGUGUUUAUUUUGAUAUUUUGCCAUUAUAAUUCAUAAAAACUCUGAGUAUUUAAAGACUUUUAAAUAUUAAUUUUUUUAUUUGGGACUCGACAUUUUUAUUUGGCAUCUAAAACUAAGAAAAAGGAAUAAAGAAUGUGAAAGAAAACAAGUAACACAAAAUGAUAAAUAUAAAUCUCACAUGAAUAUAUUAAAUAUUUAUUUUGAAUUUGUAUGCAAAUACAAAUAAUUUUAUUAAAAUCCCAUAUUAUUAUGUUAAAUAAUAAUUAAGCUGGUGAUACCGCUUUUGAAACAGACACACAAUGAGCCCAUAAUUCAUCUCUUUUCUGUAAAUAUUUGGAUUCGUUUCCGAUUAAACUAGGUCUAUCCGCGAUAUAUUUGACAAGUGUGUCAUGACACUCUUUGCCUUCUUGAACAAGCUCUUUGCAACAAGGAAUGGAUACAACUCCAUCUCCAAAAACUUGGGAAAUGAUCUUGAGCGCACAGUUUGGACUGAUUUUAACAACGCAUUGAUCCCAUAAUUUUUUUGGCUCAUUUUCUUCUACAGCUAAUGAAGGUACACAUGUAAUUGCCACAACUAGAACUACCAAAGACAACAUAAUAAAGUUAAGCUUCACCAUGGUUGUUAUGUGUUUGAGGAUUUACAGUUUAACUUUUCUCAAGUUAGAGAAAGAAAUAAGUUUUUAAAUUUCUGAUGUUAUUUGAAUAAACGAGGUUUGCCCUAUUUAUAGAUACGAAUAAUCAAUAUUUAACAUUUUUUUUCGACUAAUGAAUUUUGCUUUUGACGUUUUUUUGUUCAUUAACAUGUGUUAAGUUACGUUUUUUGCUGAAGUUAUUAACUGCUUAGGUUUAUAGUUUAUAAAUAAUUAAAUUAGGAUUCUUGUAUUAUACAAAUGAACAUACUAAGAACUUAUAUAAGUAUUUAAAUUAAUAAGUUACUGAAUAUUUUUUAUGAAUAUUGUUUUAUGUCAGCAACAUAUAUUUUGGUGGUUGUAUAUGAACUUACUAAGAUAAACCCAGAAGAACACGCUAACAUUUGAUCAAUCUUAAAAUUAUUAUAAGUAUAUAUCAACAUUAAGAUUUUAUAUUUUCUUUAUUAUGUUAUGUAGGAUGCUUAAGAAUAUUUUUUCUUUUUCAUUUUGUAAUUUUUAUGCAGAUAUGGCUAUGAGGUAAAACCUGACUCCACUUGGGAAAAUAAUCUACAAAUUUCAAUUCACUGUAAUAAAUUAAUAUGUAAAAUACAUAUUAGAAUAAAUUUUAAUAAAAAAUCAAAUAAGUAAUUAAAAAAAAAUCCAAUUUAUGCUUGCGAUAUUAUAUUAUCAGUUUAUUACUUUCAGAAUAGUUUAAUUUAUUUUUAUAUUUCUCGAGAAUAUUUAUGUGUUUCAUAUUAAAAUAUAAAUAACAUAUAUAUACUUACAUAAAUUAACAUAUGUGAUGGGACAAAGAAAAUGGUAUAUGGAUUGUGGGAUCAGUUGAAAGUGAUAUUUUAAGUGUACUAAGUGUGUUGCGACUUUGUAGAGUCGUGAAAGACUAGAUUCUUAUGAUUACAAGUAAAGUGUUUAUUUUGAUAUUUCGUCAUUUGAGAUAAUGAAAAUUGUGAGUAAUUAAAGAUUUUUAAACAAUAUAUUUUUAUUUCAGAUUUGACCUCUUUAUUUGGUAUCUAAAUGAGAAAAGAAAAUAAAAUAAUGCAAAAGAAAACAAACAACAAAAAAUGAUAAAUGUUAAUCUCACAUGAAUAUAUUUUAAUUUGAACUUGUAUGCAAAUACAAAUAAUUUUAUUAAAAUACAUAUUAUUGUAUUAAAAUAUAAUUAAGCUGGUGAUAAUGCUUUUGAUACAGACACACAGUGAACCCAUAAUUCAUCUAUUAUAUGUAAGUAUUUGGAUUCGUUGUCAAUUAACAAGUGUGUUAUGCCAUUCCUUUUUUCGGAACAAACUCAUGGCAAUAAGGAAUGGAUAGAGCUCAAUUUUCAAAAACUUGAGAAAUAACAGAAUUAUUUAUAAGAAUUGAAAAAACAAAGAACAAUAAUUGACAAAACAAAAUCCUAAAUCACAAAUAACAAUUUUAACUAUUAAGUAACAUAUAAUAUAUAGUAAAAGAUACGCUGCUUCUUUUUCACAUUUACAGCUUCUGAUAGAUAACAAAUUCAGACACACAUAUUUUAAAAAUAUUUUUGUCAAAGAUAUUUUAAAAUAUUUUCAAUAUUAUUAAUAGUUUUGUUAGAUUUUGAAGUUCAAAACUCGUGUUCUCACAGAAAGAGGGAUUCGGACAUUGUGAGCUCCAUUGUCGGUCCAUGUCAAGCUCCCAAAGUGAUAAUCAGUAUUCACUCUAUGAGUCGUGGAGACUUUCACCGUAAAUGUAAUCUUCUUGGUGUUGGGACCGAACUCAAGAGUUUUAGGACUCACCUGCAGGUUUAUACCUAGAGGCGGUUCGAUCACAGCUUUGUAAACCGAACCGACCGGUCCAACAUUUGUCACGGUUCUAGUUAUUGUGAUCUCUUGACUAAGAUAUGGGAUUGUGAUGGAGGGCAAGUUAACAUCAAGCAUGGAUGGAGUUGGGGAAGGGCAAGUGUAGACUUUUCCAAGUAGUUUUGAGAUGGAUAUAUCUUCAUAGCCUGCAGAACACAAGUAAUGAACAUAUUCAUCAUGGCCCAUGUCGUAGACAAGUCCCGGGUCUGCCACCUUCCCCGGGUUCACGAGGCCACCUCCGUAGUCAAACGGGUCAGCGAUUUUGCGCGGGGAACCCUCUGCUGCAAUAGGCUCUCCCGAUGGGUCCGUUUGAAAUGCUGCAAGGGUUAUCAGUUAUUCACUAAAACUUCUUCGAAAACAAAAAAAUAACAACAACGUUUCUUGGUGAGCAAGAAACAAAUAUUUUUUGAAAAUGUACAAUUUUACCAGUUGUGACGAGAGCGGAUCGAAUCGCAGCAGGGGACCAGUCAGGGCGUUUUUGCUUAAGAAGUGCAACUAUUCCUGUUACGACAGGUGUAGCCAUCGAUGUCCCUGACAUGAACUCGUAUCCUACCCCUGUUGGUACGGCCGCAAGUAUACCUACACCUGGUGCUGCUAUAUCCGGCUGUACUUAAAAACCACAAGCCAACUUCAGGUCGGGCAAAUUGCAUGUAAAAAUUAAUAGUUAGUAGGAAUUUUAUACUUCACCUUGAGAAUGGCGGGAGAUAUUGAAUUGGGACCUCUAGACGAAAACCUUGCAACCUUAGUCGCUGAAGGUCGGCCAACGAAUGUCUUGGUUGGGCUGAUCUUAGCUUUAGGAAAUCUGUGGAAAUCAUUACAAAAGAAAAAAAAAUCUCUGUCGCAUCGAAAGAGUUCAUAAAUGGAUAACAAAUAGAGAAAUGUAAGAACUUACUUGGUUGUUUGGAGGUAGAGUAAAAUGUCCAUCCCAAUUUCAUAGUCUACCCUGGCAGAGGCGAUACCCGCGGUGCCUGGUUCGAUCAAAUCAAUUGGCUUUGUUGCGAUGAUGAUGCCAACGACGCCUUUCGAUUUCGCGAAUUCAGCAAUCUGAUCUGUAGAUCUAUCUGUUAGGAAGGUAAACAAGAUUUUUCCCUUAGCUUUACCGGCUUCAAAAUCAGCUUUCGUCAAGUCAUCGAAGUAAAUAAGAUCAGUGAAUCCCACUUCUUCUCCUAUGUAUAAACCUUCUUGACCCUGAUAAAUGCGUCCCACAAAAAUAUUUAAAUAAACAAUUACAAAUGUUUUUAUACCACAAGUAAAAAUAUAUACGUACCAGUACGGUUACAUUGUUUCCAAGAGUGAUGGGCGUGAAGAACUCUCGGUCCAUGGUCGUAGCCGCGACCGUUAUGAUCCACGGAGCAACGUUAGAGAUGGUUUGAGUUUCAGGACCAUCGUUCCCACCAGCGCAUACCACGGUAAUACCCUUCAUCACGGCGUGGAAAGCAGCGAUAGCGAAGUCACUCCUAUCGACCUCGAAAUCAAGCGGUAUCUCGGAUCCGAGCGAGAGCGAUAGAACAUCGACGCCAUCACGCAUAGCGUGAUCCAUGGCCUUUAAAAUAUCCGGCGUAAAACACUCCUCGUUAUUCCAACACACUUUGUAAGCGGCUACACGGGCCCUAGGGGCACUGCCUCUCGCAGUUCCCUGACCUAAACCGAGGUAGUUUGCGUUUUGGACAAAAGAACCCGCGGCGGUCGACGCACAGUGUGUUCCGUGGCCGACUUUGUCCAAAGGGGACAUGGCCUCGUCUUUCUCCGCUGCUUUGAAAGCCCCUUUGUACUUUCUGGCGAGACCCUUUGCGUAGUACGUAGCUCCGAUCAACUUUCUGUUGCACAUCGACGCGUUGAAACCUUCUCCUGAAACACAUUGUCCCUUCCAACGUGCCGGGAUCGGUCCAAGACCGUUGUCGUUAAAUGACUUUGACCCUGGCCAUAUUCCUGAGUCCACGAUUCCUAUGAUUGCGUCGCUUCCCAUAUCGGUAUCGUGGACGAGACCGGUUGGAGCGGUUGAAGUGAGUCCCAAGUAAUCACUAACCCUUGUUGUUGUUAGUUUCAUAUUCUUGCUUCUUGUUACGUGAACAACAUGCGGAUUUUCUAUUAUAAAUCCAAAUCCGAAGUGGAUAUAUAAUUAGUACUGUUUUUGAGUUUAACCUAAUUCUUGUGCAACACGUUCCCUCAAAGAGAAUAGUUUCAAAUUUACCUGAGAGUUCCCUUGCUUGGGAUGAUGUGAGUUUCGCUGAAAACCCUGAAAAACCAUGUCUAUAACUAUAAAUCAUAGACUCACGAGAAGCUUCUUUGCUGCAUCAUCAGUCAAACCAUUAAAAUUCAUCAUAAAACAAUAAUAUUUUUCUCCGCAACAUUUAUGAUCUUUGGAAAGAAUAGACCAAUAAUUAGAUUACCUUCCAAGAAGCGAUCCAAGGAUAUCAUGAUGUGAAUCAGUAACAAGUUUAGGAUCAUCAUGUUGCCUCUUACCCAAAUGCACCGUGUAAAUCUAAAUAUAGCAUCACCGAGAAAGUUAAAUUAGUGAAAUUCCUUGCAAUUAGCGUCUCUCUCUUUUGGCAGAAAUAAAAUGAUUUUAAAAAUCGGCAAUUGGUUACAUACCUGGCUUUCCUGAUUCGCACAAGAAAUUAAGGCUAUCUUCAAGAUGAAUACUAAACUUAUGAACACAACUACAAUAUGCUUCCUAUUAUUGGAUACAGUCAGAGAAGACAACCCCAUUUUCAGGGUUUUAAGAGUUUGUGUUCAGGCUGAUUCUUUUUCAACAAGAAUCUUCCAAGAAUAUUAGGGUUCUUAUUCUUGGAUCUCCUCAAACAGUGUCCUCUCUGAUUGUAUCCCAGAAGAAGCAUAAAGAUGAUUGUAUUCAACCCAUCUUGUAUUUAAACUGAUCAGGAUUUGGUUAAGAAUGUUGGGAGUUUUUUUUAGCGUACAACGAAGAUAGGAGAUAACACCAAAGCUAAUAGUUAAUUUGGGACUACUCUAGUUUAAAACGGUUUUGUUUCUUUUUAUAUAAUUAUCGGCGUAGAAUUAAAACGAGUUAAAACUUGAAACUGUUAUUGUCUGUCAAAACCAUGAUGGUAAGGUAAAUGUAAAUAUUAUGUUAUUCAGAUAUGAAUUUAAAGUUUUCUUUUUUUUUAAUUAAAGGGUUUUGAGAAUUUAAAAUUUUAUUUUUAAUUUAGUAUUAUUAAAUUAGAAAUUUAAAAUUUUCAUAUUAAAUAUACUCUUGUUAAAUAUGUUUAAGCAGUGGAUGAUAUUUUGUGAUAUUAGGGUGGACAGAUGAAGUUUCAUAAUUAAAUGUAUAAUACAUAAAUUUCAUGGUUUUAGAAUGUUUGCUAAAUAAUUUUAAUGAAAAGCAUAAUACACCCAAAAUUAUCUCCAAUUUAUUAUAACUUAAAUACUUAUAAUUUUUAAAAUCAAAUUGAGUAUAACUCCCUCGGUUGAUGUCUAAUUUCUCGCAAAAAGAGUUUAGUCAUAUUACGUCAUUUAUUAGAAAACUAUUAAAAUUGAUUGAAAGCUUAUUGUUUUGAUUGAAAGCUUGAAUACUAUUUUCACUAGAAAAUUGUAAGAUUUGAUUUUCAAAUGAUGUUAUGCGAUGACAAAAAAAAAAUAAUGUUAUGCAAAUUAUUAGAAAAGUUGAUAAGAAAUCUUCACUGUCAUGCAUAGGGGUAAAAUUUACAAUAUAUAGUAUUUCUAUUAAAUUAUUACGAAAAAUUAAACAAACCCUAUGAAAACAAAUUACGCAAAUAAUUUUCUUAAAAGGUAAAAGUGAAUAAUUUUAUUAUAAAAUAGUAUAUGAUAGUGUUAUGUAAAAAAACUAGAUAUAACUUUUAUAUACAGGUAACUACCAAAUGAAAUGUUAAACAUUCAUUACUAAAAGUGUAUAUUUUUAGAUUAUGUAAAUUUCUGACUAUUUGUUUAGAAAAUGUAGUGAAACUGAAAAAUUAGAAACUUGUAAAAUAAUAAAAACUAACAAAAUAUAUAAGAUAACAAUAUUGAACAGCAUAUAAAAUGAGAACUAAUAAAUAAAUAAUUGGGAAAAACUAAAAGAAACAAGUCACAGGAAAAUUAAUCAAUUUAGGUUUAUAUAAAGUUACUACUAUAGAUAGAAAUCCGUUAUAUAAUUAUUCAGUUGUCACCCCUUCCCCCUUUUUAUUUGUCUUCUUGAUUCUCAUGAAGCUUGUUUUUCUUAUGUAUAUUUAUUCGAAAAAUAGCAAGUAAAAGGUUUUUUUUUUUUAAUCAAAGAUUAUUAAUUUGUGAGAAUUCAGAUGAAAUGAGCAAUUUAGAUGAUGAUGAUGAUGAUGGUUGAUCCGAGGACCUCUGAAGAAUCUAUUUGGGUACGGCCAACGAGAAGGUAAAAGACUUCUCUAUGUUUAGCCAAGUUCAUGAUAUUGUUGAUAGACUUUGUGAAGUUUAUGGGGUAAUGUCGUUAAAUAGUUUUUGCUGUUAUACUUAUUCUGACAAACAAACUAGGUGGAAUGCUGAAAAGUCCCAAAUUUCAUUUAUGUUUAAAAUGGUAAAUUAGUUUAUUUCUUAACUGUUGUCUGGUGGUAUGUUUAUUUUUAGAAUCUAGUUAAUUAGUUUUCUAAUUUUCAUCUUUUCUCAAUACCCUUAUAAUAUGAUAAUCAGAAGACAUGUCCAAGCAGCUUGUGUUGCAAUCAGAGGAUCAUUGUUGAGGGGCAAGAUUGUUACUAACCCUCUGCAUUUCUCUAAACCCAAAAAUUAUAAUGAGGUACUGUUUUCUGAUUAGCAAUACAAGUUCUAAGGCGUGUCCUUUGGUCAUAAGUCUCGUGUUAAUCCUGAACGGAGUGUUUAUCUCUGCGGCACAAGUCAAUUUGUUGAACAAGGUACAUAAACGUUUUCCUUUCCCCUAGAGAUGGAGACCAGAGCAUUGUAAUUAGUCCCCUUUUCUGAAUAUUUUUAAUUUUUAAUUUUUAUUUUCGGUAAUACCAGGUUCACAUUGUCCAUUUGGGAGCAAAGAAACAUGAUACUCCUGAGCUAGUUACUAAAUCACAUUACCAAAUUUUGGAACCAAUUCUUGGAAGGUAUAUACGAGUAUUGUAAUUUAUCCAAUUUCAGUGUUACCAGGAGCAUAAACUGAGUGUAUACUCAGUUUCCUUCUUUUCUAAUUCGUGCCACAGCAAAGAAGCUGCCCAGAAAUCUAUAGUAUACAAUUACAAGCAUGGUUUCUCCGGGUUUGCAGCAAAACUUACAGCGUCCCAAGCAAAGAACCUUUCAGGUACUUAGAACGUUGAUUGACUCAGAAAGUCAUUAAUUAUAUGUCUCCAUUAAACUCUAAAUAAAUUAAUAUUGAUUUGUUAUCUAUCAGCGCAUCCCGAGGUUCUUUGUGUUAUACCAAGUCGAACACUGAGGUUGAAAACAACAAGAGCAUUCGAUUACUUAAGACUUUUGCCUAGUUCUCCAAAAGGUCUUCUACAUGAUACCCGUUUGGGCAGUGAAGCUAUUAUUGGCAUCAUAGACUCAGGGAUAUGGCCAGAGUCAGAGUCAUUCAAGGACACAGGUCUAGGACCGAUCCCGCAACGGUGGAAAGGAAAAUGUGUGUCUGGAGAUGGAUUUGACGCCAGUAAACAUUGCAACAAGAAGCUUAUAGGGGCUGAGUUCUAUGUUGACAGUCUUGCAGCAGAGACGAACGGACAAUAUGAUUUCCAUGCAGAAAAUGAGUAUAGGUCGGCUAGAGAUGGUGCAGGCCACGGCACACACGUGUCUGCGAUAGCUGCUGGCUCUUUUGUGGCUAACGCAAGCUACAAAGGACUUGGUGGAGGAACCGCUAGAGGCGUGGGUCCUCAUGCACGUAUAGCUAUGUACAAGACCUGCUGGGGAAAACUUGGAUGUCUUACACCUGAUGUACUCAAAGCAAUAGAUCAUAGCAUACGUGACGGGGUUGAUGUUAUAUCGAUUUCGAUCGGUGCUGACGCACCUGCCGGUUUCGAAAUUGAUACAAGCGAUGUAUCAUUUGGUUCAUUCCAUGCGGUAAUGAAAGGCAUUCCCGUUGUCUGUUCUGCUGGAAACGAGGGACCGAACGCUCAAACCGUUGAUAACGUUGCUCCAUGGAUCAUAACCGUAGCUGCUACAUCCAUGGACCGCUCCUUCCCUAUCCCCAUCACUCUUGGAAAUAAUAUAACAAUCCUCGUAUGAUCACAUUCUCUUGAUUUCCAUAUUUAUUUUUAUUUUAUGAUUUUUUCUUUUCAUUUUUUUACUAUGAAUUUUUUUAUAAGUAUUUUUUUUACUAUGAUUUGUGACUUUGUUCUCGUGGACUGUUUCAGGGUGAAGGUUUAAACACAUUCCCUGAAGUUGGAUUUACUGAUCUUUUAUUACAAGAGGAAUUGAUGGAAACCUCAAUCGCACAAGGGCAAAUUAAAGGAAAAAUCGUGCUUGCGUUUACUCCAAACAAUGAAGCGAUACAAAAGGCAGACCGUGUAUUGAAUGCUGGAUGUGCUGGCAUCAUCUAUGCACAAUCUGUAGUUGAUCCUACGGUUUGCAGUGGCCUAGAUGUUCCUUGCGCCGUUGUAGAUUACGAAUUUGGAACUGACAUGUUAUACUAUAUCGAGACCACCGAGUAAUAAAUUAAUAUUCACCAACGUUUAAUAUCAUCAUCACUUUUCUGUUUAUGACAUAAAGUAUUUUGAUUUUGCAGUGUGCCUUUAGCAAAGCUAAGCACUUCCAAGACUCUUGUUGGUCGGCCUGUUGCAUCUAGAGUGGCUCGUUUCUCUUGUAGAGGACCUAAUUCAGUUUCCCCAGCAAUUCUAAAGGUUUGUCUAUUCUUAUUAUUUUUUGUUGUUUCUUCAAAUAUAUUGAUGCUCAAGUUAAUAGUGUUUGGUACUCUGCUGGAUAAUAAUGCAGCCAGACAUAGCAGCACCGGGUGUUAAUAUUCUUUCUGCUGUACCUGAUGGGUAUAAGUUCAUGUCGGGAACAUCAAUGUCAACUCCUAUUGUGUCAGGAAUCGUUGGGCUAAUCAGACAAACCCGCCCUGACUGGUCUCCUGCUGCAAUCCGAUCCGCACUUGUCACAACAGGUUCUCACUAUAAAACCAUACCCAACCAUAGGAUUUUCAAUCCGUAUUUUAGUUUAAUUCCUUGAGUCCGGUUCUUGGGUUGAAAAGAAAAUACUUACGUAAAUUAACACAUAAUAAUCUACUAUGGACCAACUUGGUGUUCUCUCUUUUUGUUUAGGCUUUGAUUUUUUGUUAUGUUAAGAUUAUAUUGGUUCGACUUAUACUAAAUAUUUUGAAAAGACACUAAACAUCUUUAGUUGCUCCGUUUUCUCUUAUUGAAAUGAAGCAUGGAGGACCGAUCCAUCUGGAGAGCCUAUAUUUUCAGAGGGAGCAACACGGAAACUUGCUGAUCCGUUUGACUAUGGAGGAGGGCUGAUCAAUCCAGAGAAAGUCACAGACCCUGGACUUGUUUACGACAUGGGUUUGGAUGACUAUAUUCAUUACUUGUGUUCUGCGGAUUACUCUGAUAAUGAAAUUUCCAAACUAAUUGGGAAACCUAAUCAAUGCCCUUCGCCAAGGCCUUCUAUGCUCGACCUCAACAUGCCUUCGAUCACAAUCCCAAGUCUCACUGGAGAAGUCACCGUGACUAGAACAGUAACGAAUGUUGGACCGGCUGAUUCGGUUUACAAACCCGUUAUUGAGCCUCCUUUUGGAAUAGAGCUUGAGGUGAAUCCGAAGACUCUUGUGUUUGGUUCCAACACAACGAAGAAUACAUUUAGCGUGAGAGUGAGAUCGAAUCAUCAAGUGAACGGGGACUUUUAUUUUGGGAGCUUGUGUUGGACCGAUGGAGCUCACAACGUUACUAUUCCUGUUUCCAUCAGGACAAAGAUCUUGAGGAAUUACGUUUAAUCAUUUUUCACUUGUAAUAUAGUUUUUACCAUGGUAUGUUUCUGAAUCUUGAGAUUCUUUUACUAAUAAUUCAGAUUACAGUAUAUUUGGUUUAAACAUAUAUAUAAGAAAUAGUCAAUUUGCCAAAUAGAUAUAUUGGGUACCAAAUCAAGAAGAGCGUAAACCCACAUCCAUAAACUUAACAAAAAAUAUAAGAAAUGGAAAAAUGAAAAGGGAAUAAUGGACCACCGAUGUGUGAACAAAGAUAUGAAAAGGUUGAAUUAUAUAUAUCUUAGUGCUCAAAAUUUAUCCUUACAUUCUUUUUGCUCCCUUUAAUCUUUAUAAAAGCCUAUAGAUACAGACACAUACAUAUAUGUGCGUAUGCAUAUAUAUAGGUGGUUGCCAUGCUUACCCAACCAUCUGUCCUCAACUUUCAAUAACAUUUACUCUCUCAGACGGUAGACAAAGACAGAGAGAUAGAAAAAAGAAACAGAGUAUAUGCUGUGUUUUGUUCAUUGAUAAAAAAUAGUGUUUGAAAGAACAAGAGGUAGAGAAAGAAAUGGGGAGACAACCAUGCUGUGACAAAGUAGGGUUGAAGAAAGGACCAUGGAGUGCAGAUGAAGACAGGAAGCUCAUGAACUUCAUCCUCACCCAUGGACAAUGUUGUUGGAGAGCUGUUCCUAAGCUUGCCGGUCUUCUCAGGUGUGGCAAGAGUUGUAGACUUCGUUGGACAAAUUAUCUUCGACCAGACCUUAAGAGAGGUCUUCUCUCGGAUCACGAGGAGAAGAUGGUCAUUGACCUCCAUUCCCAGCUCGGCAACAGGUUACAAAACAUUUUUUUGUUUGUGUAAACUUUAUUAAACCUGUAUGAGAAUUUAUAUUCUCUGUUUCUGAGAUGUUUUUUUUUUUUUGGGUAUGUGAAGGUGGUCAAAGAUAGCUUCUCAUUUACCAGGAAGAACAGACAAUGAAAUCAAGAACCACUGGAACACUCACAUCAAGAAGAAGUUAAGGAAAAUGGGGAUCGAUCCUCUCACUCAUAAACCACUCUCUAUAGUUGAACAAGAAGAAGACAAACCUUUAAAGAAGCUGCAGAAACCAAUGAAGCAGACUGUGGAGGAACCAACUAAUUAUUGUCUUACCAAAGACAGCAACAGCAAAAACAUGUUUAUGGCAAUGAAUCUCGAGUAUGGCGUCGAAGAAGUCCCUAUGAUUGAUCCGGAGUGUUUAGAGCUUAUCUGUAACAACUCUUCAAUGUCUACUACAUCCACAUCCACGUCUUCCAGUUCAUCUAAUGAAUCAAGCAUCUUGAAGGAUUUUCAGUUCCCGGAUUUCGAUUGGUCGGACUAUGGUAUUGAUAAUAAUAAUCAUCAUAAUAAUAAUGGUGUGGACAACAUAAUGGAGAACAAUGUGAUGAGCCUGUGGGAUGUUGAUGACUUUAGCAGUUGGGAUUUACUGUUAACUGAUGAUAUUCCUCAGAGUUCUUCCACGUUUGGGUUGUUUUGAAUUUAUUUUAAAGUCAAUAUUUUCUUUGUAAAAUGGAAACUACGUGGGGACAGAAAACCCUAUAUACACUUCUUCAGUCUUGUUUAAGGUGAGAUUUUUUAAAAAAAAAUUACUUGAGAAAAAGUUACAAAAAGAAAAAUCAAAUAUAUUUAUUUUGUACAGACAAAAAGAGUUAGAGAGAAUUGUGUGUCUGAGUGUAGACCAAUUUUUGCUCUGUAUUUUGGGUUCCAUAUUUUCACGUGUUCCGGUUUAGUAUCACUUUGGCAAUAAAAAGGAAAAUUGCAAUGAAUGACAAUAAAUACAUGUAUUGUGUUAAGAUUUAACUUAUGGUUUCAUAAUCUCGAUAUCUCCUAACAAAACCUAAUUUUCUUCAUUCUGUAACGAUGUGUUCUUAUUCUAUUUUGCUCCAUACUUUGCUAUGUCUGACGCAAAAAAAAUUACAUGCAUAUAUAUGAGCUACCAAGUCAAAGCUUAUUGUACUAGCAAAGCUAUUUUGUAAAUUUUAUGUUAUAUUUGGUUGCUUCGUUAGUAAUAUAAGAUAUAACAGGUCAGUAUGAAAGUCUGUUUGAAGAUCUGGUACAUAAGUAAAGUACUUGUCUAGGUUUGUAGAUAUAAAGUGGCUAUUUCUUGUUUACUUGAGAAAGGGUUCGUGUCUUCACUAUUUCAUAACUUGUAUUAACUGGAAAUAAAAUAAAGGUUUGAAUCUUGGAAGAUAAAGAACUUUUUCUUUGAGUUAGUGAAACUUGAGAGAAUCUCCCAAUCUAACGUGGUGGAUAGAAGAUGUGAACUGGAUUAUCAAUUCGUUAUCCGUUCUUUAUUUGCCUCUAUCUUGAAUUGCAUGGAAGUUGAAAUUUCACAAUGGUUAUUUAUAUUUCUGCUAGAGUGUAUUUUCCGUUUUCAAAUAAAAUUCAUCAUUUUAACAAAUUCACUCUAUUUUUUUUUUUUUUUUUUUGAAACACUGCAUUCAUAAAUCAGGACAAGACCACGUUAUAUUCCCGCAAACACAUAACAAAUUCACUCUAUUUAUUAUCGUAGAUACAGCAGUUUUAAGAAUCUCAGCGAACUGACAUAAUCGAACUUUCUAAGAGUUGUGACUUAUGAGUCCACCCAUAAGUCAUAUGAAUACGGAAUGAUAGAAUACCAUAAAUCCCUUUAUCGACACCGAAAUAUCGGGAGACAAAUAGUGUCCGAGACAAUGUCACCAGCAUUUGGGUUUAUUACCCGUUCCCAACGUCAUGCUGACCUAAUAAUUUAUUAAAUUUAGAUUUGACGAAUUGGAGAUGGUGUGUUUUAGGCCAAACCUAAUGCGGUUUUAGAAAUACAUUUUCCUUUUUAUAUAUCUUACUGGAACCGCGUCAUCCUUUUCUUUAACAACAGAACCGCGUCAUCCUAAGCAGUCAAAAUAACUAAUGACGUUAUAAUUAUAGCGACAUGUAUUAUUGUGAAUAUGACUUUUUAAGCUUUGAAGGUGAUUUGGUAGAUCCUCCUAUUAGUUUAGUGGAUAUUUGGUACUUGAUUAGUCUGAUAGAAAGUAACUGAAAUGAGCUUUGAGAAUGUUGAAACCUAAUUGGUUGAGAAUAAACAGCAAUAACUUAAGUGAUCCAGUUGUUCACUUAUAACUGGAAAAAGGAAAAAGGUCUUAUUGAAAAUAAAAUAAAAAGCGAGUGGUUGGUAGAAAAUGCUCCUUAGGAAAUGUGUUUAUGUGGAAUGAGAGAGCUCGCGCGGCCCAUAAGUUAAUCAUGAAUCGACCGAGAAAACUCUUGUGCUAUUUAAAACAUUAUACAAUGCUCAAUAAACUUCAAAUAUGAAUUCUACCACCAUAAAUUGGUUCUACAUUUUCUUGCCAACAAAACUCUACUAGACUAGUUCAAAAUAGAAUCCAAUUCAAAAAGCUAAAUUGGAAGAAAGAAAUCAACAUAAAACAUAAUUGUUGGAGAACUCUAAGACCAUCUCCAAUGGUACUCUAUAAUUUUCUCUAUAUUUCACUCUAAAAUAGAGUAACUCUAUUAUAGAGUUGGAUUUGCUCCAAUGGUUCACUCUAUAAUAGAGUUACUCUAUAAUAGAGUGAAAUAUAGAGUAUUCUUAUUUUUUCACUCUAUAUUUGGAGUAAAAAAAUAAGAUUACUCUAUAUUUCACUCUAUUAUAGAGUGAACCAUUGGAGCAAAUUUAACUCUAUAAUAGAGUUACUCUAUUUUAAUGUAAAUUAUAGAGGAAAAAAUAGAGUGCCCUUGGAGAUGCUCUAAACGUCUCGUGUAAGUCUGUCAUUGUAUAUUUUUUCUUUUACAUAUGUUUGAUUAAAAAAAAUUUACAUCGUCGAAACACAUUCACGAGAGAGGUAACAGCUAACCAUUCUAUUGGUGCACAUAUUAUAUUUAUAAGUUAAGAAUAAACUUCUGCAAAAAUCACCUCCAAAUUUUGUAAAAUUGCCAUGCAUUACAUAGCACAAAUCAAAACUUCACGCAUGGAAUAUGUUCUUUACUUCCAAAAUGUUAUCUUCUGUACUACAAAACUAAUCUUGACCUAUAAAAGAAUUGGUUCUACAUUUAAGAUAAAAAGUUAGUAAUUGUAUAAACCAUUGUUUUUUUUGGUCUAAAGUUAAACUAUUGUUCUAUGUUUAGUUAGUGAAAUGGAGUUCAGAAACCAAGUAGUAAAGUUGGUUUGUAAUUUAAAAUAACAAAAAAAUUUAAAAUAUUUAUAAUAGUAAUAAUUUAAAGUACAUCUUAAAAUCACAAGCUUAAUAACACUGAAUUUAAAAGAAAAGUUAAAAAAUGUUGAAUUAGUAAAAAAAAUCAUAAAAAUGCAAAUUACCAUAAAUUCCAAAUUAAAUGCAUUCUUUUACAGCCUGUUAUAAUUCUCAGAAAAUCAUGAAAUUUGUCAAAUAUUCUUCUUAAUCACUUAUUUUCCUUGUGUUUAACGCUAUUUGCUACUACUAUUAAUUUCAUAUUACUUGAUCAUUGUCUCAGAUCACUAUAAUCAUCUUGUCAUUUAGUAAUGCUAGUUACGACUUUCAUAGCGUUUACAAAAAUCAUUGUUUUAUUUUUAUCGAAUCGAAUCAAAUUACUCUCACAUCACAGAGAUUUUUUUUUCACAGCGAAAAAAUUCAUCCAUCUUAAUUUUUCAUUGCCAUUCGUGACAAUUAUAAAAUGUUUUCGGUUAAUAAAUAACCAUUGUACGUUAAACUUUAAUUUAUUAAAAAUGAUAUCUAAAUUUCUCAUCAUGAAUGUUCCAGUCAUCAAUUAGUGUUGGCACGGCUUUACUUUAAUAAUGAAUUUUCUGUGCAUAUUAUUGUGAAUCUAUGAUGUGUCGUUUUAUCUUAAAUUCUGGAUGACUAUGAUUAGUGGUUAUUUUAAACGAAACUAUUUCUCCUUUAUAUAAUAAAAUCAAAAAGCUUGAACUGAGGUUUCAAAAAUGGGACACAUGUCAUGAAAUUUGCUAUAUAUACAGAAAUUCAUAUUAUUUCAUAUGUUUUUUGAACUUCAUAUUAUUUCAUAUGUACCACUAAAGACACUUUCUUUUCUCCACCGAAUUCUAGACAGCAAUGUCGAUGGAAAGUUCUUGUCCAAAUGUUUUUUUCUUUAAUUUUCCAAAUUUAUUUCCGAAAUUUAUUUUGCUUAAUGUUUUGCUGUAAGUCGAUAAAGAACCAUACUCUUAUAUCGUCGUGGUCGGUGCAUGCUUCACUGUUCAGCAAACUGUAGCAAAUAGCACACAUGAUAGGAGUUCAUGUUAUCUUAUAGUGUUUAGGUCGGUUCACGAUUCCCUGCGCAAAGAAAUAGCAACAGGGUAAAAGGGAGAUCUCUACACUGUCCACUUAAAUAUGCAAUGAAGAAUUUCAUGAUGAACUAGAACUCCGUGUUUUCUAUAAUAGAUAUAUGUCAUCGACCUUGUUGAUUUUAAUUUGUCCACCAUAAUGACCAUUAUUCACGGUGGGUUUGUAUUAUCCUUUUUCGUGUCAUAUGCUUCUAAUCAAUUUUUCUUUUUUGGUUGGUUCUUUUCUUUUUAACACUGAAAUACCAUCACAUAGUAUAAAAUGUUUUGAAUUCUAUAUCAUAUUACCUUACAGUAUGGAAACAAUACGAAUUUACCAUGUGUUAAUAUGUCACAUUCAACAUAUGUUUAUUUUUUGCAAAAAAACAUUCAACAUAUGAACUGGUUGUGGUCUCCUGAUACUAAAUGGUUGCUUCGAAUUCGCCCCUGAUUGUGCAUAAACCUUAAUUUGUUUUAGUCUUUUUUUACCUUUUUUGUGACUCUCUCUAGCACUUAUGCUUUAAUUAGCCCUUUAGAUUUCUAGGAUUUGAUUUCUUCACUCUUGUAAUCUCCUUGUCUCAUUACCAGUUAAUGAAAUUCACAUACUUAACACAAAAAAAACUGGUUGUGGUAUAAAUUAUUUUGUUUGUAGACAUGAAGAAAUAACUAUAAUACAUGUAAUUUUGUGACAUAAAGGCUUCAAUUAGUAAAAAACUAGGGUAAAAUGGUGGAAAGAAAAGUAAAGAAAAUUAUGUUUGGAUCUAUCAGCUUAAAUUUUUCCUUCUGUUUUAUGAAGAAGAAAAAUUUUAGCUGAAAGAAACAAAUCAAUUGACAAAAGAUGUAUUUAUUCCAUUUUACUCCAGUUUAUCCUAUUUUGUUUACCAGUGAAAGCCAAAAAAAAUGGAGAAUCAUAAUUCAAUACCAGGAAAAUACAUUUAUAGCAUACCAAAUUGAUCCCCGACAAUCUAUAAACCUUACCAUUUCGACUCCAAAAUUUACAACUAAUUUCGUAAUUUUAUUACAGCAACCAAUACCACAAUGCCGAACAAUUUCAGUUCAUGAAUGUUGGAGCAAAUCGACACAAGAAGAUGGGAACCGUUAGAGUUUGAAUUGGUUUGAAUUAGUCUUUUAUGUUUUCUUAUUUAUCAAGUAGUGACCGAGUCUUUAGGUCCAAAACCGUUUCCACUAUUGUCACGUUUGUUAGUUGCUGUUUCUUAGGAGUACGUUAUGUUUCGUUGUAAGACUACUAAUAGUCAUUUGCUUCUGUUGAAUAGAAUCAGAGUUUUCAUAUACAAACUGAGCAUUUGAGAUUACAAAUUGGUAUCAGAGCUCUGUUGUGAAAAGAGAGAAAAGAUGGGAGAUGACAAGAUGAAACUGCCGCAGUUCGAUGGACAUUGGGACCAUUGGAGUGAAGUUAUGGAGAACUUCUUCCGAGCCAGAGGACUAUGGAGUUUGAUCGAGAUCGGGGUUGAGGAACCAGUGGAUGUGACGGUGCUGACUGCAGAACAAAGCCUGCAAUUGGAGAACAGCAAGAUGAAUGACCACAAGGUGAAACACUAUCUCUAUCAAAGCAUCGAUAGAGUAACGUGUGAGCAGAUCUUGGACAGAAGAACCUCCAAGAUCAUUUGGGAUUCAAUGAAAGCGAAAUUUGGUGGCAAUGCUCGAGUGAAGAGAUCAUUGUUACAGAAGCUGAGAAGAGAUUUCGAAGUAUUGGAAAUGAAAGAAGCUGAGAGUGUUGAAGAAUACUUCACCCGUGUGCUGGCCAUCACGAAUCAGAUGAGAAGCAAUGGAGAGAUCAUGACUGACUCUAAGGUGGUUGAGAAGAUUCUCAGAACUCUCAGUGAGAAGUUCAUGUAUGUUGUGGUGUCCAUUGAGGAAUCCAAAGACACUGAGAACAUGUCAUUGGAUGAGCUGCAGAGUUCCUUGGUGGUGCACGAGCAGAAGUUCAAAAAGGUGGAGAAAGAGGAUGAUCAAGUGUUGAAGAUCACACAUGGACGAGGAACUGGAUCCAGAGGCAGAGGUUUCUCAGGCAGAAGCAGGGGACGAGGUAGAGGAAGAACGUUCUUCAACAAGAGCACGGUGGAAUGUUACAAGUGUCACAAACUUGGACAUUUUCAAAAUGAAUGUCCUAAGUGGGAAGAAGAAGCCAACUAUGCUGAUCUUGAUGAAGAGAUGUUGCUAAUGGCGUUCAUUGAAGAAGAGGAAACUGAUGAGAUUCAAGCAGAGGAAGAUAUGGAUCUCAUUUCAGUUAACUCGCUGAUGGUUAACACUGAGAAGCAAGAAAGCAUGAAAAAAAAAAUGUGGUUCCUUGACUCUGGCUGCUCUAACCAUAUGAGUGGAAACAAGAAUCUGUUCUCAAAGCUAGAUGAGAGUUUCAGACACUCAGUCAAGCUUGGCAACAAUAAGAGGAUGGAAGUAGUUGGGAAAGGGAAUCUAAAGCUGGUUCUGAAUGGAGCAAGCUACAUGAUAAGUGAUGUCUACUACGUGCCAGAACUCAAAAACAAUCUACUGAGUCUCGGACAACUUCAAGAGAAGAGGAUCACAGUCAUCAUUCAAAAGGGAAUCUGCAAGAUCUAUCAUGAGGAGAGGGGUUUGAUCGCUGAGAGUAAGAUGAGCACAAACCGAAUGUUCACACUGAUCGAUCAAGGAAGGGAUGAUCCGGAGUCAAAGGAACAGAGAUGCUUGCAGACAAUCUCAGAAGACAUGCCGAAGCUGUGGCAUGAACGGUAUGGCCACAUCAGUCACCGAGGGAUGAAAACAUUGCAGAGCAAAGGUAUGGUGCGAGGUCUUCCAGAUUUUGGAACUCAAAACUUCACAUGCUCAGAUUGUUUAGUUGGAAAACAACCAAGGAAGGCGAUUCCUAAGAAGAGUACAUGGAGAGCCAAGGAAGUUUUGGAGCUGAUUCACUCUGAUAUAUGCGGCCCCAUAAGUCCCACAUCCAACAGUGGAAUGAGGUACAUAUUGUGCUUCAUUGAUGAUUUCAGUAGGAAAGAUUGGAUGUAUCUUCUGAAGAAGAAGUCAGAGGCAUUUGAGGAGUUCAAGCUGUUCAAAAGGAUGGUGGAAACCGAGACAGGAAAGGUUAUCAAAGGCCUGAGGACAGACAGAGGAGGAGAAUACACAUCACUCGAGUUCUCUACCUACUGCAAGGAGCAAAGCAUCAGGAGACAGUUGACUACAGCCUACACUCCUCAGCAGAAUGGCAUAGCUGAAAGAAAGAACCGCACAGUGAUGAACAUGGUCAGGUCCAUGCUCUCUACCAAACAAGUGCCUAGAGAGUUCUGGACAGAAGCCGUGAAAUGGACUUUCUACGUUCUCAAUAGAUGUCCUACAUUUGCGAUCAAGGACAUCACGCCACAAGAAGCCUGGAGUGGGUUGAAGCCGAGUGUUGAACACUUCAGAGUUUGGGGAUGCAUCGGGCAUGUGCACAUUCCAGAUCAGAAGCGAAGUAAACUUGAUGACAAGAGCAUUCCAUGUGUUCUAUUUGGAUUCUCUGAGGAAUCUAAAGGUUACAGAUUGUACAAUCCAAAGACCAAAAGGAUUGUGACAAGUCGUGAUGUGGUAUUUGAGGAAACAAGAGGAUGGGACUGGAAGGAGAAUAAGGAUCAUCACGCUGAAGGCACAACUGGUGAUCUAACAUGGAAUGGAGACGACUUAGACUGGGAAGAGAGUGAUGACGAAGAUCACAAUGCAAGAGAAGGAGAUCAGAAUGAAGGAAAUAUUGAAGCAGAGCAACCUGAGGAAGAUGAUGAAGAGACUCAGACUGAGCAAAUCAGGGAGGGUAGAACCAGAAGGCCUCCACGCUACCUAAGUGACUAUGUUCAUGAAGUCAUAGACGAUGAAGAAGAUGAAGUCAACAUGGUGGAGUUGAAUGCAACAGAUCCCUCAACUUUUGAAGAAGCCGAGAAAAGUUCAAAGUGGAGGGAAGCAAUGAAUGAAGAAAUAAACUCCAUCGAGAAGAAUCAGACAUGGGAGCUUUGUUUCUUGCCUGAUAAUGCUAAGUGCAUAGGUGUGAAGUGGAUAUACAAGAUAAAACUCAAUGAGCUUGGUGAGACGAUCAAGUACAAGGCGAGGUUAGUAGCAAAAGGCUACUCACAGGAGCAUGGAGUUGACUACACUGAGGUAUAUGCUCCAGUUGCUCGUAUGGAUACUAUCAGAACCAUCAUAGCCAUUGCAGCUCAGAAAUCGUGGAUCAUCUAUCAGCUUGAUGUCAAGUCAGCAUUUCUCCAUGGAGUACUCACCGAGGACGUCUACAUACAACAGCCUAAAGGGUAUGAAGUUGAAGGUCAAGAAGAUAAGGUGUAUAAGCUUCACAAGGCACUUUACGGCUUAAAACAAGCUCCAAGGGCCUGGUUCAGCCGCAUUGAAGAGUACUUCUUGAGGUCUGGUUUCACAAAAUCUCAGAAUGAGGAGACGUUGUUCCUAAAGAUCAACAAUCAAGGUAACAUUUUGAUUGUUAGCGUUUAUGUCGAUGACUUGAUCUACACGGGAAGUAAUUUUGAGAUGAUGAUGGAGUUUAAGAAAUCUAUGCAAGAGGAAUUUGAUAUGACUGAUCUAGGCAAGAUGAGAUACUUCUUGGGGAUUGAGGUGCAUCAGGUGUCUACUGGAAUUCACAUUUCACAAACCAAGUAUGCUGUGGAGAUCUUAAAGCGAUUUGACAUGAAAGAUUGCAACUCAGUCUCAAAUCCAAUGGUGCCAGGAGAGAAGCUCGACAUGGAUGCAGAAGGAGAAAGAGUUGAUGAGACACUCUACAAACAGAUGAUUGGGAGCCUCAUGUACAUCACAACUACACGGCCUGAUCUUCAGUUCUCUGUAAGUCUAUUGAGCCGUUUCAUGUCCAGACCAACGAGGAUGCAUGCUCAAGCUGUAAAGAAAGUAUUGAGGUAUUUGAAGGGCACCACCGACUUUGGAAUCUGGUACAAUGGAGGAGGAGCAGGAGAGCUAGGUGUAUACACAGACAGUGACUUCGCAGGAGAUGUUGACAGUAGGAAGAGUACUUCAGGGUAUGCAUUUCUGAUGGAUGAUGCAGCGGUCGCAUGGUGUUCUAAGAAGCAACCUAUAGUCACAUUGUCCACUACUGAAGCCGAGUAUGUAGCUGCCUCAAUGUGUGCUUGUCAAGCUAUUUGGUUCAAACGAGUAUUGAUGGAGUUGGGAUGUGAGAUGGAAGGAAGCACUGUCAUUCUUUGUGACAACACAUCAACAAUCAAAUUGUCAAAGAAUCCAGUGUUUCAUGGUAGAUGCAAGCACAUUGGAGUGAGGUUUCACUUCUUACGUGAUCUAGUUAACAAUGGUGAGAUAAGUUUGGAGCAUUGUGACACAGGAGAACAAGUCGCAGACGUGUUCACGAAACCAUUAAGGAGGGAAGUGUUCGAGAAGAUGAGGAGCAGACUUGGGAUUUGCUCAGUUAAGGAGAAGCUGAAACUUGAAGAAGGACCAAGUUCAGCUUAGGGAGGGUUUGUUGGAGCAAAUCGACACAAGAAGAUGGGAGCCGUUGGAGUUUGAAUUGGUUUGAAUUAGUCUUUUAUGUUUUCUUAUUUAUCAAGUAGUGACCGAGUCUUUAGGUCCAAAACCGUUUCCACUAUUGUCACGUUUGUUAGUUGCUGUUUCUUAGGAGUACGUUCUGUUUCGUUGUAAGACUACUAAUAGUCAUUUGCUUCUGUUGAAUAGAAUCAGAGUUUUCAUAUACAAACUGAGCAUUUGAGAUUACAAUGAAUUCAGCUCAAGUUCAUAAUAAUCAGCAUUGUUAUAGCUUUAAUCUUCUUACAUAUUCCUAAAGCUAGUUAGCUUUUCCAAGUUUAAUUAGUUUAACGUCUAAUCGUUAUUGUUAUAUAUAAUAUGUAUAUGAUUGAAUGCUAUGUUUGUGUAGUACGUUCGUAAAACCAAAUAAAUAAUGAAGUGGACAUAGGUGGAGAGACAUUACUGGAUGGGGGCGGGCAGAUAAUGAUAAUAUUGUCUUCCAUAUUGGCCCAUCCAUCAUCUUUUUAUCGUGACACACGAUCCCUAUCUAUUCUAUUCCCUGAAUAUGCUUUUAAUUUUAUUCCCUCUUAAGCAAAAGAAUACACAUAUUUAUGUAAAGAUACGUAACACUAAAUCAUUUAUCCAAGCCCUGAUUGUAAUUGGAACGCAAAUGAACCCUCAUAGAACACUUUCGUUUUGAUUUUAGUUGAUAAAUUUUCUCUUAGGAUUAAAUUUUGAUAUAUAUAUAUAUAACUUUAAUUGAUCUUCUGAUACGCUAAAACUGAACUUAUGUGAAUUUUGCCAUCAUUGGUCAUGAUAUUUUUGUCAAAUAUGUGCUGCUAGCCUCAUAAUUGAUAUAUAAUUUAUACAUGGUGUAAUAAUAAACGUCACCAACAAAAAAAGAACUUUCGAAUAGUUAAUGACUUUUAUAUGCAUAUUAACAAAUGGCUACAAUAAUAUUUACGGCGAAUAUGGAAUUGUAAUUAGACGGAAAAAUGUGGGCCAACAAUAAACAUUUGACACAAAUAUGUGGCAAAACGAAUUCGACACAUAAAAUAUAGAAAAUAAUAAAUUAAUCAUGGCGGCAGGAAGACAGGUUCAUAAAGUAGUUUUUGCUUUUCUUUGCCUAAAUCUUUGUGGACUUGGCUUUAGACAAAAUCCGAUUGGGCCUCUGUUGAGCUAAGCUAGUCUACAACGAAGAACUAACUGAAGGAAUGAGUUGGGAAAAUAGAAAGCCCAUCGUCUAUUCGAAUCGUUUUCUUUAGUGGCAAUGGCAUCACAAAUGAAAAUAUGCAUCAAAAUUAACAGAGAUAAUCAGAGAAAAUGGUAGUAAUCACGUGAAGAAGACCAGAGAAUCAUAAAACCAUAUCCUCUAAAAUGCUAGGCCAAACUCCAUUUUUUCACAACAAAAUAUAUUAUUCCUAAACAGAUCUUCAAAGAGAUGUCAGAUGAUUGAAGAUCUCACAUCCGGGAGAACCUAUUGUGAACGUAGGAAGCGCCUCCGAGAUCUCUAAGACGCUGUUGGUGACAGGAGAGAAACACAAAACGAGUUUCUUGAGGACCAGUGAGUUCUCAAGAAUAUACCUCACAACUUCAAUCCAAAUCUUCUUCAUGUGUUUUGAUACUUUGGUUCUCUUGAUGUACCUCGCUCUUUUCUUCCCAGCUUUCUCCACCGUGGCCACUUCUUUAACCUCAACACACUCAAGCGUACAUAGUAAGCACUGUGGCACAACGGUAAGCUCAAGGUUCUCUGGUUCUAAGUCCUUCAAAUAAAGCAAGUUCUGCCAAACAAAAUAAAAUAGAAAACCAAAAUUAGUUUAUGUGUUCUUAGGCCAAAAAAAUCAUAUAGUUUAGUAACAAGAAUGUACCAAUGUGAGGUGUUUCAGCUUCGGGAAACCUUCAAGAAAAUAUGGCAAAGUUUGUAAUAAGACGGUGCAGAACGAAGCCUCUAAACGAGUUAAGUUGCAAAAUUUGGUGAACGGUCCAUGUUUCAUGCAAGAAUAAAGGACCUGCAAUAAUAAGAACACAAUAACAAUUCAUUUGGUGUUACAAAAUAAAAUAAAAAUAACAAUAACAAUUCAUUCAUUGUUUUGUUAUAAAUGCAUACCUCGAGUGUAGGCUGAGAGAUGAUCAUAUGUCUAACACUAGGUAUCCCUUUUAGAAAAUCACUGAUAAUAGAUUUCUUGAUCUGCAAGGUACUAGUACCGAACUGUGUAUCAAUGUCGACCUUGAACAAGGAACUCAGAUUCUUCACCACAACUUUAUCAGAUAGAUCAUCUCUGAAGUUCAUAUACUUGAGCUCCGGAGCAUCAACCUCAACAGCAUACUCUUUACCAUAAAUUUUCCUGGAGCGCCCAAACUUCACACGAAACCUCUUCAGACACUGAGAUCUCACACGCAGGAAAGGCACAUUGUCAUCAAAAACCCUAAACACCGUCAGAUCUUCAAGAACAGGACAGCCUGAGAUGAGCUUCUCUACGAUCAAAGGAUCCUUGGUGGUAAUGUCUUCGAGAUGCAUGGUCUUGAGACAAGGCAGAGAAACACCAAACUCAGGAGGAUUCUGCAUUCCUACGUUUGCAAGCUUGAGAGAAACCAAAGUGUUGCUCUUGUAAAUGUUAACAUGUACGAGAUCGUUGGUGAGAGGACGCUUGAGUGUGCUACUGCCAACGUCUAGUUGUUGAACUCCACGGUUAACCAUUCCGGCAAUGAACUCACUGGUCCCAUGGAGACAAACAUUGCGCCCGUUGUACGUUACCUUGAACCUCUGCAGACGCGAGCCACGGUUGAUCUGGAAAAACGUGACGAUGAAGUUCCGUAUGGCGGGGGGUUCAUGGGAGUGAAACUCUAGCCCUGGGACCUGAAGCCAUAGAUCUUUAAAUCUCUUCGAUAAAAAGCUCGUCUUGAUAGACUCUUUGGUGGGAAGGUAUAAGAGUAUCUGAGUUAUCAAAGUGUCAGGAAGCAAGCUGAGUCUAUCUGAAAAUCUCAUAUCACGGAGACGGUUCCAUAGUUCUUGAACUUCCUUCUCAAGGUAAUGUAUGCGAACUUCAAGAUCACGUGGAUUCGAGUACUCCUCCUGCCAACAAGAAUCAAAUCAUCAAGAACUAGAAGAAGAAUGAGACUUAUCAGAAUUGGUAAAAAAAAGGUUUGAGACGAACCUCUGAGUUCGCCGAGCUCAUCAGUUUAGACUCUAGAUAAACUGUGUAUAUAGAGAGAAACCUUUGGAGUGUUCUACUAGAAGUCCCCGGAGUUACUCUCCGUUGUAAGAUAACGUUACUGGAUAGAUUGAGAUAUUGUCAAUACAGUGAAGAAGGAAUAAAAGCAUUGAAUGAAAGAAAGAAAGAUCGUUACAUUCUUGUUCGCAUAGCUUGACGUAUUGUGUCAUUGAAACGAAUCUGCCGAGGAUGAGCAAGAUCAUAGUCCUGCUGCGUUUUGAGCAGGGAUGAAACAAACGACACCAAAGGUUCAGCCAUUCGCAAUCGGAGACGAAGAGGAGGAUGAUCGGAGAAGACGAACAAUUGGUGGGAAACAAAAAGCAAGGGUUUAUAUGCUUUUUAUACGGCAUAAUUUAAAUAUAUUUCCUGAAAAUUUAACUCUAUAUUGUCUCCUGAUUAAUUGAAUUUCUUUUUGGUAACCUUUUAGUUGACAAAUUUAGAUUAUGCGUUUGAGUUUUAGUUAGGUGUAGUAGAUUUUAUUUAAAUUUUUAAACUUUAACUAAAAUCACUCAAAUAACUUCAAAACUCCCCUACAUCCCACCAUAAUUAAAACAUUCCACAACUCCUUAAAUAUAGUUUUUGGGUUUGUAAAGAGUAGAAUUUCAACAGGAACUGUAAGAUAUUUUAUUUAUUGUUUUUUUUAGGUUCUAAUCCGUGACAAAAUACAAAGUUGUAAUUUAAAACUAAAAUUUGGGCUAAAAUGUGAAAUUUUAUUGAAAAAGAUAAACUACACCUGAUUUUAUAUAUUUAAUAUAUUUUAUUAGAUAAAAUUUUAAUAUGUGCCAAAAUGAAGAAAGUUGUAUUUAGGAAAAAAAAUUUUUUUUUAACUAAUUCUAAUACAAGUAAAUAGCUUCAUUUUAUCCCUUAACCAGCUUGUUAAGAAUAACUUGAGCUGCAAGUUAUUGAAGCUUACCCAACGUUAAAAAACCUCCGUUUUUCGUUUGUUUGUGGAUGAAACGAAAUAAUAUAUUUGAGUUUAGUACCUAAAACCCGAAAGCAUUCACGCUAAAAUCCAAUGAGAAAGGUUUUAUAUGUAUCAUACAAUAUAUGAUGGAAAACUGUGUAAAUUCACCACUUCACACACAAAGAUUUCAGCAAUAUCCGAUGCAGUAAAUGGGUGUUUAAGUGUGCAUUUUCUUAAUCUGUCCACAAUUACCAUUACUGGAGGUAGGAAAAUCUUUAUUAAAAUCCGUGAUGAUGUCUUGUCACACUUCUGAAGAAAUGGUAAGGGGUUGAAGUAGUCAUGUCAGCGAUAGUGUGGAUGUCGUGUGAGUCUGACAAAUCCCACACUGAGAUAGAUAUUAUUGGAUAGAAUGGAGUACAUUAUGCCAAUGAAAAGAACACUGGAUUCGUUUCAAAAGUUUUGAACACUCCGGAAUGUCCUCCUUGAAUACCGUCGUGAAACUCAUGAAGGAUCAAGGGAAGAAAGUGUGAUGCUUGCGGAAUCAACAAGCAACAUUUGAACCAAACGCGUCCAUUAAUCAUAGUAAGACCUUUUUCAUAGGUUCACCAGGUGUGAUCUGAAUUUUAACACUCUGUUGCCUUCAUCCUGCUCAAUUUAUGCAUAAAUAUCUUUCGGAUGAAAGACAACAUGAACACUUAAGGACAUAUACACAAGCUGCUACCGAUCCACCGACUGCAUUUGACACAAAAAACCAUCGGCUGCCUUGUGUUUCUUCUUGGGCAAUUAAACCCCGUUGCAACAUAGCAUAAUGGCAUUGGCAGGAACGUGACCUCAUUGAACAUAACGUCGUCAUUGGCGAAUUCUCUGGUUAAUUAAAGGAGUUAGAAUUGGGCCAAAUUGUGUUGGAUUCUAUUUUGUACACAACGAAAAACAUUUAGUGUCCUUUUUUGAUCUGUCAUUCAAAAAAGUGAAACCUUAGAUAAAAACUUAAGGUAAGUGUAGCAAUACUAUAACUUAGCUUUUCUUUUACACUGGAGAAAAAAAAGCAAAAGGUUCAAAGAGAUUAUUCCUUCCUAAAAAAAUCUUCAAAGAGAUGUCAGAUUAUUGAUGAUUUCACAUCCGGGAGAACGUAUUGUGAACGUAGGAAGCGCCUCCGAGAUCUCUAAGACGCUAUUGGUAACCGAAGAGAAACACAAAACGAGUUUCUUGAGGACUAACGAGUUCUCAAGAAUAUACCUCACUGCUUCAAUCCAAAUCUUCUUCAUGUGUUUCGAUACUUUGGUUCUCUUGAUGUACCUCGCUCUUUUCUUCCCAGCUUUCUCCACCGUGGCCACUUCUUUAACCUCAACACACUCAAGCGUACAUAGUAAGCACUGUGGCACAACGGUAAGCUCAAGGUUCUCUGGUUCUAAGUCCUUCAAAUAAAGCAAGUUCUGCCAAACAAAUUAAAAUAGAAAACCAAAAUUAGUUUAUGUGUUCUUAGGCCAAAAAAACAUAUAGUUUAGUAACAAGAAUGUACCAAUGUGAGGUGUUUCAGCUUCGGGAAACCUUCAAGAAAAUGUGGCAACCUUUGUAAUAAGUCGGUGCAGAACGAAACCUCUAAGCGAGUUAAGUUGCUAAAUUUGGUGAACGCUCCAUUAUUCAUCCAAGAAUAAAGGCUCUGCAAGAACAAACAUAAUAACAAUUUAUUUGGUGUUACAAAAAUAAUAAUAACAAUUUAUUCAUUGUUUGUUAUAAAUGUAUUACCUCGAGUGUAGGCUGAGAGAUGAUCAUAUGUCUUACACCAGAAACACCCUUGAGAAAAUCACUGAUAAUAGCUUGCUUCAUCUGCACGGUAAUAGUAGUGGUAAUACCAAAACUGAAUUGUGCAUCAAUGUCGACCUUGAACAAGGAACUCAGAUUCUUAGCCACAACUCUAUCAGAUAGAUUAUCUCCGAAGUUCAUAUACUUGAGACCCGGAGCAUCAACCUCAACAGCAUACUCUUUACCAUGAAUUAUUCUGGCACGACUUAACUUCACACAAAACCUCUUCAGACUGAGAGAUCUCACACGCAUCACCGGUACAUUGUCAUCAAAAGCCCUAAACACCGUCAGAUCUUCAAGGACAGGACAACCUGAGAUGAGCUUCUCUACGAUCAAAGGAUCCUUGGUGGUAAUGUCUUCGAGAUGCAUGGUCUUGAGACAAGGCAGAGAAACACCAAACUCAGGAGGAUUCUGCAAUCCCACGUUUGCAAGCUUGAGAGAAACCAAAGUGUUGCUCUUGUAAAUGUUAACAUGUACGAGAUCGUUGGUGAGAGGACGCUUGAGUGUGCUACUGCCAACGUCUAGUUGUUGAACUCCACGGUUAAUCACUCCGGCGAUGAACUCACUGUUCCCAUGGCUACAAACAUUGCGUCCGUUGUACGUUAUCUUGAACUUCUGGAGACGCGAGCCACGGUUCCUCUGGAGAAACGUGGCGAUGAAGUUCUGUAUGGCGGCGGGUUCAUGGGAGUGCAUCUCUAGCCCUGGGACCUGAAGCCAUAGAUCUUUAAAUCUCUUCGAUAAAAUUUUUGUCUUGAUGGAAUCUUUGGUGGGAAGGUAUAAGAGUAUCUGAGUUAUCAAAGUGUCCGGAAGCGCGCUGAGUCUAUCUGAGGUAUCACGGAAACGGUUAUAGAGUUCUUUAACUUCCUUCAGAAGAUAAUGCACGCGGACUUCAAGAUCACGUGGAUUCGAGUACUCCUCCUGCCAACAAGAAUCUAAUCAUCAAGAACUAGAAGAAGAAUGAGACUUAUCAGAAUUGGUAAAAAAAGGUUUAAUACGAACCUCUGAGUUGGCCGAGUUCAUCAGUUUAGACUCUAGAUAGUCUGUGUAUAUAGAGAGAAACCUUUGGAGUCUUGGAGUGUCGGUCGUCGGGGUAGGUCGACUCCGUUGUAAGAUGACAGUACUGGAGAGAUUGAGAUAUUGUCAAUACAGUGAAAAAGGUAUAAAAGCAUUGAAUGAAAGAAAGAAAGAAAGAAGAUUGUUACAUUUUUUUCCGCAUAGCUUGACGUGAUGUGUCACUGAAAGGUUUCUGCCGAGGAUGAGAAAGAGCAUAGUCCGGCUGCGUCUUGAGCAGGAAUGAAAGAAACGACACGAAAGGUUCAGCCAUUCGCAAUCGGAGAAGACGAACAAUUGCUGGGACUCAAAAAACAAGGGCUUAGCUUAUAUGCUUUUUAUACGCAUAAGUUAAAUAUAUUUCCAGAAAAUUUGACUCUAUUGUCUCUCAUUAAUUGAAUUUCUUUUGGCAACCAUUUAUAGUUAACAAAUUAAAUAUAGUUUUUAAGAUUGUGUGUUUGAGUUUUAGGUUUAUAUUGCAUAAUAUAUGGAAAAUUAAGUCGUUAGAAUUUAUUUUGUUUCCUUUUUGAUAUUCUUAAAUUAACUCCAUUGUCUUUUCUGAGUUUAUUUUGACUUUUGAUACAGAUUUUUUAUAUAUAGUCAUUUUCUUAUUUGAAAAGAGAAAAUUCACUUUUUUAACUGAAAACUGUUGUCAAAAGUUAUAUAAAUAAUAAUAGAAACAUAAUAAACAUAAUAAAUAAUAACUGCGAACAUAAUAAUCUACAUUAGAAAUUAUUUUGUUUCCUUUUUAUAUUCUUAAAUUAACUACAUUGUCUUUUUUCUGAGUUUAUUUUGACUUUUAAUACCGAUUUUUUAUAUGAAGUCACUUUUUUCAAAAAAAAACUGUUGUCAAAAGUUAUAUAAAUAAUUCCACCACUUGUUGGAUGUAUAAUCCGGAACGGGAAGCAAGUACUAAUUUGAAUGGAUAUUCAAUAAAUGUAAAAAAACUCAUUAAUCAGAAAGCAAAAGAUGACACUAUUAUGCGAGAGAACUUUUAAUUUACAACUAAAUCUCAUUUAAACUUCAACCAAGGUGACUGUUAAAAGAGACGAUAAAAAACAAUCCAAAGCAGAGCAUCCUAAAAGAAAUUAUAGCAAAGAGCGUAUUCGAGAAAGAAAAGACAACAUUAGACAAGGAUAAAGCACAGAGCAAGAUGCAGAGGCAUCGAGUUUGCUCAAGAGAUGUUCAUUGCUUCUGCGUGAUAUGUUUCGAGAUCCUUGUCUAGUUCUUCAGCCGACUUCUCCACCGCCUUCUUUCCUCCUCGGCCGCCUUUAUUCCCUCUGCCACCACCGGCUUGGCCUCGGCCUCUACCACGAAACCCUCCUCGACCACUUCUCACACCACCUCCUUGUUGGUUUCCACUGCCAUUAAUAGAAUGUAUGAUAUGAUUAAAUUAUAAAACCUAUACAUGAUCGCUCACAUAUGAUUAGCCGAAAGCGAGGUCGGAGUCUUAUCACUUACAUUGGAAGGCGUCUCAUAGAAGGAGCUGCACUUCUUCCUCUUCCUCUCCCACCUCUAAUUCCUUGUCUGCAAGAAUGAGACACUUUAAGUCUUCACGCUUGAUCAUCAAAGACGCGCAAUCUCAACUAUGCUAAAAUAAAUGGCUACAUACCCGAUGGAAACAGUUCUCUUCAUCCUUCCGUUCAAUCCGGUUACAUUAACACGAGCUGCAACAGGAGCGACCUCAUUGUUUCCACCAAGAAUCUCCAAUUUCAUUGACCUUCCAUCCAACAAGACAUUGUUGUAUCUCUUCAUAGCUUGAAAUGCAUCACUUCUUCUCAUGUACACAACUUCUGCCGAGCCCUGUAUCACACACAGCACAUCGGUAAAGAACAGAUAAACCAGUGCAGACAAAAAGAAAACAGAAGUAAAAGAUUUGUUGCAACUUACAUUUGGACGCCCGUUCUGGUCAUAGUGGAUUGCGUAUCUUUUCAUCUCUCCAAUCUCACCAAAGAGUUCCUAAAUACCACAGGGUAGUACAACGUUUUCUUAGGAAACUCCACAUCGAACCAUAAUAACAAAGCACUGAACCAUAGAAGUCGAGGCAAUACCCUGAUAUCUUCAUUUGUGACUCCCUGAUCAAGGUUGGUAACAUAAACAGUAGUUCCAACCUCUAUUCCAGUUACUCCAACAGAUCUCAUGCUUUCUUCAAACAAACCAUUCUGCCAUGGCAAGUUCUUCUUCCUGCGGUUAAGCUGUUAAGUGGAACAGAUAAAGUCAGCCAAAAGGGUCUGUAGAAUCUUGGAAGCCAUUUUAAUCAACAAAAUUUCUUGAAAGACGAGAAGCCACCCUUUUAUCUGAAAGACCUAUACCAGUCAAGAACCAUCGAAGGAUAAAAUGUGGUGAAACAAGCAAUUUUUGACCAACUUCAUACGAAUCUCACUGGUGCUAUCACAGUCUCUGAUGCCAAAAACAUAGUCCUUGGAGAAUCAUAAACUGAGACAGCCAUCAGACUCCAAAGAAACCAGAUGUAGCCAGAGGCAAAACAUGAACUUCAUGUAUGGUGCACAUUCCUCAACUUAAACGGAUAAGCUAUCUAUCUAAGUGUGCUGAAAUUCCCCCCAACCACCACAAAAGUCAUCAAUCCAGAUGACCCUAGAUGGACUAAUAGAGCUCCCCCCACUAAAAGUGCAAUCCAAAAACUUCUGCUCAUCUAGGCCUGUUGAAAUCAUCACACUUGGCCAUAUAGACCACUAAGUACACAAGGACUAGGAACUCUCAUAAACUACAAGAUGUUAGACAAGCUUUGUAGUCUGCGAGUCCCAGAGGAAGUUUGGAAAGCUAAAAGUGUGUCAUCAUCUGUACUAACGAUCAAGGCGAAUGCAAAAUCAAAAGUGCUUCUCCAAGAACAUUUAAAGACUCGCUUAUCAAUCAGAGUAUGCUUCGUUAUUUGGUGUCACAGGUAAACUCAGAGUUCCAAUCAUACAGAGAGAAGAUCCCAGAUUCGUGAGCUUGCCUUGUUAGAGAAUGAUGACGGCCUAGCUUUCACAGCAAGAGGACCUCUGCGAACAGGUCCACCAGCUCCUCUUCCAGCACCUUUAGCUCCACCUCGGGAAACUCCUUUACCAGCAGACUUUUUAGCAGCCUUGCUCCUCUUAACCAUUUCAUCUAGAGACAUACUCAAUGAGUCCGCCAUCUUCAGCUCAAUUAAAUCUGGAAAAUACAAUCAAAAUUAACAAAUCGAGCUAUAGAUUCAUCGCAAAGAGAUAUAAAUUCAAUCCUUAUAUAUACAAAUCAAAGAUCCGACGGAAACUCAUAUCUCAAAGCGCUAGAUCUACAGAUUCCUAUGAUCUAAACCUAAAACAGACGUAAAUUCUCAAUCGAAAAGUGAAAACGAAUCGAAUACAAUCAGAUGAAUCAUCAACGGAUAUGAAUCAGCUGAAAAAAUUAGCAAAAGACGAAUCGAAAUUUUACCAGAUGAAAGAUCAAAAGAUGGAUCGAAGAAGAUGUAGAAAUCGGCUCGUGCGAAUCGAUUGGGGGGGGGGGGGGGGGGGGGGGGAAUUAGGGAUUUAUCGUCUUUGAGAAAUUGGGGGAAUGUGGUUUCGGCUCAAGGGAGAUAGAUACUUAAAUAGGUCUAGGUCAAUGGGGCCAAACUUGUUAAUAAUUUUGAUUAUGGGGGUGUUUUUCGUCUUUUUCAUUUAGAUAUUAAUUGGAAAAACCAAAGGGUCGGCGAUAAAAGAGAACUUGCCAGCUCAGAGACGUUUACGCGUUUUCUUAAAAAUCUGUGUUUACAAAACAAGCACUAUAAUUAGCGAAAAUACAUCUUCUAGGUUCUUAGGGCAUCUGCAUCGGGCGUGCCUUGGGCCGUCCCUUCCUCUUUAUUGGGUCGAAAAUAAAUCAAAAUAAAAUUAAAAUGGGUGGGACGGGCCGUAAUUAAGGGACAAUCGGGCUCGUCCCGAAGGAGACGUGACAACACGGUAUUGGACGAUGGAAACGACGAAGGGACGGUCGUUUCGGCUCAUUCCCAUUCCUGAAAUUGAAAUCGCAAAAUCCAAAAAGGAGAGCUCCAUGGCGAUGAACUGAAGCAUCGAAUCAAAGAUCGAUCCUUUCCAAACGAAAUCGAGGACCUGAUCUCCUCACUCCACCUGCGUCUUCUCUCUUCCACUGGAGUCUCCGUUGGUGUGUCUUUGCCAAUCGAAAGGUCGCAGCUUCCAAUCGAGAGGUCGCAGCUUUGAAAUCUCAAUCCACUUCCGUUCGAUUCCGCUCCUGUACGCAAGCUUCUUUCCUCUCCAAAUCCUCGGUGAAUCGUCCCAAUCUCGUCAAGGUACGGUCUUCAACUCGUAGAUGAAAUGGUUAGAAUCUAGGGUUUGGAAUAGAAAAAAGCUUAUUGAUUUACAUGGUUCGAUCGUAUGAUUUGUAUCUUUGUAGGCAGAGAGAUUGUUUUCUUUAGAUUAUAUGCGUGAUUCGUAGCUAAAAAACAGCAUCCGUUAAAAACUUUUGUGGUUAGAUCCUGUAAGAAAAUAGGUUGAGUGAUUUCUAUAUUUACAGUUUGAUAUUAACAAAAUAGUGUGUGUCUCUUUGGUAGUGUGUGUCUCUUUAGAUCCUGCUCGUUUUGUUUUGUGCUGUAGUUUAGUUUUCUUUCUGCUAUCGUCUGAAACUUGGUUCGUAAUUCUUUUUGCCUUGCCAUAGUUAUGUUUCUGCUAUCAUCUAUCUGCCUUGCCUGAGUUUGUAAUUCUUUGAGUCUUAGUUUUGUGAAACUUAAAGACACUUGCGUGUAUUUGAAAGACACAAGUUGUUCGCAAUAGACUAGGAUUAUUAUUGAUGAUGUUGUUAGGAAUUACUGCUUAGUUACAACUAGUCUAGUUUGUUUGAAACCAAAUCUCAUUAUAUUAAUGAUGUAGUUAGGAAUGUUAGAUAGCUUUUCUCUUCUGUAAUAAGUUUGGAUUAGACAGUUCUUGUUCGGAGUCCACUUGAACGUCGGACGAACUUUCGGAAUCGAGAAACCCAUCAACGUUUAAAAAAUGAUUUGAUUGAAAAUAUAUGGAAUAAAUUUGGACAUCUUCCAAAUAACAUAUAGUUUCUAAGUUUCUAUUUGUAUUGGAAUAAAUGUUUGUUUGUUUUUUUAAAUUAUGAUUUUGUAUUUUUUUUUUUUUGUAAUUUUCUUAACAUUUCAAUUUUAAUGUUAAACUUCUAUCUUCUAAGUUUUAAUUAAAACUUCUUUACAUAUAUUAUCACUUAUUCAAAUAAAAAAAUUAAUUAAAUAAUAAACUAAGGGACAAUCAAAGUCCCACUAAUAAUCCACUUAGUCCCUUAGUUUAGAUCCCUUAAAAUAAAAGUUUAAUUAAAAAUGCUAAGGGACUUGAAACACAAUCCCACCAUUGUGGAUGCCCUUACGGCCUUAUAACCGCAGCGGUUACAGAAUGCAAAUAGGAUUGAGAAAUUGAGUUUUCAGCCACGGGUUUUUGCUCCAUUUAACCCACCACGGGACAGAUACGGUCGAACAAUUCGAAAAAAAUCGAUUCGCCAGUGUGAGUGCAAGUGCGGUUAUGAGUAUUUUAUGCGGGAUAGAUGCGGGUCGGGGAAUUUUGAAUCGCCCGCCAACCCGCAAAAAGAAAUGUUUUUUUGUAAAAAAAAUAUAUUUUUAGAAAAAUAUGAGAAAUUUUAAAAUAAUAAUUAAAAACUUAAAAAUUAUAAAAAAAAAUUAAAUUUUAAAAUAUAUAAAAAAAAUAAUUAUAAAUAUACUAUUUGUAGAAUUUUUAGAAAAAUUAAAUUAAAUAAUUAUUUAAUAUAUAUAUAUAUAUAACACGUGGAUCCCGCAGGUUACCCGCAAAAUUAAGCGGGGUGAGUGUAGGUAUAAUAUAUUUGUUCGCGGGUCGGAUUUUUUAACCAAAAAAAAAAUUGAAACAUGCGGGUCAAUCUAUUAUUAAUUCAAGACUUCCAUAUCUCAAGCGAUUUUUUUACCAAAUAAAUAGUGUUUGCUUUCAUUUAAAUUUAGUUUUUUUUUUUCUUUCUAAAAGUUAAAAGAGAAUUUGUCUUAGGUGUUAUUGGUUUAUAUAUUUUUAUUGAUUUAGAAAUCCAUAUAGUAUUUAUAAAUCCAAGUAAAAUAUACAAAUUUUCAAAUUUUCUCGGAUUAGUAUUUACAAAUCCGAAGGUUUUCCUUCGGAUUUGGGUCUUUCUAUUUUUCACAAAAAAAUCCAUGCAAACCCAUUCAAAUACAUUAUGAAAUCAAAUCUAUUAAUAAAUCCAUUAAUAAAUCCGUAUGAUUGAAUAACACUUGAUUUGAAUUAGAAUUUAUGAAUCAUUAAACGAAUAACACUUGAUUUGAAUUAGAAUUUGUAAAUCAUUAAACGAAUAACACAUGAUUUCAAUACAUAUUUUAAAAUCAUAGAACCAAUAACACUAGAUUUAGUUUGGACUUUCAAAUCCAUCAAAAUACACUAACCAAUAACCCCCACUAUUGAUUUCCAAGUCCUUUAUGACUUCCAUACUAUUAGGAAGUUUCAAAUAACGUAUACAUGUGUGUAAUAUUUUGGUUUCAUAAUAUAUUCGUUUUAUAAUACAUAUAGUCUUUUUUUGGUUAGCAUGGCCUAAAUUGAUGAGUAUAUGUUUAAGUUGAUGACAAAAAUAACAAGUUAUAUUAAUAUUAUAUAAUUUAAUAUUUUGACGGUUUCUACAGUUCUUAAUAUAGCAUGGAUCUCAUAUUUCUACCAUUCAUAGUUACAUAUUUCAUAUGGUUUCGUUUUUGUAUCAACUAAAGUUAUUAUGAACUCUAAAUUAUCUACAAACUUAAUAUUCUUUUACAAGAAAAAAAAAACACUUUCUUCAGAUUUCGUCAUGGUCACUGUCUCCAUCUUCUUCUUCUUUUUCUUUAACAUCAUCAUCACUCGGUUUCUCAAAGUUCAUCAUAAACCUAAGUGAGUCACCUUCUUCUACUUCCCACUGCUUCUUCAGCGCAAUGAUCGCUCUCGAAGCAGCUGCUGCAAUUGCCGGGUUACUGUCUUCCGCAAGCCUCUGCUUCCAAUGGGACGAUAACAAUCAAAGAUUUGCAAAACACAGUUAUCAAGUGCAAGAUUUGCAAGAAUGUUUAUUACCUGUAAUGCUCCCAUGCCUGCAUUUCCCAGUGUCCACAUCGACGGUGCAGCUGCCAAGGCGUUAGCCAACGCUUUUCUACACCCAACAACGCGUUUCGUCAUCAACGUUUUGCAUUUGUAAUAGUGAAGAACUAACCAAAGAAAGUUGUUAAGAGAUGUAAUAGAACACAUUUGGUUUUUAGUUUACCUUGUAUUGACGUCUGGAGAGAUUGAGCAUUCAGCCAAGAGAGAUGCACUACUCUUACCAUCCAUUGCAUCAAGGUCUAUCAGAGUUGUCACUAACAACUCAAGCUGUUGAAACCAAACAAAUACACAUUAUUUUUGUGAAUAAGAGAUAGUGUAACAAAGGAAAAAAACAAGACCGGUUUUGGAGAGACCUCUUCAGGGUCAGUGUAGUCAAUAAUUCCAUCGGCUUCUGAGAGCGCUGAUGCCAUACUCCUGUAAGCUUCCUGCUUCAACAUCAACAAGGAACCAUCAGAGAGAGAGAAGAAUACUUAAGAACACAUAGUCUUCUUUUCCCAAUUUAAUCAGACCUCAAUAGCAGAUAUGCGAUCAGAUGAAACUUCCCCGGGGAAAAAGUCUAGAGCUUUGCCAUUCUUCUCCAGAGAUAUGCGGUCCGUGGUACCAGUUUCUGACAUAACCCUAUCAAAAUGAACAAAAUUAACUUAAGAUCUUGCUUUCAAGCAACGACAAGUGUCAAGGAUGAUGUAUGCAUUUUUCUUACAAGCUGUCAACCAUUUUUUGCACCAUCAUAUCAUGAAUGUUCUUGAUGAACUACAACCACAACAAGUGUAACCAUUAGGAAAUAUGAUUUCAAAAACAUCAAUACUGCAAGAUCUUUGCUUUUACCUCUAAAGCCAUUAAUGCAUCCUCCAUUGCCCUUUGUUUAGCACGAUAAUCUGCUCGCCUUAAAUCAGCCUAGAACAUAUACAGACACAUUGAUUAGUUACACAAAACUUCACAGAAAAUGAAAUGGAAGGGCAUACCUCUAAGGCGCCAUCACUCCAAUGCUUAUCCGCGGCAUUUUUCAACUUAGACUGAGCUAUGUUCUUUAAUAUCUAUUGACAUAAACUAAUUAUGAGAAAUAAAACAUAGAUAAAAGUAGUCGAUAUAUGUGAAUGUCUAAAUGAGAGGAUAAGCAUACACUAGCAAUAUGAUGAAGGCGCUCGGCCUUUCUCUUGACAUUACGAUCUAUUUUCUCUGUAUCUUCUCUUGCCCGAGCUACAUAAUAACCCCACAAGAAAGGGAUUAAAAUGCAGUAAAACAAAAGGAAUAAGACAUGACAAGAUGUGUUUGUCUGAAAGAGAACCAAAUCUAGAAUUACUGAACUAACCAUCAAGUUUAAGGAACCCUGAACCAAGAAUCGCAACGUCCUGACGUGCACGAGCGUCAAGUCUCAUCAUGCCACUAAAAAGAUUUGGAAACAUAAGUUUUUUAACACAUAAGAGACCUUCUUACACAGCUAAUGUAUAGUUUUAUUAUAUAGACGCAGGAUAGUGAGAAAAUACCGAGAUAGAAGGACAAAGUCACUACGAGCCCUUUCAUUCACAAACUUAGCAUCAUUAGACACAUACUCCACCAAAACCUGGCUCGAGCUGCUUCUUCUCCUUGGCAUCACUUUCUUCUCACCUUCCUUUUGUACAAUUUGAGAGCUGAAACACCACCAACAAACUCAUCAGCUACAUGAUCUAUGUAAGAUAAGAACCAAAAGAGCUUAACUUACUUAGGUGAAUCCAGACAAUCCUCCUGAGGUUUAGUUUCAGUGUCUUGAGACUUCCCAAAGAAACACAAGGUAGAAGAAGAUCUACGAGAAGUAACAAAAGUGACAGGCUUUGUACAAGAAAGACCACCUUGUAAUUCUUCAGCAGAGGAGGAGCCCUUUCUGGGUGAGAAAGCUAGCAAGACCCUUUGAGAUCUUGAAGCGUUAACCCUCUUCGCUAAAAUGGGACUUCUGGGCACAACUUUGCUCACGUUAAGAGCCAUAGUGAUAAAACACCUAACAACUUCUCUCUGUAGAUAUCGAAAAUACAAACCAAAGUAAGCAGCUUUGAGAUCAAUUCGAGAAAACUUAAAUUCUUGAUUGUAAAGGUAAUCUAGCACAAACCCAUCAAGGAAAAAUCCAUGAUUUACGAUAAGGAAUCGUAAAGAUUGAAUUUUGAUGGAGAGGAAGCCAGAGAGAAAGAGACUAACCUUGUGAGAUAGAUGAAGUGGAAUAAGAUAAAAUCCAAAGGGGAUAUGUUUAGAGAAGAAGAGGAAGAAGACAGAGAAGGAGAAUUAUAGAGGGGAGUGAAGAUUUGUAACCACAAGGGUUACUUGUGGCCCAGUGUGAGCCAACCAUACCCGUAGGUUUCUAUUUUCAAUCUCUUGUCCUUGUUAGAAUGGGAUCCACUCUUUCCUCCUUUUAAUAUCUUUGGUCCCAUUUCUAGAGUGUGGAACCUCUACUCAUAUGCUCGGUCGGCAAUCAUCGAGUUAGGUUGAUUUGAUUUCAUUCAAAUUUUUUUUUUAUAUUUCCAAGUACUUUUUCCAGAGAUUCAUGUGAUUCAACUGUCUUUUGCCGUAUUGAUAUCACACGUAGACGUCAUUUCAGUUUUGAUAUCGUGUGAUUUUGGACGAUUAAAUGUGUUACCAAGAGUGGUUGAUAGGAAAAGUGGCUAGGGAGAAAAGAAAUUAAAAUUGUUGGGAUUAAUUUAUAGUUGUUGAACUGGUUACAAUUCAAAAUUACAAACUGUUUAACUAGUAAUUCCAUCAUAUUUACCGGUUUGUUUUCAUUUUAGGUGGACUUCUUGGUGGGGAUGGCUAAUUUAAUGCAUAUUCAGCUGGUUCUUAUAUGUCAGGCAGUUCGUUUACUUCAAGCCACACAAGAGAUUACUUAGUCGGGGGAAUGUUGAAGAGUCUCGGAGCAGUUGACGAGAACCUGAGACACAUGUUGUCGGAGUCGGAGACAAUGCCGUCUUGAUAACUGAAAGUAAAGUGUUCUGACAUGGAGACAAAUCCGCCCGAAACUGAAGUUAAGUGAAGAAAAGAUAUAAAAUGCAAAUAAAAGUCUAUGUGACUAAUCAUAUAUUUGUUAGAUCAUGGAGGUCUAAAAUGUUAAAGUGAUCAACAAUUAAAGAACAAGAGAUGGCUCAUGAGAUCAAGAGAAAAUACAAUUUGGAAGUGAGUAAGAAGACUAGUGUAAAAAGACGAAGUCAAAAGUUACAAGACAAAGGCAACAAUUAAAGAACAGGAGAUGGCUCAUGAGAUCAAGAGAAAAUACAAUUUGGAAGUGAGUAAGACUAGUGUAAAAAGAGCAAGUCAAAAGUUCUAAGACAAAGGGAAAGUAGCCAGGAAAACUAUUUUUCAAGGAUAUGGAAUUAUCAAGCAAAAAAUGGGUCAAAGUACUAGAAGAAACCAAGGAACGUGACGAGGUUACUGUAGUAAUAACUGAAGAAGGCGUGAUUAAAGAAUAAAUCCUAUGGAAGAGGAUAAACGUCGAUCUAGAGAGAGUGCUGGAUCUUACACAAAAGUGUAUACAUUUCUUUCCUUUUCCCCUCAUAUUUUUUACUCCACUACACCUAACACACAAGUGUAUACAUUGUUCCUAAGUUCUUUCACCAGCAGCACAUGCAUGGAGAUUUCUUUCCGAAUUAUCUCAAUUUUCUUACCAUCUAAUAAUUAAUCCAAGAAAAAUUAAUCAUCAUAACAUAUUAAAAAGACAACAAAUUCAUGUACAUUAGACCAAAAAAAAAAACAAAUUAUGUCACAGUUACAAAAAGAAAAAAGUUAAAGAGAGAAGUGUUAUACCCAACCAUUUUUUUCUUUUGACUUAAUAAAAAGGGCUGCCAACGCCUUCUUCUUCUUGCUCCUCCUCCUCCUCCUCCUCCGUCGUCUCUCUCUCAAAAUCCCAAAUCGAUUCCAUUCGAUUCAUUCUUCCGAUCAAGUAAGCUUCUUCUAUGAUCCCAUAGUAAACUGAUUGAUUAAUCUAAUUCUUCUGUAAUGUUAUCACGAACUAUUCUCUAUAUCGAUUCCGAUUCGAAUUCUUCUGUUUCAGCUACUCACGUUUACGAAACAGAACCUAAUCGAGUUUGAUCCGUUACAUAUUAAACCCUAAUAUCUCGAUUCUGUUACAGUCUCAAACCACAUAUGAUGGAAGUCUGCAACUGCAUCGAGCCUCAAUGGCCAGCGGACGAGCUCCUAAUGAAGUACCAAUACAUCUCAGACUUCUUCAUCGCCGUCGCCUACUUCUCAAUCCCCCUCGAGCUCAUCUACUUCGUCAAAAAAUCAGCCGUCUUCCCUUACAGGUGGGUCCUCGUCCAGUUCGGCGCCUUCAUCGUCCUCUGCGGCGCCACCCACCUCAUCAACCUAUGGACCUUCACCACCCAUUCCCGAACCGUCGCCCUCGUUAUGACCACCGCCAAGGUCUUAACCGCCGUCGUCUCCUGCGCCACGGCGUUGAUGCUCGUCCACAUCAUCCCUGACCUCCUCAGCGUCAAGACGCGCGAGCUCUUCUUGAAAAACAAGGCUGCUGAGCUGGACAGGGAGAUGGGAUUGAUCCGGACUCAGGAGGAGACCGGGAGGCACGUGAGGAUGCUGACUCAUGAGAUUAGAAGCACGUUGGAUAGGCACACGAUCUUGAAAACCACACUAGUUGAACUUGGGAGGACGUUGGCGUUGGAGGAGUGUGCGUUGUGGAUGCCCACUAGGACUGGUUUGGAGUUGCAGCUUUCGUAUACGCUUCGUCAGCAGCAUCCUGUUGAGUACACGGUGCCUAUUCAGUUGCCGGUGAUUAACCAGGUGUUUGGGACUAGCAGAGCUGUGAAGAUAUCUCCUAACUCCCCGGUGGCGAGGCUGAGGCCUGUCUCCGGGAAGUAUCUUCUCGGGGAGGUGGUGGCUGUGAGGGUUCCGCUUCUCCACCUUUCGAAUUUUCAGAUUAAUGAUUGGCCUGAGCUUUCGACGAAGCGAUACGCUCUUAUGGUGUUGAUGCUUCCUUCGGAUAGUGCGAGGCAGUGGCAUGUUCAUGAGCUGGAGCUAGUCGAAGUCGUUGCGGAUCAGGUAAUGUACACACUUUGGAGCUCAGUUUAUGUCUUAUGGUGAGCUUGUCUGAACUCUUUUUUUUUAUUGUAGGUGGCCGUAGCUCUCUCACAUGCUGCGAUUCUGGAAGAGUCGAUGCGAGCUAGGGACCUUCUGAUGGAGCAGAACGUGGCUCUUGAUAUAGCGAGAAGAGAAGCGGAAACAGCGAUCCGUGCUCGGAAUGAUUUCCUGGCGGUUAUGAACCAUGAGAUGCGGACGCCAAUGCAUGCGAUCAUUGCGCUCUCUUCCUUACUUCAAGAGACGGAGUUGACCCCAGAACAAAGGUUGAUGGUGGAGACAGUGCUGAAAAGCAGUAGCCUUUUGGCAACUCUGAUGAAUGAUGUCUUGGAUCUUUCGAGGCUAGAAGAUGGAAGUCUUCAACUUGAGCUCGGGACAUUUAAUCUUCAUACUUUAUUUAGAGAGGUAAUACCAUAUUUUACCUCCUGCAUAGGCCUGCGAGUACAUUAGGAUAAUUCGAUUUUUAAAUUUUUUACGAAAAUUAACCAAAGUGUUUGGUUUUGAUUAUAUUUUGGUUAAAUUCCGGGCUAUUGCGGUUCAAAAUUUUGGUUAAUUCAGAUUGAAAUUUGGUUAACAAUUUUUUUCUUUUUUUUAAAAACCAAACUAACCGAUUACUGGACCCAAAACCGGAGUUUUUUAUAAACCUGCCAAACUGAACCAAACUAAACGAAAAAUUUCCUUUGGUUUGGCUCAGUUCAAACCUGCAGGCCUACUCCUGCAUGUCAUUGUUUGUAUAUUUUAGAACAGCUUCAUGUUUUAGAAGUCAGAGUAUUUGGUUGAAAUUUUUGAAUCUUGUUGCAGGUCCUUAAUCUGAUAAAGCCUAUAGCCGUUGUUAAGAAAUUACCCAUCACACUAAACCUCGCACCAGAUUUGCCAGAGUUUGUGGUUGGGGAUGAGAAACGGCUAAUGCAGAUAAUAUUAAACAUUGUUGGUAACGCUGUGAAGUUCUCAAAACAAGGUAGCAUCUCCGUAACUGCUCUUGUCACAAAGUCAGACAACCGAGCUCCUCCUGACUUCUUUGUGGUGCCAACUGGUAGUCAUUUCUACUUGAGAGUAAAGGUUAGUAUCUUUGGUCCCUUAAACCACAGAUGAGAGUACUCUCAUAGAUCUUACUAUUGACGAUUAUUCAACCAUAGGUAAAAGACUUGGGAGCAGGAAUCAAUCCGCAAGACAUUCCCAAGCUAUUCACUAAAUUUGCUCAAACACAGUCUUUAGCGACCAGAAGCUCGGGAGGUAGUGGGCUUGGUCUCGCCAUCUCCAAGAGGUUGAGCCCUAUUUAAAAUCCUUUUUUUUCUUCUCUUAUGGUACUGAUAAACGUUUGCUCAUAUGUCAAGGUUUGUGAAUCUGAUGGAGGGUAACAUUUGGAUUGAGAGCGAAGGUGUUGGAAAAGGAUGCACUGCUAUCUUUGAUGUUAAACUUGGGAUUUCAAACGAAUCUAAACAGUCUGGCAUUCCAAAAGUUCCAGCCAAUCCACAGCAUGUUAAUUUCGCUGGACUGAAGGUUCUUGUCAUGGAUGAGAAUGGGUUAGUACAAGCCUAUUAGUUCUAUCUUUCUGCUGUUUGUUAUCAGCGAUUGAUGUUUGCUUUGGUUCGCAGGGUAAGUAGAAUGGUGACGAAGGGACUUCUUGUACACCUUGGAUGCGAAGUGGCCACGGUGAGUUCAAGCGAGGAGUGUCUCAGAGUUGUAUCCCAUGAGCACAGAGUGGUCUUCAUGGACGUGUGCACCCCCGGGGUCGAAAACUACCAGAUCGCUCUCCGUAUACACGAGAAAUUCACAAAACGCCACCAAAGGCCACUGCUCGUGGCGCUCACUGGUAACACCGACAAAUCCACAAAGGAGAGAUGUAUGAGCUUUGGUCUAGACGGCGUGUUGCUCAAACCCGUGUCGCUAGACAACAUGAGAAACGUUCUGUCUGAUCUUCUAGAACAUCGGGUUCUGUACGAGGCCAUGUAAGAGGACGUUGCCGGAGAGGGACACUGUCCCGGCUUUCUCUCCCUCGUUAAAACAUCGGAAGCUGAUGUUUCUCUGGUUAAUGUGUACGUACAGAGAUUGUGGGGGAGAGCGCUUUGGAUGAUAUUAUAAAAACAGAGGGAAUAACGAAACAAAAAAAAAAAAACUAGACCGGACAGUGUCGGGUUCCGGUUUACAAAGGAACAAGAUGUUGACGGUAACAUGUCUAUCUGACUUGUGGUGUAUCCUUAUAUAUAUAGUUACAUUGUUAUUAGAAUUUGGAUUAAGUAAUGGACCUCUGUUGCGUACAUGUAUAAUAUCGAUGCGGUGUUUUUUUUUUUUUUUUGACGUCGAAAGUUUAUUAUAUUACUCGAACUAUGGAUGCAGUGUUAUGAGGUAUAAUCAACGACAUAUUAUUUGUGGGGGCAUAUAAGAACACCCGCAGCUGUAUCGUUUCGUUAAAUUCGUUUCAUCUAAGUUUCUAGCUAGACAAAGUUUUUUCUUUUUACCAAGCCGGACAAUCAACGAAAGUUUUCGUUUGGUAAAAGGUCACCAUCAAUAACCUAACUUUUUUUCUAUAACUUUUUUUGUAUAAUCUGUGACAAUUGCUAGUCGAUAGCGGAAUUUUCUUUAAUUAGUUCUGCAACCUAUUCUUUUUCUACUGAGGCUACCAUUGUCCUAUAGCUUUUUUUUUUUGUCUUUUCAUUGUCCUAUAGUUAGUUUACAGUCAUUUAGUCAGCAGAAAAUCAUAUUUAGAGAAAAGUUAAUUUUUAUUUCUUUUUUAAACUGACUUUAUAAAAAUGAUUUUUAUGUUGUCAAAAAUGAUUUUUAUGUUGUCAAAAAUGACAUUUAUUAAUAAUAAUUUUCAACUAUGUUUGAAUAAGAAAAAAAUCCUCCAAUUAAUUUUUAAGUUAUUAUUUUUUUUACGUCAUUAAUUUUUAAGUUAUUAAUUGUUAAGGUCUAUCACAUUUUGUCAUAAAAUUGUAAAAGGAGAAUGACAUACAUUAACAGUUUAUAAGUAAAAGCUAACUAAGGGAUUUCUUUCCAAUUCAAAAUUAGAUUGAAGAGUAUUUUAUCACUAAAAACCAUUUUUGAUUGUUGUUAUUGCUUACAAAUUACAGUAACGUAUUUUAUAAUAAUUGAUAUUUUAAUUUAUGAUUUGUUUAUAAAUUUUCAUUUUUCUACUAAUGCGAAUAUGUAUCUUCUAUACUCGUAUUUAACAGCUCUUUUUUCUCGGGUUUAAGCACUUAUUUAAUGAACCAUUAUCAGAAUUAAACACCAUCUGAACUGAUUGACGCGUGCAAACCGCGUCAUAGUAAAAACUUUAAGAACCAAAAGGUAUAUGGAGGUAAUAUGGAAUGUUAUCGUUUUAGGCAUAUCUAUAUAUAUAAAGCUAAAUAUGAAAAGUAAUUUUUUUUAUCACACAUUCUAGCGUUUUAAGGAAAUAAAUCAGUUUAUAAAAGAAAUAUGAUUAAAUAAUUCGUAAAUAUAUGAAAUUUCGAAAAAAGAAAAAAUAGAACAGGAGACCUAUUCUUUGGUUUUGACUGAAUAUGAGGUGCUUAUAAGAGAAGCAAGUCACUUCAGAGGUUACGAUGUCAGUCAAUUACAAAAUUUUCGGUCAAGUCAAUUUCUUUAUAAUCUAAAUUUCUGCAUCUGAGGAAAUACCAAAGCUUUUUUACUCUGAAAAAAGAGAGAGGAAAAAAACGCAAAAUGGAGAAUAUGUUAGGCCUUCUAAGACUUCAUGUGAUUAGAGGUGUUAAUCUCGCCAUUAGAGAUUCCAAAAGUAGCGAUCCUUACGUCAUUGUUCGUAUGGGCCAACAGGUAUAUUCCAGACUCCUAACUUUUCACGAAUUUCGAGUUUGUAAUUCAGUUUCUUAGGUUCCGUAUAUAUUCAAGUUUGUCCCGUUUUUUUUAUAUGGAUCUUUUUGGUCACCAAUCUGGUUGUGCUGCUCAGAUUUUCUGAUGUAUCUGAUGAGAGAAUUUCAGUUAAAAAGUGAAUAUAAUCAACUUAUCGUGUUAUAAUGAGACCAAAAAAAAUGAGACAGAAAAUACAUACGUGUUUCAAUUAUAGGUUUGAUGCAACGCGAGUUUUAAGUAUCAACACGUCAAAUGUAGUUCAGUUUUACUAAUGAGAAAUUCCUAGGAUUUGAUUUUAUCAUUCAAAAUAGUAGUUCUUGUUUCUGACCUUGUCACAACCAUAUAAAAUGAUCAAAUUUAAUUUUACAUGUACAGAAAUUACACUUGAAUAUAUGGUGUUAUGUUUUUCUUCUUUUGACACAGAAAUUACGAACUCGUGUGGUGAAAAAGAAUUUGAAUCCAGAAUGGAACGAAGACUUGACACUCUCUAUUUCUGAUCCAGUUCUUCCUAUCAAAAUCGUACGUGGAUCAAACAUUACAACAACUUGCUCUAAGUUUUGAAUACAUAACAGAACAUAGCAAGAAAGUGGGUAUUUUUUUUUGUGAUGAUACAGAUGGUUUACGAUAGGGACUGGUUCUCAAGGGAUGAUAAGAUGGGAGAUGCGUUUUUUCACAUUGAUCCAUUCCUUGAAGCCAUCAGGAUCCAAAACCAGUUCAGAGGACUCCCCGAAGGAACUGUAAUAAUGAAGAUACAGGCAAGCAGGCAGAACUGUCUAUCAGAAGAGAGCAAGAUUGUGUGGAACAAUGGAAAGAUUGUCCAGAAUAUGUUCCUUAAGCUCCAGAACGUUGAGUGUGGAGAGGUCGAGCUUCAGCUUGAGUGGAUUGAUGUGUCAGGUCUUCUGAGUAUAAAUGAGCAUGAGGAUGUUGCUUACUAGAUCUAUUAUCUUAUUACAUCAAGUUUGUUAGAAAAUAUACUAGUUAUGAAGCUGGCGUGGGGGAGUUAUGGGCUUUAAACCAAAACUCCCCCAAUUGUUUUUUUAUAAAUUGAAAAGAAAAAACUCUUCUCUGGUUUUGUGUUCUUACUCUAACAAGAAAAACAUAACACACUUUGUUGUAGAGAGAGGAAACAAAGAAUGAGAUGAAAUCAAGUAGAUAGCAUAAGAUGAGAUGGAGAAACUGAUUUUUUUCUCUCAUUUUACACAUCAUCUUCUACUACAUAUUCAUAUAAGAAAAUCAGAGUAAUGAACUCUGUUUUCUCUACCCUUACACAUGUUAUAAAGCCCCAUAAAGCUACCACUCUAGACACCACAUUUUAGCAAAAGAAACAAGCAACUUCAAGAACUUGAACAAUUCAAAAUAAACAGUUAACUUCAACAACUUCCUUGACUUGUUGUACUUUGUUUUCUUUCAUCAUUAUUCUCACUUGUUUUGUUGAUACCAUUGUGCAGGAUUAACAAAGAUGAGAUUUCAGCAUACUUGUUAUGAUAAAUGUAAAAAAAAACUACUGAAUCAACGAUAUGGUUUUUAUGUGUUUCUGACCUUUGUUUUUGUUUUCAACACUUUAAUUGCAUCUUAUUUGAAAGAGAGACUUGCUCGGGUCCUGUUUAGUAAUGACAAAUGGUGAUCAUCAAAUGUGAAAAGAUCAAGAAUCGAUAUGCUUGCAUCUAAGUUUGAAAAUCUGCAGAUGGAUGAGAAUUAAUCAUUUGAGGAACUCAGUGGAAAACUGAGUGCAACAGCAAAUGAAGCACAAACAAUGGGAAAGACAUACAAAGACAAAAGGCUUGGAAGAAACUUCUCAGAUGUUUACCCUCAAAGUUAAAUCCAAGAAGACAGCUAUGGACACUGCAUUAGACACUGACACAAUGGAUUUUGGUGAAUUCACGGGUCACUUACAAGCAUAUGAGAUGAAUGAGAAACUCAAGGAAGAACUGUCUAAAAAAAUCUGAAACUAGAAAGCAGAUUCACAUGCUGAAUAGUGGAACCAAGGAUCUGGAGAAGAUUCUCUCUGUUAGAAGGGUAGGCAAGUCCAACUUUGUGUCUCGGUUACAGUGGAAAACUACAGUAAAACAGAGUUUGUUCCGGCUAAGACUUAAGAGAUUGCGUCUGAUACUACAGGAAGUAAGAUAUCAACCAAGAUCAUCUAUUGUGAAACUGAAACCAGUGAGAACUAUAAUGUAGGCUACUUCUGUGGUAAAUACAUGCACAUACCAAGAUAUACUUACAAAUUUCAAAAAAGAAUCACUCCAGAGUUGACUUUGCUUUCCAAUCUUUACAGGUUUAACGUUAAAUAUGAAAUUUGUAGUCAAACGAUUAUGAUGGAUUUCAUCAAAUCUUAUUGUUUUAAUAUCAAAUGAGGUUCAAGUUACAUAUUUCUGAACUCCCUAGCCAAAAGUACAUACUCACAAUGUGAGACACUUUAAAUACGGAACAAUUUGCAAAAUAGUGAUUUGUGUACUCAUAAUUAUUGUAGCUGAUUUUUGUCUACAUACACUUGUUGACAGAAAAACAAUACGCUACUUAUCAAGUUGUGUACUCAUACAUCAACCCUCUGUCUCUCUCUCUCUCUCUCUCUCUCUCUCUCUCUCUCUCUCUCUCUCUCUCUCUCUCUCUCUCUCUCUCUCUCUCUCUUCUCUCUCUCUCUCUCUCUCUCUCUCUCUCUCUCUCUCUCUCUCUCUCUCUCUCUCUCUCUAUUCUGUUUUUAACUCUGGUGCAUGAAGCUGUUCUCUCUUUUAAUCAUAUAAACCACCUUUCCACCAAUCAUUAAUCGUCCUUUCUGCUAACUUUGCUAAGAGGCAUGUUUUUCCUUUAAAGUACUGAAAAAUAUGAAGAGACUAAGUGAUAUGCUAUGCUAUGACGAAAAUGGACUAAGUGCUAUGAACCUUUUCUGUAUUUAGUUUGAAUCAGUAGCAGAACAUAAAUAACUAAAUUAGCAAAUUAGACACGACAAAAUGUGCUAUGAACCUUUUUUGUUUCUGCAUCGUACCCUGGAAGUUGUUAAAAAAAAAGACACGACAAAAAUGUGGAUGUUAGACAUGCACGUCACUUCUCUUUGCCCGUCACGUGUAUAAAUAAAGUCCUCGAAGGAUUUGUCAAGCCACAAUAGAAACCCUUUUCCUCAAGCCUGCCUUUACGUAUAACUUUUUAAAAUAAAAUUUGGUUAGAUACUUCUAAAAUUAUAGCUGGUCCAUGGAGGGUUCGUCCCAAGGGUUGAAAAAAGGUGCAUGGACUGCUGAAGAAGAUAAUCUCUUGAGGCAAUGCAUUGAUAAGUAUGGAGAAGGGAAAUGGCACCAAGUUCCUUUAAGAGCUGGUAUGUCUUUUUUUUUUGAUAACAUAAGAGCUGGUAUGCUACUUUUAUUAAUUUUCACACACACACACACACACACAUAUAACUAAUAAGUACGUAUAUUCUUUUUAUUUUUCAGUACAUUUAUUCUCUUUCUCUCUGUCUAGUAUUAGGAAAUUAAUUAACACCGGGGUACACAAUCAUUGUUUUUCUUUUCGUUUUAAUGAAGGAAUCAUAGAUUCAUAUGUUCUAAUGUUUUUCAUGAAAAAAAACAUUUGCGUUCUUCAUGUUUAAUUACAAAGCGAGAAAAUGUCAACUCUCUUUAUUGAUUCGUCGUUUUUCUUUUUUUUUUUGAGAAAGAGCUUUUUUGAUUAGUGAACUUUUCUGCACGAACCCGUGUGUUUGUGUGGAAUAUGUUGUUUAUUCUGGUGUACUUUGAUCCUUCGUGAUAAAAUUUUACUUCCUUUGUUCUUAAAUAUAAGAUAUUUUGGUAGAAGCAUACAUAUUAAGAAAACUAUUUUUUGUUUAGAAAAUAUCAUUAAAACUAUAAAUUAAUGGUGUUCAACCAAUUACAAAAUAGACUAUUAAAAUAUGAUUGGGUUCACAGUUUUUAAUAAAGUAAAAGUUACCUAGAAAAUUGAAAACAUUUUAUAUCUAAUACUAUAAAGAAGACUAUUCUCUUCUUCUCAGCUUGCCACGUCACUAAAUCGAAUUCUAACAAUGCGACACGUGUUCGUGCUCAUGUUAUACUCUGCGUUUCAUUAAAGCUUGAUGUGGGCUGGUGUUUUCAAUUACGGUUUUGAUACAUAUUGGAUCUCAAUAAUAAUAGGCCCAUUUCAAAAUCAUGAGAGAUGCAAGCCGAUUAGGGUUUCUGCUCUUCUUCUUCAUCGACACCAAAACAGUUCCCAAACAAAAAUGAUGGGAGUUUCGAGGUAUCUCUUUGUUGAUCUUCGAUGGCGUCGUUCUGGUUACUCUCCUAAUUAGAUGAAACGCUCCAAGUUACAGAUCCAUAGCCUUUAUGACCUUCUUAACUCCAAAGACCGAAAUGAGGCACGAUCUGACGUUGAAUGCGAGUUUACUCUCUGUGAGGCGGUGUAAUCUACACAAUAUAAAGGUUAGCAUCCUUCCCUUGAACAUCAUCCUCGCAAAUUCUAAUAAAACUUCAAGGUAGUAGCUUUUGUUUGAUGUUUAUCAAACUCUAGGUUUUGUUUGGUUCUUUGUCUUUCUAUUUCCUCUCCCCAAGAUCGUUAGAUAAACAUUUCGGAUCGCUUUUGAUAAUUUUUUUUGUCUUAUCUACAGUUGGCUCAACACAAGCCACAUGGUGAUGGAAGAUCUUUACAACAGUCGUUCACUGUGAAGCGGGGAUUUUCGGAAGGCUAUGGCAAAGAUUCUGUGUGAGGAGAUGAGUUGAGAUGAGGAUGAGAGUUCUUACUUUUCUUUGAAGAAAUUGAUUGACGGUUCAAGACAAUUACUCCAUUAGCGCCCGCGAACCUGUGGGAAGAGCUUUCGUAGUGUUUGGUUUACUCGCCGGUGGCGUUGCGGAAGUUCAAUUCGUCGGCACCGUUUAAAUGGCAACACCGACUCACUUCAUCUUCAUCUCUUUGGGACGACAUCUGCGCCGUGGUAACAUGCUUUCUUAUUGUCGGUGUGGUGACGUCAGCCUCUCCACACAUUCAAACGCAUGUUAUUGACAAUCAAAUUAUUAUGCAGGCUUUCUCUCAACAUACAGAGCUUCCAUAGUUAUUGUUAAAUCUUAAUCAUGUCUGAGGAUACCAUCACCGUCCCUCUCAGCUGCUGGAAUGUACUCAGCUUGGUUGGAUGGAGCGUCUGCUUGGUUGGAAUUCAGAAAGUUCUGCUCCAAAGGAACCUGUCUGAACGUCAAUGAUGCCUUUGGCCAAGAAUUAUAACAUGGUGGCUGAUCCAAGAAAUACCUGAACAUUGCAAUCUUCUUAAGAGCACCGAAUGUAACAUGUGACGAGGUGUCAAAAGCUCUUCUAGAUUGUAAGAUUGGUCUCCCAUUUGGUUUGUUACUUAGGGGUAAAGUUCUAUUUGCUUUGAUCACUUCAACUUGCAAAAUAGUGUUAACGGAACACAUUCUAUGCACUAAUCUUAUUUCCAUCAUUUUCUAUUCACUCCACUAAUCAAGUUCAGUCCAACGACUAUUUAUCAUCCAGGAAUCAAGUUCUAUUUGUUAAAUAUAUUUGUGAAUCACACACAGCCAAGCUAUCCACAAAUUUAUUGAACAAUCUCUUCAAAGACAAACUUAUAAUACACUGCCACUUUCAAAAAAUGUUUUGUGUACACUUCUUUGGACAGACGAAAACUAUGACCGUCUUAUUAAUGGUAAGUCUGGCUCAAACCAAGCAUCAAUGCCAUCACGUUCCUGCUCUUAUUAUUCUGAAAGGAGCAAGAGGAAAGCAGGUUGUAGCACAGUCAUGUUCCAGCUCCAUAUUUCACAGAAGCCAUCAUUGCCGAGUUGAGUUGCAGUAUUGUGUAAAAGUUUCUAACCACGAGGAGUUUAGUGUUGGAAAAUAUAUUGGAGGUGCAGUGUUUAUACCGAAAAGUUCUCAGGCAGAGAUAUUGUGUAGGUCUAAAUGUCAUAAAAGGACAGAAAAUAUAGUAGAUGGAAUUCUGUUUUUGUGUCCAGUUAUAUUCUCCGACUGUAGCUUGAAGAGCAAACUAUCUAAGAGAGGUGAGAUUGGUUUUAAUCUGCCAUUUCUGGAGAGUUGUGAAGAUGUUGAAGGAGAGCAAGGUGAAGAAUGUGAUUGCUCACGCUGGGUUGUAAGAGACAGUCUUAGCUAUUGGUUUCUGAUUCUCAGAUUUUUCAGCUGCAAAUCUCAGACCGGUUUCUAAACACCAAAACAGCCUUUGGAAGACUUUCUUUUGUUGUGUGUUCUCCUGGCGGUGAUGGGCCUACGGAUCGCUGUGGUGACAGUGCAAAGGGGAGUGUUGUCGGGUGGUUAUCAAUUCAAUACUAUACAAUUCUUUGCUUACAAAGCUGUGUAAGAGUAUAUUGUUAUUAUAUAAUGGUGAAAGAGUCGAAGUUGAUGCUCACUGGAAGGAAAUGAAGUAAUGGAAAAAAAACUCCACUAGAUGCAAGAAACAAUAGUUUUCUAAGUAGCGUUGAAAUAUUAUCAAUAAAAAUAAAAGUAUAUAACAAACAAUGUUUAUUUGAUAAGAUUUCUAAACAAUAAAGAGUGUUAAAGAUUCGGCAAAUAAAUUAUUUAGAAUGUACAUGAUACAAAAUAUUGCAAAGUUUUUUUUUUUUUUUUGCUAAAAGUAAAUGUGUUGUGUUGAUUUAAAAUAUUGCAAAGUUGUUAUGAAAAAUGUAAUAUCUGAAGAUACCAUCGAAAACAUUAAAACAUUAAAUUUUAACACAUUUCCAACAGUUAAAAAUAUCAAUUAUCUUAUAUUAUAAAUGAAUAUGCUACGCAAAAAAUGUACAAUAAUUCUUUUUAUCAGCUACAGAAAACAGUUAUGAAAUUUUGUAACAAACAUCAAAUGUAUUAUUAACCGAAAGUCAACAUUUUAUCUAUUAAAAAGUAUUAUACAUGCUUAUCAACGUCCCUACCACAAAUUAUAACUAAUUAAAUCAAGUUGAAGCCAAUAUCUAAUACUCAAUAUUCUUUGUUCCAAAAUCUUAAUAAUAAAAAUGAAAAAAUAUUAGCAAAACAUUGUUUACUUUUAAUUUAUUUUUGAAAAUUAUUUAGUAUUAGUUAAGUUUAUUAAAUAUUUAAUUUGAUAUUGUAAAUUUGAAUAUAUACAAUCAAAUACACAUUUUUAAAAAAAUAGAUGAAAGUAUUUUUAAAACACGUAUGUGUACCUAAUAAAUAUGCAAAAAAUCAUACAUGAUAACUUUUUAAAAAUAAAAAGCAAUUAAAUGUUAUAUGUAGAUUUAUUAUUUAUUAUUUAUGUCAUUCAGAUAAAAAUAUAGCAAAGGUGUAAUAAUAUUCAUAAUAUAUACUAGAAAAUUAUAUGCAUCAUUAAAUUAUAUAUUACUAAAAACUAAUUUAAAUUUUAUAAACAAUAAAAUAUAAUUAUGAAAGUAGUUUAUAUAAUGAAUAAAAUAUACAAAAUUAUAGUUAAUUUAAAUUAAUAAUGAUAUGAAAAUAAAAAUAUGUCUUUACAUAAUCGAACAAAGAAAAAAAUAUAAAAUAGUCUGACAACAAACAAAGAUAGAAGAAAUGAAAUUAGUUGAUUUAUACGAAACAAAUAAGUUAAAAUAUAUAUACUAACAUAAUAAAAAUAUAAUACAAUAUUAUUAAAAAUCACAAUAAUUGUAUUAGAAACCUACUAAAUAGUAACAAAACUGACUUGAAAGAAAACAAUUUUAAAAAUAAUGACCUGGAUAAAAUAAUCAUUUUAAAACAAAAAUUUUAAAAUUAUUUAAUUUUCCGCCCGCCCGUAGGGCGGGUUUACUCUAGUAUUGGAUAAUUGAAACAUCAAAAUUUUCAGUAAAACAUCCUAUUUUUAGGAACAUAUGGAGUAGGAGACGCGAAUGCAGUUUUUGCUCGUUCUUUUAAUAAUAUUAAAUGUCAAUUAUUGGUUUUGUAGGUCUAAAUCGGUGCAGGAAGAGUUGUAGACUAAGAUGGUUGAACUAUUUGAAGCCAAGUAUCAAGAGAGGAAAACUCAACUCCGAUGAAGUUGAUCUUCUUAUGCGCCUUCAUAAGCUUUUAGGAAACAGGUUUACAUUCAAGACACAAAUUCAACUGUAUUUCGUAUCCUCAUUCGGUCUAAUCUAAUCAUUUGAUUUGUUUUUUUUUUUGAUAAAAAGUACUUAAAUUUAUUUCAUAUGUAAAUGAUCCAUUACUAAGUCAAAUAUAUCCCUAAUUUUUCAAAUGCAUGCUUAGGUGGUCUUUAAUUGCUGGUAGAUUACCCGGUCGGACCGCCAAUGACGUCAAAAAUUACUGGAACACCCAUUUGAGUAAGAAACAUGAACCGGGUUGUAAGACCCAGAUGAAAAAGAGAAACAUUCCUUGCUCUUAUACCACACCAGCCCAAAAAAUCGACGUUUUCAAACCUCGACCUCGAUCCUUCACCGUUAACAGCGGCUGCAGCCAUAAUAAUGGCAUGCCAGAAGCUGACAUUGUUCCUCUAUGCCUUGGACACAACGAUACUAAUAAUGUUUCUGAAAAUAUAAUCACAUGUAACAAAGAUGAUGAUAAAUCUGAGCUUGUUAGUCAUUUAAUGGAUGGUCAGAAUAGGUGGUGGGAAAGUUUGCUAGAUGAGAGCCAAGAUCCAGCUGCGCUCUUUCCAGAAACUACAGCAAUAAAAAAGGGCGCAACCUCCGCGUUUGACGUUGAGCAACUUUGGAGCCUGUUGGAUGGAGAAACUGGAACUUGAUUAGUGUUUCCACUGUUUGUUUGUGCUUGUGCGUGACAUUGUGACUUUUGCAUUUACUGUGUAUUGUUUCUAAAUAAACCAAUUAACUUAUGUUUCUGACAUAUAUAUAUAUAUAUAUAUAUAUAUAUAUAUUUUUUUUUUUUCUUUUUGCAAAUGAAAGGAUAAUGUGUCAUGAUAAACAAGGCCCCAAUUGGUAUAACUGAUGAAAAAUUCUUAGCAAUAUGCUCAAAAACAGUAUGAUGCAGAAGUUAUAUGCUUCAUUAUUUAUUAAAAUGAUUGAUAUAACAUUAAAUGAUUCAUAUAUAAUUGGUUCAUUUAUAAAUAAUAUAUAUAUAUAGUAAAUAUAUAUUUUUUAUUUAAAAUAAUAUAUCAUAUCUAAUUUUAUAUAUAUAUUAAUUUAUAUAUUUUAAUUAAGUAUAGUAUUAUUUUAAUUGUAUUUUUAAAAUAUAAUUUUAACAUGAAUAUAAUAUUUUGAUAUUAUAAUUUUUUUAAUUUAAUAUUUUAUAAAUGAAAAUGUUUGCCAACUUUAAUCAUGGUAUUCUAAAUGUAUUUCUAAAUGUUUUUUUCUGUAAUUAUUGAUUAGAUAAUAAUUAGCAUAAUGUUCUUGCAAAUAGUUUGCCAACUUUAAUCAACGUCUAAGUAUGUGUUGUUGCUUUACAUAGAUUUUCUUCUUGGAAAAUAUUUUAUGAGCACCAUUAUCCCUGAGUAGGAGUUCUUAGAAAAUAAAAGUAUUUUUUUUGAACGUACAAAAUAAAAGUAUUGAUAUUUUAUUUAGACAAGUAUGUUCUUAGCUCUUUUAGUUUAAUUAGACUAAUAGCUGAAUAGAAAACAAUAUGUUUAGAGUAACUAGGGUUUCUCAAGCAAGAACCCCAUUAAAACUUCUUCUCUCCUCAUUUAUCAAAAACUUUUUUUUGUCUCUUCUCUUUCUAACUUUUAAUUAUUUUAUUAUAUUUUGUAGGUGAGGAUGUCGGGAUAAAGUUUGCAGAGAGUGCCUACGGUAUAAAUUUUGAGGCAUUGGCCUUGGGGCGCUCUCAUAUUUGUUAAUUUUGGGGCCUCAGAUUUACCAAUACUCGUAAGCAAAAUGCUAAUAUAGUUACCAAAAAAACAAUGUAUUCUUUCAAUAAUUUUGUUUCAAACAUUCAUCUCUAUUUUUAUUUAUUAUUGUGGACACCAACCAUCUUUUUAAUGUUGAAAACUUUUUCUAUAUAUAUAUAUAUAUAUAUAGAUAAAUUCCCACUAAACAAUUUAUAACCUUUGCCAUUAGAAGUUUGUAUAAGAGCAAGGAAUGUUUCUCUUUUUCAUAUAAAUAAUUUUAAAAUAUGAAAUACCAAAUAAAUAAAUAAAUAACAAUUAUUUUAUUUACUUUUUACAUUUUAAAAGUUAUUAUUGCACUCAUAUUACUAUUUGUGUUAUUUUAAUAUAAAAUGAAUAAGUUUUUGCCUUAGGCCCCAGUUACUCUAGGCAUGGCACUGAGAGCUUGGCGUUGGAAGUGUGGACUGUCAAGUCCUUCUUUAAGCAAUCAUAUCAUGUUUGUGCAAAAGUGUUGACAUACAACUUAAAGCUGUUGACUGUUGUCGUCUAACUGGUGUCAUCUUCUGAUUACCAGUGAAGUGAAUUAUCCAUGCAAGCAACUCCACUGAAUCCAGCUUCUUUGGAAAAUAUGUCCAUAUGAAUAGAUUUGUUGACUAGUCGACCAUAGACCUUUUUAUGUAAUGUCAAAUUAUAAUUUGUUGAUAUUGUACCAUAUAUAGCAAUACAGUGCAAAUAUUUCCACUGAGAAGUAUGAACUUAUGGAGGGAGUAUAUAUUUAUGUAAUGUCAAAUUAUAAUUUGUUGACAUUACGGAGGGAGUAUAUAUUUGCACUGUAUUGUUAUAUAUUUGCACUUUUUAGUUAAGUAUGUGAAUUAUCAUUGAAAAGGAUGCAGUGCAAAUAUUUCCUCAAUAUUAACAAAAGUUCACGCUCCCUAACAAUUUGUAGCUCCCAGUAAAAAAUUAUCCAGUGGUGUCAAUUUAAUUUAUCAUGUAAAAAGAAAAAUUUUGGUCAAAGCAGUUGCGAGUGUUAUUAUUCGGAAUCUUAAUUGUAAAAAACAUUUUCUUUCUGUGAAAUCAUAUGGUGACAUAGAUGUAUGUGUUCUAAUUCGAAACAUAAAAGAAAUAAUUUAUAUACAUACCUUUUUACCAAAAGAUAUACAAGACAGAUUUCUUCGUAGAUUUCUAGACCCUAUGAUCAAUUUUACAUUAUGUUGAAAUCAACAUCAGCCUAAAGCUUUUACCAAAAAAAAAAAAAACAACAGCCUAAACCUAAAAAUACAUCUGCUUCCAUAUAUAUAUGUAACAAUGAUAUACUACAUUUUAUCAAAAUAAAUUAAUAAUCUAUAUUAGUAUUUAAAAAGUAAUUUUUCGCAUUCAAGCUCUCACGUUAAAAGUUAGACCGGUUAAAAACUAUGUUAUCCUUAAUGAAUUUAUAUAUAUAAUUUAUUAUAUAAUUAAAGACGAAUUUAUAUUAAUAAUAAUAAACUUAUAUGUUAUAUUAGAUAAUUGAUCAUACUUAGUAUAAUAAAAUUAUCAAAAAUGCAUAUCUAAGAAAAAGAUAAUUAUAUAUUGUGUUGUUUUCUAAAAAUAAUAUUUUCUAUUAUAAAUUUUAAAUUAAGAUAUUAAACAUUUUACUAUUAAAUAUUAAUCAAAUAAAAACAUUUUAUAAAGAUAUUUUCUAAAAAUUAUAAAAUUUGAGUGUUUUUAAAAUUUGAAACACAAUAGUAAAUAUAUAUUUUGAUGAAAAACUUUUGUCAUUUAUAAAUAAUUUGAAGUUUAAUCUAAUUUUUUUGAGAAAAAUAUAAUUAAUAAGACAUAAACUAUUAAUUAGUCAUAAAAAAUUAUGUUUGCACGUACAAGCAAAUACCUAAGCCUUGAUUGGCAAAGCAAAUGAUAAAGCAGUAGUAAUAUGCUAUAGAAUCAGUAUGCUGCAGAAGCUGUAUAUUUUUGUUAAACUGUUUAAUAAGAUGAUUGGUAAAGCAGUAUGAAUAUGCUAUUUAAAAUUAUUCUUAAAAUUAGUAUAUAAUAUAUAAUAUUUUUAUUUUUAAUAUAUAAUAUAAAUAUAUUAACAUAUAAAGUUAAAAAGAUAUAUAAUUAAUUUAUCCUAUUUAAUAAUUUAGAAAUUAUGUUUAUAAAAAAAUAUCAUUUUAAAAUAAACAUUAUAAUUAAAAUAUCUAUUUUUUAAAAUAAUAUUUCACAUUUAAAAUAUAAUUAAGUUAUAUAAAUUAAAUUAUAUUUUAAAUGUCAAAUAAUAUUUUUUUUUUAAAAAUAUUUUUAUUGUAAAAUAAUUUUAGAAAUCAAAAUUUUAUUUUCUGGAUAUAAAAGUAAAUUUUAUUUUCUGGAUAUAAAAGUAAUUUUAUGAUAUGAUAAAAUAAAAUAAAUGAAUUAAUUUAUAUUUUAUUUAAUUUCAUAAAUUAUACUCCCUCCGUUUCACAAUACAUGAUGUUUUGCCUUGAUGCACAAAGAUUAAUAAAUUUAACAUUUUCUAAAAAGUGACUUUAAAAAUAUAAUUUAGAAAUCAUUCAACCAAUUAUAAAAAUAACUACAAAAUCUAAUUGGUUACACAGUUUUCAAUAAAUUUAAAAGUAAUAUAAAAUAUUGAAAUAUCAUCUAUUUUGAAACAACAAAUAUCUUCUAAAAUAUCGUUUAUUAUGAAACUGAAGGAGUAAAUGCAAAUGCUUUUCUAAAAGCUUCAUAAAAGCCCAUUAAGGCCCAAAUACUAAAUGUCAUUUAUUUUAUAGUUACUCCUAUGAGUGUUCAUGUAUUUGUUUUAAAGGUUCGGUAAAAGCAACAAGUUUAAAAAUAAAAUAAAAAACAUAUAACCAACAUAAUAAGAAUAGAAAAAUUAUUACUUAAUACACACAACUUACACAACUAAACUAGAAAAAAAUAUCCAGAAACAAAAGGUACUCUCAAUAACCUUAAUAUAAUUUAUGUAAUCUCAACAGUAUAAGUAACAAAUUAAAAAGACAAACAAACAGUAAGUCUCAGUGACACAGCAAACAACACCACGAACUAUAAACACAGUUUAGUUCUUCAUGAGUGGAGGACAGUGCAUACACAGUUCAUCAUCACAACUCUAACUCUAUAACAAUAGAAAAACUUGAAAAACUAUGAUCAACCCAAAACGCAAAAUUUACAGCUACAAUAACCUUAACAAAUAUUGAAAUGAAACAAGAAUUAUGUCUACAAUUUUCCGCUUGUGCGGAAUAAUGUCCCUAGUAGUAUAAGAAGUUUAGUUUAUGGGUAUCUUAUACUAAUAGAUCCAUAUUCUUCGGGGUGGUCAUAAAUGCAUGGGACAAAAAACAAAAAUGCAUUGAAACUUUCGCCAUCUUUUUUGUAUCUUUGUUUGUUGCGCCUCUUAGAAUAACCCAUUGUCGUUACUACUAUAGGUUAUGGACGGGAACCGGUUAUGGACCAUGUAAGUUAUUGAAGUUGUCUUGUAUGAAAUUAAUUAUAUACCAUACGUGUAUUUGUAUUGCGCAUAAUGAAGCAGUAGGGGUAUAACAUCCGGAAACGUAAAUAUCAUUUUGACAGGACAUGCCAACUUGUUCUAGUCGUUCAAUCAUGAUUGGCGUUCUGCAACUUUUCUUUUGUGUCAAAAUUUAUGACUUCCACAAAAGUUUAUACAAAUAAUAAUAAGAAAAGUCUUUUUUUUUUCUUUUACAAAAAAAGAAAAGUCUUUUAUGACUUCCACAAAAGUUUAUACAAAUAAUAAUAAGAAAAGUCUUUUUUUUUCUUUUACAAAAAAAGAAAAGUCUUUUUGUACCUUCAUAAAACGAGUUGGGAUCAACAUCUUUUGCUAAAUAAUGACCUCUAGUAACAAUGCUAUAUGUAUUAUUAAAACUGAAAUAUUUUUUGGUAUUGUUUAGAAACAUGAAUAACAGUAUAAAUGAUAAUUAUUUGAAAACAUUGAUAGCCGUAUAAAAAAGAAAUAUAGUGUCAUUUUAAUAAUUUCACUUAUAGAACUAACUUUAUUUUCAAAAGAUUUAUUACAUAUUUUAUUUCCGUAUUUUUAUUCAUCUUAACAAUUUUAUUAAUUAUAUUACUUUAAAACUACAUCACAUUAUUAAUUAUAUUACCAUAAUAAUAUUUCAGAUUUUUUAUUUAUUAGUUAAUCAACAUUAACUUUGUACCAAUUACAAAAUCGAAUGUAAAAUAAUCGGGUUUUGAAAAUGGUUAAAAGCUCGGUUUAGUCUAUUUUACUAUUUUUAUCUUAAUUUCAAUUCAAAGACAUAGUUUAUGUGAACAAAAUAAUAACUUAAAUCAAAAUAAUAAAACGUAUUACAUAUAAUGUGACUUAAUUUUUCACAUCAUAUAGAUAUUUUACUAAAUAUUUUUUUUUCUAUUUUAUUUAAUUGCCAAACACGUAGAAAGAGUUUUUUUUUUUAAUUUGUUUUUAGAAUCAGUUAGGUGUGGACACUCUAAUACCUAUUCAGAUAUGGAUUGUUUCUUUCGGGUAUCAUAUUUUUUUUUGGGUUUGAAAUUAUGAUGUGCUUGGAUAUUAUAAAUUUAUGUGUGGGUUUCGAGUUGGAUCCUUUCGGAUUUAGAUGGUUAUGUUCUGAUGUAUAGGAACUUAAAAUUAUCAAACAACUAAUAUAUCUGAAACGGCUUUAAAAUAUUUGUACCAAAAAUAAUUAUAUUACUCAAUUCAAUUUUAAUCUUUUGAAUACAAUUAAUUAUAUGAGAACACAUCUAAAAUAUAUAAUGAUAAAUAAAUAUUGAUUUAUAAGAAUAAAAUAACUGAUAUUCGCGUGGGGUGCGCAGAUCGAGUUCCAGUGACAAAUUAAACAUCUACUCUAUUAAAAUAGAGUCCUAUUUGAAUUUUACCAUGGCAUAGAUUUAAUUUGGACUUAUUAAACAUGUUGUGACUAAAUAUAAAAAUAAAUUAUGUAUACAAUUUUAUAUGGUAACUGGUAUAUUUAUAUUAAACCAAUUAUGGUUUGGGUUUAAUAUUUGAGUAACAAACCAUAUCUUUUAAUCUGAACCAAACAAAUAUGGUUUGCAAUUGCAUUAACUGGAGAGAAAUUAAUUGAACUUAUUAAACUCUCAUAUAGAUUGGUUAUUGUGUUGCUCUACGUUUUGAAACCAAUAGGUUAAGAGAUCAACAUGGUCAACUUCCAUGGAUUAAAUAUGAACUCAAAAAUCAAGAUCUAUAAGUUGUUUUGACCAAUUAUUGGAGUGUUUGACCGGUGGUUUAUUUUUUUUUAUGAACACCAUCUUAUAGGAAGUAGGUUUAGAUUAUAACACAACAUCAACUUCUUCUUCUAAACCAUGUCAUAUAUAUAUAUUUUAUACCCAAAUCUCUAUUAUAUACUCAAACACAACAUCAACGUGUAUUCACUGAUCGUAUAUUCCUAAGAAAAUAUAGCAUGCUAUAAAACAUAUUUCAACAAAAUCAUUAUAUAUAGUUUUAGAUAGAUUUUUAUGUAUUCAAAAUUUGAAAUCUAUUUUUAAAAUAUAGAAUAUGUCAUUGAAACAAAUAUAUCCCUAAAUCUAUGCAUUUUUAAAUCUUAAAUUACCAGCUUCCAUUGAUACCAAACAUUUGUAUUAGUAACAAUAUCAAAACAAUAUAUUACAAUGUUUUAAAUUUAUGCAAUAAUCCUGGGUUUGAAACUUUGAAUGAAUAUACAGUAAUUUUGAUAAUAGCUUAUAUUUUCGAAAUUUUGUGGUUCUGAACAGGAAACCAAAUUAAAACUACUAUUAUGUAAUACUACACAACAAACAUCAUAUAUAUAUUUAAUAUAAAUUCAUAACUAUAAAUAAAAAACAAUCCGUGCAAUCCCACAAACCACUAUAAAUAAAGUAUAAUUGCAAAAUUAGAUGAACCAAACCAAAUAACAAAAUAACAAAACUCAAAUUCAUAAAUAACCAAAUUAUUACUAUAUUUUUUGAACCGAAAAAUCAAAACCCAUAACUAAACCGGAACUAAACUGAAAACUAAAACAGUAAAAUUUAAUGUGGAUCAAAAUUUAUAAAAUAUCAUUAAAUUUUUAUAAGUUUUUAAUUUUAAAAUAUAAAUUAUAAAUACAAAUAUAGGCAAUCCUGCAUAACUGUGCGGGUCAUAAUCUAGUUAAACACUAAUGAAAAGGUUAAGAUAGGUAUUACUUUAGUUUUUUUAACUGGUGUAAAAUGUCGUAGAACGACUCAGGGAGUAUCUAUUAGCAAUGGCGGAUAGCCGGAUAUUUAAUUAGAUUUAAACGCAUGUGCACAGUGCACAGUGCACGUAUAAUAAUACAAUACUAUAAGUGAUUUGGCACGUUUCAUGAGUUUUGCUAAUAUGAGCUUGUGAUUAAAUAGUGGUUUAUUGACUUAAAAGAUUACACGUGUCUCGCAACUGGAUAUCCAGAUCUACCAAAUAAUUCCAAUAUGUUCAGCCUCCAGGGCCAUUAGCCCGUGAGUUUAAUUUUUCGGUUAAUUUAGAUUGGUUAAUUCGAAACUCGUUUAGUUCGGGUUAGUUAAAAUCUCGCCGAAGUAAAUCUAAGAAAAUUCAGUUUGAUUCGGUUUUUGGUUAGUUUGGUGUCCAAUUUUUUUACUGAAAUUUUUGUUUGCGGUUAGCUCGGUUAAAUUUUAGGUUUAAAUGAAUAAAAUACAUACAUUUUUAGUUAAUUUUGGUUAGUUUGGUUGUUUUGAUUUGGAUUUCGAUUAGUUUAGUUACUUUAAUUCAGAAUUCCGGUUAAGAUUGGUAUUGUUUAAAAUAAAAUUUUAAACUGAACUAACCUAUUACCAAACAGAACCGAAAAUCAAAUUUUUUUAGUUUUCAAACUGAACACUUCUGGUCGGUUCGGUUCAGAUAAUAACCGCAGGCCUGGCCAUGCUCAUGUGUAGAAAAGCCUCAAGCCUCCACUUAGUAUAUUUAAUUUUGGACCCCAACUUUUAUAUUUCUAUUACUUUCAUUUGGUUUUGAAAUAUUGUAUUAUUUUUUACUUUUAAAUUUUUAAUAACAGUUUUUACAAAUAUAUUUGUCUUCUUAUAUUUCCUAUCUUAAUAUGUAUUGUAUCUAGGGAUUCAACGAAUAUCAGAAGUGAGAAAAUUUCAAUACGAAUUAAUAUAUUAUUUUUAAUCGAUGAAAUAUUGCGUGAUAAAUUUUUCUUUUCAAAAUCUAAUAACUAUUACUUUAACUUUUUGAACGAAAAAAAACAAAACAGUUCUUGGGUAAGAUUAGCUUCGUGGGAUGAAGCCAAAAUGAAAUCUUGAAAGAAAUCAACAAUGACACAAAAAUGGAGACUUUUAUAUGAUGUCGACGUGACACCUUACAGCUUUUAUGAGAAAUGUCUCAUUUGGAACAUUGUUCGUGGACGAUGAGCAUGCACGUUCCUUUCCCUUUGUCUACAAGAAAAAAGAAACAAGUAACUCUUAGUAUUUCCUUAAAAGAAUGCUAAAGUAUCAUUUUCAUGAACUGUGUAUAUUAUUUUACAAUAAUACAUAAAUAGUUUGUUAUAACCUCACUUGUUUUAGUGUUAUCCCUCGCAUAAGUUUGAGAUAUAUAUGGAAAUAGCAUUGUUAUAUUAAAAACUAGGGUCGGCCCGCCCUGCGGGCGGGAUAUUAGUUAAUUUGAUAUUCACUAAAUGCUCGAGUUGAAAUUUGUUUUAAGAUUCAAGAAUUUGGUUAUCUGUUAUGUCUUACUUAUUAGUAUACGGUGGUAUAGUUGUUUUUCGAUUAUUCUUGCUUUGGUAUUGUAUCAAAUUAACUAAUUGUCCAACUCAUAAUUAUAGAUAUACAAAUGUGGAUUUGUGAUAAAGUUUGAUAACAAUACUAUUUUUUUUAAUUUUUAUUCAUAGUGGAGUGUGCAUGUGUCAGAAAGAGGCCUAUAACAACUUUUAUGUUUUUGUGUAUGGAUUUUAAAUAUAUAUUAUUUUGUAUAAUGCAUACUUGCUCUACAACAUUUGCUUGUAGACUAAAAAAAUUGUUUUCUAUAUUUUUAAAAGAGAAAAUAUUUAGUCUAGAAUAUAACAUGGAUAUAUGUAUUGACUAUAUAUAUAGAAGUUGGGUGUUAUUUUAAAAUGACAUAUGUAUAGAAAUUUUUCAACCAUUACUUCACUGGCACAAAACAUUUAUAACUGUAAAUACCUUCUUUUAAAAGCAAAACUAAUAAAAGCGUGUACAACAAAUUUUGAUAUAUAUUAUAUGCAUCAAGUUAUAAAAGUUGGAAACAUUGCAAAACUGUUUGGAGCAAAGUUUUUAACUUCACGAUCUUCAUCUUGACGUCAGUUCAGUGUCGGUCCUGGCCACAAGCAGAAGAAGCAUGAGCUUCCAGCUGACACGAUAAUAAGUAUUUUCGCGGCCACAUAUUUAUAAAAAAUGACUUUAGCCUAGUGGUUCUAAGAGAAAUUACCAGUGCUAGAGGUGCUGGGUUCGAUUACCCUUAAUUGCAUUCAUUUAUUUUGGCCUUAAAUAUGAAAUGGGACACGUGUCACUCCCAGAACGCACGAAUUGAUGACGUGGCUUCACGGGAGAGAGGCGAACAUUUCUUUAUAUAUAUAGAUAUCGUGUUAUGAGAAAUAUAGCAGGUAAAAAGAGAAAUAUAUCUAUACUAUUAUUUGCGAAGUAAAUUUUUGGAAUCGAGAUCUCACGUUAAAAGUUAGAGCGGUUAAUAUCUAUAAUACCCUUAAUGAAUUUUCUAAAUAAUUAAUUAUAUAAUCAAAAACGAAUUUUAAUUAAUAAUAUUAACUUUUUGGAAAAUAAGAUAAUUCUUAUAUAUUGUGUAGUUAUCUUAAAACAUAUUUUUCAAUUAUAAAAUUUAAAAAUAAACUAAAAAACAAUUAUAAUAAAUUCAGUGGUUAAAGUCAACGUUAUCUUUAAUAAAUUUUAAUUAAUCUAUACUAUUAUUUGCGAAGUAAAUUUUUAGAAUCGAGAUCUCACGUUAAAAGUUAGAGUGGUUAAUAUCGCUAAUACCCUUAAUGAAUAAAAUGUAUAAAUAAAUUAAAAAUAAAAACGAAAUUUUUAUUUAUUUGAUUAGAUAAUUGAUUAAAAUUAAUAAUAGUAAGAAUUAUCCAAAAUCUGAAAAUAUAAUUUAAACAGAGAUAAUUUCUAUAUAUAUUGUAUUGUUAUCUGAAAAAGUCUUUUAGUAAAAAAUAAAUUUUUGGAAUCGAGCUCUCACGUUAAAAGUUAGAGCGGUUAAUAUCUAUAAUACCCUUAAUGAAUUUUCUAAAUAAUUAAUUAUAUAAUCAAAAACGAAUUUUAAUUAAUAAUAUUAACUUUUUGGAAAAUAAGAUAAUUCUUAUAUAUUGUGUAGUUAUCUUAAAACAUAUUUUUCAAUUAUAAAAUUUAAAUCUAUACUAUUAUUUGCGAAGUAAAUUUUUAGAAUCGAGAUCUCACGUUAAAAGUUAGAGUGGUUAAUAUCGCUAAUACCCUUAAUGAAUAAAAUGUAUAAAUAAAUUAAAAAUAAAAACGAAAUUUUUAUUUAUUUGAUUAGAUAAUUGAUUAAAAUUAAUAAUAGUAAGAAUUAUCCAAAAUCUGAAAAUAUAAUUUAAACAGAGAUAAUUUCUAUAUAUAUUGUAUUGUUAUCUGAAAAAGUCUUUUAGUAAAAAAUAAAUUUUUGGAAUCGAGCUCUCACGUUAAAAGUUAGAGCGGUUAAUAUCUAUAAUACCCUUAAUGAAUUUUCUAAAUAAUUAAUUAUAUAAUCAAAAACGAAUUUUAAUUAAUAAUAUUAACUUUUUGGAAAAUAAGAUAAUUCUUAUAUAUUGUGUAGUUAUCUUAAAACAUAUUUUUCAAUUAUAAAAUUUAAAAAUAAACUAUAAAACAAUUAUAAUAAAUUCAGUGGUUAAAGUCAACGUUAUCUUUAAUAAAUUUUAAUUAAUCUAUACUAUUAUUUGCGAAGUAAAUUUUUAGAAUCGAGAUCUCACGUUAAAAGUUAGAGUGGUUAAUAUCGCUAAUACCCUUAAUGAAUAAAAUGUAUAAAUAAAUUAAAAAUAAAAACGAAAUUUUUAUUUAUUUGAUUAGAUAAUUGAUUAAAAUUAAUAAUAGUAAGAAUUAUCCAAAAUCUGAAAAUAUAAUUUAAACAGAGAUAAUUUCUAUAUAUAUUGUAUUGUUAUCUGAAAAAGUCUUUUAGUAAAAAAUUAAAAACAUAAAUAUAUAACUAAAUAUUAAUCAAAUAAAAUUCUUAAUUAUAUAACUAAAAAUAGAAUAUUGAAUUAUCCAAAAUCUAAAAAUAUAAUUAAAAAAGAUAAUUUUUAUAUAUAUUGUCUUGUUAUCUGAAAAAAUAUUUUAGUAAAAAGUUAAAAACAUAAAUUAUAUAAUUAAAUAUUAGUCAAAUAAUUUUUUUAUUAUAUAAUUUAAAAUAUAAUAUUGAGUUAUUUUAAAAUAAAUUUUUAGAAUCGAGCUCUCACGUUUCAAGUUAGAGGGGUUAAUAUCGUUUAUACCCUUAAUGAAUAAAAUGUAUAAAUAAAUUAAAAAAUAAACAAAAAUUAAUUUAUUUGAUUAGAUAAUUGAUUAAAAUUAAUAAUAGUAAGAAUUAUCUAAAAUCUGAAAAUAUAAUUUGAACAGAGAUAAUUUAUGUAUAUAUUGUAUUGAUAUCUGAAAAGGUCUGUUAGCAAAAAAUUAAAAACAUAAAUUAUAUAACUAAAUAUUAAUCAAAUAAAAUUCUUAAUUAUAUAAUUAAAAAUAAAAUAUUGAAUUGUCAAAAAUUUAAAAAUAUAAUUAAAAAAGAUAAUUUAUAUAUAUAUAUUGUAUUGUUAUCUGAAAAAAUAUUUUCGUAGAAAGUUAAAAAUAUAAAUUAUAAUAUUUUUAAUUAUAUAAUUAAAAAUAUAAUAUUGAGUUAUUUUAAGAUUUAUUUUAGUAUAAUAAAGAUAGUGUACAAAGAAUUUUUUAAAAUUUAAUGAAAAUUUUUAAGUCCGCAUCGCGGGCAAAACACCUAGUAAUGUUUAAAAAAAGAAGAGAAAUAUACGAGAUACAUUUUGUAUUUAAGGAACAAGUAUAGCGUGUUUGCUUUAAAAAAAAACAAGUACAUAGCGUGUUACGUUUUCAUUUGUAUAAACCAGUGUCAAACCUUAACCAUCUGAACGUAAUUUGUAAUUGAUCUACCUCUAUAAUUAUUUACAUAAUAUCGUAAACGGUUAGAAAUAUAUUUAAUCAGCGAAAACAAUAAGAUUAUUUUGUGCAUAUACCCAGUAAUCAUGUUCUGUACGGAAGUUGUAAAUCUAUAUAAUUGAUACAAAAGAUCCAAUAAGAUUAUAGUUUGAUUUUAUUUAACUUCUAUGUUGAGAGUGACAGAAACGUAACACCAAUUGACGUCUGAAGAAGUCGACGUACGAUGUCGAGACAAAAUAAUAAUUAAUGAACUGUCUUCAUAUUAUUGCAAUCUCCGUUCACAGUCCAUUCUCAUUGACACAGAACACGUCUUCUUGGAUUUUUGUGGGUAACAGUCUCUCUCGACCAUAAGCAGAGUGGUUUUGGUCUUGCUGUUGUGGCCCUUUUUUUGUCAGUGACCAUUAAACUCUGUUUUUUCUGUUGGUAAAAUGUUAAAUAGUUACCAUCAAAUUCUUUUCUCUUUUGUACUAUUUUCACGUAAAAUUAAAGUUAAUUUGGUCCAAAAAAUUAUAGUUAUUAAUUUCACAGUAUAGGUAAUCCAUUUCUCACUGCCAUAUCAGAGAUUCAAUUUUUUUUUGAAAAAAAUAUUCCGAAUAUAUCACCAGGAUAAGCCAUUAUUAAGAAGAAGAAAAAAUCAACAGAGCCAAUAUGUAAGUAUCAUCCAAUAUGUUUCAUGCAACGUUAGCAAAGCAUUAGGUUUUAAAAAAAAAACGUUAUCAAAGAACUAUUAUAAAUUUGAGAAAUUUAGUUUACAAAAAAAAAAAAUCUGAGAAAUUUUAUGUACGGCAUUAUUAUGUUCAUCUUUGAAUUAAAAACAUAUGUUUUCAACAUCAAUCACAUAUUUUUAUUUAUACGUGAUUCUUUGCUAAGAAGUAGGUAGUUAUUUCAAAAAAUCUGGUUUCCUUAAAAGUGUAAAGAAUCUAUUUUGCAAAAUUCUUGAUUGGUAAAAAAAUAGUUUUAGAAAAUCAAAAACUAUUUUAAAAAUUGCAAACAGUUAACCCCUAAAUAUUUUAGUUGUUAAUAUUUAUUCUAUUAUUUUCGAAAUAACAAAAUUGUUAAAGAUUUCAAAAAAUUUAAUUUUUUUUAUUACACAACAUAUAUUAACUUGAAUAUAAGAUCGAUCGCAUAAGAAUUUCUCUCAGCAUGUUGGACAUGCGUCUUACAUUUUUCAGGAAGAACCUUUUAUAAGACAAACAGUAUUGUACAAACUCUUAACAAAACAAAUCUAAAUUACACAGUUUCUCAAUACAUAAAUUAUACCGUUUCUAAUUUCUACUAAAACAUUAAAUCAUGUGAUAAUAAUAUAUUUUUAAUGUUUAAUCAUUAAAAAAGUGUUACAAUAAAGUCUAUACAGAUUUUUAUGACUUUUAGCCCAGUUUAUCCAAUCAAGCCCAAAAGAAACACAUAAGGAAAGAAAGGAUGGUUUCCUGAAUGAUACCUUAUCGAAUCUCACAUAGAUUGCUUCCUGAAUCGAUGUCAAAGAAAGGAUGGUUUCCUGAAUCAUGUCGUUGAUAAGGAAGGAUUAGGUGUAGAGGCGAAAGCAUCAUUUCAGUCCCGGUAACUUGCGAUUCAAUCAAUUUCUAACUUGGUAUAGGCUAAAAUUCUGACGACUCAAGAAAUGGUUCUCAAAAGAACAAAGAAAACCGUCAGUAGAGAGUCGCUCCCUUCCAUGGAGGACACGAAGACGAAGGGAAGUUAGUGACUGGAGUUAAGAGCUUCCUGAUCCAACAGACCCUUCAGCCAAGAAUGCGCUCCGGUGGCUACAUAGGACUGAUAACGGUGAUCUCUAGUAAUAGCAAUCAAGGAAGCUACUCUGUUUCUGUCCUGUCCACAUGACAAAAUCUCUGAGAGCAGAAGACUAUGGAUGUAAGAAGGAGUCUCUUAGAACCUCAGAUGAGAUUUCGGAAUACACCUUUUCCACUCGUAAACUAGUCAUAGCUUAAGCUUCCAAAGAUCAGGUAGGAGAGAGUGUUCAACCCUGAAGAAGGACCGUCUGCUAUGAAAAUUCACUACACCUGCAGAAUCUCUUGCAACCCAAGCGCCUCCAUUAUUACUCAUACCAUUUGUCCACGAUGCUGCAACACUACACUUAAUCCAAUCACUAGGCGAUUUGGACCAUCCUACAGGACCCAAGGCAAGAAUACAUGAUGUCUUUUAUAGUGGCGUUUACAAUUGAUUUUGAUCUGGCACUUCAGAUAUAAAAAAAAUCAUGAGUCACGAUUAGAAGGAAGAAGAAAAUUUUGGCCGUUCAUACAAAUAAUAAAUUGUAGAGGUUUUGCAUGCUUUGAAGGAAAAUAUAGGAAACUUUGUCUUUUGUCUUUUGUUCCUCUCUAUUUGACAAAAAAUAUCUAGGGUUUGAGUUUUGCUAAAUACAUAAUAUAACAAAAACAUACAUAAUAUAACAAAAAAAUUGAAAUUUCAAAAAAGAAAAAAAAAUUCAGAAGGAUAAAAAUUGGGAGAAUUCAUCAACAGUAUUGUUUAUUUCAUAUGUUUCAACAAAAUAAGGUUAACAAAAUUUUAAAAAGAGUGAAUCUAAUUUUUUCCCCCUUUUUAUUAUUAAGCUCAAGUUAAGGAAAGCUAACAAAAAUAUUGAGGAAAACCACAACAAGGAAUUACUACAUAAUUAAAACAAAGAUUUCAAAAAAAUAUUUAGAAAAUAAAUAAACAUUAAAAUAAAAUUUUUAUUUUCAGUAUAUAUAUAAAAGAUUAAAGUUUUUGUAUAGGAAAAAUGUGAAAUUUUUAUAAAAAUGUCAUGAGAUUCCUGAGACUGAAAAGGUUGUAGAAUCAUGUUGAAUGUGGACUUUGUUGCAAACAUCUCUUCUUUGAAGUCAGCCUUCAAUGUAAGAGUAUCGGUCUUGACUUCAUCCAUUGUGUUCUCCAAGCCUGUAAGGCGCAUCUCCAUAUCCAGAUUGCACUUCAGCGAGAAAAGAACAUAUUCAGGAGUGGAGUCCUCGUAAUGAACACCACCGAGCCCACGCCACCUAACACCAAAACCUAACCCAACUUUAUCAAAAAAAAUACAUGUGCAUAAUUUGGUGGAAAGCUUAUGUUUUUAGCCAUUUGAUUAACACUGAAAUUCUUCUACUCCAGAGACGGAUCUACUUAGUCCAACAUGGGGCAGCUGGCAUCGGUCAAUUUGUAAGAUUAGUGCAAAUUAUAAAGACAUCAAAUUAGUGUCUCCACUCAUAAUUCUAUUUCUGCACCUAUAACCAAUUUUUUAUAUAUAAAAAAUGUAAUUUGAGCCCAAAAAUUAAUAGCCCAUUACUCUUGUCAAAUGUUAAUUCCCAUAUAAAUGACAUUCAUUUCUGAUGAUAUUAAUUUUCCUUAUUCCAGUCUUCAUAUGGUAAUUUACAAAAACCUAGUUCUCGAGUUAUAUUUUUGCCAAUUUUAUAAUUUUCUUAUUUGGUUGAAUUAUUACUGCUUUCAUUUAUUUAUAUACUCUAUAUAUGUAAAUCUUCCUAUAUAUUAAUUGAGAAUUCACUUAAUUAGAUUUUGAUUAGGUGUCAAUCAUAUAUGAAGUUUAAGAAGAAUUGUUAUAAUUUGAUUGGUUGAUAAUUUUAAAUUUUUAUUAUUUUAAUCAUGUUUAGAAAGACAAUUCUUGAACCAUUUAAAGUAACUAAUAAUUUACAUCAGUUGCCAAACAAUCAAAAAUAUUAUUUAAAAGAAAAAUAACUAUAUACCAAUUUACAUCAGUUGACAAACAAUCGAAACAAUUUUAUAAAAAAAAAAUAUCUUUAAAUUUAUGACAUAUUUGUUGUCAAACUUAUUCAAUACUGAAAAUAUUAAUUUGAAAUAUUCAAUUUAAAAAGAAUCGUUCAAAUACUUUGCAUUUUUUGAACAUUCAAAACUUAGAGCCAUAUUAUAUCAUUUUAAACAAAAUAUAAAAAGUUUGAUAUGUUUGAAUAUUUUUGAUUAUAGAAAAUCAAAUCGGAUACAAAUUUAUCUUAAUUUGUUAUUCAAGAAAUGACUAAGAUUAUUGCGAAAAAAAUAUUCAAAUUUCUAUAGCUGAAACUUUUUAUAUCAGUUUACGUUAAAAAAAUAUAUAAAUAUGUUAUAAAAUCGAAAUCAAUGGCAAAAUAGCCAUAAACAAACUUACAUCAGCUACCAAACAAGUCAACCACCUAGUUGUGAAUAGUUGGUUGGUUUAUAAUGGUAAAACAGUUGCAGUAGAAUUUAGAAAGUAAGUUUUUAUUUCUGGAUAUAAAUCUUUUGUAAAUGUAAAAAUUAAAUGAAAUUUUUUAAAUGAAAGGUAUGUCUACAUCCACUUUUUUUGCUCAAAAAAAAAAAUUCCUCUAACCAGUUUAAGUUUUUUCUAAUGUAUAUUUAAAUUAAAUAUAAUGGAUGAUUGAUUGAUAAAUUAAGUCCUAUAUAAAAUUUUAAAAGUAAAGAUAUGUCUUACAUAUCAACCAAUCACUCAAUUACCCCCAUUAAAAAAAUUAUUUGUAAAUAAAUAUCAAUUAUAUGGACUAGCAUUCUUAUAUACUUUUCUUUGGAUGAUAUAUAUUUGAUAUAUGAAUUACGGUUAAAAUGUAAAAUAUUUUCUAAUAAAAUAAAUUCAAAUAAAUAUACAAAAAAUAGAUGAUAUAUCCAUAAAAUGUUCUACCCAACACUAUAUAGGUGAUUGAUUGUAACUGUAAAUACUCUAGACAACAAAAAUUUAGUCUAAAACUUGUUAACCAUUCAAGCAGAAAUUUCUCUAGAAAAUUAAAAAAAGAAAUUGCACUAGCAUUCAUACAAAUUAUAAUUAUGAAUCUAUUGCCCUCACUAUUUAUCUCUUUCAUUUUUUGUUUUUUUUCCCGGUAACUACUUCUCCUAACCACUAUUGCUUCCUCCGUACCCAUAUAUAUCACUUCAUCUUUCACCACCAUAUCAUCACCAUGGCCACCACCAUAGUGCCUAUAUCCAUGAUCACGGUUUCUUCGAAAACCACAACCACCAAUUGCUCGCCGAUCCGGUAAUCGUCGCCACUCCGGUAACCAUUGUCACUGCUGUAAUCACCACCACCACAUGUUUCCCUACCGUCAAUUAAACCACCACCUCUUCCGCUGUAACAACCAUCAACUCUUCCGUAAUCACCAUCAACUCCUUCAUGAACAAAUCCAUCACACGUCCACCAUCAUCAUAGCCACCACGACCAUCACUAACUUUGUAACCUCCGCUACAUAUUUCCAAUCUACCCACCGAUUCUUCAUAACCACCAUCACAUCUUAAUAUAGCAACUGUAAAAUUGAUUUUUAUCCUAUUUGCUAAUUGGGUGAAUUGGUUUAAAACCCAAAAAAAUGAAAAUACCUAUGAUGUGAUUAGUUUGUGUCUAUGGAGAAAGGUAUCACAUUGUGGGAUUCAGGGUAUUUGGUUAAUUAGGGUAAAAGUCUAGUACAUGACGUGUAAUUUCCCUUGCUAAUUUAACAUAUACAUAGUGUAGUAUUUUUAGACCAUCUGAUAAUUAAAUCAAUAUGUACUAUACUAUUUCGUCUAUUCCAUUUUAUUUAUAUUUUCAUUUGCAUAAUAGUGUAUGAUGGAAGAGUGUUCACAUGCGUAACUUAUAAUUUUGUUUCAUCUUGUCUAAUAUUCUAUUGAAACAUCUGAUUUUUGGAAGCAACUUUUAAUUGUCCACAAAUAAACAAAAUCUAUUUUCGAAUAAAACAUUCUAUUUAAAUUAAAAUGUAGUAUACCAUUUGAAAUGUUCUAUUCAAUUUUUAUUAUAAGUAUUUCAAAUUUUAAUUUUAUUAAAAUAGUAUAAGUAUAUUGUAUUUUAUAAUUAGGUUUAUGGUUUAUUAAUUAUGAUUUAGGAUUUAGUAUUGAAGGGAGAUGAGAGUUAAGAUUUAUAGAGUUUUUAUACAAUGUAUCUAUCAAAUCACAAUAGAUUCUAUAUGAUUUUUAUAUGAUGUUCAAAUAUAUUAAUCUAUAUGUAAGUAGAAUAUAACAUAUAUUAUGUACUAUUUAUAUAGAGUCUACUUUGUUUCUUCUCUAUAAGAAAAUGUUUUCAAUUAUCAUGCAUUGUGGUUUCACCAUAUGUUCCAACGUCUUUAGUUUAAGAAACAGAGCUUUUAUAUGUGGUGAUUAAUUGAGUGAUGGUAUUUUAUAUGUUUAAUUUGAUUUUAGUUUUUUAUCUUGGCAAAAAAUCUACAACUCAUUACAAUCACCCUUUAUUCUAUGGGCUAUAUAUUUUAUAAAAUAAUAAUCUAAAACAAAUUUAUAUUUAUAUUAUAAUAACAAUUUAUUAUUGAUGAUUUUUUUGUUUUUUUUAAUUAAUAAAAUAAAAGCUCGUAUCGUGAGUAACGUGUUAUUAAUGCGCCAGCGAGAUACCGGAGAAACAGUUAAUAGGAUCACAUGGGAUCGUGAAGUAUAACUGUAUCUUUAACCGAUCCACACAACACAAGAUGCAUAUGAUCAAACCAUCUUUACAAAUUAAACCAUUUUAGUAAAUAAUUAUUAAAAUAAAAAAAUCGAUUAAACCUUACAAUUAAGAACUUAAAAUCCCUAAUUAAUCCAUAAGAUUAAAAAACCAAAGGAAAAACAAAGAUUAAUCCAGUUUAAUCGAUAAAACCUAAAACUAAAAAUUGAAUAUAUACAAAAAAAAAAAGGAAACGAUUCCUCGCCGUUAAGUCAAGCAGUAGCUCUGCCGUUCAUCAUCAUCUUCUUAAACUCUUCAAAGUUAACACAACCGUCACCGUCAGCAUCAACUUUGCUAAUGAUCCUCUUGCAAUCCUCAAGGGAACACUUCUCGCCGAGAUUCUUCAUCACCGAGUGAAGCUCGUUCACUGAGAUCCGUCCGUUACCAUCCAAAUCGUACAGAUCAAACGCUUCCUUCAGAUCUCGAAUAUCGCCACCGUCUUCGAUUUGGAACAGAGCGACGAACUCGUCCAUGUCGAUGUAUCCGUUACCGUCGAGAUCGAACUCCUUCAUCAUCAACGUCGUUUCUUCCGGCGACGCCGUGGGACUGAGAGCUCCGAUCACGUCUUUGAGCUCGUCGAUUGAGAUUUUCCCGUCUCCGUUUUUGUCGAAGCGCUGGAAUACUGCUCGGAUGUCUUCCAUUGAUCCUAAGCAAUAUCUUCCGCUCUUCGACAUUGCAACAGAGAGAGAGAUAAAAACUGAGAGAGAGAGGAGAAGAAGGUAGUUUGUUAUAUAUAGGGGAGUGACGAAUGAUAACGCGGUUUUGAAAUCGCGUUAAAGAUUGCGUGAGUUAGAGUACAGAGUAUUAAUUCUGAUUUUUUUAAUAUGACUUUAACUAUACUAUAUUAGUAAGAUUUCCUGUUACGGUUGUGAUUUUAUGUCAACAGGAUAUUUUUUAACUUAAAUUUCUAUAUUCAGGAUUCUCUUUAGAUUCUAUGACAUUUUCUCUUGAUAGCACAUUCUAUUUUUAAAUCUUUAAGGUUCUGAUUAUAGUAAAUAAGGAGAGAGCAUACCUUGUUUUAUUGUAUAAGAUAUCUUAGAUAAAGAUAAUGAUAUAUCAGAUCUUUUAUGUUAAGUUGAAUAUAUUUUAGUUAGUAUACAAGAUUUGUUUAGAUUCUGCGAAAUUUUUGGUAUUAUAUCUUUUAAAUGAUUUUGAUUAUGAUUUAUUGCCAAUAUAAUAUCUUUUUAGUUUAAAUUCUAGUAUACAUAAUUCUGUUUAGAUUCUAAGAGCAUUUUCCUAUUAAACUCUUGAUAAUUCAUCAUUUAUAAUUCAGAUAUAGUAAAUAAUCGUAAGAUAAUAAUAUAUUAGAUUUUUAUGUCUAUGGGAUACCUUUUGAUUUAAAAUUAGUAUAUAAAAAUCAUUAUUAGACUCUUUAUUACAUAAGUCAUAGGCAUACUGGAUUAUUGAUUUGAAAAUAUUUCAUUAAAAAAAUUCCCCCUUACAAUAAAAUUUUGUAAAAAAAGUUAAUAUAUCAACUUAUUAAAUUAUAAAAAUCUAUCAAAUAAUAUUUGAUGAGAUAUAAAAAGCAAAUUUUAGUUAAAAUUAAUAAAUAAAAAUACCGGAUUUUAUUAUAGUAUUUGAAUUUUUAAAUAUGUAAAGAAAUAAAAUAUUCAAUAUUAUUUUUAGUUUUAAUAUUCACAAAUACGAAACUUUGUAAAUGAGAUGAUCUUUUGUCUUAUGGCUCCACAUCAAUCCUGAGAAAUCCCAUAAUCUCAAGUCCGCUGAGUCUUAUUAUCUACAUAAGAGCAAAUUAUCAUACGAAAACUUGAGAUAAUUAGUUUAUUGCUUGGAGGAUUUCAAGGCGAUCUUUUAUCAACAAACCUAUAUGUUUUGAGUUUGACAUUAUCCAAUAUAUACACCACUGACCACACUAUCAAUUUACUCCACCCUUCUCUCAAGCCCCAGCUUCCUAAGAAAAUGCUUUCAUUUGACGCUUAAUGAAUGUUAGUUAUUAUGUGACAUCGCAAAAUCAGCAAAUCAGUUUGUGGCAGUGUGAUAGGUAUUAUAUGUCGUAGUUCGUGUAAUUGGGCCCUCUUCCCGCAGAAAGUUUUUUUUUGGCAAUACACACAAGCUACCAAUAUCAAAAAAAACAUGCCAACAAAGAAAAAACCCACAAAAUAAAAAGAUAUUCGUCAACCAAUGUCUGUUAAUUAAAACCUUGAAAACUACUAAGCUCAAUCAACAACAGAUCGAUUUUUUUCUUCUAGAUAAUAAAAGGUUAAUAUCACCACCACUUUUCUUAGUUUUUUUCUUAGCUUACCAUAUAUAUAAAUCACUUAGCCAUCAUAAUCUUGACAAACUCCUCGUAGUUAAUCUGACCAUCUCCAUCAACAUCAGCUUCACGGACCAUCUCCUCAACUUCUUCAUCAGUAAGCUUCUCGCCUAGAUUCGUCAUGACAUGGCGGAGCUCUGCAGCGGAUAUGAACCCGUUCUGGUCUUUGUCGAACACCCUGAAAGCUUCUUUGAGCUCUUCCUCCGAGUCCGUGUCUUUCAUCUUUUUAGCCAUGAGGUUCAGGAACUCAGGGAAGUCAAUGGUGCCGUUGCCGUCCGCGUCCACCUCGUUGAUCAUGUCCUGGAGCUCAGCUUCGGUUGGGUUCUGUCCUAGAGACCGCAUCACUGUCCCCAGCUCCUUGGUGGUGAUGCAACCUGUUCCCAAAUAAUACAAAGCAAGUAUGAAAGAAUCAGAUUGAUAUACAGAUGAAAACAUGAUUUAAGCAAACAAUGCAGAAUACACACAACACAAAGACCACCGAUAAUAUAUUCACUAAGCCAAUAGGAUCCGCAUUCAACACAAGGCAGCUUCUAAAGAAACAUCAUUGAUAGAACAAUCAAGAAAGAUAAAACACGAAGCAAUAACAAGUAAACAUCAUCAACCAAAUCUAGACCCAAACACGACAUCAAACGAGACUUAAAAUCAAUCGAUUCAAUCACAAUAAGCAAUGAAGGCAAACCACACGAAUCAGAGUAUAUAAGAUAUGAAUCUGAGGACGAUAAACUAUCGAUCGGAGCAGCGAGAGAGAGAGGAGGAUGAGAAGAGACGAACCAUCGCCAUCCUUGUCGAAGAGGCUGAAAGCUUCCUUGAACUCGGAGAUCUGUUCGUCCGUUAGCUGAUCCGCCAUUUCUUCGAUCGAUUUUGGGGUUCUCGCUUCAGAGACGACGAAAUGCUCUUUUUUUCUUUACUCCGAAGCUGUGAAACAAAUAUCUCAGCAAACCGACAAAAACAGUUAUACGAUGACAAGGAGAAAAAGUUAAAAAGGAAAGUAAUAAUUUUAAAAGCUAUGAAAUUGUAUGUGGACCUUGUUCAUCUUCACUAUAACUUUUCAGUAUAUGUAGUAUUUUCUGUUGACCAAAAAAAAACUAUAUACGUGUAGUUUUUUAUUUUACAUGAAAUGUAUUUAAUAUAAUCGUAAUAAUUAAGACGUAAAAUUUAUUAAAUUUGAUUGGUUUUCAUUAUUAUGAUAAAAUAUCCAUUUUAAUAAUAACCAAUCAAAAACAGAAUGCAAAGUUUGAAAUUUCAAAUUUAUUCUAUUUUACCAUUAUAUUUAACAUUUUUCAUUAUUUUAUACUUGUUUACCUUUUUUUUAAAACAUUAUUGGUAAAUGCUGUAAAAUCUUUAAAGUGAUAACUUUUAAAAACACUAAUAUUUUAAUUAAGUUUUAUACUAUAAUUCUAAGUUCGAGUUAAAAAUCUUCAUGAUAUCUUUAAGAUUUAGACUUGUUAUAGUUGACUCCAUAAUCCUUAGCAAUCCCAAUGCAAAAUCUACAUGGUUUUUGUGGUGGCAUGAAGGAAUCACCGAUCCUUUGACAUCAGAAGUCUCUCCGAGUGAAAUUGUUGCUUGAUUGUAUCUUGAAUCUUCUUAUUUGUCCCUUACUCAGUAGCUUGUACGUCCACUGGUUGCUAUUGUGUCUUCUCCAUAUCCUCGCUUUGCAUUAGUUGUGCCUCAUAAUUAAGUUGGCUACUCUCGCCAGAUGGUUGUCCUUCUUCAACAUUGUUGUGUCAAUUUGCUGGUUAGCGAGAUGAAGAGAAUAUGUAGCCAAAUGUAAAAUUUGUAAGCUCUUAGUCUCCAUAUCUGGAGUUUGAGAGAAAAUCUUGAAUCCAUGCUUCAAGCUGUUGCAGUUAGUAUAAAACUUUUGGAAGUCAUCACGGCAAAAUUCCAAUUAAAAUGGCUUCCAAUACACAUUAUCUGAAUCUUUGCUGUCAAAGAAAUUUGGUUAUCCACAUAAAACUGAACUCUUAUCCACACAUAGUUGUUUCGACAAUCUAAACUUCAUCAAUCUAACUAAACUUGGAGCCAAUACUUUUGACUGUUUGUUUUGUGUAUGAUGAUAUGAUGCUAGAAGAUGGUAGGUAAGUUAUUUAUCUGGAUAAACAAUAGCUUAGUCGAGGACCAUGAGGGACAGUCAGGUCGAGCUUGCUCGAUCGAAGACCAUAAGGAACAUGAGGGACCUUCCGGUCGAGCUUUGUUGAUGACCAUGAGUCCAUGACUGACCUUCGGUCAAGUGGUUUUAAUUAAGCCGUAUGUUGGCUUUAUGCCCAUAUGAUCUCUGGAUCAUAAGUGAUCUUGGGGGUUAGAAAUGUUUAGGAAUAACUAAGUAUUCGAAAAUAGCUGUGUGGAUGAAAAUUUACUAAAUAUGAAAAUGAAAACAGAUUAAGAGAUGGUUAAAAUGAAUCUUAUAGCUUGACAAAGCUGUUCGUUGUACUGUGUUGCAUGUGAAUGGUAGUGACUAUUGAACGCGCUAUCACUAAGUAAUUGUAAUUCAUGCCGUUUUUGUGUUGCAAGUGAAGAUCAAUUGUUUGGACUCGAGCAAGAGAUCAUUGAAACCAUUGAGAAUCGAGUGUUAUGAACUUGGAUGUAUUUUUUUAUUAUUGUACUAUAUAGGCUUCCAGUAUUUAGCAUUAAAUUAUUUAGUAAAGUCUUGUAAGAUUUUACUUUAGAAUUUUCAAUGGAUUUUUUGAAAUGUUUUGAUCGAGGUGUUUCAAAAACAUUUUGAUUUAUUAUAGUAACUUUAAAAUGCUGAUCCCACCAAGAAGAGAGAAGAAAACACAAAAAUAUAAGAUGAUGAACAUAUCAAAAACAUUGUAGACAUUUUGAUUUUUUGAUCGAGGUAUUUAAAAAAAAAAAAAGAACAAAAAAUGAGUCAGAACUAAUUAGUCUAGUUUUCCAUAAUUGAUUAUGACCCUCAUCAUCUCGUGGUCGUGGGCUCUGGUCUUGUCCCUCUUUUAGCAUUUAACAACCGCUUUACCAACUAAUCUUUCUGUAUUAACAAGAGUCAUUGCUCUAACAAUUAUUCAAACAAUUAAUUAAUACCCAAUUAUCGUCAUCCAACUGUAAGCCUAACAAUUAUUCAAAAUAAUUAAUAUUUUCACAAUUAUCUUCCCCCUCCACUCUUUUUCUUUGCUCCAACAUCACACCAACAUCAAACAAUACACUGACGAUUUAAUUCAUCUUUCCUCUUCUUGAAACUUUUCUUUCAUUUUAUUAAUGCAAAGAGUGCUUUAAGCAAAAGCUUUAAAGAAUCAACUUUUCAUUUUUGAAAAUUCAAAAGAGAAAACUUGUCAUUUUCUUUCUGCCUCCUUUUUCUUUUGUUCUUGUUUUCUGGGUAUUUGAUUUGUCAUCUUCAGAUCUCUUCAGUAAUCAAAACCCAUUUUGACAAAAAAAAAAAAAAAAAGAAAAGAAAUGAUUCUUGAUUUGGGUUUUGCUUGUUUCCUCUCUGGUCGAACCAGAGAGAGCUCUCAUGAGCAUAACAAAGCUUGGCUUUUGGAGGAAACAAGACCAACGUUUAUUGAGUCAGACCCAUAUUCAGGACAGUCGUCAUUUAGGUUUAGUCUUUGCUCACAGGUGGAGCUGGAAAAGAUCAGAAGGGAGCAACCAUCAUCGUCUUUUCAAGUGUCUGAAGGAUCAGCGACGGUUCUUCUGGUUAACGAGGUUAAGGAGACAGAUAAACCGACGGUUGAGAUGAAUUGGUCGACGGCUCUUUCACUUGAGAAGAGCAUUUCUCCAGUGACCAAUACCUUGAUCCGGUUUAGCUACAGUGAAAUUGUCACCGCCACUCGCAAUUUCUCAAAAGGUAAAAGCCUAAACCCCUAAACAUAUGACAACACACCUACUUGAAAGUUGAUGAGUUUUGAAAAAAAAAAAAAAAAGGAAGUUGAUGAGUUUUGUGAUUCUCUGUUGUAAUUUUGGUUAGGGAGAGUGUUGGGAAGAGGAGCUUGUAGCUAUGUAUAUAGGGGCAGAAUGGGGAUUUGGCGAAAAGCCUUGGCUAUCAAAAGACUUGACAAAGAAGAUACAGAAUCCCCAAAGUCCUUUUGCAGAGAGUUAAUGAUUGCAAGCUCUCUUCAGUGCCCUAACAUUGUGCCUCUUCUAGGGUUCUGUAUCGACCCCGAGCAAGGGCUUUUCUUGGUGUACAAGUAUGUCUCUGGUGGCAGCCUCGAACACUAUUUACACGGUAUUCAGCUGAUCUUCUCUCUUUCCACAACCAUUGAUUGCAAGCUGUGUUAGAGAUUGAUGGUUUCUUUGCUGGCUUUCCGAAUUUAGAUAAGAAAAAGAAGAAGAGAGGUGUGAAGGUUCCCUUUUGUUUGCCUUGGUCAACAAGGUACAAGAUCGCCUUAGGCAUUGCAGAUGCCAUAGCCUAUUUGCAUAACGGCACUGAGCAAUGCGUUGUGCACAGAGACAUUAAACCCUCCAUAAUUCUUCUUUCCUCAAACAAAAAGCCAAAGGUAAGGAGAGUUAAACCACUUCUUGGCCAUUUUAUCAGUGUUCUGUUUAACCACAGUUUCUUUCAGUUGUGUGAUUUUGGGUUGGCGACAUGGACAGCUGCACCAUCGGUUCCUUUCCUGUGUAAGACCGUGAAAGGAACAUUCGGGUAUCUAGCUUGAAACCUUUAAGAUCCAAUAAAGUCAUUACUACUAUAUAUGGAAAUAAAAAGUAAUGCAAACAUUUUGGGAAACUUGUUGUAGUUAUCUAGCUCCAGAGUAUUUUCAACACGGCAAGAUAUCAGACAAGACAGAUGUGUACGCGUUUGGAGUCGUGUUACUUGAGCUAAUAACGGGUCGAAAGCCCAUUGAAGUAAGAAGACCAUCUGGUGAAGAAAAUUUGGUAGUUUGGGUAAGUGUCUUGUUAUCUUUUAUUUUCUGAUAACUACUACUAAACCAAACCUAUUGACUUGUAGUAACUUAAAUUCCACAAGCUUCCCCACUAACUUAUUUCUAAAUAUGGUAAAUUAAAUCCUAAUUUCCAACCAAAUGCCAUUUAAUUUGUGACAUUAGCCUGCUAAAUUCAGGUCAAUCUUGGUUGAACUACAAAUUAUGGUUCAACUGUUCAUCGUUCACCAGAAUCUGUAUAUAUAUAUAUAUAUUUUUUUUAAUAUCAUGGGGGUUCGACCCCAUCAUGUAAUAUUAGUGUCGUCCAAGUAGUCACUCGAACCAAAGUACUUGUCAAAUACAUGAACGUUCAAGUGUAGUUAAACUUGUGUAAUAACCGUAUUUUUGGCAGGCGAAACCGUUGUUACGUAGAGGGAUGGAGGCUAUAGAGGAGUUGCUAGAUCCAAGGCUGACAUGUACUAGAAAGAACUCGGUUGCAAUGGAGCGUAUGAUCCAAGCAGCAAGAGCAUGUGUGACCGAUGAGGAGUCACGUAGACCUGGAAUGAAAGAGAUUGUUUCGAUUUUGAAAGGCGGUGAAAGGAGGAGAGUAGAGCUAAGGACGUUUUCAAGCAGGACAAAGUCAAAUCUUUCGAGUUUAAUGGACUGUUAUCCGCAGUUGCAAAGGACAAAAUCUGAGAUGAAGAGUCAUCUUGCUCUUGCAAUGCUCGGAGUAACAGAGUUUGAAGAUGAUGAUGAUAAUGAUAAUGUUCUUUUGUAGGGAAGGUAAAAUAGAUACUCGCAAGAACUAAAAAGAGAGAUUUUUUUUUUGUGUCACUGUAAAUGUUUUAAACUUAAUUACUUCUUUAUAAAUAUAAUUUAGGAAAAUGCAAAGAAAUAGUUUUUUCUUUUAAAUACCUCUUGACUUGACAAAACAGGCUAGUUUAGUUAGCUGCUAGCAUAGUAACAAUUUGAGAAUACACUAAUAACAUACAGCUAUGUUACAAGAAACAACCAAUACAGAUUUGAUGAACAAAAAUCUGAAUCUGCUUUCUCAUUUUCUCUUUGUUUUUUUGAUUUUAGACGACGGCUUUGAGUAGGGCCUCAAGUACAGCUUCUUUAGUAGGAAGUGCCGGUAUUGCACCUCUCUCCUUCACCGUUAAGGCACCACACGCAUUCGCAAACAUUAGAGCUUCUCUCAGUCUUUCUUCGUCCUGAGUCAAACAAUGAGAGCAUAACAAAUGUGAUGACUCUGACUAAGAACAAAGCUUUGAAACUGCUAUUCUAAUAAUUGCUCUCAAACCAACUCAACACCACUACAUCCACUCCUAGGCUGAUUACUAUAGCUUAAACUUCGUCUUAGCUUAUCAAACGCUCAAAAAAAAACAAAUGACAAGAAUCAAAGUUUACCUGAAGCAAAGAGAGAUCACAUGCUAGUUGAGAUAGUAUUCCAGCAACAAACGCAUCUCCAGCACCUGUCGUGUCCACUACUUCCACCUUCAACCCAUGCACUCUCCCGCUAAAAUCCUGUAAAUUAAAAAAUAUUUUUAAAACAAAAAAAAAACAUCAUUAACUUUGAGUAUCAAGACUAAGGCUACGUAGUUUAGUUUGGAUAUCAAAAUCAAAAGAAGGAGAGGGAGAGGGGAGAGGGACUCUUAACAACCUUUGUGUAGUACCGACAACCUUCAGGACCUUCAGUAACAAGGAGUAGUUUCAGCUUAGGAUGGAACAACUUCCUGACGACAGAAUCAUCAUAAGGAUCUUCUCCUUUCGUUAGAAACUCAAUCUCCUCUUCGCUAAUCUUAAUAAUAUCAGCAGUAUCCCAAACGCUGAGGAUUUCAUCUCUAGCGUUGUCAGCAGAAGGCCACAAGGGGAGCCUAAGGUUAGGGUCAUACGAAAGAAUCACACCAGCUUCCUUAGCUGCCUUCGCCGCAGCUAUGUGAGCUGACUUGCACGGUUCCGUGAUCAGACUUAUCGAACCGUAAUGGAAUAUCUUCGCCUGCAACACAAGACUCAAAAUAAUUGAUUUCAUUAAAAGUAACAACUAAAAAAAAUGUUGAUAGUUAGUUUACCUUUUUAAUCAAAUCCAAAUCAAGCUCAGACUCUUCUAACAACAUGUCGGCGCUGGGGUUUCGAUAGAACAUGAACUCACGUUCGCCUUCAUUUGUCAGAGUGACGAAAGCUAAAGCAGUUCUGGCGCCAGGAUCAAAACGCAUGCCUUCGUUGUUCACAUUGUUGUCCUUGAGGAUGUUUGCAAGCAUAUAACCAAACUCAUCUUCCCCAACCUGUUAGCAACAACAACACAUUCACAGAUAGUUCAAAAUCAAAAUAGGAUGCGGAGGUAAGUGUCUCACCUUGCCAAUGAAAGCUGAAGAGCCACCGAGACGAGCGAUACCAACGGCGACAUUAGCAGGGGCACCACCUGGAGCCUUUUUGAAAGCUGGUGCUUGGGCCAGAGAAAGCCCACUUGUGGUUGGUACGAAGUCGAUAAGCAUUUCUCCGAAACAGACCACAGAGGGAGACUCUUGCGUUGAGCCAUCACUAGCAAAGGCUCUUCCUUUUUAAACAUUAGAAAAAAUGUGAACUUUGUUAUUAAUGAUGAUUAUACAAUGCUAUAUACAUUCAUAAGACUUUACUGUUCAGUAACAUUAAACAGCUAGAUCCAGAAGAUUGAUGAGGGACAAUCUAGGGAUCAACGAAAGUUUAUUUUUUUAAUCAUUUCAAAAAAAUCAAGUGAAGAAAUGGCUAACCUUUGAGAUUAGAUCGUGAAAGCGAGAGGAGGGGAGGAGAAGAGAGUCCUGAAGAAGAAGCUGUGAUGGAGAGACGACGCUUUGAGGUUAAUGCGUGAGGAGGAGUUGAUCGGAAAGUAGGAGCG
This 212102-nucleotide long non-coding RNA is filed under the name Brassica rapa (field mustard). Its description in RNAcentral is "long non-coding RNA (BRAP_LNC005461)". The record is from RNAcentral. Lineage: Eukaryota; Viridiplantae; Streptophyta; Magnoliopsida; Brassicales; Brassicaceae.